This 181839-nucleotide long non-coding RNA is filed under the name Populus tremula. RNAcentral describes it as "long non-coding RNA (PTRE_LNC000829)". The stretch from base 72002 to 72157 matches the Rfam family "MIR2912 microRNA precursor family". Lineage: Eukaryota; Viridiplantae; Streptophyta; Magnoliopsida; Malpighiales; Salicaceae. The record is from RNAcentral.
AAUCAAAAUAUUAAAUUCUUUUUUUAGUCCUUGCAAUUUUAUCAUUAAAAAAUAUAUACAAAUAAAUAAAACAAAAUACAAACUCACACAUACACUUUCACUAUUUUUGUUUCUUUUCUUUUCUUUUCUUUUUCUUUUACAUCCACAAAUACAAAAUACAAAUUAUAAAAACUGAAUAAAUAAAUAAAAAUACACCAACACACACAACCCCUUUUUUAUUAUUAUUUUCUCUUUCUUUUCUUUUCUUUUCCUUUUCUUUUUGUACAUCCCAUUACAAAAAAUAUAAAAAAACUAAACACUAAACAAAAAAAAUACAUUACAUAAUUUAAAAAUUACAAUAAAAAUAGUCCCUAAACUUCAGAAAUCGCAUUGAUAGCCUCCUGCCACCGCAGCAAACAGUGGUGGCGCGUGGGUUCAUGCGCCGCCGGAAAAAAAAGGACCGCAACAGGGGCUGGUGGCAGCUUCAUCCCCUCUUCCCGUCCUCGCCAGUGUUACCUGCAAAAACACCCAAAACGCAACAAGCAGUCUAUUUCAUUAAUUAAUUGUUUUCUAUUUCUUUUAUUUUCCCGAUCUGCCUCUCUUCCCGUUCAAAUCUGCUUCACUGCAGAUCGACUCUUCCAUGGUUUUUUUUCGUCUGCUCCAACGCUUCAAUCGGCGGAUUUGAUGGUUGCAGAUGUGGCGGUGGCCGUGGACGGAUCUGCCAGAGAGAAGGGAGAUCGGUGGCGGGCUCGGUGAACUGGAGGAGCUCGGCCGCCGCUGUGAUGGGCUCUGCAGGUCGUCGCUGCUGGUAAAGAUGAUAGGAACGGCUCUGUGGUGGAGGAGCUCGGCUGCUGCUGAAGGACGAAGGCGGACCGAUCUGGGAUCGGUGGCUGGUGGGGACGGUUCUGUGGGUUGCUACUGGCCGGUUGAGAAAGAGGGAGCCGCCUGCUGAAGGUUGAAGAUUAGAGGAAAGGGGGAUGGCGCCGCUCCUUUUGUUCUCUGGUUUUGGCCCGGGGAAGGGAGAGUGGGAGAAGCUGGAACCGGCUGGAGAGAGGAUGGGUGAAAAAUGGGAGAAGAUCGGCGUUGUGGGUGAGGGAAGAAGAAACCGAAUCUGGAUGGGGGGGGCUGUCUUGGAGAAGAUGUUGGAGCUUUGGCCGGCGGCUGGUGAAAAAAUCAAAAACCAGUGGGGGACGGUUUGGUUUGUUCUCUUGGCCGAGAAGGGCUGGUCUCCAAAAAUCCAAGGCCAAAGGUGGGGCGGCUGGUUCGGGUGGCCGGUUUUUGGGUCAGAAAAAUCAAACCGAGGAGCAACUCCGGGAGACCAAAAACGAAAACCAGGGGGGGCGGCUGGUGUGAAGGAAAUUUUUUUUUUUAGGGUUAGGGUUUCUGUAUUUUUUUUUUAAGUGUCAAAAUUACCCCCCCUCCCUUGUGUGAGUUAAAGACCAGUAUUUAUAGGCAAAAAAUAUUGCCAAGUUUUUCAACUUGGUCCCUCAACUUCUUUCUUUUGAAAUGUAAAUUUUGAUUUUUCUUACUUUUUUGUAUUUUUUGAAAACGAGCAAUAUCAACGUCGACUCAACGAGGAAAAUCAAUGUUUUUUAAAAAUGACGCGUGAAAAGUCGAACGCGUUUGAAAUUUUUUUUUAAAAAAUUUAAAUUCUUUUUUUUUAGACGACGUUGAAAAUGCUAAAAGGACGAAAAUAUAUUAAAAAAACAUAUUUUUUGGAUUUUCAUUGUUUUUCUCUAUUUUUGGAUUUUUUGAAAAUAUAUAAAAAACAUGGGUCAAAAAUUGGGUAGCAACAUAAAGUUCAGGGUAGAUCUCCUUUUAUGAAAUAGUUUGUAUCUUAUCGGGUUAAAUGCUAACCAUUCUAAAGCCUAAUUUUUAGCAAUAUAUAUAUAUUUCUGUAUUUUUUAAUGUUUAAUACUUAGAGGUAUACUUUACAAUAUAAUUUUAUACCCUCAAAUAUUAAAGUCUACAACUAAAUCCUAACAUUUAUCUCUAUUAAUUCAUUUAAUUUAAUAUUGGAAGUAUGCAUUACGUUGUAAAAUUCAUACCUCAAAUAUUAAUUAAAUAAAUAAAUUUUUAUGGUAUUUUUGAAAUUUUAGUCAAAUCCUAAUAAAUAAUCAUAAAUUAGUUAUGAUAUCUAUUAAUUGAUUUUUUUGUUUUGUUUUUCAUAGUAUGAUAACAAUAUAAUUUUAUUUAUUUAUUUUUAUAUAAAAUAUGAAUGAGAAAUUUUUUAGAAUUUAGUUGUAUGCACAGAAAAAAAAAAAAUUUUGUAUUUUUGAAAUGAGGAAACUUUUUAGAAUUUUUGGAUUUAUUUUUUGAAACUUAAGAGAAUUUUUUUUUUUUAAUAUUGGAUUAUUAUCUUACAUGCACUAGAAGCACAUCACGUUGAAAAGAGGAAGAAGAAAGAAGAGGGUUACCUAGACGAGGAUAAUGACUGUAUGUUAAAGUUAAAAAUAAAUAAAAAAUAUUAUUUUAAUAUAUUAACAAAAAUUUAAAAAAUAAUUAUUAUCACAAACAUAAACAGUAAUUUAAUACAAUUACAAAUCCAGUUUUUUUGGUGAAUCAUAAAUCUAAAUAUUCAAAGGUCCAAAAGUCGUCGAGAGCAAAGGAAGUAGAGUAAAAGAAAUGAUGUUUAUCAUUUCGAUUCGGAGGUAGCCAAAGUGCUGGAUGAUAUUGUAUCAAGAGCUAUGUUUGGAUAGGAGAUGACAAGUAACAUUGAUGAGAACUAGUGUAGAACUAAAAACUUGAAGCAUAAAUUUAAUAAGAAAAUAUAGAUAAAUAAAGGGCUUGAAAGAUUAAUAAACAAUAAAAAUAAAAAAAAGUUUAAAGGAUGAAGAGAUAAAAUAUAAUGAUUUAUCUUACUUCAACCCUUUUCUUAUAUUCAUUCUCCAAACUCCACUUGGGAUUUCAAAUCCCCUAUCAAUCUUCUCAUAGAUAGGUGAAGAUAGAAGCCAAGCAAUGACCAUGAAACUAUUUGAUGCACACUGUCACCUGCAAGACCCAAGAAUCCUUAACAAGACACCUCAACUCAUUGCCACUGCCCUUGAUACUGGCGUAGUCCGUUUUGCUGUUAAUGGGGUUUCUGAGGUAUAUAAUACACAUACAAUUUGGUAUCUAAUAAUGAUUAUUUAACUGUUCUUGUCUUAAAUUCUUGUGGGUUCUGAUUUUCUUUUUAGAAAGACUGGAACUUGGUUAAAGAGAUGGAUGAGACCUAAAUCAUAAAUUUGUAUUUUUUUUUUUUAUCAAAAUUUAUGAGUUUUGUGUUUUUGUUUUCGGGGGCAGUAAAUUAAAAAAAUCAUUGAACCUCUAGGUCUAAUUCAUUUGGAUAUCGAUGAUUUAGUGUUUGUGCAAAUUAGAAGUGAAAAAAGUAUUAUAUUACUUUUAUAUAGAUCAUUGUAUAAGGUAUUGUUAUAUCUAUUUGCUUAAAAGCAAAUAUGAGGUUUUUUAAAAAUAUUUAAACAUUAUAAGAAUAACGUUGAAAAUAAAUUUGAUAAGAAGAUAAAGAUAAUAAGAAGUGAUAAAGGUAAAGAAUACAAAGUACAAUUUGGUAAAUCAUGUUUCCAAUAUGGUAUUAUUCACCAAAUUACCGCUCUUUAUUCACCUUCACAAAAUGACAUUACAGAAUGUAAAAUUGAACAUUAAAAGAAAUGAUAAAUGAUAUUUGAUAAGUUUAAGAGCUCCUCAGAACUUGUGGGGAAGACAAUCCUAACUGUCAAUUAUGUACUUGAUAAAGUACCUUAUAAAAUUUUUAGAAAAGACACCAUAUGAAUUAUAAAAAGGUAUAAAGUCUUCUUACCAAUACCUCAAAGUGUUGAGAUGUCUUACAAAAAUAGUAGUAUUUGAUCCUAUAAAGGUCAAUGACCUAGAAACGUGAAUUUUAUAUUUAUCAAAUAUGUAUAUAAUAAUAGUGCAUAUUAGUUUCUUGUAUAUUAGUCAAAUAUUAAGGAUAUUCAUCCUAAUAUUAUUAUGAAAUCAAUGGAUGCUAUAUUAUUUAAAAAUAUUUUCCAUGGAAAGAAGCACAAGAGAAUUAUUCAUUUAAAAGAACAAUAACGCUUAAGUAAUCAUUAUCAAUCAGAGGAUGAUGAAGUUGAACUUAGAAGGAAUAAAAAGGCAUUGGUCUUAAUUUUCUAACAUACUUGUUAGAAAAUGAACCUCGAAUCUACUCCAAAACAAUAUCCUGUCAGGAAGCUUCCUAUUAGAAGAAGAUGGACAAUUGUGAAAUUGAAUCCAUUAUGAAUAAUCAAACAUGGUGUCAUGGAGUGCACGACGUCAAAUGAUGGAGCUGCCUAAUAGAAAUGAGGGUGCUUAGGUUUAAUCAUAAAGUUAAAAUUAGAGGGUUCAUAAGUCGCGACCUAGUAUUAUAGUCACUAGAAAACUUAUUGGUCUAUGAGAGUUCGGGUAAGAAGACUAGUUGUGCAAGGAAAAGAAAAUAUAUCACUCCCAAUGCACCCUACCUAUAAUAAACUGCAUUGUUGAUUGAUUAUUAAUUUAAUGCAUGUUUCUAUUUGUUGAUUUCAUCUAAAGUUCAAGGCAUAUCUCCAUUCAUGGGGUAGUUUGUACCUUAUUGGGUUAAAUCCUAACCAUUCUAAAGCCUAAUGUUUAGCAAUACAUAUAUUUCUGUAUUUUUUAAUGUUUAAUACAUAGGGGUAUACUUUAUAGUAUAAUUUUAUACCCUCAAAUAUUAAAGUCUACAACUGAAUCCUAACAUUUAUCUCUAUUAGUUCAUUUAAUUUAAUAUUGGAAGUAUGCAUUACGUUGCAAAAAUCAUACUCCAAAUAUUAAUUAAAUUAAUUAAUUUUUAUGGUAUUUUUGAAAUUUUAGUCAAAUCCUAAGAAUAAUCAUAAAUUAAUUAUGAUAUUAACUGAUUUUUUUAUGUUUUCAAAAUAUGAUAAAAAUAGAAUUUUAUUUAUUUAUUUUUAAAUAAAAUAUGAAUGAGAAAUUUUUUAGAAUUUAGUUAUAUGCAUAAAAACAAAACAUAUUUUUGUAUUUUUAAAAUGAAAAACUUUUAGAAUUUUUGGAUUUUUUUUUUAAAAUUUUAAAAUAAAUUUUUUUAAUAUUAGAUCAGUAUUUUACAUGCACUAUUAGAAACACAUCACAUUAAAAAAAAAAGAAAAAAAGAAAGAAAGAAAGAAAGAGGGUUACCUAGACCGGUACGGUGACAUUGUGUGUUAAAAUUAAAAAUAAAUAAAAAAUAUUAAUUUAAUAUAUUAAAAAAACUUUUAAAAAUAAUUACUAACAAACAUAAACAGUAAUUUAAUACAAUUACAAAUCCAGUUUUUUUGGUGAAUCAUAAAUCUAAAUAUUUAAAGGUCCAAAAGUUGUCGAGAGCAAAGGAAGUAGUGUAAAAGAAAUGAUGUUUAUCAUUUCGAUUCGGAGGCAGCCAAAGUGUUGGAUGAUAUUGUAUCAAGAGCUAUGUUUAGAGAGGAGAUGACAAUUGAUGAGAACUAGUGUAGAACUAAAAACUUGAAGCAUAAAUUUAAUAAGAAAAUAUAGAUAAAUAAAGGGCUUGAAAGAUUAAUAAGCAAUAAAAAUAAAAAAAAGUUUUAAGUAUGAAGAGAUAAAAUAUUAUGAUUUAUCUUACUUCAACCCAUUUCUUAUAUUCAUUCUCCAAACUCCACUUGGGAUUUCAAAUCCCCUAUCAAUCUUCUCAUAGAUAGGUGAAGAUAGAAGCCAAGCCAUUACCAUGAAACUAUUUGAUGCACACUGUCACCUGCAAGACCCAAGAAUCCUUAACAAGACACCUCAACUCAUUGCCACUGCCCUUGAUACUGGCGUAGUCCGUUUUGCUGUUAAUGGGCUUUCUGAGGUAUAUAAUACAUAUACAAUUUGGUAUCUAAUAAUGAUUAUUUAACUGUUCUUGUCUUAAAUUCUUGUGGGUUCUGAUUUCCUUUUCAGAAAGACUGGAACUUGGUUAAAGAGAUGGGUGAGAGCUAUCCGUCUGUGAUCCCAUGCUUUGGUCUCCACCCCUGGUAAAUAUAAAGGCCCUCUCUUUCUUUGAUUUUUUUUUUUAUCAAAAUUCAUGAGUUUUGUGUUUUUGUUUUCGGGGGUCAGUAAUUCAUGGAUCUGUUUUUCUUUUGUUUUAUUGUUUUUUCCUCAAGAGCAGUGUUUUUGUUUUCUUCUUUGAUGCUUGUGUCGAUGGUAAUGUUUUUUUUUUUUUUGGUCUUUAAUCUAUCUAUAGGUUUAUUGAGGAGAGGACUCCUAAUUGGUUCAACACACUUAAAGAGUUCUUUCAGAUCACACCCUCUGCUGCUGUUGGAGAGGUUAAAUUCCCAUUUCCUUGCUGUUGGUAGAAUCUUCUAAAAGCAUAAUGCUCAAGAGAACCUUUAAUUAACACAGCAUGCUAAUGAGCUUUUUCAGGUUGGUUUGGACAAGGGUUCACAUGGAAAGAAGAUUGAUUUCAAUGAUCAGGUUUUCCUCAAGGAGGGUUUUUUUUUUUCCUUUUUAUUAUUAUUACACACUCAAGUAAUUGAUUCUCUUCUUCACGGCUUAGUCUCAUUCAGUGAUUCGUAUGGUAAUUCAUUACCUGGCCUCUGCCAUUGGACCUGAAAGAAAUUCGUCCUUAAUUUUAUGCAUUGAAAGAGAUAUGUCGGAGCAUUGGCACCUCAGGCCUCAUAUUAGUUCAAUUUCCAUUUGGAAAUUAUGUACCUGGUAACUAGGAGAAACAUGUGUGUGUAUUGUCUUGAAGGCAUUUACACCACUAGCACCUGACUUUUUGGUUUUCAUUACAAUCUAUUAUUUUCCUGGUGGCCUUGGAUUGAGGCUAGUCUUCCCUCGUUUUUGCUCACUAAAUGUGAGAUAUACUUUGUUCCUUAAUACCUAGGGUUUGCAUAGGUUGCAAUUUCUUGACUACCUAUUGCUUUUGCGACCUUCUUGAAAUUGUAUGAUAAAAGUAUUACCUUUUACUAUUUGAAUAAACCUAUAUAUACCUGUUCAAAUAUGCUUCGUGUCACUUUACUUUGGUACCCCCAUUUUUUUCUUCGACAACUUGUCCCUUGAAUAGUUUAUGCAUCUCGUACCAGUCUAAAAAAAUUAUAGAGGAAGAACAUCUAUCCCCAUUACUGGUGUACAUAUUCAUUUCUGUCUUGCUAUAUUCAUAUAUGAUGUCAUUGCUAAAUCUGCGCACCAAUUAAUGCUGUUUCAUGCUACAUUUUUAAUAUUCAAAGUUUCUAUUCCAGGUUCAAGUAUUCCGGAGACAGCUUGAACUCGCAAAAGAGUUGAACAGACCAGUAUCUGUCCAUUGUGUUCAUGCUUUUGGUGAUCUUCUUGAAAUAAUGAAGUACGGUACUAUAUUUUAUUUCUGUUCCACUGAAAGGUAUUAUCCAGAUUAUUGAUGGAAUAUGGCUGGAGCUUUCUUUUUGAUGUAAUCUAUGCAGUGUGGAGUGUUUUUCUCGAAUCAUAAAUAGGCAUUCAAAAUACAAAUAGGAACACCUAUCUUACGAAUGUCAGUUUUAAAAAUUGAGGUCUUGAUAAGGUGCUAUGAUUAAAUUGUAGGUUGGCAUGGACAAGUUGGAUUGCUUUUUUUCCAAGUUUAAUCAAAAUGAAAAGUUCUUUGAUGUCAUCACCUUUGCUUCAAGGAGCUUUUAUGCAUCUCAAUUGCCAUACUUGCUCGUUGACUUGGAUAAAGAUUCUCUGAACCUGUCGUACAUUGUCUCAACUUUUAUUUCUUCUUGCUCAUGGCUUAUGCUGUGUCUAAUUUGUAAUGAUGUGAAGCCAUUAGUUUCUUAAUGCCAUUGUAGUAUUGCAAUUUUUAAUUACAUGCUGGAUCUUCAGGAGUACAGGACCUUUCCCGGCUGGUGUCAUUCUCCAUUCUUUCCUUGGUUCUGCUGAGAUGGUUCCUGAGUUUGCCAAGCUUGGUGCUUACUUUUCGUUUUCUGGUUUUCUCAUGUCCAUGAAAAAAGAGAAGGCAACUAAAAUGCUGAAAGCGGUUAGUUAAUCAAUUGCAUUUUGUGUUUUACAUAUUAGAAAAAUUCAAAGUCUUAACUCCAACCUUUUGCAGGUAUCUUCUGAUAGGAUUUUGUUGGAAACAGAUGCACCUGAUGCCCUGCCAAAUGGAAAGUUUGGUUCCCUGUUUCUGGUUGAUGGAGGUAUUUUUCAUCCUGAAGGAGAAAAUUCUUCUUCAAAUGCUGACAGUCUCCAUGAUGGUGAUUCCCAUCUUUCAAAAGAUGCAUCGGCAUUGCCAAGAGAAACACCUAAUCAUCCUGCAAAUAUACACAAUGUAUGUCAUUUGCUUGUUUCUCCCUUGAACUCGUUAUCUGAUAAUGCAUAAAGUAAAUAGGGUCUGUCUCUUGCAAGUGCUAAUCUCGGAAAGGGCCAGAUCACACAUAAUUCUGAGAUUCAAAACCACCUGUUCCUGGGCCUUGGUGCAUUUCAUAUCCUUUCAAUUUCAUUUAUUCUCUUUAGACUGGCUCUAAAAACUGAGUUAGAGUAAUGGCCUCCUUUAAUCAAUAUAUUGGUUUUUUUUUUCCCUCUCGUCUCCAACACUUUAACUUCUCUUACUGAGACCAGGUUAAAAAACGUGUGCUUGGGACCAUUAUACUUAAAUGUAAAAUGUAUUUAGCAAGUUUCCAUUACUUGUUCAGGUCUUAAGUUACGUUGCAUCCCUGCUGGACAUCACCAAACAAGAACUUGCAGAACUGAGCUAUGCAAAUGCAGUACGGCUAUUCUCUUAUGAAGGUUCCAAGGUAUUAGAAAAAUAGAAAAUUUAUCGAGAAUGUAACGCAUUGUACCUGUUUAGUUGUAUGAUUACUUGCAAUCUCUGUUCCGUAACAAGCAGGCGUGUCCAUAAAUGCUGAAAGCCUUGUCCUGGAUUUCACUUAUAACUGCGGUGUACAUGAAAACCAUGAAUGGCAGCAUGUGAGGUGGAAAGGAAAAGAGAGCUUUCCUUCUCUCUCUUUUUUUCUUUCUUUCUCUUUUCAAUAUAUUAGUGCUAGCCUUUUUAUUAUUUGCAUCUGCUAGCCUUGCAGUUGCAGAGUUGUAGCCAACUUCUGAUUUUCUCCUUCGGCCUAAAUAUUUUCUUGGACGAUUAAUUCCAUCGUUUGCAGUUCAACAAAUAAUAAAAUGGAGGGAACAGUUCCCUCCGAUAUAUCUGCAAUAAUAGUUCAAAGAUUAUGGAUUUAUACUUGAAUACUACCAGUUAUUGCACAUGAGUUCCAUACAAUCGGAUUGGGCGUCAAUGGAAUAAAUUGGAAUUUUUUUUUAAGAAAAUAAAAAUAUACUUUUAUAUGGUGAAAGUAAAAUAAACGUUAAUGCUAGUAAAAUAAAAUAACAUUGAUAGUGAGCAUCUCAAAAUAAUUAUGAUAAUAAUGAUAAUAAUAAUAAUAAUAAAUUGUUUUCAUUUUAGAUAAGAAAAUGAAUGGAAAACAAAUGGGUGACUACAAAAAAGAAAAAAAAGAAAAUCAGAGCCUGUAUUUAUGCCAUCCUUAUUUAACAAAACAUUAAAAAAGAAGUAAGAAAAAUAACGGAAAGCUACUUUCUACAUGAUUUUCUCAACAAAUCAAAUCGGAUAAAUUCAAAUAACAGAAGUGCACUUGUUUAGGGCGAUAAUCUUUUUGAGAGCUGAAAGUUGAGAUUUUUGGUUUUUGAAAUUAUCUGAUGAAACAAGAAUACAGCAAAAACCAGUAAAAAAAAAACCCUACAGAAAGGUCUCUAGCUAUACAGGCAUUUGUAAGAUCAGAACUUCCAACAACAACGACUCCUGCCUUUGUCACGCAAAGCAACUCUAAUUACGAGUGUCACCAGAUGGCAAGUAGAGAUGUAUCAUCUUGGUAAUCUUCUCCUUCCUUCGUUGAGUUCUCUCUCUCUUUUGCAUUUUCCCCUCUAAAUCUUGUGAUUAUUUUCUAAAUUCUGUUUCAUUGCCUCUAUGCAUUUCAGGUUGUCCAAGUCUCCAUCCCCAUCAGAAGUUCAGCUCCAUGUACAUGGCAUGCCUUUCAGUGUAGACAAAGUAAGCUGAUAUAACAUUAAAAAAACCUGCUUGGUUCGAAUGAUAAAAUUUCUUCAGCAGAAGUGUAGAUUAGAUAACCAUAUAAAUCCUCCUUCCAUUAUCAUUUUUUUUUUGGGAAUUUUUUUAAUAUAUCUGCGGGUAUAAUUUACUCUUGUUUAGGAUCUUCUGUCAGCAAGAUCAGCCAAAAUAGCUGCCCUGCUCAAAGAAAACCCCCCAGAAAAGCUGGCUUUUCUUCUCCGAGAUAUUCCUGCUGAUCCAGAAACCUUUGAACUUGUUGCUAGAUUCUGCCAUGGGUAUGAACUGAUUUUGUCCACGGACAAUGUAAUACCACUCAUUUCUCUUGCUUACUACUUGGAGAUGACUGAAAGUCACAGCGACAAUAAUCUGCUGGACAAGACCCUUGCUUUUUUUGAAGAUAAAGUCCUUCCUAGCUGGAAUGAAACCAUCAAGGCUCUUCGGUCAGCGAGCAGUACCAUUCAACAAGUACUGCAUUCAGGUUUGGUUGAUGCAUGUUUAGAAUCACUCAUUUACAAAGCAUUGGCCGAUCCCCGGCUUCUUGGAGAACCAAUCAAGAAUUCAACAUGCAAUGAGGAUAGUGAGGAUGAGGAGGUCUUUAAACCAAAUGCGAGACGAAAACUUUUUUCUCCUGAUUGGAAAUCAGAGGAUUUGACUACACUGUCCCUCCAGUUAUAUAAUCCCCUCAUACAAGCAAUGAAUCAGCAUGGAGUCCCACCAGAAUAUGUUGCAGCAUCUCUUUGUCAAUAUGUAAAGAAGUGGACCGAUUCAGGAGAGAACGAGACAAUUUACAAAAGGGGAGUGAUUGAAGCAGUGGAAAGGCUUCUGCCUCCUGAAAAAGGAAUUCUUCCUUGCACAUUGUUGUUUGAAAUGCUCAGGCUUGCGAUUUGUCUGGAAUGCAGCAGUGAUUGUAGAAGUGGUUUUGAGGUUAGGAUCGGGAAGCAGUUAGACCAGGCAGAAGUGAAAGACCUCUUAAUACCGUCUCAAGGUUAUUCCAAGGAAAUCCAAUAUGAUAUUGAGUGUGUGAGGAGGAUUUUGAAACAUUUCUAUGCCAACUACAGCAGCACUGAUGUUUCUGGUAUAAUCUCGGUGGCAGAACUCAUUGAAGAAUUUUUGAUGGAGGUUGCGAGUGACAUAGAUUUGAGGAUAGACACGUUUGUUUCUUUAGCUGAGAUGUCAUUGGCAGCAUCAUUAGGAACACAGAGAAAUUCCGAUGGAAUAUACAGGGCCAUCAACAUUUACCUGGACAAGCAUAGAUAUUUGACAGAGCUGGAAAGAGAGGAGGUAUGUAGGGUGUUAGAUUGCCAAAAAAUGUCACCUGAAGCCUGUGAACAUGCAGCGAAGAAUGAAAGGUUGCCGGUUAGGUUUGUGGUGCAGGUGUUGUUUGUGGCGCAGUUGCAGUUGCGAGACACAAUCACAAAGGAGGUGCAGGAAUUUGAUGAUAAAUUGAGAAGAGAGGUGGUGGAGGACGAGGAGAAUGAAGUGAAGAUAGGUUUUGACGAGGAAGAGGUGAGGGUUGAAAUGGAGAAAAUGAGCAUCAAAAUGAUGGAGCUCGAGAGAGAGUGCUGCAUAAUGAGGAAAGAAAUAGAACAUGGGUGCACCCAUCAGAAAUCAAAAAAGGGCAAAGUUAGCAUGUGGAGAGAAAUGAAGAGAAAAUUGGGGUGUGUGAGUAGCACUCAUGAUUGUAACUGCCAAGUCAAGAAGAAGAAGAAGAAAUACUGAGUUUCAGGCUUGGAUUUGAAACUGCUAUGGCUUCUCUCAACAGUUUGCUUCUUCUAGGGAACUGUUUAUGGCUACUGUGAUGCAAUAUGUGCUGGAAAUGGCAAUUGUCAGGAGAUGGAAAUGGAAAGGCCUAUAUAUCUGUUUGUUUUAAUCUGCAGUCUUGUGAUUCCUGUAGUUCAGAUUGCCUUGAUUAUUUUUGUUUUUGUUUGCUGGAUUUGUUCAACUCACAACCCUUGCUUUAUUUUGCUUAUCAAGAAAACCAAAAGGGCAGCCUUUACGAUCGAUUUGCUUGCUUGCUUGCGACUACUACAUGUUCAUCCACAAAUCAGUAAGAAAAAAAUUAAAAGAAACAAAAAAACUUGGUUAUGUCUUUGGUCUCAAUGUUUUUGCUUUAGGCUUCUAAAUACUAGUUUUCAUGCAUGAUUUUGUCAUUUUUUUUUAGAGUUACAAAGAACCAGACCACCACUUGCUUCGGUGCAUCAAAGUUGAAUGAACAAUAAUUACAGAGUAAACAAGUUCAGAGCAUCAAAUAUCACAGCUUCAUACAUUGAACGUAAAUAAGAAAACUUCAAACAACCUGGGAUUAUUGAAUACAUCCAUUUGCAAGCCAUGGAUGUGUAUACAAGUUCAUUUAUUAUCACAAACCAAGCAAGAACAUAGCUUAUGAACGAAGGAUUUGGAUGCUCUGCGUGUUGUUGCUGGCUUUUCUAAGCAUAUGAUCUCAGAGUCAUCCUCUCCAUUUUCCCUUGCCUUGUCACAUUCAUCACAAAACCUCUUGAAUGCUUUCUCAACAUACUUUGCGCCAUCCGAUACAUUCAAGCCAUCCACAAGUUGCUGAGGAUAAAUAUCCUUCGUAAGAUCUCCAUUCAAUACAGCUGCCAUUUCCACCAGUUCUUCCUGGAAUUCACUAAGUUUUGCGUCUUCUUUUGCAGCACCCUCACGCAAUUUCACAGGUUCAACCAGCGUAACUGCAAAAUGCAUAUGUAACUUGAGUCUUUUAAGUUUUAAUAAAGAAAGACAUCAUGUAAAUACUGUUCAAUUUACCUGGACAAUCCACUCUCGGACUAGUUCUAGUCAAAAUGCCCUCAAAAGUGCCUGCCCAAGCAUCGCGCUUGGUUAGGAACUCUUUCAGAUUAAAGAUCUUCUUAACAGUUGCUGCAAUGGAAGAAUGCUCAAACUCUGAUCCAGGAUAUGGUCCCGAAGGCGCAUGUAACACUGCAGUUUCAAGUCACCAAUCAACAUAUACAUCAGAACAUGUUUAACAGAGAAAAAGGCAGUUUCUUGCUAAUCAUAUAUAGAAAAAAAGUUAUGGACAUACCUGUUCCAGGAUCAAUCCAGGGAGAUAUAAGAAAUGCAGGAACCCUAACACCAAGACGAUCAAACUUGAAGUUAUAUGGCGCAGGACCAACAAUGUCGUCAGGGCUAGGGACACCAGUUACAGGUGUUGGAACGUGAUCAUAGAAACCACCAUGUUCAUCAUAUAUGAUUAUAAAUAAGAUUUCAUUCCAUUGAGGACUAGCUCGUAGUGCCUCGUAUACUUUUUUCACGAAUUUCUGACCCUCUGAGACAUCAUGAGAUGGGUGAUCGUCAUUUGCAGGUAUCGAUAAAAGAUCAAAAUAUCUCUGUUCGAUGACAACAUAGUUUGGUAGCUUCCCUUCUUCACAGUGCUUCUUAAAGUGCAGAUCAAACUGGUGAAACUUUGUCAGGUAUUUCAACUUUCGAAGGUUCCUGUUAACAAUGAGAUUUUUCACUUGUCAAAAGAAAUUUAAUUAUGGUAGAUGCACAAAAUCUUAACUAAAAAAAAAAAAGGUUAUUCAAUUCAUGUGAGUUCCAUAUUAAAAACUCAAAUGCCAGUUUUUUUGUUUUUUUAAAAGCUCCAUCUUCAAACUUUUUUUUGAUUAAAUAUCCUGUGUUUUUAAUAAUCUUUACAAUUAUAAAACAAUACUAGCUAGGUGUUUAAAAUUGUGGUAAAAAUUAUUUUUAAAAGUGUUUUUUUUAUUAAAAAAAUAGAUCAAAAAUUAUUUUGCAAUCAUUUUAUUUUGCUUAAAUUAUUUUAUUUUAUGUUUUAAAAUUAUUUUGAUGUGUUUAAUAUUAAAAAUAUUAUUUUAAUAUAUUUUUUAAUAAAAAAUUCUUUAAUCGGAAUUUACCAUCUCCCGAGCAAUUUGGACAAAUUGCUGGCUUGCAAGAAGCCAAUCAAAAGCUUGCUUUCAAAGAUUUACUCUUUUUUUUUUUUUUUUUCACAUGGCACUGCACAAAAUCCUGAUUGUUUAUCACUUUAUAUUUAAUUAUAAUCAGGAAUUCAUGCCUAAUUAAUAUUGGGGGAAUCAAUAAUGACGAUUGAGGGUGCCUUUAACGGGACGGCUAUUCAAGAAAUUAAAUAAUUAGAAAUAGCUAAAAGUCCAAGCAAAAUGAUUUAUUUUUAACUCUUUAUUUGAAAAUUGGAUUUGGUAUACCAACUCCUCAAUGGGGCAAUAUUAAAAUGUUGAUUCCAUUGUGGGUUUGGUUUCCAACUAAUUGUUAUAGAAAAUAACUAAUUUAAUAAAUAGAAUGUCUUUCCAACUCAAACAAGAAAAAGAAAAGUGUAAUACUAAUUAGUCUCCUAGAUUUUAUAUAUUAUUAACAUUCAAUUCCUGAAGUUAAAAAUCCUGUAAUGAAGUUCGCUUUAAACCUUGUUUAUUUGCUAGAAUGUUGUUUUUUUUAAAAAGAAUGGUUUCUAUAUAAAAUAAAAUUUUGAAAAGUGAAUUAUUUUUUUAUAUUUGGUAAUAUCAUGAAAAAUAAGUUGGAAAACACAUUUUAAUAUUUGACCGUCUCAUGAAAAAUAACUCAUUAAUAUUUUAUUUUUUUAAUUUAUUAAAAAAAUAAGGACAAAUCUGAUAUCUGAUAUGUAAAAUGAUGAAGAAAUUAAAAAAUAAAUUUAAUUUCAUAAAUUAUUUUAAAUAUAAUAAAUAACAAUCAAAAGAAUGUAGACUUGAUUUGAUAAAUAAAAAAUUUCAAUUAAAAAAAAAAAUAAGAAAAAAAAUAAAUAAAGACCAAAAUUGAUAUAAAAAUCAGAUUCUAAAGGAUGAAAUUGAAAUUUUUUUUAUAAAAAUCCAAAACAAAAUGUAUAGCAAACAAAAGAUUGAGGACAAAGUUUUCCUUGAAAUGAAACUAAAAUUUUUUUUAAUCAAAAAGUAUUUUUUAUCGAUCAACUUUUAUAAUUUUUAAAAAAUUAUUUCACAUUAUUUUUUAAAAUCUAAACUCCAAUGCAUACACUAUGAUUAAGUUUGAACAGUUCAAUAAAUAUUGCAUAUGGAAUUCGACACAUUCCUAGUAGAUUUGCAAACCAUGUUUUCUUAAAUUUGAUUUUUUUUUGUUUAAAAUGAAUUUUUUUUAUUUUUUUGGAUCAUUUUGAUGUGCUGAUGUAAAAAAUAAUUUUUUAAAAAUAAAAUUUUUUUUAUUUUAAUACAUUUAUAAGCAAAAAAAUUUAAACCGUCAAGUCAACGCUAUUACAAUUCCAAACACAUUAAAUUAAAAACUGAGUUGAUAUCUUAUUUCAAGUUAAGGGACUAAUUUGCUGUUAAUGCAAGAAUAAUGUUGAAGAUGUUUUUUUAGUCAUCAAUCAAUGUUUGAAGCGGUGAUCCAUCUCAAGAAAUGUAUUUAAAAGUGUCAUAAAUAUUAUUUUUAAAGUGUUUUUUUAUUUAAAAAUAAAUCAAGAUAUAUAUAUAUAUAUAUAUAUAUAUAUAUUAUUUUUGACAUUAACCUAUCAUAUCAAAACAAUCUAAAAAUAUCAAAAAAAUUACUUUAAAAAAAAUUAAAAAAAUUUAAAUUUUAAAAAUAAAAAAACAAACAAAAUUUUUCAUCGUCCUUCUCUUGUUGAUCUGAUGUAUCACAACAAGCCAUCAUGUUUAUGAUAGUGUUUGAAGAAAUUAACUCGCAUAUGCCGAAACUCUGCUGUCGGCCGAGUAUAAUUAUUGGCUAACUUUACGAAUACAAGACGAGCCUAAACCAGUGAGAAAAUGUUAAAUUUAUGAAUUACAGGCUAAACCAUUGAAAAAAAAAAAUUCGUGAAAUAAAAAACAACACUAAUAAUUAAACUAUAGCCACCUACAUAAUUUUAUAUCUCAAACAAAGAAAAAGAAGAGGAAAGAGAGAAAUAUUAGAGAAAAUCUUAUCGUAUGAAGGAACUUUGAUUAUAUAAUUUAGAGGGUUACCUGUAAAAGAGAGUAGCAGGGGGGUACUGGUAAUAAAUCCCAAAAGUAAAACCAGACUCAUCCAGGGACUCAAAUAUGGUCUUUUGAGGGUAGCCUUCAAUCAGCAACUGUCUGUUGUUGCUGGUAGCUCCAUGAGACGUCGCAGAAUGCACAUAAAGCCUGUUGGGUUGUGUUGAUGCAGGAACGGAAGCAAACCAACGGUCACAAAUAGCAAAAUUCUCAGCCAACUCCUUGUAGACUGGAACUGCGUCCGGUUUGAACCCAUUCAUGACAGUCUGAGCCAUGCCCUUCUGCAAUCUCUCUGCAUUCUGUGCAAAACCAUUCAUUUUUGGAGGCAGUUUGUUGUCAUCAGAGAGUGAGGCUUCGGUCCAUGGAACCCCGAAAACUUGUUCGUAAAUGUCUUGGAUCGAGUGGCCAGGGUCAGGGUCAACGUAGGCAGCUUGGUCACCGAAGAACACGAGAGUUGAGUUUGAGUCGGAGCUGGAGAUGGGGUUAGAUUCAGAAUCCGUGGCUCCAUUGAUUUCUGGGUUUAUAGUCUUCAGCCACCCUAACAUGUGGUCAAAUGAACGGUUUUCUUGGACCAGAACCACCACCGUUUUGAUAGGGGAAUUAGGUGUGGCGGUGCUGGUACUAGAGCUCUGAUCAGCUACCAUUUUUUUGCUUUUUUGGAAGAUGGAUUUGGGUUUGGUAAAGGUGUUCUGAGAUGGCUAUGAUUUAUGGAAGUCUAUUGGAUUUUUUUUCAGUAUAGUUAGUGUUUUGAUCGGAGAAGAAAUCACUUGGAAAGCUGGGGAAAAGAGAUCACUCAAGUAUUUAAACUUGAAAUAAUCUGUGCACGUAACAGGGUGGCAAUUCGUGCUUUUGUACUAUGCACGUUGGACAGGAGUUGUCUUGCGCUGUCAUUGUCUAUCAGCUAACAAAAUAAAAUAUUAAAUUUACUCCCAAAUAUUUAAUUUAGACGAUUGAAAGGAAAAAAGAAAAACGUUUUAUGACCGAUAUAGAGCUACAAAAUGAGGCAAAAUCUCCUCUAAUUUGCUCGUCAUAAAUGCAAGCAAGGUUUUUUUUUUUCCAACGUGAUUAUAUUCUAUAAUUGCUUGUAAUAAAGUCACUAAAUAUGACGUGAGAAUAUGUAUGUAGAGCUGCAAGUCAUGAUAGCUUACCGUGAUGAGCAACUAGUUGCUAACAAUAAAUUUUUGAGAUACACAAGCAAUUGAAAAUGACCUAAAGUGUAACGCAAUGGCCCAUCGCUUGGCCCUUACAAAGAGAGAAAAAAAAAACCAACACGAAGUUGACAAGAAAAGGAUGAAGAAGAAGCUUUGAUCUGAUUUUUAACGUAAAAUAUGCUAACGGAUAAAAGCAGAUGCCAUGCGUGAGAACGAAGUUCUUAUUUUAAUAGAAGAAGUGGAAGCUUGUUUCAUGAUUAUCUUGCAUCGUAUGUUGAAGUCAACAAAAUCUAAUCGUGUUGGUCAUCAUUUAAAGUAAAAGGUUCGCAUAUUUAGUGCUCAGUUGAUCUUGUUUUCAUGAGUGCCGGUACUCUCCUGAAUGUGAACUAUAAUUUGCCUGUUAUUUUACAUAUAAUGUUAAACCUUUUCUUCCAUAUUCAUGUUCAAUAUUGAAAGCUAUUCUUUAUAUAUAUAUAUUCAUGUUCAAUAUUGAAAGCUAUUCUUUAUAUAUAUAUAUAUAUAUAUAUAUAUAUAUAUAUAUAUAUAUUCAUGUUCAAUAUUGAAAGCUAUUCUUUAUAUAUAUAUAUAUAUAUAUAUAUAUAUAUAAGUGUAAUUAUAUAAAAGGGUAAUUAUAUUAAAGGGAAAAGCUGUCUAAGAAUACAAGGGGUAUAUCUAAGAUGGAUAUUGUUGCGAUAUCACGGUCGCAUAAAUUAAUCAUCCUAGCUUAAAACACAACACACAAGAUAGUAUAAAGCAAGCAAGGGGUCGAUCUCAUAAGGAAAGUUUAGUUUAGAUUUUUAUGUUAUAUGUUAUGCAAUGGGGGAUUUUAAUUUGUGAUGAUCUAAACUAUGGAAGAAAUUAAACUAGCAAACAAAAGCAAUUGAAACCGAAAUUUAUCAAGAAAACAAACCUUGGUCGCAAGCACACAUCCACCAAUGGAAAUUAGAACCGAUCCUUGAAACGAAACUUCAAUUUAUAUUAUGAAUUUUUUUUAUCUUUUCUUAACAUUAGUUAAUUAACUGAUCCGCCGUAUAACUAACCUUAACCAACAAACAAUCACAAUGUCCGCAUGAAUGAUUUAGUUCAAUGGCAGCUCAAAGAACUAGAUAAAUUGAUUGAUCUCUUGACAACCAAGCUUUCCGCAGCUUGUGUUCCUUUGUUCGAGUGUUCUCCCUAAGUUUAAUAAUGUAGUUCACCACAAUUAUCAAGCUUAGUUGCUUUGCAAGUUCAUAUAUCACAACUCCAGUUUUGAUAUCAAACUUAGCAAUAGAUUGUUUACAAUAAUAACUUAGAGUCCGCUCUAGCAAUUAUCAAUAACAAUCAUAGAAAAUAUGCAUAGGAAAAUAAUCAUACUCAUUCAUAAUAUAAACUGAAAAUAAAAGGAAGAAUAAAUCUCACGGUUCUUGAAAUUCGAAGGUUUGUUGCGUCCUUGCAACCAAGAAAAUGAGCUUAGCCUUGCAUAUCUAUGGAACACCUACUCCUAAAGAUAGAAGAAAGCAUUAUUUAUGGUUUGUAGAGAGGAGAGUUUGUGUUUCUUCACUUCUAGCUGCCACCCUCUUUUUUGCCCUCUUUCCCUUCUCUUUUUCUUUUUUAUAUACUAAGAAACCCUAGUUCCUAUUUUACAAAAUAGUCCUCCCUUUAAGUUGACAAUUUACAUUUAAGUACUUCAAUAACUAUUUUCCUAAAAAGAGAAAUAGCUUUGCAUUAAAUCUUCAAGCUUUGACUUAGAGGAGCUAAAUUGCUGAAAUAAAAACUUGGACACCGGUUUAGAUGCUUCGAAACAUAAUUUGGACAUGUUCCUUCACGAAACCUGUUUGCUGGCAGAAUUCAGUUGUCAUCUUUGAAAAUUAAUAUCUCCAUUAUAUGACUUUUUUUUGCUGAAAUUUGGAGCGUUGAUAGGUCUUUAAGUCAGGAAUCCAAAAAAUUGAGUUUGCAUCAAUUGGACUUCUGCAGCUCCAGAUAUUGAAUUUUGAAUGGCCAAAGGUCAACAUUGACAGAAUGCGAGAUUUGACUUUGAAGGAUGUGAUUUCCAUGAUCUUUUUCUUUUUAUUUUUCUUGUAUUAAAUUUCCAGAAAGGUAUGGAUGUUAGCUUUUUAGUGCCACUGGAAUCACUUCAUUUUGACCCCUAGAACUCACGCUCUACACAAAACAUCGACUGAAUGUUAAAUAUGUCAAUUACCUGUAAUUUACUCCUUUUUGCAUCUUUCAUCCAAAAGUGUCUUCAAAACAUAAAACAAAGAAUAUCAAGGCAUUAUAUAUAUAACAUGAGCAAAACACUAGUUAAAUAUGGGUGAAACUAUCGAAUAAUAUAGUUACAUCAGAUAUCAUCCUGCAACCUAGAUCAAAACGAACAAGACUGUUUGGAUAAUAGCUCAAGAACCGAUCGACUGAUUCUUAAAAAUAUAUGAGACAUGCUAAGUGGAACUCAAAGGACAUCAAACUAGAGUAGUUGGAAUAUGAUAUUUUGGUUCUAGCUCAACCAACUUGGAUUAGAUAAGAUCAAAGGUCACUUUACUAAUAAUAUGAUAAAGACAAUAGACUUGGUGAAAAACUUGAUUAUUCUAUUUCUACCAGAUAAGUAAACUGUGACUGAGAGGACUAAUCGAGCAAAAACAUACAAGAACUUCUAUUGCUUAUAAUGCGUGUAUGUUCCAUUAAAGUAAACUUCACCAUGUCAUAAAAGGCUAAUUUAUAAGAGUUUGACUCAUGGUAGGCCCCUCCUCCCCAAACCAAAUUAAGUAGAGAAAGAACACUGAAAAAACAGAUGGUCAUGUAACAUCUCACCUCUCUAGUAAGAUAUUGUCUGUUUUGGCCUAUGAGUCUCGUGUAUUUGUUCUUGGCAGCUACGCAUGGUCCCAAAACGCAUCUUAUUAGUCAAGAUGAGCUUGCUUAUAUAAAAUCAUCCUCCAAGUCCUCACCUGCUGAUGUAGGAUAUUAUAGUCUGUGUUUCAACAUGCGAGCCAUAAAGGAUACAUACUGAGGAUAUUACAGUCCGUGUCUAAAUAUUUUUCUUUUUAUUUCAUAUGUAUAUUACUGAAAUAUUAAAAAUAUAAUAAAAUCUUUGAGUAUUUAUAGAUUUGAACACUACACAACUAAGAUAUGAUUUAAACAAAAAAUAAUAAAUAGAUUUAAUCCAAAUGGAAUGGGUCUAAUUAAUAUUUACUGAGUCGAGCCAAGUUUUUCUCUUUAACCAAUGGCAUUUGAAUCUUGGAGCAUGAGAGGAAGUAUAUGACACUUACUACAGUAAACUUUUAUGUAUGUUUACGUCUACUUGCUAUUAGUUUCAAUGCAAUAUUUUGCUAUUUUAUAUAUAUAUAUAUAUAUAUAUAUAUAUAUAUAUAUGUAUGUGUGUGUGUGUGUGUGUGUCUAGAUAUAUUAAUGAAAUAUUAAAAGUAUAAUAAAUUCUUGAAGAAUUUAUGGAUUUGAAUGCUAGAUAACUGGAGAUAUGAUGUAAGGAAAAAAUAACAAAUAGAUUUUGUCCAAAUAGAAUUGGACUAAUAUUUACCCAUAUAUAUUAUUGUCUUUAAACAGUGAUAUUUGAACCUUGGAGUAUAAGAAGUAUUUGACACCUACUACUGUCAACUUUUAUAUAUUUUAAUGUGUUAAUUACUUGCUAUUACUGUCCAAUAAAAUAUUUUUAUAUUCAUUUCAUACCUAUAUUAAUGAAAUAUUGAAAAUAAAAUAAAAUCUUGGAGUAUAUAAAACACUUAUUUAUUGAAACUCUUCAAAUAUUUUAAAUUUGAAGUUGUGAUGUUAUCAAUUAUAAAUAUUUUAUUUUUAAGAUUUUAUUACUCAUGUAAAAGAAUUUUCUUCAAUAACUUCCUCAAGAUUUCAACAACACAACUUGUAGCACCUCGCACAACAAUACCUUGCACAACAAUUAGGACUUCCUAAAAUAAUAAUGAUGGUAAUGAGAAUAAUUGAAAAAAUCAAAACAUCCACCCAAUAAUUAAAGGAUAUUAGAAAUUCUAAAAAUUAGCAUUUAUUUCGAAGAUUCAUGUGAGGAGUUAAUUAUACUUAAAAAGAAAAAAAUGCAUCAUUUCACAUGAAAUGUUAUAUUUUCUAGAUGUUUUCCUCUUAAAUUUGCCUUCUUAAUUGCUAUUAGAUUUCUUAAUUAACCUAUAAUUCACGCAUGAUGCUUAAUUAAAAUUUUUUAUUUUGAUCUCUAAAAAUAGAAAUUUAUCAAUUUAAGAUAUACAUGAUUUUAUUCCUAGGACUUGAUUAUUCGAGAAAAUACGAUUUCCAUCCUAUAGAAUAUGAAAUUCAUCAAUUUGAAUAUCUUAAAAAAAAAAUGUCAAUCUUGAGAAAAGAAAAUCUUUCUUUUAAAAAAAAUGAUGUUCAUGCCUUAGACUAGGAGACUCAUCGAAAAAGGUUCUUUUAAAUUCUAAGCUUUAAAAUACCAGUAUUUGGUAUUGAAUUAAAAAAUAUAUUGGCCCUAUAAAAAAAAAAGACUUGUUAAAAUCUCUAUUUAAGUCAUAAUUCUGAAAAUACCACUAUUUGGUAUUGAUUAAAAAAAAAUCAGUCCCUUAAAAAAUUAGAGUUUCGUUAAUUUGAAGUUUGUAGAUUCUAGCUUCAAAUUGUAUAUAUAGCGUGUCAAUUUGCUUGAUUACUGGAGAAAAUUUACAGGAAGACAAUCCUAAUAUUCAUUUCUAGAGUUGGAUGCUCCAUGUGAUAUCAAGUCUUACAUGGGACUCUCAGGUUCUCACAGAAAUAAAAUUCAAAAUACAAAGCACAUGAAAUGUUUUAACGAACUGAAUUGUUUUUGGGACAACCAAAAUAAGAAAAAUAUCAAACACUUACAAGUUCUUGUCUCAAGCAAAUUCAAGAGAUUAAAAAUCCAUGGAAUUUUAAAUUCUAAACUCAAAUGGGAAAAUUCACAGAAGGGAUAUUUGUUUUAGGUUGAUAUCCAAACUUCCAUCUACUUAUGGCUUCAUGACUGUAGAGAAAUUGUAAACCUAAAGUUUCCCUUGAUGAAAAGUUUAUGAGCAGUUGUUAUCGCAUUCAAUUACAAGUUUUAUUACAGGUCAUCAGUUCAAGUUCUUUAAUUUUCGGGUCACUAAAAGCUUACAUGAUUAUUAAUUAGGACCCGUGAAAUUAGUUAAAGUAUACCCAAGCUGACAUAGACACCCACAUUAAUUUUAAAAAAAAAAAGUCUCAUCAGCAAUAGAGUCUUUCUUAUAAUACGUUUAGCAAGGAAAAAAAAAUCAUUCUUAAAUCAAUCAAAUCAAGGCAUUGCAUGGAUAAAAAAUUCCAACACUUAAAUAGAAACAAUUUUACCCUGAAUUGAAGACUGAUGUUGCUGUUAUGCCUCCUCUCAAACACACACUCCAAUUGUCAAAACUUUUCCCUACCAAAAUCAAAAUAGACAAAACCUAAUCACCUAAUAUUUCUUGACUUUGCUCUUCCGUCCCCGCUCUGUGUCUCUUCCUCUCUACCUAUACCUAAUAUUUCUUGUACCUUGCAGUAUCUUGAAGAAACCUUGUAUCACUAAUUGUUAUUUGGAUGGUGACAAUUUUUCAUGAUCCUAACUCAACUUAUCGUUAUGAGAAACAUUAUAAAAAUCAUUAUUAUUUGGAAUUGGAUAACUUGCCCCCAGUAUAUGAUCUUGACCAGUUUACUAUUUUGAAAAACUCAAACUCAAACCACAACUUGCCCCCAGUCCAUAAUUUUCCUCUAGGCAUCAGUUCUUGGUUUCCAUGUAUCUUUUGUUAUGGUUGCCUUGAUUAUGCUAUAACACCACACUGAACUUUAGGCUUUAUUCCUAACAUUAAUUGUUUCAUAUUUUGAAAUGAUCAUAAAUAAAAACACACAUUGCAACCCCUUUGAUACCUUUUUCGGAAAGGUGUUUAUAUGAACUUUUAACAACAAGAGGUGGUAAUCAUUUUGACAAAGGAUAUUUUUUUUGUGGUUAAUGAAAUUGCUUUUAUUUUUUAACAAAUUAACUAUAACUAAAAGAGAUUAGUAUUUUAUUGUAGCGGGCUACUAUGCACUGUGAUUGCUUUUAUUGUGGAUUGCACUGUUCUACAUUGUAGCGCGUGUAGUGUAGACUAUGAGUGGUUUCACUGUGGAUUGCACUGUUUGGUGGGGGCACUACAUCAUUAAACAGUUUUACCGACAAAUUCAUUCCGUUGAUGUAAGACGCAAUUCGUUGGUAAAAUUCUUUCCGAAGGCAUCACCGACGGAAUCCGUUCAUCAGAAUAUUGAUCGUCGGUAAUUUUCCAUUCCAUAGCUGAAACUGUCGAGAAAAAAAAAAAACAAACACCGACAGCACACUAACGGUCCUACAGCCAAUGAAGCGCGUCCAAAAAAAAAUUUCCCGCGAAAACUUUACCGACAGAAUAAUUCCGAAUGUAUUUUCAACGGUAAUCACCAACGGAAUGGCCGUUGGUAAUUGUGGCAUGGGCGGUAAAUAUUUCAUAACUCUCUGUAGAAUAUCGAAAGAAUAUAUUCCAUCGGUAAUAGUAACGGUAAACACCGACGGAAUCUAUUCGUUGGUGAUUGUGGCAUGGGUGGUAAUUUUUUUGCAACUCUCGAUAAAAUACCGACUGCUUAGUUCCGUCUAUAAAGCCGUCGGUAUUUAUUUAAAAUAUUUUUAAAAAAUUAUUUAUUGAUAGUAAAAAAAACUAAUUAACCAAAUAAAUAACCAAAUAAAAGUGUAUUAAACAUUAAAAUAUAAAAAUAAUGUUAAAUAAUAUUCAUCCAAAUCUUCAUAACAAAUUUAAUGUGUUUCAAAAACAAAAUUAAACUAGAAUAAUGGCGAAGCUGGAGGAGGAGGCUGGUUGUUCUCAGGACCGUACGGCCAAAAAGGGGUUGCACAUGUAUUAUCAUCCAUCCUUGAUCUAAUCUCCAUGACCAUUUGAUGGAGCUGAUUAUAAUCCAUCGAGAGUAGUUCAUAUUGUUGUUUCAAGGCCAUGAACUCCUCAGACUGGGUGCUCGAUACUGAUGGAGAGCUCCCAACAGUUGAGAUACUAUUGGCCGACCCCAAGUUUUCGACCGUAGUGUUGGAGAGCCCGUAAACCUGAUUUUUAUCGGGUCCACCAAACGAUCCUACCUCUAUCCACAAAUCGUGAUCGAAAUUCGGAUGGGUCGAAGGAUUCGUCCCCAUAGCUCUCCCUCAACUGACUAUUAUAGGUCUCCUAAUUUUUUUUUUUAAAAAAUCAUCAUAUUCAAUUCAAGAAAAUAAUAACUUACGAAAUAAAAUGAUUGAAUGAACAUACCAUGAAGUGUUGAGCACGGUUGUCCACGAACUACUGCACCCCCUUUUGGCGGUCUUGACUCCGCACGUGCAUCUCUACAAACAGCUUCAUUGGGCUCGGCUCACGUCCAAGAAACGUAGCCUGUAAGGAAAAAAGGUUGCAAAUUAAAUAUAUUUAUAAGCAACAACAAAUUAAUUAACGAUAUAUUUCAUUUAAAUUAAUCUUACCAUCCGCUUCGUAUGUGCACUGAACGGGACGAAGCUGCUGGUGUGCGUGGUCAUUGAACCAUGAAUUUGCCGGUUCUGGUUGUCGGCACUAGACUAUGAGUGUCGUGCGAACCGCUUAGACAUCACGUGCUCAAUAUAUGUCGUCCAUAUAUCCCUCGAGAUGAAUGGUAGUUUGAAUUCCCGCCAAACCGCCACCUCAUUCCAUCUUCAAUACCAUUAUCUCUCGUAUAUCUUUUUGCUUUUUUUGUGUGUCAUACCAAAAAUCAUGCAACCUACUUCCAUAGUAACAAAUUAGAAUUUAGAAAAUAAAAUUAUAAAACAAAAAAAAAUAUUAUUUUCGAUGUUACCUAGUUGCCGCGUGAUUCUCCCAUACCCUCCUUACAACAUUGUUGUUCGCGCUAUCCCACUCAAAUUUAUGUUGUGCAUAUAAAUAAUUCAUUUAAAAUAAAAAUAGUACAAGAUAUAAAAUUAUAAAAUUAAUUUAUUAAAAAUAAGCUAGAAAUUAAAAGUUAACACCUACCUGAAAUUGUCAAAACCAUGCAUCGAUAUUAGGUCUCCACUCAGGAUGUCUGGAAACCUGACUCCAUAUUGAAACAAUGAAAUCUCCAUCGACAAUUUAAACGCCGAUGUAAUUGUCCAGGGAGCCUCAAUGUUUGUAAACCUGAAAUUAAAUAAAAUUAAUAAAAUAUUAAUUAGUUGUUUCAUAAAUUAUGUUAUUAGUAAAAAAAAAACACUAAAACCUAAACAAACUGACAUUGAAAGGUUAUCCUUUCAUUGUGCCUGGUACUUGCGGGUGAAUUGACCCCGCUGUGAAACCGCACUAGAAGAGCCAACAUCACAAGUUGGCAGAUGCCUCUUCGUGAUCAGCACUUAAGGAUAUGUCCUCCUCGCUACUAAAAGAACUAGCUGCAAUCGUCUGCUGACAACGUGCAGUAGAUUUCAUUCUACGCAUCUACACAAAUUUAUAUGAAUAAUUACAUAAUUAACUUUGAUUAUUUAAAAAAAAUUGGCAGCUCCUCCCCUAUACUAGAGACUAUCCACAGUUUUCAAACCUGCAAAUCUUUACAAUAACCACAAACCAAUUGACUCCAUUGGAAAAUCUUAUAUACAACCUAACAACAUCUAUAGAAAUUCAACAUCUAUAUAUUUUCAACUAACAUCUAUAGAAAUGCAUAAAUGACAAUUAAAAUUAAUGGAAAUAAUAAAAAUCAUAAUAAUCAAUAAUAGAAUAAAAUUGAGAUAAAAAAAUGAAAUUUAAUUCUUCAUUUCCAAUUACCAUUUCAAUGGAAAAUUCAACAAUAACAAUUAAAAGAGACUAAAUUAUCAAAUAAUUAUUACAAUACAAAUAAUUAAAUAAUUAAAUUUUCAUUCAACACAUCUAUAUAAGUUUAUACAAAUAAUUAAAUAAUUAAAUUCAAUUAUUUAAAAAAAAAUUCACUAGCACCUCUCCUAUAUUAGAGACUACCCACAGUUUUCAUACCUACAAAUAUUGAUAAUUACAUAAAUAUUGCAAAAUCAACUCUAUACAACUUCACAUCUAUAUUGAUAAUUACCCACAGUUUUCUUCUCAUGUCAUGCACUCGGUGAACUCAACAUUUUCAAGGUAGAAUAACAUGCAGAAUUUAGGGCACAUGUUAAUUUUCUUGUAUCCUAAACCGAGGGGUUUCAUCAUGGACUUUGCAGCAUAGAAGUUCUCUUUUAGCCUGUUCCCUUCAGGUAAAAAGCUUCUCGCCCAUUCGAUAAUCUUGUCAUAACCGGCCUCACUCAACUUGUGAUCUGACUUGAUGGCGAACACCUGUGCUAUGGCCGAUAAUUUAUUGUGGUUCAUGCAGCCAUCCCAUAAUGGUUCGUCAGAAUCUUUCAACAUAUCUAAAAACCUUACUGCAUCUUAAUUAGGUUCUUCUUCUAUGUUUGGACAUUCACUGACAUUACCUUCACUCAUUCUCAUUGCAUCCAUAACCAUAUUCCUGUAAGGAUUAUUGUUGUCAUUUCCAACUUCAUGCACAUUGCUAGCACUAGAAGUUGACCCAACCACCCUUUCUACCAUGAUCUCAUUAGGAACAAAUAGUUCUGUGUCUGCAUACCAACACAAGCAAUCCUCCAUGAACCCUUUGGUUAAAAGAUGCAUCGUUACAACAUCUUGAUGCAUAAACUUUUUAUUUUUACAUUUCUUGCAUGGACACCUAAUACCGCCAUCAAUAAAAUUCCUCAGAAUAGAUGUUGCAAAAUUAAUAAAACCCUGAAUCACUUUACAAUAAUUCAUCCUCGGCAAUCCUUAGGGUGAGUCCCAAUACAUCCAUGAACGAUCAUCCAUGACUUCUAUCAAACCUCUAUAAAAUUAUGAUGACAACAUGUAUUAAGUAACUAUGUUAUGUAAAUAAAUUUACAAAAAUAUUGGUUUGCCCCGACAUUAUCCAACAAACUAAAAAAACACUUAUAUUAAAUAUUCAUUAUCAAUUAUCAAUUAUCAACGUCCAUACUAAUUUAUACAUAUAUGAAUUUACAGAAAUCACAACUUCAUAAUAGAAUUGAUAAAAAUUAAAAUGGACAUGUUAAACAAGUUAUUAUUUAUUUUAUCACAACACAUCUAAUUCAGUGUAAUUCAAACAAAGUUUCAACAAUUUACAAACAAAUAUAAUUUGACAAAAUCUAAAACAAACUAUAACUAUAAAAUUAUACAUUCAGACUACAAGUUUCUUUGACAAAUAACAAUCAAACAAGUACAUACGUUAACAAAAUACAUAUACUAAAAAAACAAUAAAAAAUAAUCAAAUUGACAUUUAAAUGUUAAAACUAAAAUGGAUAGAUUUACUUAGAAAAAAUGAUAAAAUCCACAAUAAAUUGCUCGGAGAACGAAUGUUGUGACCACGUACAAAAGUAUAAGAAACUUGAGUGCUUGUGUUGAGAAGAGGGGGAGAGUUAGGAUAUAUGGCUGGCUACAGUUUGGGAGGGGAGAGUUGGGAUGGGGAAGAAAAAGGGGAUGAAGAAGGAGAAAUAGAGGAAGAGAGUGUCGGUAAAGUGGGUAUAUAUUGGCUUUUACCGAUGGAAUCACCAACAAAAUGUUUCCAUCGAUAUACCCAUCAUCACAUCACUGUACAGCGACCCCGGAUUGAAGCCCUCUAUCAUUCCAUCCGUAAAAUCAUCUAAAAAAAAUCCACGUCAUCACAUCAUUUCAACUUUUCAAAAAAACUAUAUAAUUCGUCGGGGAUACGGUCGGUAUAUACCGACAGAAGUAGAGAUGAAAUUAUUUCUAUUAGUAAAAAUUACCAAUGAAAAUAUUAUGUCGGUAAUUUUAUUGGUUUUUGUCUAUUUUCUAGUAGUGGGGCAUGGUGAGGUGCAGCCUGCAUGCCCCAAGCGCUUGGCUGGAGGCACGCCCCUCGGUUGCGGACACCUGGUGUUUGGGCUGUCAGGCCUAGGCGUUAGGUUGGCCACGCCCGCCUGAUUGCACCCCAGGCUGCAACCACUUGGCACUAGGGUAGGCCAAAGCCCUAGCAUGCAGACACCUAGUACGGGGUCUGCCCAACUUUGGGCACUAUGGCAGACCCGCGCGCCUGGUUGCAACCCAUAUUCUGAUUUCCAUGAUAUCACGAUGAACAUUUCAAAUUGGUCUUUCAAUGUAUUAUAUCAAAAGGCCCAGCACGAAAAGAUUUUGAACAAAGUUUCCAAAACAAUGUUAACUUUGAUGGUCUCAAGAUUUCUAGCCAAUCCAAAUAUUGAUACAUUCAUGAAAACCAGUGAGUUCAACGAUGUGGUUCAAAUUGAUAAUCAUUUCAAACUAAACAUUAAAACGCAAACUAAAAUAAGCAAGGAAUCAACUAUGUUAAACUAUCAUAACAAACUUAAAAAUAAUUAGUGAAUUAAAUCGCCUGGAUUUAAAAAACAAAUUAAGCUUCACUUGCAUAUCAAAAUUAAACUACAAUCAUAAACCUAAAAUAAACUAUGAAUCUAAUAGCUUGGAUUACAAAUUAGGCUAGACUAGCAUCAAAAACAUUUUAAAAAAUACAAUCAAGGAGAGGAUGUUCGGAUUUAGAGAGAUGAAUUUGAUUUGCGAAGAACUAGAUUAAGGUCAAGCCUAAAAAAGGGCAAGUCAAAGGCUUCAAACAACCUAGCGUUAAUAGUUAAACAUGAUUAAGCCCAUGUUUGGUAUUGUGAUCUAAACAGAUGUUGGGUAAAAUUUGAAUUUUUUGUUUAAAAUUAAUUUUUUUAUAUUUUAAAUCAUUUUGAUGAGUUAUUAUCAAAAAUAAUUUUUUAAAAAUAAAAAAUAUAUAUUAUUUUGAUGCAUUUCCAAGUAAAAAGCACUUUAAAAAGUAACUGCUACCACACUCUCAAACACCCUCUAAAGUGGCAUCUUUUUGUUAUGCUUAAAUUCAAUUUGAUCCCUCAACAUCUCCACUUUUUUAGUUUUAAUUCCUUUUUUUUUGUAAUUUUCUACUUUAGUUCAUAGCUUCAAUAUGAUACUUUUUUCUUUCAAUUGAACCCUAAACUAACCUAAAUAAACCCUCAUGAUUUGUCAAUUUAUACAUUUCAUUCCUUGUAUUUUUUUUGUGCAAUUUUUAUCAAAUUGGAUUUCAAUUCAAAGCAUUUUCUUUUUAAUUAAGCUCUUAAUUGACUCUUAUUAAAUCCAUAUUUAGCCACUUUUUAGAAAUUCAUUUUUUCCCCAAAAUUAAACAUUUUUUACCAAAUUGACUCCAAAUUUUGGUUUUCUUCUUUAAUUAACUCCUUAAUUGAUUUGCUAUUUUAGAUAUAUAUUUCAUAUUCAUCCCUAAUUCAUUAAUUUUUCUAAUAUUUGCAAAAUUAAACCAAGUUAAGUAUUUUUUUUCUUUAAUUUUUCUUCAAUUGAGGUCUGAAUUUCUACCAUGAACAUUCUUGAAUAAUUAAAACUUUCCAAACUUAAAUUAUCUGUUCAAUUUUUCCCCUCAGCUACAUUUUUUAUGCAUCUCUUAAAAUGUUUUAUGUGUUAACUUAAUUUGACACACAAAAUUUAAUAAAAGUGAAAAAAAUAAUGAAAAGAUUAAAAUUUACCUAAUUUAUUGAAAAUGCAUAUUUGCAAAAAAAAAAAUCUAUUUUUUUAAAUAUAUAAACUCAAAAAUUAGGUUAUGAGACGAUCUUAUUUAGUUACAUUUCUAAACAAGGUUCAAUGAACCAUAAGAAUUGUAUUAAAUAACCUCUUUAUAGUGAGUGAACCUAAGCUCAAGAUUGUGUGAAAAAUAACAAGAGGAAAUAGAGCUUUAAAACAAAAAAAAAAAAAAAAAGCUUGAAAGUAGGUGAAGAAGAGUGUAAAAAAUUGUGCAUAAUUUGUGUAGAAAAAAACAAUUAAUCAAAAAUACUCUUAUUUAACCUUUUUUAGAAAGAAUUUAAGGAACCAAAACUAAUGGAAUUCCCUCCACUAGCAACUUUGAUUAGCCUUCAUAAAAACAUAAUUAAACAUGAUAAUUGUUUUUAAAGAGCUGAAAAAAUUAUCUAAAAACUGUAGAGGUUAUGAAGAUUUAGCUUUGAAAAAAAUUGAAGUUAAUUAGACUUAUUCCAUAGGAACUGUAGAGGUCACAAAGAGGCUUUGAAAAAAAAAUGAAGAAGUUGAUUGGACUUAUUUCAUAGGUGGAACAAAACAAUGAGUUGGAGAAAUUAAUUAUCUAUGGACUAGACCCACGCCUAAAACAAUAAUUUUGUGUAGCCUAGAAAAUUAUUUUACAACAAAUCCAAAUUCUGACCUAGAUCCGACCCAAGCACAAUUGCUCCACAAACCUAUAAGGUUGGAAUAUUUACAUUGAAAAGCACAUUAAAACAUUAUUUUUUGUUACUAUUUUUUUUAUCUAAUUUAUAAUAUAUUUUAAUCUUAAAAAAAGUUUUCAAAAUUAUCCAUAUUAUAUUAAUAAGAGUAUUAUGAAAUAAAUUUUUUCUACUAAAACUUUUUUUUUUUAAAAAAAAAAAAAAAGUAAACUUCUAGCCAGUUUGUAGGAAAUAAAAGUUAAGAAAAAAAUUUUUUUUUUCAAUUUUUUAAUACUAUAAAUAUUUGGAACUAUACAUCUUAGAUUGGUAAUUAAUCAUUUCACAGCCCAUUAUUUACCCCAUUUCCAAUAUAUUUUAAAAAUAAUAAAAACUAGAAAAAUCAAUAAUAAUAGAAAGGAUAAAUGAAAAAUUAGGGAGGGGAUGAGAGGAAAGAAAGAAAAGGAACUAAGAUAAUUGGGGACUAAAAACCAUAAUGGAAGAUCAUGAAAAAGAGGAAAAAAAAAACAAGAAAAAAUAGAAAAUUAUAGGGAAAUCCUAAUUUAAAAAGUAAACAAUAUAAAAAUUUAAUGUUAUUUUUCUGGUUUGGAUUUUUCACUCUCAAGAGGAGUUAGACAAUAUAAAUAAUGGAGUACAAUGUACACCAAAAAAAAAGGAGAAAGAUAUAGGCAUAUAACCACAAAAACAAAACUCUCUUUCUUUUAUAAAAUUUCCUAGCCGUAUAACCACAAAAACUAAAACAACAAGAAAAAAUGCUAUAUCUAUCAUGCAAACUCUAAAGAGAAUAUAAUAAAAUUGAUGGGUUGUAAGCAAAUAAGUGAAUUUGUAGAAAAAUAAAGGGGAUACCAUAUAAAAUAUAUUAUUCAUCAUCUCUUUCAUCACGCUCUCUCAAAAACCAUAACCUACUAUCCUAAAAACUCUAGCCACCAUAAAGUUUUUGAGAAAAUAUAAACUAAAAUGGGGAAAUUUAAAUCCUAGAAAAACAUUAUUCAUCUUCUCCAACCUCUCCCAAAAAAAAAAAAAAACCCUAGCUUCAUUUUUUUUCUCUCUAAACCCAAAAUUUAAUUCCUCGAUUUCUCUCACGUCUAACCUUUAUUUCUAAUAAGAACACCAUCAUUCUCUUCAGGCCAAAGCCCUUUGAAAAAACCCUUAAUCAAUUACAUUCAAUAACUCAUGCAUCAUCAUCAAUCCAAGAAAUAGAGAAAACAACCUUAAAAACUACUCUCUUCGAUUUGUCUUUUCUCUGACCUCUAAACCAAACUAGAUGACCCUCAUUAUUCUCCUUUGGAAGAGCACUACACAUCCAUAUAAGCUCUAUAACCAAAUAACCUCUAUAUGAUCAUAUCUAAAAGUUAUAAAAACAAAUAGUAAAGAUAAAAAAAAAUAAUAACAUUGUCGUUUUGCAACAACAUAUCUCUCUCAUUAGUAGAAGGUGGCCUACACCUCCAUCACAGGAAGAAGGAUCACAACCUAGCACACCUCAUGGGCUCCUCCACUUAUUGGCCAGACACUAAUGGUGCAUAAAACAACACACCAAAACUGAUAGCUCCCUCCUAACAUGUGGCAGUCAUGCACCGACACUAUUUUUCUUCUUUUCAACAGUGUUUAACAAUGUUCCAUCAAUUUUUAGUCCUUCUAGACCACCCCCUAGAAGGUUUAUUUCAAAACUCAAACCUCUCUUGAAUAAUUAUCUUGCUUUAUUACUGAUUUUGAUCUAUUUUAUGAUGAUAUUUUAAGAUUAUGAAAUGUUUAUUAGAUUGAUAUUUGUGUCUGAAUAAUGUUAGCCAAAUCCUUUAAUCUUGCAUCUUAUUGUAUUGCUAAUUUUGAUGUGUUUAUGAUGAGAAUUUAGAAAUGAUAGAUACUUAUUGAAUUGACAUUUGUGUAAUACAUUUGGUUGAAUCCUUUAAAUUUUACAUAUUGUUUCCUUUCAUGUUCUUGAUCAUUCCAUCAUUAUCUUUAACAUUGCAACAUGUUUUUUCUUGGUGUAUAAACAUUGACCUAUUCAACCAUGGUCUUUUGGUUCAAAUUGAUAGAAAAAUCAAUGCUCAUUCAAACAUACAUUUACAAUGGGUUUUAUAACUUGUUUAUAAAACUCAUUAAAGGUUCAACUCGUAUUAAAAGGCUCAUUGGACUAACACUCCAAAAUCUUUGAAAACCCAUCCUGGGUUUCUAAAAUCCAAGUUAAAAAAAUAUAUUUUGUUAUUAACUUUUGGUAUUUAAGGUAAAUGAACUUAAUAUAGGUCGUUACCUUGGAUAUUAAAGGGAGUAGCGUAUUCAUUUUAUUUUUCAAACAAUAAAAUUUUCAAUCUAAAAUUCAUGAGUGACAAAUAAAGAUAAUUAAAUUUCCAUUCGAAUAUUCACUUAUAACAAAAUCAAGAUUAUUAAAUUUUUAGUAAAAUAUUCACCAAUAAAAAAACUAGAAGUAUUAAAUUUUCAGUCUAAUAUUCAUCAAUUAUAUUUGAGUAUGAAUCGAGAGUAUUAAGUUUUUAUUUAGCAAAUAUUAUGAGUGAAACUCAUAUUCCAUAGGAAAGGUAAACCUUAUUAAAGCACAUUUAAUUGACCUUUCCUAGGAUGUGUGUUAGGUUUAAUAAGCCCUACAUAGGCCUAUGGAUUAUUCACUCAUAUAAGUUGAUCGAUAAUUAAUCAAAGGUUAUGAUUAGGAGUGAGCAACCUUAGAAUUUUCAAUUCACAAAGUUAUCCAAAUGUAAUAUCUGGGAGUGACAAAUAAAAAACCACACUUUAUAAUGGCUAGGUUUAAAUCAACAAUCAAGGUUUAAUUCAUUGUAGUAAAUUCAUUAUCAUCCUAUAGAUAAACCAUCCAUAGACUAGGCACAAAAAAUUGUUAGGAAUAAAAGAUAAGAUAAGCAAUGCAAUCUAUUUUAGGUAAGAUGCCUCAGGGUAAUAAUAUCUUUCAUCUAGUAUAACUAAUUGUUUACCAUAGAUAUUUGUUGACCGGUUAAGAUUUCUUAAUGAUUAUAAUAGCUGGUAAGACUCAUUUUCACAAAGUUAGGAUAUUUCCCCCUCUCACAAGUAAAAAAAAACCCUUUCUAUGAGGAAAAAGGAUGGGCCACCACGAUGUCGAGUGUGAUAAAAUGGCGACUUCACUAGGAACUUUUGGACUAGACUUUGCUUUUUAUCUUUUUUUUGUUUUUUUUACUUAUUUAUCAUUUUAGCAUGCAUCUUUAUUCAUAUCUCUCAUGCAUAAUGUAUAUUAAAUACGAAUUUAUUCCUUCGUACAUGGUGCACUAAUGGCUUUUAGCCUGGGUAAGACUCUUAAACCACCGAUUAUUAUCUAAUUGUCUACUUUUCAGUUAUUAGUAUGCACAUCUAAUGCUAGUUACAACCUAUGCUUUCACACACCUUAUAGACCUCAUGUCGACCUCUUAAUAAUGAUCACUAAGCAGUAAGAGACCUUUAUGACUAGGUAAUAAGGGCUAUAAAAUAUCUUUAGGAUAGACCUUGUGUAAUCUCACUAAGGCAAGUCUAACAUGUAAGAUGUUGAAUUUCAAUACUUUUUAGUAACAAAUAGCCACCACACAAGAUAUUAUCCCCAAUAGAUUUCAACAAGAUUCUAAGUUAUUACAGCUGACUAAAAGGAAUGUUGGUGGGCUACCAAAAAUCUCAACUUAGGCAAAGCUUAGCAAUGAUCCCCUCAUCAGAAUGAUAAUGACAUUAGGUUCCUACUCCCCAAAUCUAUAAGCGGUAGCCAUUUAUCAUCCCAUGCUAGGUUAAUCCAUAUCCAAUAUACCAUUUUUGUGCAUAUAUACAUACUUAUAUAUUUUGUAUUCAUGUGCUCAUAUCUAUCAUACAUAUCAUCUUAUGUGAAAUAUAGGUCCCUUGUAAUCCAAUUCUCCUUUAAAAUCUACAACACAUACUCAGAAAGCAUAUAAAGCACGAAAUGACUAGCCUUAUAAAGUCAUGUGUAAUGCUCUUUUUUAUUCCAAGAUAACUACUUCAUUAAUAACUUUGGUGUGCUAGUAAAGGGUUUCAAACCUUCAACUCAAACUCAUAAGGGUACUUUAGAAGUAAUUCUAGGAAUAGGGAAGUUUUUCAACUUAAAGUCGAGCUGGAUCAUGAACUCUAAUAUGCCCUAAUGAGAAUUAAAGCAUAUUGUUUGGUUGUGCAAACUAUUUAACCUUUAAAUAAUGUUAUAACUAGUGCAUGACAUGGUUAGGCUCAAGUGAUACAACUAUCACCAAAUGCUAAUACAACUGGAGAUAUUUUGACUUUAAGAAUUCCAUUUCAAUUUCAUAACCAUAUGAUGAGAUGUCAAGAAUGCUAUGUGAAUCUAGGCAUUAGAUAUUAAGGCAUAAAAAGAUGGGAUUCUUUUGAUGUCAACAAAAAGUGGUGAUAAUCUCAAGAUAUGACAAUAAGCUUACUUGAAUGCAAUGAUAAAGUUGAUGCUUUCCCGCCAUUCUAUCAUAGUAUGAAAGCUACCUCCAAUGGUUUACAUUAUUAAUUAAUGAACUUUGUAUUGUAUUUUUUAAAGUAAAGUCAACUUCAGGUAAUUUUCAUAACAUUGUUCUUACAAUAAGAGGAUGUGCAUAUGAAACUAAUGUGGCAUUAUCUACCUUUAGUCGCAUCUCACAUAGCCAUACAUGCUUAACUUUAAAAUCGGGUAUCAUUUUUAAGAAGACUCUGGUUAUAACUAAUGAUCUAUAUGGAGUUUAUUUGUUGGGAAAGGAGGCAGUUACACUACAUUAUUUUCUUAAUGAAGAUUUGUCUAAGGCAAAUGCAAUUCUUCUCCUACUUGAAUCUUUAUUGUCAAAGGAUGUGAUUGAUAUAACAAAUGCUAGGAGAGAAACCAAUAUGAAAGUACCUUUAAUUCAAGGUCAAGCCACUCACUAGUCUAUUGUUUGAGAAUUAAAAGAGGUUAUUUAGACAUUCAAACCUUUUAGUAACAUCGCUUGCAUCGUCCAUGCAAGAACUACAUUCAAUGUUGACAAAGUUUAUGUAAACUACUAGUCUCCAUGCUGAUAAUCUUCAUAAAGCUCCUAAAAGGUUUGCAAAAAUUCAAGAUGUCAAGACAUAAAUGUUUUGGUUGGGAGAAGCUGAUAUGAAAAUAAAAGAAAUGUUACAUUGUCCACUCUUUUUAUAUCGAACUUUGCCAUUUUUAACUAUGUAUUUUUUAAACAUGUUUUAAAUGUGUUUUGGGACUACAUUACAUCUUUAAAUAAAGUUUGCAUUUUUCUUAUUAUUAUUGUUUUGAAAUCAAGAGAUGUUUUUUUUGUGAAAGUUAUAUUUGCCAUUUUAUUUUUGUCCAUGAUUGGAUAAGUACAAUGGCAAAUUUACCUAAAAAUUUCAAAAAAUGCCAAAGUGUGUCAUGAUGCUAAGAGGUUAACCUAACCUUUUUUAUACCUGAAAUAUCCCCAUUUGGAGCCUUAAAAUUCUUUGCAUCCUGGUAAACCUCGAUCUUACCUUUAUUUAGGCCAUUAAGACCCUUUUCAUUCCAACAAACCUUAAAAGGAAAGAUCUUACUAAAAAGAAAGAAAAACAAAUAAGUGAAUGAUAAAAGAUGUUUCCAAACAAAAUCAAUUGAUACAGCUACAUGGUAAUAGUGUGCACUUGUAUUCUUAUAUAUGUUUGACCUUAAAGCUCUUCAAAUCGAUCAAGCAAGGCUAGCACUUGUAUACAAAGGCAAGUUUGGGUUUGAAAUGAAAAAAUGUCAUCUUUGAUAUGUCAUUCACAAAUAAAAAUGCAUCCCUUGAUUUCUCCUUUGAUCUUUGAAUAUUUCUUGAAUGAUAACCAUGACUAGGAUCAUCCUUCACAUUGAGGGUAUGUUUUGAAAGACAAUUGAUGACAUUCUCCGAAUUGAAAGAGAUAAGAGAAAUGUUGAAAGGACAAGAAUGUUAAAAAAGAGAGCCAACAAAUAAUCAAGUAAAAAAUUCAAAUGAUCAAACGAAAAAAAAAUGAAAAAUGAUGAUGAAAAAAAAAAGAUAAAUAGCUAUGAAAAGUGUCCCUCUUAAUGAUACGAAGUCCAAACUUGAAGAUUAAAGGUCAGACACAAAGCAACAUAUACAAUUAGGAGAAUUAAGAUUGGAAUGAGAUCAAUCAUUAAAAUGAAAAAUUCAAGGCGACAAGCCUAAAAAGAUCUCCACAUAGAAUCAAUGAUAUUAUGUCUUUGAACCUUAAACACCAUUUAAGCCUUAUGUAUAUUUUCUUUUAUAACCAUAAACCAGGACCUACAUUAUAUUAUGAUCAAAAGUCAUUUCUGAUCAAAAGCAACUUGUUUUAUGUAGAUGGUGUCGAUCUAAAAAGAAAAAAAAAAAUGAACAAAUUUAUAUAGAACAUUGAAUCGUGCAACAAACUAAGCUCAACAUAGCACGAGGCAGAUGCUCUCCUUUUGAAAGCCAAAAAUUUACUUUUAAGAAUUCAACCUUUUAUUUUCAAAAUAAUAUUUUAUUUAUCAAAGAAACCACCAAUUUUAGGGUAACUAUUCUUUUUCAUGAUCCCUGUCAAUGCUUAUCUCAUUGUACACUGAUAAAAAUACUCAAAAAUUUUAUCUCGAUAUUAAAUAAUAUGUUUUGAGGUUCUCAACAAAAAAAUUUUAAUAUUCAUAAAAGUACUUUCAAAUUCACUAUUCAAGGAUUUCAUUGCAACAAUAAGAUAUACAAAAAUAUAAUCAAUAAAAUCUAUGUAUUGGUAAUAAAAAAUUGGGUAAGUGUACAAGUCUAGCCUGCUAAUGUUUAUCAGAUUUAUGUAUUUUUUAAUUUUGACAUGAUUCUUAAAUACUAUUAUAAAUUCUUAUUCAAAUCUUAAUAAAAAAAUUUAUAUCUGAUAUAAAAAUAAUAAACAUAAAACAAUUAUUUUAAUUUUUUUUAUCAUAUUAAUUACCAAAAUAGUGGAAUUUUGAAGGUUUCAAUCCAAAUAUUUAAUAAGUCGUGUAUUAUACAGUUCAAGGGUUUUUUUGUUUUUUUUUUUUAAGUUUUGGCCCAAUACUCAAAACAAAACCCAUUAGCUCUCAUGUGAACCUCAAACCAUUACUUGUAGAAAAUGGAGCUUUCUCCAGGUUGUCACGAAAGGAUAAUUUAUCAUUUAUCAUAGAUUAGGUUCCCGAAGGGAACAACGUUCCUUUGUCCCAUUAUGGUAACCUCUAGAAUUAGCAUAUGGAACUGCCAAAUUAACUUUUCUUUUACCCUACAUGUUUAUCUGUUGCAACUUGCCUGUCAUCUUGCCGAAUGUUUUUAUUUAAAAAAAAAAAAAAAAAGAAGUGGCAAGGUUGCCUCUCGUCAUAGUUUGUCUUGGCUUUCCAUUUUUGUUUGUUUCCCUCGCAAUUAAUUACUGGCAUUGCUUAAGAUCUUCAUGCCACCUCCAGAUUAUGAAUGGUUGAGAGUUUAAUAUUCAUCAAAAGAGAAAAUGAAGGUAAUAAAAUUCAAUAUCUUAACAACUUCAUCUAAAAAGAUUUCCAAGAUUUUGGAAACCAGAUUUGGAGUGAUUAGAUUAGGUUGUAGCAACAUGUACACAAACAGUUGUCCAUUUCAAGAACACAAACUCCAUUAAUUGAUCAAAACUAACUAAUGGCGGGAUCAAACUGCAAAUUCAUCUCAAGUACUGCCAAAUUUUGAAUUAACACAAGAUCUCUAUAUUGGUGAGUUUGAAUUGACUAGUUACAGAGAAGAAAUGAAAUCGAUGGUAUGUCGUUUGUACAUCAGGAGAAAACUGUAUGCUCAAUUGGGAAUCAUAGAACUCCUACCUUUCUCAUAGCUUGUGAACGUAAAUCUUCCUGUAGAAAUGGAUCUCUUCAUUCCAAAUGGACUACUAACUAAACCCAAGAUCCCACCUCCUCCACUCUUCCGGUGAUCAUCACUACCCUCAUCAUCAUCUUCACUGGUGCGCAAUAUAUCAGCAAUAGAUGUGUGGUUUUGAGAAAAACUAGAUGAAACGGACCUUCUAAGUGGUUGGAUCGGAUCGCUAAUGUGUAAUUCCGUAACAGUCUGCGAACUUUCGAGAUCUUGAUUAACCGGAGUCUUGGGAGGAUCAUCACCGAUAACAAGACUAACAACGCCCUCUCGCCGAAAAGUACUCCCUUCUAAAUCGUGAAUCACUAAAACAGCAUCAUUAGUCCCAUGCUCGUAUUGAAGUGUUGAAACAUUAGUUCUUGGCAGAUUUUCUUGGACUGGCUCAGGUACAGCUGGUGCUUCACUGGGCAAGAUAUUAGCGGGAGCAAUAUUGGCACGGCAAAGAGGACAACUUGCAUGAGAUUUGAGCCAUGUAUCAAUGCAAGGGAGAUGAAAUGCAUGGCUACACUUCGGCAAGAGCCUUAAGCUCUCAUUUUCUUGAAAUUCACUCAGACAAACGGAGCACUCUGUGCCUUCAACGAAACCAUCACCUUUCUUGUACUUGCAUACUGUGAUAGACUUUACAAGUGCCUCAUCUAAUCCAGCAGCAGGGACACCCUGCCAUGCUUCACUAGCCAUUUGAUCAUGGUUUUCAUUCAAACCAGUGGCUCCAUCGCCGUGGCCCCGCCGCCUACAAUACUUGGAUAUGAGAGUAUAGUAUGUUACCAAGAUGAAAGCACUUGCCAGGAUACCGAUAACUGCUAUAAUAAGAGGAGACAAAUCAGUAUUGGAAUCAUCAUCACCGAGAGUAAAAGGAGGUGGAGGUGGGAAAAUGAUGUAACACCGUUGUGGACAAUAAAUGCUACAGAUUCCCUGUGAACAAUCUCUAUAGGUACUAUAUGGAGCCCAAGGAUUUUGGUUGCCAGUAGUAGAACCCAUUUUUUAUUUCUUUUUUCAAUCUUGAUACACCUCUAAAUUUGCAGCAGUUCCUGCAUGAUAUGCUUUCAUCAGAAUAUUUACAGACAAACCUUGUGACUAAAAGAAGAAAAGAGAGGGGAGGAAGGGGAAAAUUAAAGCAAGUGGGAUAAGAAAAAUAAAGUAUGAAAACGAGGAGCUUAAGAUUGGAAGGUAAGCAAAGGAAGAGGAGAAGGGAAGUUGAUGUGUCUCCCCCUUCUUGGUCCUUGUACUUGUUUAUUCUAUUCUCUCUUUACUUUUCUUUUCUUUUUCUUUUUUUCUUUUGUUUUUUCCUUUGCUUGAUGUGGGUUUGAUUGGAUGGUUGUAUAUUGACUUAAUUGUUUUUUUUAUUAAAUCCAAUGAUCAUUAAUUAACCGGUGAAGUACCGUCCAAGCUUCAUUGGUUGGUAAAGUGUAGGUGAGUGGCCUCUAACUCGCAUCUCCUGUGAAAGCUACAACGCAUUCAACCACAACUGCAUCGCUAGUAUAUUCGGAGAUAUUAGAAAAGUUUAAUUUUUAUUUAUUUAAAAUUAAUUUUAUUUGUAUUUUUUUAUAUUGUUGUGAUAUAUUGAUAUAAAAAAUAAUUUUAAAAAAAUAAUUAUCUUGAUGUAUUUCCGAGUGAAAAACACUUUAAACCACAAUCGUUCAUGAAUUUUUACAAAAAUUUUAAAAAUUUUAAUUUUUUUAAUUAUUUUAAUAUACUAAUAUCAAAAAUAAAAUUUUAAAAAAUUAAUUUCAAGCUUUUCAACCUAGUCCGGUCAUAUUUGGUCAUUUGCUUUCCUAUCAUGGGCACACAUACAAGUGGAUGAAAGGGCUACGUGUGGACCAUAAAUUGAAAGUGUGUAUUGUGUAAGGACCGGUAUGUCUAAAACUAUAGUAGAGGGGGUUAUAAGAACCAAAUCUAAAACUUGGAGGACUACAAGUAUAUAAAUAGAGCCUUCGGGAAAGCGAUGCAAGGCAAUUUAAUGUGUGAAUGACUGAAUAUUUUGUGGAAGUAUGUCACACGCAAGCCUGUGAGUCACAAUGGGUUGGUCAUCAAAGUUUUAGCUUUUGUGUAGACUUCCAUGCCAAUGAUUUCUGUGGAUUUUAUAAAAUUUUGGGAUAAGAGAAGUAAUGGCAAGAAAAGAAACGUAUAAAUACCCUCUUGUACAAGCACAAAAUUAACCCAAAAUGGGGAAGGAAGAUCUACGGGGAGAGCAGAAUAUAGCAUCAAACCAAAUGUUUUUAUGCCAUCAAGUAUAAUCUAGCCUUGAAAUUCCCAUUUGAAAGUAUUCUUGGUCAUAUAAUUUAGUUUCCUGAAUUUUAAAUUUUGAAUUGUUUAAAAUUAUUUUUGAUGUUUUUUUUUUAUUUUGAUAUAUUAAUAUCAAAAAUAAUUUUAAAAAAAUAUUAUUUAACAUAUGAAAAAUAACCAUAAAAGAUGAAAAGUAUGAAUAAUGAUUUUAAGGUAUGGAAUAUAUAUAUAUAUAUAUAUAUAUAAAAAAAAAAAAAAAACAUACCAAUAUCUCAGAUGCUAUGCAUAAUUUAACAUAAAUGAUGAAAUGUCCCUUGUGAGCGUGAGGAGGUAAUCUGCAGAGUCACAUCCUGGGCUGGUUGUUGACAAGUGCUUUUCUUAAUUCGCAAUCAUGAGGAGAUGGUCUGGCGUUAGCUCUGACAUCAAUCACCAGUUUUCACCCUUUAUUAUUAUUAUUUUCGGUUCCCUUGCCCAUGUAAUUAUGUAAAAAGUCUUGAAAUCUUAGAGUCCCUUCAAGUAAUCAUAGAAAUUGCCCCUCUCACUCUCGGAAUAUCAUUUCUAUUAAAUUAAAUAAUCUUCCUCUCUCUCUCUUUUAUAUGUUUUUAUUUUCCAUUUUUUAUUAUUUUGAUUUCUCCAAUAAUUAAUAAUUAUUUUUAUAUUUCUCCUGCAACCCCACAAAGGAUUGAUGAUUAUUUUCCAUGAUUCUGCCUUUUCCUUCGUUUGUUUUUCAAGAAUUAUUAUAAGAAAUUAAUAGCUAUUAUUUAAAAAAUGGUUUCCAUACAACCUUGUAAGAAAUAAAACUUUUGAAAAUAAUAAAAGUUUGAUAAUUAAUAAUUAAUCAUUCUGGGAUCCAUAGUGUUCAAGAAUUUUAUAACGAUGACACUAAAAUAGAGCAACUUGCUCGAAAACCUUGCUAACGUCAAUCAUUGACUUCUUUUCAAUUAUUGACUCCUCUGAUUGAAAUAAACUACAACACAUGUAUAUUGAAUUAAAAAAAAUUAAAAAAAGAGAUUAGUGUUGAUUGAUUUUUGAAUUCAUUUACCUGUGUUAUCAAAAUUUAUUGAAAUUGAUUCUAUAUGAUCCAUGACAGCGCGAGGGCAGCAUUCAGCCAUGCUCUCAACAUUGAUCGUAUUUAUAAUGUGUUAGCUAAUGGGGCCGGAAAUAUUUUCAAACACUUUCAUCACUCCUGCCGCCGGCCGCCGCCGCCCCCUAUUAAAAUCACCAUUCCAUCUCAUUGGCUCCGAAAUGACAACAACAUCAAUAAGUGAACAGGGCGAUCUAUAUAUUGACUGGUGUAACAGUUCAGAAAUCGCCAUCUCAGCCAUUGCUAUCACCACCACCCUCAUCCUUUCUUGCAAAAUGAUCCAUUCGACAUCACCUCCAAUUGUACUCAUGCCCCUCCCCCAUUUUCACGACCUUGAGGACCUCAGACAUUUCCAUGGUCACAAUGGCUCCCCUUCUAUCUUUUCUAAUUUAUUUGACAAUGUGCUUUAUACCACCUUCAACACACACCCCACCACCAAACAUUUUUUGUUUAUCCAUAAGGGAAUUAUUUAAUUUAUUUCUUAAGAUUAGAAGCAAACAUUCAAUUAACUUCUUUCAGGCCUACUUGCAGGUCUUAUGAGGAGCACAGAAAUCAACCGAAUAAUGAGCAUUUCUUGCCCGCCCAUUACUACCCUAAUCUUCGUGUAAAACAGCAUUACUCUCUCACACGCACAGAGAUUAAAAUAAUAUCCAUCCCUUGGAAAAAAUUUAUUGCCAUCCUCAACCAAGGAAACAAUGAACGUCCCCAUCGCUAUGAAGUUACAAACGUAAUUCAAAACCUACCAUUGAAUUAAUAGUUUUAGUUGAAAAAAAGUUUAAUUCCUUCAAACAAGAGCAGAAAAUUAUACCAAAAGAAUAGUAUUGAACUCUGACAUGAAAAUUGUGACAACCUGACAAUUUAUGCUACAUGUGCGUGCGUGGCAAUCAUGAGACAACACUAGACAAAAAUACAUUUAUUGUUAUACAUUUGUUAUCUAUAUGCUUCAUAUACAAGUGAUUCACUGUCUAAAAAUGAUUUGAACCACAAUAUAAGGCACAACGAAAAUAGAAAGAAGAGUUUUGGUGUAGUAAAUCAAGCAUAAAUUAGCAAACCUCCCUGCAGAUUUAUUCUCCUCGUCUUCUGUGUGAAUGAAUAUUAACUAGGAAUAUUUUACUGAAAUAUGAAGGGAUCUACGGCUCUAAGCUCUACUUUUUCUCUUGUCAUCCAAUGCCUGAUCCAAAAGGGGCACACCAAGUAAGAUGAUCAAAACUUAAAUCACAUCAGAAAAGGCAACAAAGGGAAAAUUAUUUUAUUGUUAGCAAGCAGCAGGGCUCAAUGUGUCCACGCAUAUGUAAAUGAAAUUGAUCAAACAUCAGGCAUUGCCAAAAGCAGUUGUCUGUUAACUUUUGCACUUGACUGACACGUUGAGCAUUAGCUGAUGUGAGUUUGAGUUCUUAAAUAUUUCAUCCAAGAAGAGAACUUUAAAGUCAUUGCUCUCAAUGGUAUUUACAGCCUUACAAUAGCUGCAACCACAUGGAAAAUUUGUGUGUAUUAACUACCUAUCUUUUAGUGAAAAUAGGAAACAAAGCUGCUCUCAGAUGAGUUUUGUUCAUGCCACAUGUGUUCUUAAACAUGAUAUAGAAUUUCCACAAAUAUUGGAACUAUAAAUGUUAGAAACCAAGGUAGGAUAAGUCUUUUAUUAAAAAAAAAAACCAAAGAUAGGAUAACUGACACCAAUUUUUCGCAUGCAAGAAUAAGAUACCUUGCUCUGAAACAUUCUCAUUGCCAACACAAGAGUGUCUCGCAUUCUGCAGAAGUAUAUCAAUAGCAUCAGCAGGUUAAACAUCAUCAUAUCCAUAAGAAAAGGCAAAAUAUUUGGUGUGAUCUUUAACUAUUUGUCAUGUUCACUACUACUACCAUCUGAUUUAGAAAAGAGACCUAACAAAAUUUUAUCGGCCAACAAAUAAACAUUUGGUAUAAAUUGAACCAUGCAAAUUUAUGCUAUGCAAUAGAAGCUAGAAGAAAUAUUCAGGGGGGGAAAGCAAUCAGAGAAGUUUCAAUAAAAAACAUGUUAUAUCACAUAGUUAUUUAUGAGAAUUACAGUAAAUGGAGGCAGCGCCAAGAUUAAAGCAUAGGGUUGUUGUCUGUGCAACAUAGGAUAAAGAGGAAAAUUCAGAAGAAUGUGAGAAAAGAGAUUAGAGGAGGAGAGUUGACCAAAGAGAAGUUAAGAAUUGAUUAAGUUUUCAUUAUCAACCAAAACCUUUAGAAUAAGAAUUGGUGCUUGAAUAUAAGAACCCAAACUCCUAAACUCACAAAAAGAAAUGAAAGUAUGUAUAAUUGAUUUCAUUCUCUCUAAAAUAAAAUAUGUAAAAUCCAUUGUGGAUCAUCCAUCAUUGCCAUUGUCGCCAUAAGGUCAUCAUUUUCCUUUUUGUCAAUAUAUUGUAUAUAGUAAUGCAAUAAAAACAACUAAAUAAAUAAAUAAACCAUACAAAAUUUUCAUACAAACUAAUGUGGCUUCAAUUUUUCUUAUGCUUGAUCAUUUAAGAAUUCAGAGAUCCACAGUUCACUGGUUAGUUGCCACAUUUGUUCAUAUGGAUAUUUAGUGUAACUUUUUUAUUUGUGAAUCACUUCCCAAUGGCAUAUCUCAUUAUGUUAGAUUAUUUUAUUGAUCAUCAAGUCAAAAGAAAUGGUUUUAUUAAUAAUACUAGCAUUUCCAAUAGAAAAAGUAUUAACCUAGAGUUUUGUUUCACAAACUACUAAAAUGUUGACAUUCCAUCAAUGUAACAUUGAAGGACUGAAUACAUGUAGCAAGUCAAACACUUGGAGAGGCAAGUUUGAAGUCCACAGUGCUAGCUGGGAAUAAUGAGGCUUUAUCACAUCUCUACAGCUACUUCCUCUAAUUCUACUCUAAUGGCAAUCUGAACUUUAUGAACAUGGAAGGAGUAACUGGGGUAAGUAGGAGUUAUUGUAAAGGAGGCGGUAUUGCCUUCAUUCUAUAUCUCCAUAGAGGAAAGUUGGAAACCACUUCCAAUAAUCUAAUAAACCUGCCAGGUCUAAGGGCUUCUAAAGGAAUUUACUAUCUUUCUGGUCAACAUCCCACGUAUCAGCUUUACAUUUUCUGAUGCUGAGCCAAAAUAAAAUAGCAAUCCAUUUGAAACAAGUAGCAUGGAAAUUACAUUCAAAUCAACAUAAUAUAGAAAAUCUAACAUAAGGUAGUAAUUACCGAACAUCAUAUGGAUGAGAAGAUCCAUUGGAACAUGUUAAAACAAAUUGCGUUGAGAGUCCAGCAGGGAUUUUUAUCUGCAGAGUGAAAAGGAUAUAAAAUAAUAUACAAAGCCAUAUGCACAGGAGAAUAAACUUUCAUUGCAGAAUACUUAGUUUUUUAAUGAAGAUCUGCAAGUAUAAUAAAGAUUUAUUCCAAAAUGAUAACACAAAUACGACCAUGCUUAACAAUCACACACACACACACACAAACACACACAUAUAUAUAUAUAUAUAUUAUAUAUAUAUUUGCAAAGAUUUGCCAUCUUCAUGGUACUCUUUAAAAAAGAAAAUAGUUAUAAAUUGGCUCAAUGGAUAGUUAAGUGCAUAGAAUGAAAUUUACGUAGCAAAAGGCCCAAAGUUGCUCCACAAAUUUAUAAGAGAAAUGGUCAAAUUACUAAAUUAAAAUGCUACCCUUAGGGGAAAAAAAAAAGGCAGAAGGGAAAAGCGGUGAAAGAAAACAACAUACAGAUAAAUCCUUUGAAAAUUUCUCCGCAAUAACUACAUUUCCCCUUCCAUUGCUCUUAAUUUGGUACCCAGAACAUCGCAAAACUAGAGUUGUUGAAUCCCAAUUUUCAGAAGUGUCCGUCUACAAAAGGGAGUACAAGAAAAAGUUAGUUAGAAGAUAAUUGAUGUUAUAGAACUGGAUACAACAUAAUCAUUGAAGAGUUGAAAAUGAGGCAUCUUACAAUCAAGGCAAGUUUAACAAGCGUCAAUCAAAAUUUCCCCUAGCAUCAACGAAGAACCCCUCACAAUGAAACCCAACCCAAAUAUCCUCCCUCCCCCCAAGCAAAACCCCCAUUUUGUUCCUUUAAAAUCUCUAGACAGCACCCCCAAAGAAAAUCUCAGCAUCAAAUAGCACUAUAACAUCUUAAACUGCCCAACCCAUUGGAAAUUGAACAUAACAAUUUAACAUCCAUAUCCAGGGCACAUUGACUGGCUCAAAUAUUGCUCUAAGAAGAAUGAAAAUGCGCACAAUUUUAAAUCCAAAGGAAAUUUCUGGAAUCUGUUGUUUACAACAUACACAGAGGAGCAAAAAUAGGCGAAAUCGACCAGCCAAAAUAAUCCAUAGCUAAUAAAAUCUAUAAGCAUGGUUUGCGUACAUUAAAAGAUUUUUUAUUUUAGCACAUGAUCUAACCAUGUGUCAUUCAUAAAGCAAAUAGACAGUAAUUUUUUGUUAAAACCUUGAGGUGCUCUAUCAACUGUAUAAAGGGUAUUGAAAGUUUGGUUUGGAUUUCAGGUUCAUUAUCUUUAUAGCUUAUGAUAGAACAAUUCUUGAUAAUGUUAGCUUUCACAGUUUUACCAAGGGGUUGCCAUUACUGGCUUCUGAGCCCUGGAACACAAUAGAAGUAAGGAAUCAUGACCAAAGGCUUUCCACUUAGAACCAAAUAAACAACUGUAGCAGAUAAGUAAAAGAAGAAUUAUCACCACACAAAACUAGUAGCCAAAGGUCAGCACAAGGCAUUUAAGUUCUUACUAAUUUCCAUGUUUUCAUUACAAGCAAUUAAAGGAAAUGAAGAUCCAAGAGAAAGGAUGGUAAGAAGUAUUUAUAUGUACCAACCAAUCCCUACUCGUACAUCCAAAGAAGGAUUAAGAGGGAGCACUUCUAAUACCUCAAAUCAUGCUAUAAUAUCUCCUCGUUAAGGUAGAUGACAAAAACCACCCAACGUUUUCUAUUACAUUGAAAAUAGAAAUUAUAUUGAGCAUGCAUAAAAAUUUAGUUAUAGAGCUACCCUUCUUUUUCUAAUUUAAAACUUGAUUUUAGUAAAGAGCUCAUGGUUAUGGAAAAGAGUCGUACUGAUGAAAAAAGGAGUUUCCUUUACACAUUUUGGCCAAUAUGGGCCUCAAUAACAAAAAUUCAACAUGCACCACAACAGAGAAUUAAGAUUUAGCAGGUAUAUGCUAUUGUUAUUGUGUAUAUUGCAUGUUGGAUUGUGCUCUAAUCCUGCCCGUAUAAGAAAUUAAAAAACUGCAAAUUAUUCUGGAUUUCAAUUUUUAGUUUGUUGACUCUGGAUUAAUAAAUAAUCCAGAGGAUUCAAGUUUUAGCUCCUAAACAAGAUUAAUCCAUGUGGUUUGCUUCCAAGUGCAUGCACCUCCCCCCCCCCCUUUCAAUCUCCAAAAAGUUUUCCUUUUCUUUUCUUUUUUUUUAUUUUGGAGAAGAAAAAAGGGGGAAGAAUCCUUAAUAUUUACAAGCUUAAUAUUGUUCUUCAACAUAUAAGCAGUUCAAAAGAGUAAAAGUGGGACCUCAAUUCUAUCCAAUUUCCAAAUGCACCCAAGUCUAUUAGCCCAAUCAAAAAUCAACAAAGAGAUGAAAGGUUUAAAUAUUAGACAAGUUAAUUUUUUUGUGGUAAUAACCAAAAUGUUCUAAAAUUAGUAUUAGAACAUUUGUAACUACAUUGAAGUUUCUUAAAAAAAUACUUCAACACAACAUCUUACAACGCUUAUGCUUUCAUCUACAAGACAUCCCUUUUCCAACAACCAAAUCACCAUCUAGGAUAGGAAUCUAUUUUAUUUUAGGGAGAGGGGGAGAACCAUAACAUAUCAUUAGAAGAAAAAAUUGUAAAACUAGUCUCGCAUACACGUACUUCUGUUAAAACAAAACCAUACCUACCAGCAAUAGAACACUAAAUGUGGCUUCACCCUUAGAAAUAUAAGUAUCAAUCUCCCGUUGCAUAUCUGGGUCUACAAGUAGAUCAUCAUAAAGUUAUGAAAGAAUAUAGCAGACUGGAUAUAAAAAUCAAUAAACAAUUACCACUUAAGCAAAUCUUCAAUUCAUGCUAGCAUGCCAGUUAAGUUUGCAAAAAGGAUGAAAAAUCAUAAGUAAUGGUAAUUGGCAUCAUGCAGGGGUCCAAGAAAACAUAGCUUCUUAAAUCAAUUCACGUACAUUUUCACCUUUCUCCUUGUUGACCAAUACAUACAUAUGAGAGCAAGCAAGAAGUAUAUGCUCAGUCAACAAGGACAAUGCCUAAAUGCCAAAUAUAACCAAAAGGCUUCUAAAUGUGCACAUGGCAACUUGAUUUCAAUCUUCAAUGAUUGAGUCAUUCAUUAAAGAAGCUGAUUGGAAAUCACAAAAAUUCAUAAGUUUCACAACAGCAGCUUAGAUAUAACACCGAGUGAAAGAAAAAUUAUAAUCUCAACACAACUAUGAGCAGAAAUUUAAAAAAAAAAAAAAAGGGUCAUUUGCUAUAUAAACUGACACUAUCACAAUGUAUUGAACACAGGUAAGACCAUUAUGAUAAAUAAAGAAGAAGAUAAAAUGGAUAAUGCUGUACCCAGUUGAAAUUCAAACUUUCAACAUGUAUGCACUUAAAUCAUAUAUCUAUAUAAUUUGAAAAAAUGGCUUCAUCCUACGAAAAAUAGACACAUAAAAGUUUUGUUUCAUAUGAUUAAAAAAAGGUCAGUCACUUCAUAUACUAAGUACUUCAAGAUGUUAAGAUAUUAAAGAGAUGAAUCCAUUUCAGACCCACUUACCACAUUUUAUUUUGUUCUGAUCAUUAGCAAAAAGCCUCACCAGUUCCCCCUGACAACAUAAGAAAAUUGGAAUAAAUCAGAAUAUCAAGAGUUACAUUUAUUUGUAAUCUGAAAAAUUUUCAGUGCAACAACUCAACUAGAUCUGGAAGACAAUAAACCAGAUUAAGUAAAAAGAUCAAAUAAAGCAGCAAACAAAAAAAAAAGGCAAGAAAAGGAUUUUUUGAGUGAUAUUUGUAUUUUUUGUGAAACUAUGUUAUUACACUCAAUACAUUACAUGUGGAUUUUCACACCUUAGGAAAUGCAUGCUAAGUCAUAAAAUCACCUGGCGGCCUUGGUCAUCCAUAGGUAUGCACUCGACAGCAAUCAACUUAUCAACAUCAUCAGCCGUGACAAUAUAUUCUGGAUUUGUUGCUCCUGAGUCAAAUAUUAUCAUAAAUGAUAUAUCAAUGAGAUAACCUUUAAAUAAGAGCACUAUCGGAAAGUCAAAAAUGCAUUUCAUUUUUUUUUAUUACCUUCAAUGUACUGCCUAGUGCCAUCCUCAAGAUGAUGAACCCACUAUAAGACAAAAGAAUAAACCAUUGGUGUGUGGAUAAACUAACAUUUGGUGUAUUCGGAAUGUCUUAAUUGAUGGCAAUUCUUGUAUAGAAAACUUAAAAACAUCACCUGAAACAUGCAAAGAGAAGUUCCACGAACAGGGAAUCCACAUCCAAGGAGUUUUUCUCCAGGAGUAGCAUCACCGAUAAUCUGGAAACCCUCAAUGCCAGGGAGAUCUAAAAUGAAACAAGUCCAUUACGUUUCAUCAGAAACAAAAAAAAAAAAUUAUCCACAUAGAAGCAUCCUCACCAUCUGAAACAGAGGAAGCAAUCUCAUCAUUCAUGCUGGAAGGAUGGGGCACAUCAUUGGCCAUCUCUCCUGCUCUUGCAUUCAUAUCACUUUUUCCAAAUAAACUAUUGGAAAGAGGGCCAGCUACCUUCCUGUGACAAAAUCAUAUAUAAUUAGAAAAGUAGUGCAAGUAUCAGAUAACAAUAAGUCCUAUCACUGAAGAGAAAAAGAAUACUGCUAGUUCUUGUACAAGAAAAGAGAGAACCAAAGCAUUAAACUCUGUAAAGCAUCAAAUAUAAGAUGACUAUCCUGCAAAGUUCUGGUAUAAUAAACUUAUAUGAGAUAGCAUGACGUGAACAACUUGGGAUAGUGCUCUGCAAAAUAUUUAGAAGUGGUAGGUUUGGGGAAUUAGAUAUUUAAGGAAACAAUUAAGAUAUUAUUGUAGGAGUGAAGUUGGAAAGAAAUAGAAAUAAAGGCAGCGGAAGAAAAGAAUGCUUAGGGAAAAGAUAAAACGAAGAACACUCAAGAACACAAAUACAUGUACAAAUCUUCUGCAGAUUGUAAGCUGUGAACAUUUUGUUAUAUUUCUGAGUUAAUACUCUUUCCUUGUUUAGUUUUCUCUAUUAAGUAUUGUAAUAUUUCAGCCCAAUUUCAAGAGAUUUCAGCCUUGAUUUGGUUUACCACCUCUUGUAUAUAUUUUGUCUUCAAGAUCAAUGUAAACAUUUAUCAGUUUCCAUUAACCUGACACAAACAAAACCAAAAUACACAUAAUUCCAUUAUUGAAGUCCUUCAUGUCAAAGAAUCACUCAACAAUUAAUCUAAGAGGUGAAGCCCAAGAAUGAUUUUAUCUUUAUUAAUAUAAAUACAAGAGAAGGGAGUGGUAGGAUUCAAAGCUUGGAUCACUGGUCCAAAAGCGUGAAUGCCAUGUUAAAGAACCACUCAACAUAAAAGCUUAAUAUAUUAGUUCAAAACCCCAAAAAUGGUUUUAUAUUUUAUUUUCUAACAUAGAAAAUAGAAAUAGAAAUAGAAAUCUAAACUAAAUAUUAAAGGGAAAACAUGAAUAUAGAGAACUCCUAAUUUAUUCUUUAUCCAUUCCAGAACAACAUAACAUAAUCUUAAAAAUUGCUUUACUCAUAAUAUAUCUUCACAAACUAAUAUUGAUUCCUAAGUCCUUAAAAAUUUUCUUACGUUAAUUAAUUGAUCUACAGACUAUGAAUAGUUCCUAGAAAAUGCCUCCAGUUUAAUUUAAUAAUAACUCUCUUGAUAUAAUAUGUACCAAUACUUCUUACACAUUUAUAACCACCUCUGACCUUUCUGCUUCAAUAACCAUUCUGGUUCUGAGAACUUUGCUGAAGGGAGAACAUACUCAGAUUUAUUCAAAAUGACUAUUGUAAAAACUUAAGAAAGUUUGUGCUAACCAAACAUGACUACUUGAACAAUAUAGAAUGAAUCUCCAACAAUUUCUAGAGCUUCACAAAUCUUAAACCGAAAAAAUAGGUUUGUGAUUUAUAGCUAGUUACCUAACAACAAUAUUAUCCGCCAUAAGAAAACGAUUGACUGCACUACAUCCAAACUAUAUAAAUUGUACCAACCUGUCUUGAUCAAAUGAGAACUCUGGGAAAUCGUUGUUAUUUAUAGCUGGUGCAUCCAUUAUGAAGUGUUAAACUUGAUUUAUCAGCAAGAUUUGUCUCAUGUACAAAUCUUGGCAUAUUGUCAUUCAGUUCCAAAUGCCGUUCAGCUAUAUGGUGAUUAGAAGCCGAAGUCCCAUGGUGACCCUGCAUUGAUAAAGCGAGAGCAAAAUAAUAAGAGAAAAAUCAUUAAUAAUUUAAUCAUAAAGCCAAGCUUGUGCACUGAAAAGGUGACAAUAAGGAGACAAAAAACAAGUAGAUUACAUGCCAGUAAUACCGUGGAUCGAUGAGUUGUUUGACCCGUCAAGAUGCCAGAAACAGGAUUGUCUAUAUCAUGAGAACUGCUUCCAUUUUUAGAGCCCAGCACAGAUGCUCUCUCUCUGAUUAUAUCCUGUGAUAAAAGUGAAUCACAAGUGUAACAUUAUUUUAACUCAUAACCAACCGAAAAACAACCAGAUCUUGAUACAGGAAAAACUCUGAUAAAAAUGAGCACCCCAAGUCCCAAAAUAACAAUUUAAGAACAAACCAAAAGAAAUGUUUUCAAGGAAAAAUGCUCAAGUCAAAUAUUGAUGCAGGAGAUGUAAAGAUGGGUAAAGGAAAAAAUGCUUUUGUAUAUGCAUGAUAAGGGAGUGAUUGGAUCUGCAAGUCUAAGAUGCACGUACUUAAAUACAUGCUUGCAUAUGGAAAUGAAAAAAAAUAAACAUGAAAAGUUGAACCUCGGGGACUCAUGAGAACAUAUAGCUUAAAUUAGAUAAAAUGAAGCAUUUGAAAUUUAAUCAAAUAGAAGAAUGAUAAUGGCAAGUCCUUAAUUUGGCAAAACACAAAAACAAUAGCGGCUCUUCUGUAGCAUGCCUCAUAGCUUACAUGUGAAGUUCUAAUCUUCCACUGCAAUUGAUCAUGCAGGAGCUGCAAAAUAUAUAUAAAGAAAAAAUAAAGUAAAAUUAGUUAAAUUUUUAUUUGAUAGAUAUUUGAAUGUUGUUCUCAUGCUUAAUAAAAGCCAUCCAUCUGAUGUCAGCUAGAUGCAGGCAUUUAGAGAUCUUUCCCAUUAGAGUACAUAUUUACAGGAUACAUGGGAUCAAAUAUGAUACAGAUUCACAGACAAGGAUAGAGUGUAACUUGUUCGAGGACCAACACAAAAUAUAAGGCAUUUCUCAUGCCUUCCCAAAGAACUUAAUAAAAGAAAAAGGUACCUGGGAAUGGCCCAUCAGAAUAAGAUAAAUCCAGAGCAUGCUUUGAUUCUAAGGUUUCUUUUUUUCUUGUUUCUUUUUUGGCAACAAGUCAAUGGGAGAUAAAAACAUAAAUGAGAGCAGCCUCAAAGUUCAUGGUCUUGCAGUACCAUGUUCACUUCUUGCAGAUAUAUAAUCCAUGUAAUUAGUUACCUUUACACUGUUAGAAAUAGCAGAGGCAUUUACAACAUGGGGCAGGAUUCCAUAUUCAGCCACUAAGCCAAGCAAGGAUGAAACGAAAAUAUAUCUAUCAUCAUCCACAACCUGGAGAACAAGUACACAAUUCACAGAUGCAUUUUACCCAAAACAAAUUCAGGAAUAAUUUGAUAACAAAAAAAAACAUAAGGAAAUAGAUUAGGAGCACGGUAAAAAGAUAUUAAUAUUCGUCCAUCACAACAAUUGAUAGCAUCACUUUCCACAAGUUGUUCAACUGAGAGGGCAGAGAAGUCAAGCACAUGUACAAAACUACAAAAUUGUUUUUCCUUUAUGUUUUAUAGAAAGCAAGGAUGGGAAGCGUCUGUUUACAUUUCCCAAGCAGAAUGUUCUACCCUGAUAAAUUAGUUGAUGUCAAAAAAAUUUAAAUAUUCAGAUGUGUAUAUGUAUGUUGAUAAUACGAUAUCCAACAUUCACUUUGAGCAAUUUAUAUGACAAAGCUAAGCUAGGUACUGUGCAUGAUAUGAUCUAGCUCACACUGCAUCUCUAUAUAAACAGAAAAACAAUAAUGGAUUUACUUAUAAAGCUACUGAUUACUAGCAAGACCAUUACAAUGGACAAAACUACUUUCCAUAUGAGAGUCCCAACAACCAAUCACUAGAGGCUAACCUUUAAACAUGGAAUUAAGUUUACCAUUUAUUGUCGGAACUUCACUCAAAUUAAUUACUUGUUUCCCUGGUUGAAGCAAGUAGCUUAAUGUUAAGGCAAUUUCAGCUUCCAUGCUUUUAAGCAUUAUCUACAGACCACUUAGGGUCAGUGGCGAAGCUCAAGGUUUUUGCUGAAAGAGGCCAAAACACAUACUGUAACAUAUUUUAUAAUGGUCACACAAAUGAAAAAUUUUAUCAAUUCAAAUUAAUUAUAUAAAUCAUAUAAUAUAAGAUAAAAGAAUAAAAAUAUGUGAAAAUGAAUUCAAAUUAUAAAACAAAUGAAUGUAGAAUUGAAUUGAAAGUUAUACUCUAGAGCAUGUGUGAUACAUUAAAGAAUAUGAAAUAUAUCUUGACAUUUCUUAUAUAUGUAGCUUGUAAAAAUAGAAAAUACUAGUAAGUUGGCCCACACUCUGCCAUGGGUCGAAUCAAAUUCUUUUUUAACCUAAAAAAACAAUGUGCAGAUGUUAUCAAAUGCAUUUUCUAACAUAAAAAAAUAAUUGAGAAUUGAAAAGUUGAUGUGUGCAUUUAAUAAAACUAAUCUAGAAUUAUAUGCGUCAACAAAUAUAUAUAAAAAAAAAAAUUGUUAACACUAACUAAAAAUAUUGAGAGAAAUACAAAUUAAAAUACCUAAUCUCAUGCCGCAAUGAGCUCUUCAAGUUUUUUUUAUCUAAUUAUAUGAAAAUGAAAUUAUUCUUCUUUUUUUAAGAAGAGUAGUAAUUUAAAUUCUACUCAAACAAAAUAAUUUUUUAGUAUAAUUCCUUAUUUUCAUAUGAAUAUAUUUUUUUAACAACAAAGUAUAGCAUUCCAAGCUAUGUUGUUGCCUCAAUAAAAACUGAAGGUAAUUAGAAUAAAUAUCCAAAAAAAAAAAUUGAACGACUUGAAAUAAAAAUAAAAAAGGUAUCUCUUUAAUUAAAACCCCUUCAUCUUAUUAAUACGCUCUCUUUUUUUACGAGAACAAUUUGUUUUUAAUAACAGACUAUCAGAACCAUAAAAGCAAGUUUUAAAACAUAUUUUGAGCUGAAUGUAUUAAUAAGAAAAGGAAUAAUAUAAUGUUUGCGCAAUGUUACAAGGAACAUUUUGGAAUCUAUUUUUUUAUUCAUGUAAUUUUUCAUAUUUUUUACAAAAAAAAAAAGAAUUAUAAGAAGCAUAGUUCAAUGAAUAAAAAGUAACAGCAAUUUGAAAAAUAUAUUGGUGAUAACUAUAAUAACUUAAAUUUCAUUUUAAUUGAAUAUUCAAAUACUAAAAAAAAAAAAGUUCGUAUAACAAGCUCAUAUAUAAUAGUUAUCGAAAUGAUUACUAAUAUUACAUAAAAAAAGCUAGAUUCUUAUUUGAAAAUAAAUAUUAAAUCAAAUGAUAUCUAAUGAAAUAAUAUAUUAAAUAUAAUUUUAUUUAUUUCAUUAUAAUUAAUUUUCAUUAAACUUUAAAAAAAAAAAUACUCAUGAAUGGCUGUAAAAAAACAAAAAGUGUUUGCCAAUAUUAUAAAAAAAAAAUGUUAUAAUCUUAUUUGAAAACAAAUUUAAAAUUGAAUGGCAUUUAUAAUUUUAAUUAUUUUAUUUUCAAUAAUUUUAAUUGAAAUUUAAGAAACAAAAUAAAAAAUGGUCUCAUAAAAAGAGCUAGGCUUGGAUGGGCCAGCCUCUAGCCCAAAACACUAGCAAGCCAUGUGCGCUUGGCUCUUUUUAAAAAAAAAAAUAGAUGAACAAGGUCAAAUUCUACCAUUAGAGAAGUUGCUGUAAAGUUGGGGCAUGACUUCAUGACUCAAAAAACCCAUUUUUCAACCCUUCUUUCAUCUGAGAAUAUCUAAGAUAACAUUUGAUUAUUGUCUUUGAACAUAAGAGAUGAAGACAAAAGGGACACAUCUCCUUGUGCUUCCUAUUUUAAGAAGAGCAUGGAAAUUCACUCCAAAACCAUACUAGAGACAAAUUUAUUUUAUGUUUGUCUCUGUCUCUUUAACCUAACACGUUUUUGUUCCUAUUGUCUCUAUUUCUUUUGUCCUAGAACACUAACCAAAUAUAAUCUAAGAAACACCGUAUAGACCUCACUAAACUCAUUUUUAACCUUAAAUCACUCAUUUCUACUCAUUUCAGCAAAAUAAUGGAUCAAAAACACCUUUACAGCACUCCUUUCAUUAAAUGAAACUCAUUGACACCAAAAUCGUGUUUUUUUAUUGUCGGAAAGUGGCCAAUCGUCAAAGUUCUCUCUCCUAUCUCAAGUGCAGAUAUUGAAAAAAUGAACAAAAUAAAGUUUUGGACCGAAACUAAAAAUCCAAAAAACAAAGAGACCAAAAAUGAAAAAAAAAUAGGGACUAAAAUUUUAAAAUGUGUGCCUCAUGAACAAUGGAAAAAAAGGUUGUUUUGUGUUUCAAUGUCAAGUUUGGUCCCUGAAGUUUCAAAUGCUUUUAUAUUCUAUUUUAUCAAAUGGAGCAUUAACUUAAUCUCAGAAAUAUUUUUUCAAGACAGUGAAAACCCAUUAACAAUCUAAUCGAAACAAAUUAUCAACCUCAAAUCCUAAUCAAUGCCUUGGUGAUGAUGAAAUUGAAAGAAAAAAAAUAGUUGGUGACUAAAAUAGAAAAGGCUUCAAGGAUUAAAAAGCAAAGAAAAACAUUGUUCCAAUCCACAAUAUUUUCUCUCUUGAUCUACAGUGAACGUCUAAGCAGUUUUAGUGUUUUUAAAUUUUAAUGAAAGGUUUAGUUAAUAAAUACAAUAGAUGGAAGAAAAAGAAGGAAUGAUAAAAAUUAAAGUACAUUAGUAAAAAGAAAUUAAAAACAAUGAAAGAAAGAAAGGGAAGAUUCAAUUGUACGUCAAAAUGAAGAAUGCCAAGCAGGUGAAUGGGCAAUACAACACUCUUGAAAUUUUAAGUGUCGUGUUAGGUCGAAAGUACACACACUAGUUUUAUCCUAAUUAAUCAAUAAGCUAUAAGUUGGGGCCAUUUCACUAAUUUAGUGAUUAAGAGACUUGUUUGCAUGUAUAAUUUAUUUUAGUCAAUAGACAUGCUUACUUUUUGGCAGAGCAAAAUAAUAUAAUCAGUUUACAUACAUGCAAGGGGAGCCUCUUGUUCCAGGAAUCAUAUGAUAAAAUCAUAUGUUCCAGCAGCAACAGUGUAAUAUAUCAUUGUGGUGGGACCCAACAUUGUGUCCAACAUUAAGAAGCUGAACUGAAGCUCAUAAUCUUCUUUAACUAUUGUCUAUGUUUUUUCUUAAUGUUUAGAAUCUUUGGAAAGAACAAAUUUUAUGAUGAAAAAUAUAUAUUGUUGCUUUUUACGAAAAAACCUAAACUACAUGAUCAAAAAAAAAGAAAAAAAAGAAAAAUCUAAACUAAUUUAUGUAACUCUGUAGUAGAUUGGUUAAAAACAGGAAAAUAAUUUCCUCUUUUAGACUAUGUUUACGUAUAUAGCAUAUGGAAAAGGAAUUGUCAAAAAGCUGGAACCAAUAAAAAUACUAGUACUCCUUACAUGACAAAAGAAAAUUAUUAGUUCAUUAUUAUUUAAAAAAUAAAUAGUAUUUUCACUUAAAAUUUGUUUAUUCAAAUUAUGCAGAGUAUUUGUAAUAUCAUAUGUUUAAAAUUAAAAGAAAAAAAAAGUGUCUUAGCAUCUUGUGUGUCCAAAUGUUAGGAGGUAAAGGUGGGUUAAACUAAUAUUAAUAGAAUCCAGUGCUCCACGAAUUUGUAUUGGUUUAGAUAAGGCUGAACCCUGUGAAUCAUUAUCAUAUAUAUUUUCAUUUGCACCAUGUUGUAUUCGCUAUGAACCCUAUGCUCGGUCAUGUCACAAAAUUAAACAGUAAAAGCAGGUCAUAUAAGGAUUUUAUUUAAAAUAACUGCCAGAAAACCUUAUAAAAAAAAGGGAUUUCUUCAAAAUGACAAUGAUAUCUCAGUCUGCUCUUAGCCUCGAUAUCUUCGUUGUUAAUGAACUUCUUACUUUAGUUUUACUUAAUCAUGGGUUGAUAUCAAUGUUCAUGCAGCACAGAAAAAACUAAAAUGUAUUCAGAGGAAUAGAAAAGCAUAAGCUGGAAAUAGAAACUGUACUAGACCUUCAAAUCAUGGGUCAAUUGUAAAUUUUCUUCUAGAUCACCUUUUCUGCGAGCCAACUCAUUUGAAGCAGAAGUAAUUGCUUCAGUUUGCUUCUCAUCAAUAGCCUAUCAUUCAAAAAGAUGUUGCUUCAGCAAAUAGAUCAGAGAUUGAAAAACUGCUCUCACAAUCCAUCUUGGUACAUAAAGAAAAUUACUGCAUCAAAGGAAAAGGUGAGAACUGCUAUUUUACAAGAUGGACAGACCAUUCUUAAGUAUGAAAAUUUCCUCUCCAAAAUAUAUUUCUCAUCAAGCAACUGAAGCUCCUGGCACCAUAUAAACAAAGCAAUUGCAUACAAGUCAGAAAUCUAAUAACAUAUUAACCAUUAUGAUCAUCUAGAUGCAGACUAGCAAAGGCCUUCAGAUAAAUUUACCCUCAAACAGGCAUCAGCAAUUUGUCCAUGAAGAAUCUGGAUCUCCUCCUUUUGUGCUCUUAAUCGUAAAUGAAGCUCCUACUUGCAAAUUCAUAAAGUGUAAGCAAGCCACAUCAAGCUUCGCUGUAAGUAAAGAAUCAAAAUCUCUACAUGGAAAACCCUGAAAAGCACCCGUACCAUUGCCUCUCUGUCUUCAAAAUAAUUGAGAUUGCCAUUGGUUUUCAACUUCCUAGGAGCAAGAUGUGCCUCAGCAUCAUGCCUACAGAUAAAGAGAAUACUUGAAAUAACAUGCUGCACAACUCUUGGAUUUUAGCCAAUCAUCCAUAUAUAGGAUACAAGAAGUUAAAUUGAUUUGGCCCUCAUGUAAGCAUUUGAAUAAAGUAACUCUUCCUGGGGCCAUUGGUUUAGCCACUACCUGUUGAUUGAAUCAGAAUUCUGAGGGCGAACACGUUCGUUGUUAAGCUCUUGCAUGUGGUUUUUACUUGAAGACACACAUUGGCUGUUCUAGGUACUCUUCAAGACAGCCACUGCUGAAUGACUGUUUAAUUUCUCCAUGAUCGCCAACAAAAUCAUGCAUUUUACCUCAUUUUAUUCCUAGUUCCCCUUCGUCCAAAGGCACUGCAGCUUUUAACAAGUCACGACUCCCAAAUGCUGUAAUAGGCACAACCACCAAUUAAUAUAUGUACAAAUAGGAGGAGAAAACGGUAGAUAUCGAUUAUCAUGUGAGGAAACCGAACCAUGGACAAAGCAUUAUAAACUAAACUACAAUUGUAUGAAAGAAAGAGCAUGUCGAGGAAUAAUAAAUUGCUAGUGUUACUUCCCCAUUAGACAACCUGAACAAGUUCGUUAGCCAUAUAUGAAUUUCCUCAAGAAUCGAUCUUGCCACAUGAAGCACAUGGAUUGAAGCAUGCUAUUGGACUUUUUCAAGACCACAAGAAAAUGCAUAUACACUUGGAUAUUAAAGUCAACAACUUGAAAAGUUCUAAUAAACACAUAUCAAUAGAUUAGAUGACAACAACCUCCCCUGGCUGCACCAAAUAGAAAGAAGAUCGUUACAUAUAUACACACAUACUCUCUUCUCACUUAAUUAGCCUUUUCCACCUAUUAAAAAAUAGGCAGUUUGAGGAAAACAAAGAUGCAACAGUACUCCUCCUAUUUGAAGAUGUAACUAUAUACUACCAGGGGUUGAAUCAUCAUUAGGAAAAUUUUCAAGACUGCAAAACCACACACGAUUGACCCCGAUGAACAAAAAACAAAAAAUAGAAUAUAUUCCUGAAAUUGACAAGAGUAACAUUUUCUCCGAAUUUAAUUAGCAAACAGUCGUAGUUGAACCCAAAAAAGAAUUCCAAGGUUGACAUGAAAACCACCACAUGUCCUCUAAAAGCUACUACACCUGACAGCAUAAAAUUAUACUUGUGUGAUCAACUGUAACAUACUGAUGCCUUCCUUCCACUAUUAUCACUUACAAAUAAAUAAGUUCUCUAACGAAACCGUAAAAUAGUUAGAAUUUCUUUACAAUUGGUGAGUAGUAAUUUAAUGAAAUUCAGCAGAAGAAAAUUAUAAUUUUGCGUUCUAAAAAUGGAAAAGAAUCCAUAAAAAAAGUACCUGUUGUGUAGGAGCCGAAAGAGAGAUCUGUUUCUGUGUUUUGUGAAGGAGCUGAAGGACGAAGAGGAAGAUCUUAAUUAAUGGAAGAGAAUGAGAGGGCGAGGAAUGCGGGGGAUAGGAGUUUGUUAAUUAAAGUCAAGUGUGGGUCGCGACCUCUCUUUGUUUUCCUUUCGAUCUCAUAUUCGUUUCGCACUAGUUUGUUUACCAGGGGACUUUUCCAUCGUGUAGACCGUUUGGAAUUUGGAAUUGUGAAACUCCACUGCUGUUUCUCAAAAUAUCUUUUAUAUUAAAAUAAUAUUUUUUUAUUUUUAAUAUUAAUAUAUGAAAACAAUUUCAAAAUAUAAAAAUUAAUUUAAAAUGUAAAAAUUAAUGUAAAAAAAAAAAUUACCUGCGUUAUCAAACAAACACUAACCAAUUUAUAACUUUGUAUGUGGCGCUAGCCCAAACUUUUUUAAACUUACAUCAAAUUUUUAUGUCUCUAAAAUAUUUUAUCAUUAAACUUUAAAAUAAAAUUAUCUUAAUUUUUUAUAAAAAUAAAUUUUCCUAUCAAUAUAUUUUUUAUUUAUCUUAAAUAAUCGUAAUAUUUUUAAUUAAAAUCAUUAUUUCAACUUAAAAAAUAUUUUAUAAUUAUUAAAACAAGUUAAUAAAAAAAUAUAUCAAAAUAAAAUGACAUAUUUUUGAGUGAUUUUUGGGUGAUUGAAAACUAAAAAGAAUUAUAAAUGUAACAAAAACUAAAAUAUAGAAUGUCCAUAUUAAUAAUUAUAAAUUCAAAUAAAAAUUUAUAAUAAUAUUUAAAAAUCAUGUUAAAUUAAAGAAUAAGUAGUCAUGGUAAUUUUUUAUAAACACCCCAAAAAGAAAAACAAGAUAAAGAAAAAAAAAAUUUAUCAACAGGUGAGGCCCAACAUCAACCAACCAAAAACAGGCUAAAAGGGCACGAGCUUGGAGGUCAAACCCGCUAGCCUAGCCCUGUUUUAUUUUUUAUUAAGGGGAAAUGAUUAUUUAAAAAAAUAACAAAUAAUAGAUCAUUAGUUAAGAUUUAGAAAAUAGGUGCAAAACCCAGCAUUUGAACCCGCAACCUUUGACUUGUCAUAUACAACUCAACAAUGACACUUAAUUGCUAUGAAAUGAUUAAAAAAUAUAUUAAGAAGCUUUAUUAUUCAUAUAAACAAUAAAGCACCAUAAAAAAAAUCUAGUUCUUCUAAAGUGUUUAGGUAAUUGUUUGUUAAUGCGUUUCAAAUUGUUUUUUGCAAAUUUAUGUGUUUUUUAGGUGUUUUUUGAAUGUUUAAAAAUUAACUUGUUAAACUUAUUAUUAUCAUGAAAUCAAGUUUCAAUUAAAAAUUUUAAAAAUCAUGAAUCGAUAAUUUUUACACACCUAUAUAAAAAACAUUUAAAAACAAUAAAUUUGAGAGAAUUAUAUAGAAAAAUUACAAUUAAAAAAUUAUGAUAAUAAAUAUUUUAUUCUUACUCAAUAUUAAUGAACAAAUUAUUUUAAAAACUAUGCAAAUCAUUCUCAAAGCAAGUUUGAUAAAACAAAUAUUAAAAUAAUGUCUUAGUAUUUUGUAUGUUAUUUAAGAAAAACAUUAAUUGAUGUUAUAAAAUCAUGUCAAAAAUAUAUUAUAGAAUUAAAAAAACAUAAAUUUUGUUUUCAUUGAAUAUUUAUAAACAAAUUUUAAGUUUUGUUUUUUUUUUUUUUGUAUUAUGUAUAUAAGAAUUCAAAAGGAAUUGUUAAUUUUCCCAUAAAACCCUAUAACAUUGUUAAGAACAAUGCCAAAAUUAAAUAAUAAUUUAAAUAUAAUGUAAAAGUAUUUUUAUUUAUAUUGCAUUUGAAUCAAAACUUAAAAUAAAUUAACAAAAAAAAAAGGCUUCACCUUAGCCUAGAAGACUAACCGUACUUGUUUGGCCCAACAGAAAGAGACCCUAGCAUAUGUGGGCUUGUAAAGCUUGUGUUGCACACCUAUCCUUCUUGAUUUUAUUAUUUUUAUAUGUUUAGGGGAGAGGACUUCUUGUUGGAUCUUUUAUUAAAAAAAGAAGAAGCAAACAACUUGUUGUCUGCAUCGACAAACAACAUGAUGUCUACAAAUCAAGAUUCUAGCACCUGAAGAGGUUGUCAAACAGUCAAGUCAAGGGUUUUAUGGAUCUAAAAACUCAUUCUUAACUUAAUUUCAUCCAAAAAGACCUAAUACACACCAUAAGAAUCUUAAUAAACCAAUUGAUAACUCCUAAAUCAAUUUAAAACAAAAAAUUAAGCUGAAUAAAAAUAACAAUUAUUCCUUAACCCUGAUCUAUUUUUUCCAAUGAGAUAGCUGCUCAUAAACACCUCAAUGGUGCUCCUCUAAUCAAGAGAAAUCCAUUAACACCAAUCAAUGUCUUUGUCAUUGAAAUAUGCCCCACCAAUCACUUUCUCUCUUCUCUUUUAUUUUAUGGUUACUUUCUCUUUACUUUCAAAUUCUAGAGACUCAAACAUAAGACAAAUGAAGUUUAGAGAAAACCUUAUCUUAAUUUUUAAAGAAAUUAGAAGAAAAAAAAGUACAUGGCAUGGAUUAAUGAUAUAUAGCUAUUGACAAAAUCGAGAAAACUUCAAAUGAAUUUGGACCUUUCCAUGAUUAUCUAAUGGGCUUGAUUUUUUUUAGUUGGGUUUGGGCUAAUAACCCAUGUUCUCCUACAAAACAAGUUCUUUAUCCAGAAUAGAAGACCCUUGUAAGUCCAAUUUAGCAAAGCAUAUGAGAAAUAUAAUAUAUAAAAGGAAGGAAAACGAAAAGUGUGUUAUAGUCUAUGUAUAUGGAUUUGUUGUAUUCUUUAGUUGUUUUUCAUACCUAGUAGUAUUUAUAUACCUCAUAUCACUUGUGUUUUUAUUGUUGGUCAUAGGAUCACAGACCUAUUUAUAGAAGUAAUCUUGGAGAAUGCCUAAUUCACUAUGAAUAAUCACACAAUUAGUUAUUUAUAACGAAUUAUUCAUGUAUGUGCCCAUUUUAUUAACUUGUAAGACAAGGCUUUUAAGUAGGCGUCAUACUAAGAGAAUUUAGAUGGAUGAUGUAUUAAUAACUUAUAAGAUGAGAAUUUAAGUAGAAAUUAUAUUGAUAAUGUAAGAUCCCACAUCGACGGGUGAGGGUUGUGUUGUUGGCCUUAUUAGUAGUGCUGGUGCUAACAUGUUGAACGCGUUUUGGAACGUCAGGCUCAGUAGUGGGCUCGCAUCACCAGGAACAAAACCGUGAGGGCGGUAAGGCUCAAAGCGGACAAUAUUCAGCAUUUUGGACCGGGCUGUUAUAUUUGGUAUCAGAGCCGACCUCACUGGCUUUCCGGUUAUGCUGACGGGGACGUCGGGCUCCUUAAGGGGGGGUGGAUUGUAAGAUCCCACAUCGGCGGGUGAGGGUUGUGUUGCUGGCCUUAUUAGUAGUGCUGGUGCUAACAUGUUGAACGCGUUUUGGGACGUCAGGCUCAGUAGUGGGCUCGUGUCACCAGGAACAAAACCGUGAGGGCGGUAAGGCCCAAAGCAAAAUUAUUCAGCAUGUUGGGCCGGGCUGUUAGAGAUAACUUUUAAAACAAAGAAUUUAGAUAGGUAAUCAUGGCUACAUAAGCAUGUUUAAAUAUUGUUUAGGGUGUCAAUACUUUUUUCCUUUAUCUUUUUUUCUCCUUUCUCUUAUUCUCUACUUGUUGGGCUCUCAUUUUGGCUUAAUUAGGCUCUUUUCAUGGACUAAAUAAGGGAUUAUUGUAGAAAUCUAGAGCUAAUUAAAAGAAACCAAAAACUAUAUCUAGCAUAUGAUUAGCCCCGCCAUUUUUAAGUAGUGUGUGAGCAUUCUCAUGUAAUCUAAUUACUAUCUUAUUUGGUGUCAUCAAUUUUAUCUCAACGCAAGCAAUUUUUUAAACCAGUGCUUAUCAAUGAAAAGUUGAUGGUGUGCUCUAAUAACCUGUUUUUAUUUUCUCUUUUUUCUUUUAUUUUCUCUCUUGUUUUUUUCACCUAUUUUUAUUAUUUUCCUGUCUCUCUUUUUUCUAAUUACUAUCUUUGUUUUUAUUAGGCUUGAUUGAGUUGCUUGAUUUUUCUCCUCAUGAUGCAUGAUAGAGUAAGUUUUUUAGGGUGAGGGUUGUCCAAAAGAAGAGUGUGUCCAAGAUGGAAAGUAUAACUGAAAUGGUUGUUCAUGCUCAAAUGAAAAAUCAUAUGGAGAUCAUAAAAAUAUAUGAAUAAUUUGUAUAAAGACUUUCUAGUUACUUGUCACACUCGGACAUCGCGGCGACCGAUAAAAAAAAUAUCUAAUCAUAGAAAAGAAACAGAUAUCUGGCAUCUUGUUCUUUGGGGGGAAAAUUAAGGAGUCGCCACCUAGUAUUAUGGUCACUAGGAACCCUAACUGGUCAACAGAGAUUCUAUGAUACGGGACUGGUUAUGUAAAAUGGAAAAUAUUAUCACCCCUAAAACAUCCUACAUAUGGUAGACUGCUUUGCUAGUUUUGUUUUAAAUUGCUAAGAGUUUGUUGUUGUAUGCUAUGAUGGUUUGCUUGUAAUAUUCCUGACUCUGGCGUCAAUGAAUAUUCAACUACGGAUACUUUCCAACUCUGGCAUUGGUAAAUAUUACGUAGCUAAAAAGAUAAAAUAAAUUGAAAUCGGUAUUUUUAUUCUUAACUCUAGCGUCAAUGAAUAAACCAAUAAAUUUAUUUUUAAUGCAUGUAUUUUUAUUUAUUUAUUUGUUUAUUUUAUUUAUUUAUUUAUUUUUGGGCUGGGUCCGACUCAGCCCAUGUGGGCUGGGCAAAGCAACACGCGUGUGCUAAUUCAUGCGUGUUGCUACAGUGUUCAAGUGAAUUAAAAUUCACUUGAACAAUGCGAUAUUAAUUAUUUGAAGAAUGAAGCAAACCGGGAGGAGAAAAGGAAUUGCUUACCUAGUUGCUGAAGGCUGGAGACGAAGUGUGCUGGCGAGCCAAUGUUUCUUCCUUUUAUAUUUUUUUGUUUAUUCUCUAUGAGAAAAAUCCCUGAUUCCCUCUGUUUUUCCAGCCUCUGUGUUUGUUUAGCUUUCGAUUCUGGAUACUUCCCUUCGCUUUUUUUUUUCUUGAUUUUUAUUCUAUCCCUUGUUCUCUCCCGUUUUUCUCCAUUGUUUUAUGCUUUUUCCUCUCGAUUUUCUCUGUAUUCUGGCUCCUUCUCCUCCUCUUCUUUUUUUUUUUUUUUUUUUUUUUUAUCGAUUGCUGAGUAUUUAUAGGGGCCAAUCUUCCUCUCCCUCAACCUGACAUCUCUCCUUCUGAUAUGCAUGGUUAAGGGAGACCGUCUCUGCUAGGACUCAGACUCAAAGUCCAGUCCUUAUCUUGCCGGUUUGUGAUUAUCUUGAAGAAUAUGAUUGCUCUUCUGUGUUUGGAUAGGAUUAGGAAGUUGGUGUUUCACACAUUACUUUCCUUCUUUACAAGCGAAAUCUCAGCACUUAAAGAUGAAGAUGAAGAACCACGUCUGGUUGAAACGACGUUGUUUUAGGGUUGGAAAUGACUAUUUCCAAUCCGGUCCUUGAAGUUUCUGAAUAUUUGCAUUCAAACCCUUGGUCUUUUAAUUUCAAUUUUUUAACCCCCCUUAUCAUUAAAUUAAAAAACAAAAACGGUCCAAAUUUGGGAUACAACAUUACUCAUAAAUUGUAUGGAGAUAGAUAUGAAAAUUUUAUAUAGAUAUCUAGAGGCUUUUAUAUAGAGAUAUAAAGAUUUGGAGAUUUUAUAAAGAUAUAAAGAUAAGUAAUCUUUUAAUGUAAAACAUAACAUAAACUAUAUGAAGUAAAAGUUCAAAACACAUUUUAAAAAAUCUAAAUGUCAAAAGGAAAAGAAGGACUGACAUUUAAAUGAUCUAAUACCACUUUAGGGAAUGUUUGAUGGUUUGAAGAUGAGUCCUUCUGGGUAUUAAAAUGUUCUAUGAGAUUUUUCUCUUGCUUGGGUCAAACAUAGUCUUGAUGCUACUAAGGAGUUGUAUUUUUUUUUUUUAUAGAGAGUCAUUUAAAAUCCUUUUCAACUUUUGUUAGCACUAAUUAAUCAAUCCAUGAUGAUUUAUUUCCUCUAAGGCAAAUCAAGGUACAUUCCCCAUACAUUAUCUGAUUUCCUCUCACUAUGGCAUCUCUCUUAAUAGUGGGUAAUUUAAUGUCUAAGUACUUGGUAUUAAUCACAACAUUUAUUUAAAGAAGAAAAGGUUUCUCAAUGAUGGUAUUGUAAGUCAAUCCCAUCUUAAUCAUCAUAAAGGUAUGUUAGAGUGUUUGGCAUCCAAGAUAGUUACCAAUAGUUAUUAGUAUGUAUGUAGCAAUUCCAACUAGCAUGUCAUUUCCUUUUCCUUUUAUCACUAUUAAAAGAGUUUUUACUAAAAUCAGUUUAGAGGGGUAUAUGUCUAGUUGUACCAUCAUUUUUUUGGAGAGGAUGUUUACAUUACUCCCAUCAUCUAUGAACUCCUUAUGCAUCUUACGGUUGGAGAUGAUAAUGGUAACCAUUAUGAUAUCUUAAUGGAGAAAUGUUAUCCCUUCUCUGUCUUUAAGGGUAAACAUGAUAGUGUUAUGUCAUGGGUUCGUUAGUCAUGAGAAAACCAAAAUCUACUUUACAUAAGUUUUCUUAGCUUAAAUAAAGUCAUCACUUGUUAAAAUUCUACCUAGAAUCACGUUGAUUUUAGAAAAAAAAAAGUAAAAGCAUGUUAAUUUUUUAUAUAUAUAUUUCUUUCAUGUAAACUACUAGAGGUAACAUUUGGUAAUUAAUCCUUUUAUCUCCUUUUUAAAGUAUAAUAAUCCUUGGUAUUAUGCCUACUAUCUUUAUAAAAGAGAAAUAAUUUGUUAGGGUUGCUUUCAUUUGCAUUGCUCUUUAUUAGAGAAGGAUAUUGCACAAAUUAUCUUCCUCUAAUGGUUGUGAAUAACUAAUUUUAGGUGAUGUACAAAGGUGUGGUUAUAAGCUAAUAUAACACUAAUCUACAAUAAAUAAACUCCAUUGGGGUUUUUUUUGGAUGCCCUUAGACAAUUAGGGAUGAGAGAUCAAUAAUAUUUAGGAGAUUUUUCUUUCUUUUUUUGGAACCAGGGAUAUCUAUAUUUGGCCACGCUUACUUCUUCUACAAGAGUGUGGUUUUCCAUUUUAUGUUUAAAUUUAAGGAGAUUUUGAUCUAGGAAAACCUAUAGUCAUUCCUAUAAAAUAUAGUUAUAGAUCCCAUUUACCAAUAAGUAGGAUGAGAUGAGUGAUUAAAAUGAUAUUAUAAUUAAUAUAGAGUGUUAGUAUGGAAGAGUUUGGUUGUUGAGAAGUAACAUUAAUAAGAAGUGGUUAUUGAUAAAUUUUUAAGUGGUUGGUAUGGAACUUUUAAUGAUUGGUUGUUGAUUACCAUUAGUAAGAAAAUUAUAAAUUAUUUUUAAAAACAUGUAUUAGAGCUAGAGUACUUUAACAAUCAUGAAACAUUACUUGUUAUUGAAGAGAUGAACUUAAUAAAUUGGUGGCCAUAAGUUUCGGCCAAAUAGAGAAGAGAUGGAAGAAUGGACUUUUAUGUUAAUAUAACUAUAAAAUACUUGAUGUAAAUUAUUUAGAUUGUUUAGGUGAAGAACUUUAAAAGGAAAAUCUAUAGAAUUGGGUAUGUUAUAUUCAGCUAAAGAAAAGAAUUUAAAAAAGGGUUCUUUAAGAAUAAAUAUGUACAUGCAAAUUGAGGAUUGAUGUUUCUCAACAUGGUUACAAUGAUUUGAAUAAAAUAUACACGUAAAGUUAUUUUGAAAUUGAUUUGAUUAAGAUAUGUUUGAAUUCAUUUCUAUGAAUUUGUGAGGAACAAAGAGUACAAUGGAGUGUUAGUUGAAAACAUGUCAAGUUAAGAAUGAAACAAUUACUUAAAUUGAUGUGAUAUUUAUGUUAUUUUAGGACGUGUUGUUAUGUUGCAUUAAUAAUAACACUUGGAUUGUGUUAAAAUACAUAUAAAAAAGACUAAUUUGAAUGAUUAUAUGAUGCAUGAGAACAUCUAGUUGCUUGUCAAAUUUAUGUUCUCCAUGAAGUUGUAAUUUCAUAAAGAUUUAUCACCUAACUUUAAACAAAAAUCAAAACUUGAAAAUGAUGUAAUUUGGAAUAUGUUUUUUUAUUAAAGUUGUAGAUAUGAAUGUUAGCUUUUAAAAGAAACUAUUCUUCCUUAAUUCUAGUUUGUAAAACGUCAUACAUUAACUAGAAACCAUGGAAAGGUCUAGACUUAACUAAACUUGGGCAUAUUUCAGGUGCCAUUGUGAUGGUUGAUUUUAGGGUUGAAAACAACAAGACCGAGUGGUUCUUUCUUCAUAAAAUUUAUAUCUUUGUGUCCUCGCUUUCCAUCAAGAUAAACCAUUUGAAAAUUUGAGUUUCAAAACUCUAGUUAUGAUUAAAAUAUUACACAGUGUUCUAGGUUGAUUAGACUACACCAACUAGGAUUUGUAAAAUUCUAAUGCUUGCUUGGGCCAUGUUUGUUUCCCGGAAAGUAGUUUCCAGGAAACCAUUUUCCAAACUUUCAUGUGUUUGUUUGUCAUUAGAAAAGUUGGUCAACGGAAAACACUUUCCGGUCAACGGAAAACACUUUCCAGUCAACGGAAAACACUUUCCAGUCAAUUUCAGUCAAAAAAAAAAAUUUUGACUUGGUUUUUAGGAAAGUGUUUUUCCUUUAGCUGUGUUUGUUUUUCGAAAAGUGGUUUCCGGGAAAUCACUUUCCAAACUUUCUUGUGUUUGUUUGCCAGUAGGAAAGUUGGUCAAUGGAAAACACUUUCUAGGAAAAGGAAAAUUUGGCUUUGUUUUCAGAAAAGUGUUUUCCUGAAAAAUUUGAGGGGAAAACAUUUUCCGGAAGUUGUGAAAAAUUUAGAAAUGUCAUUAUUUGCUGAUUAUAUCAAAUUUGAUCCUCAAAUUUUUUAUUGCUAUAUAUAUUUUGUUUUGAAUAUUUAUUUUUCAAUUUUAUCUCUUAAAAUUUUAUUUUUAUAUUAACUUUGGUUCUUAUUUUUAUAAUUGCUAUUUGCUUUUUCCUUAUCAUUUUUUUAUUGAAAUUUUUUAUUUAUCAAAUUUGAUCCUCAUUCUUUUGAUUGUUACUUAUUUUAUUUGAAAUAAUUUAUGAAAUGUUGAUUAUUAUUAUUUUAAUUUCUUCAUUUUUAAUUUUUUUUAAUUUUUUAGAUUUGAUCCCUAUUAUUUUGAUUAUUAUUUAUUUUAUUUGAGAUAAUUUAUGAAAUUAUUAUUUUUUUAAUUUCAUUCUCAUUCAACUUUUUAAUUUGUAAGAUUUGUUCCUCACUAUUUUAAUAAACUUGAGAAAAAUAAAAUAUUAAUAAGUUAUUUUCCAGCUCAUUUUCCAUGACAUAACCAAACACUGGAAAGUGUUUUCCAACUCAUUUUCCAUUACACUAUCAAACAUCGAAAAAUACUUUCUCGGAAUUCACUUUCCCCGGAAUUCAUUUUCCAAAAGGAACCACUUUUCAGCAAACAAACGGAGCCUUGGAAUUGUUGUUAAUUGAGGGCCUUAACAUUUCAAACUAUAAGAAUGAGUUGUGUGAUUUAUUAUUAGGAAAAUAUAUAGAGGAAAUUAUAUAUAUAUAUAUAUAUAUAUAUAUAUAUAUAUAUAUAUAUAUAAUCACUAUCGUGUGAGAUAGCCAACAUGAGAAUGGAUAUUAUCGAGUAAAAGGGGCUUGACAUAGUGAUUCAACAAAUUCAUUAUGCCAAGUAAUGGCAAAUACUUCAAUUAUUGUAUGUGUGAAACUAGUUUUCCGGUAAUGGGCUAGUGACAUCAGUUUGUCUAACUACCAAGAAUAUUGAAUCUAUCUUAUAAGGUAAAGUAUACGCAUGAAUUAUACAUGGGUUGGAAAUUAUGAUAUUAUAAUUUUUAUGAAAAUCGAUCUAAUGAGUUGAAUGAUCAUGAAUAAGUUUUAAUUCUCAUAGGGUUGUAUUAUAUUCUAAUAUAGCAAAAUUAUUUAUUUUUCAAAUUCCACUCACACCAAAGUCCACAAGCUGAUAUCUAUAUUAUUUAUCUUAUGAUAUAGAUAUAAAUAUAAAUAUUAUAACUUGUUGAUGUUAAUCUAAUUUGUAUACCAUUCUUGAGUUUAGUUGACAUAGAACAAAGUUCAAGAUGAUUGGAUCAUAAUUGUAGUAUUGAAAUGGGAUAUUGAUGAAGAUGCCAAUAGUAUAGUCAAAGUAUAAGGAAAACUCUGCUGGAAUUUUGAUAGAGUAUAUUAAAUUAUUUUACAAGGUAAUUACGUGAAAUUCUAUCCAAAAUGGUUGAGGUUGUCAUAUAAAGUUAUGAAUAAGUUAUUUAGCUGACCAAUUGACAAUAAUAAUUAACAUGUAAUGGAGCAAGGUGUAUGUGAGUUUGAAUGUGUUGACACGUUAAUGAUUGAGUAUUAAAUUAGCUAUACCGACAAAGUUUAAAGGAAAAAAAUGAUUUGAGCAUGUCUUGCAAGUAUAAAAGCAAUGGAAGGUUAUGCGAUAAAUUAUAAAUAAUAGAAAUAUACAUGAAAUAAGUGGAAUGAAUAAUGAAUUAAGGAUAUUUCUUAAUAUAUCAAGGGUGUUAUAUGGAUUGAAGUAAGAUGUAUCAUAAAUGUAAUAAAUGCUAGGAAAGUAAAAAGGUGUCAUGAAUUAAAUAUGUUGUGAAUUAAAUAUGAUUACAAUGAGUUAUGAUAUGUAUUAAAGGUGAUUGAGAGAAGAAAAUAUCAUAUGAUUUAUAUGUGUUGAGGAAAUAAAUUAUGGGAAAAUUUCCAUGAGUUAAUUGUUUACAACAUGUAUGACCUAUAUGAGAAACAAAAACACCCUUAGAAGAAUAAGAUAAUAUCUUUCUAAUGUGAGAUAAAAACCUUUUGAAACAAUCUUUUAAACUUAAUUGUUUACAACAUGUAUGGCAUAUAUGCACAUGGAUUGCUUCUUAAUUUUUUCAUAUAAAAUAAUAAAACAUAUAUUUUUUUCAAUUUUUCCAGGUGACGGGCCAUGGCCGGGUCACUUUUAUUCAAAAUUCAGCUCUGCAAUUGGCCCGGAGUAAACCGAUCGACUUGCCAAAUCAACCUAAAACUUGGUGUAUAUCCUCAAGAUUGCCUCUUUCCUUGAGCAAGUUGAUAACUUUAAAAUAUGUCAUGCCUUGAGCAAGUUGAAUGUUGAUUGCCUCUUGCUUUUCAAUGAAUGCAUGCAAUGUUUCCUCAAGAUUUCUUCUAGGAGGUGGAGCAUAAGGAGGUGCAUAUCCAUGAGAAUUUUGAAAAUUAUGGUGUGCUUGAAACAGUGGCUGUGAAGUUUCUGCAUUAUUAUUAUCAUUCUUCCAACUUAUAUUUGGGUGGUUUCUCCAACCAGGUUGUAUGUUUGCGAGUAUGGGUUAUGAUUGGGCCUUUAAAAACUAUUUAAAGCAUGAGCUUGUUCAUGGAGGCAUUCCUUUAAAGAAGGCAAAGUUGGACAGUCAUUGGUUGCAUGUUCAUUUGUUUCACAGAUUUGACACACAAUGUCUUGAACAUAUUUUAAUUGACCACUCUUUUCAAUUCUAGUGCCUCGACUUUUCUAGCUAAAGAUGCAAACUUGGCUUGGAGGUCAUGAUCUUCCCUAAGGUUAUACAUACCUCCACUAGAUGUAUGAGGUUGGGUUUUACUUGGUGCCUCAUAAGUGCCUGUAGUGUCUCAAUUUUGCGCAUUUUCAGCUAGCAAGUCUAGGUACUCCAUUGCUUCAUUAGGGUCUUUAUCUUCAAAAGUUCCAUUGCACAUCAAUUCAACCAUUUGCCUAUCUUUAGGUGUUAACCCUUCAUAAAAUUGUGAAACCAAUCUCCAUGUUUCAAAACCAUGAUGAGGGCAAGUAUUAAGCAAGUCUCGAUACCUAUCCCAACAUUGGUAAAAUGUUUCACCUGGUUUUUGAGUGAAAGUGGUGAUUUGUCUUUAGAAAGAGUUGGUUCUGUGAGAUGGAAAAAACUUCUUUAAAAAUUGUUGCAUUUCAUCCCAAGCACGAAUGGAUCCUGACCUAAGAUUUUGUAGCCAUGUUUUAGCUUUAUCUUUUGAUGAAAAAGGAAAAAGCUUUAAUCUAAUGGUAUUCAUGCCACAAUUUAAGUCAUUAUAGGUGAUACAAACUUCUUCAAAUUCUCUCAAAUGCAAAUAUGGAUUUUCUAGAUCUAAGCCAUGAAAAGAAGGUAAAAGUUGAAUAAUGCAUGGCUUAAAAUUAAAAUGAGAUGCACCGGGAGGAAAAUUAUGCUAUGCACGGUGCACUUGUUCUUGUGGGAUUCAUGUGGUCUAUAAGUGUUCUAACACGGUUAUUCUUAUUAUAAAAUGACUGAUUAUCUUCUUUGGUUAUAUAUUCUAAAAAUGAUGAGGAUACCCUACAAAGUCUACAAGUUAAUGUACAUGACCAAACACUCAUGCACGUGUAGAAAGAGAAUAAAAGGAAGAAGAAAACAAAACAAAAGGAAACAAAACAAAAGAAACAAAGUUAGAUACACAAAAAGUGAAAAGCGAAAAUAAAAUAAAUACUAUAAUUUAUACAAGAAUUUACCUCCCCGGCAACGACACCAAAAACUUGACAUGACUAAAAGAUUGAUGUCUUCUCCCAAGUGCAGGAGUGUCAAAGUAAUAAAUAACCCGGCAAGACUGGGGUCGAACCACAUGAAGGUUAAUUGUAUAAAUUAUAAAUAACAAUAAUACAACAACAACAACAACAACAAUAGCAACAAUACUAACAGUAACAGUAAUAGUAAUAGUAAUAGUAAUAGUAAUAGUAAUAAUAAUAAAGAAGAAGAAGAAGUUGAUGAGAAUUUUGAGAUGAAAGAUCAAUGUAAGAAUUAAACAAUGAUAAAAACAAGUGUCAAGAUUAGAGGAUCCACUAAUGGUAUUUCAAAUAAGUAUAAUAUAAACUCUUAUUAUUCAACUUAAAACCACAUACAAAGAAGGUUCCAAUUAGAUUAUAAAUUAUUAACAUGAUCACAUUAGUUAUCUUAUUCUAAUAAUACUAAUACUUGUAAAUAUUGUCAAGUAUUCAUGAUUAUAACUUAUAUUAACAACAAAUCAAGUUCAUUUCAUAGCACAUGUGUAGGUUAUACCAUACGGUUGGGCUAUGAAAGUGCCAAGCAUUUGUUGUACCAAGUGUUAUACAACACAAAUCUAGAUUAACCAUUUAACAAGCAAAGUAUUAAGAGUGAACAAGAUAACAAAUACAAAACAUAUUAGUAUCAAACAUUAAAUUCCAUGUUGAGUUUACACUAUACUUAUUCUUACACCAUUAGUGUAACCUUUUCACCUUGACAUAAUAAACUUAGCUAAACAUAAUGAAAGAGAGAAACAUAAAUAAGAUACAAGUUAACUAAGUAAAUGAAAGGAAAUGAAAAGCAUAAACAAAAUAUUAAUGAAAGCAAAACUUAAGAAUUAUAAAAAAUAUAAAGAGAGAGAGCGAAAGCAAGAGCAAGAGCAAGUUCUUGAUCUAAACAACCAAGCUCCUAAAUGCAUGGCAAAUGCCUCCUUUUAUAGGCUAAAAUUUAGAACUAUUGAUUUGAUGACUAAUUGUUGAGUGGACGGCCAACUCUUGACUUGGAGAAAAUUUUUAUCUUCUUGUCUGAAUAAAACGUCAUUGCUAACAUCAGAACAAGAACCAACUAUACUCAUGAAAGUUAUAGGAAAUUGUCUUAUCUUUCCAGGAAAAAAAUUGAGGACAUUUGGACUUCUAGAACUCGAGAUAUGGGUUGAACACUGAAUAGUGUCUGGCCUGCAAGACAGAUUCGAACUUAUCUGUUGUUGCUAUAAUUUGAACUUGAAAAAGACCUUUUUAAAUCUUGGACUCCACAUGAAAGUUGUAGGCAUAUGUCUUACCUUUCCAUCCAUAUAAAGCAUACCUAAAUCCAAAAUCUACAACUCCAGAUAUGACCCAAUUACCGAAUAGUGUUCCAGUUUGGACUACACCAACAUCUCUUUUCUAAGUUUGGCCCUCUCUUUGUCCUUUCAAUUUCAAUACUUAAACUCAUCAAUCAAUCCUUUCAUUUAUGUGAUAGGCCUGCAUUUAAGAUGAAUAUUUACCAUAAAUUAAAGGUAUCUUAUAUUAUUAGGUAUGUUAUUAUAAAACAUGCUUUAGUUAAGGAGUUAUUGAUACUUUAAGUGCAAAAUGAUGAUAUAAAACCUUGAUAAAAAUGCACUUUUAAGUAUUAAUCACUUUCUAAUAUGGAACAAAGAAUCUUUUGAAAUAAUCUUUUAAACUUAAUUGUUUACAACAUGUAUAGCAUAUAUCUACAUGGAUUGUUUCUUAAUUUUUUCAUAUAAAAUAUUAAAACCUCAAAUAUUUUUUUAAAUUUUUUCGGGUUGACCUGAGUCAACCCGUAUAACCCUGGACCAGUCCCUUGGCUAGGUCAAUCCCUAGGUCUGGUUUUAUAACUAUGAUUGACAUGAAAAUAUAACUUUAAAUAAUACAACUGAGAAAAAAUAAAGUGACAUGUUUGGUUAAAAAGCUAUAUAAAAAAAUAGACAAAACUUUCUCUUUUUAUUUUGUUCAAGGCCUCUUUUAAAAGAUAUUGAUUUUUUUGUUCUAUGUUUAAUUUUCAGAGUGUUUUUUGUGAUUCAUCUAUGGUUUUUUUAAUCCUUUAUAUAGAUAAUCUAUGUUUUUGAAAAUAAAAAAUAUUUAUUUUUAGAUGAUAUUUUUAAUAUGUGUAGCCUUCCGUGCUAUUUUUUUUUUUUAUUUAAUCAAUUUAAUAUUUUAGUUUUCAAGAUUCAAUACUUUAAUCUAUAUCUAUCUCUUAUUCUUUCAAGUUUUGUUUUAAAAUAUUAUUAAUAUUUUUUUAUUAAUUUAUUAAUGGAAAUAAUUUUUAAUAAUUUAAUAGCAGCGGGCCCGCUGCGUAGGGGUGAGCAUUUUCGGUUCGGUUCGGUUUUGAACUGAAAAAAACAACCAAACCGGUUCUUCUUUUUUUUGAAAAAAAACCGAAACCGAACCGAAACCGAGUCAAACCAACCGGUUUCGGUCCGGUCCGGUUCGGUUUUUUAUUUCAAAAAACCGAGAAAACCUAUAUGCAAACGAAUUAAAAGCCAAAAAUCAACACCAUUCAUUUCAUUCCAAAUCCAAAACUCUGCUAUAAAUCAAGACCCCUAACCAGAAUACAUCAAAUAGGUAGAUCAUGAAUCAAACAAACCUAAACCUUUAGAGGAUGAAGUUAUUCACAACUCCAGUUAAGUCAAGUACUUUAUCAAAAUUAUUUCAAUUGCCCUUUUAGUUUCAACGCUUUGAAGCCAUAAAAACAGGUUGUUCAACUGUUAUAAUUUUUAUCAUGCCUUGAUCAUAACAAUGGAUAUUGAAAUGGAAGGAUCCAAGGGCUCCCACGCAUCUUUCAAAAGAAGAACAUCUAGCAUAUGAUGUCCUCUCACUCUCCCAAGUGGUCGUCGUUUAACAAACUAAACCCCUAAAAAAUUCUUGCAACUUGUAUAAUUAGUAAACAAGAAGAUAGCCAGGAAAUGGAAAGUAGCAGAGAAAAAAAGCAGGAAGCAACGAGGACAUGGCCAUGUAUAUCAAUGGAAAAACAAAUUAAAAAGGUGAGAGGGGGCUGCUGGGAGGUAGAGGGAGAGAAAGAGGGGGCUGCUGGGAGGGAGGGGGAGAGGGGGCUGCUGGGAGGGAGAUGGAGAGAACGAGUGAGAGGGGGGGGGAUAAUUUUUCUAUUUAUAGUGCUUUUUUUGAACCGGUUCGGUUCGGUCCGGUUUAACCGGUUCCUGCAUUACAAAACCGAAAACCGAACCGAACCGGGAUUUUUCCUAACUAUUCUAAUCGGUUUAAUCGGUUUUUUUUUCGGUUCGGUUUUUUUGGUUAAUUUUUUCUUGGUUUUCUCGGUUUUUUCGGUUUUCCGGUUUUUUUGCACACCCCUACAAUGCAAUAUGAGCAAUAUUAUAUUUAUUGUACAAAACAUGUUCUCACUAAAGUUAAAGAACACGCAGCUAACAUAAGAAAUAACAUUACACGUGCGCCUCUACUCUCCACACGUUGCAACCUACCACAAGGUCCGCAACCAUCUCCCAGUCUCCGUCUUCCCCUCCUAUAUAGUUAUUAGAAAUCUCACAUUUCUAUGCAGUUUUUCUUCAAGUUAAUACACUAAACAGGAGAUAACCAUGUCUCCUCUAAUACUUUACUCGGCACUAUUGGCCAUCUUCGUGUAUUGCCUUCUUCAGCUGCGAAGCCUUCGUGACCGUCACGGCAAACCCCUUCCACCAGGCCCAAAACCAUGGCCCCUAGUUGGAAACCUACCCCAUUUGGGGCCUAUGCCUCACCACUCCAUGGCAGCCCUGGCAAAGACUUAUGGACCUCUCAUGCACCUCCGGUUCGGCUUCGUCGACGUGGUGGUGGCGGCAUCGGCUUCCGUGGCUACUCAGUUUUUGAAAGUACAUGAUUCCAACUUCUCUAGCAGGCCACCAAACUCCGGUGCCAAACAUAUUGCGUAUAAUUACCAAGACCUUGUGUUUGCACCCUAUGGGCCACGGUGGCGCAUGCUUCGGAAGAUCAGCGCCGUCCAUCUCUUCUCGGCUAAGUCCUUGGAUGAUUUUAGACAUAUUAGACAGGUUAAGUUCAUUUCAUUCCAUAUUUCUUAAUUAACGCUUGUGAUAUAUCUUGAUCUGUACAGCACCGCGCCUGCGCUUGCGUGAUUUAUUAAUUACAUUUGCCCCUUGGCAGAGCCUUGGUCCAGUAAUAAGCCUGUUUGGUUUCCUAAUAAAAAAUUAACCAAACAAACCAUACACGUAUGUAUGUAACGUUUUUUUAUUUUGUUUAGAUUGGCUUGUACACUAAAAUGGUUUUUUUUUGGUUUGAAUAAUAUCACUUGCUAGCGUUUGGCUUUGGACUAGUAUUCUUUGCCUCUCGCUAAUGGAGGUAGUAGGUACUAGCUUCAUCAGAUUAAUUUCUAACAAAUGCUUAACCUCACAUUGAUUAAAGUUAUCUUCGUAAUUUAUUGCAAAUUGUUGGUCGUUGACAUGGUUUUUUUUUUUAUUAUUAUUAUUUGGUGUGUUUAUUUACCAUGUAUAUACACUCUGCGUGCAGGAAGAAGUGGCAGUGCUUACAGGGGCACUGACAAGAUCAGGUCCAACUACACCAGUGAACUUGGGUCAAUUGCUCAAUGUUUGCACAGCUAACGCUCUUGGGAGGGUGAUGUUAGGGAGGCGCGUGUUCGGAGACGGCAGUGGUGAUGGUGACUCGAAGGCAGAUGAAUUCAAGUCAAUGGUGGUGGAGGUAAUGGUGUUGGCUGGCGUGUUUAACAUCGGUGACUUUGUUCCUGCUUUGGAGUGGCUUGACUUGCAGGGUGUAGCAGCUAAAAUGAAGAAGCUUCAUAAGAGAUUUGAUGCUUUCUUGACUAACAUUGUAGAGGAGCAUAAAACCAACAGCAGCACUGCUUCUGUUAGAUCAGAGAAGCACAAUGACAUGUUGAGCACAUUGAUUGCUCUGAAGGAGCAGCAGGACGUUGAUGGUGAGGAAGGGAAGCUCACAGACACUGAAAUCAAAGCACUGCUUUUGGUAUUUAUUUCUGAUGCCUUCUUAGCACUAAUUUAGUAGAUAUGCUCUUAAAAUCAUUAAAAAAAACAUUUAAUUUCAAUCAAUGCGUGAUUUAUUUUGGAAAAUAUAUCUUACUAUCGAGUGAAAAAACCAAGUCUAUUGCCUUGUACUGUUAAAAUAAAGUAAUUAAUUGUUGAUAUCAGCUAAAUCAUUAAGAAUUAACAAUAAAAAUAAUAAGUCAACUAUAGAAAAGCACCUUGUCAACCUCCAUAACAGAGCUGACUUGCGGUUGCAGAAUAUGUUCACAGCUGGCACCGACACAACGUCGAGCACAGUGGAAUGGGCUAUUGCAGAGCUUAUGCGGCACCCAGACAUCCUGGCCCAGGUCCAACAAGAGCUCGACUCCGUCGUCGGUCGAGACCGUCUGGUGACUGAAUUGGACUUGGCGCAACUCACCUACCUCCAAGCCGUGGUCAAGGAAACCUUCCGGCUCCACCCUUCAACACCGUUGUCUCUUCCACGCAUGGCCGCGGAAAGCUGCGAGAUUGGCGGCUACCAUAUUCCGAAGGGCUCGACUGUUUUGGUGAAUGUAUGGGCCAUAGCUCGCGACCCCGAUGUAUGGACUAAGCCGCUUGAGUUUCGGCCAGAAAGGUUUCUUCCCGGAGGGGAAAAGGCUGAUGUUGACGUUAAGGGAAAUGAUUUUGAGCUUAUACCAUUCGGUGCUGGGCGUAGGAUUUGUGCAGGGAUGAGUCUCGGGCUGCGUAUGGUUCAGCUAUUGACUGCAACUUUGAUCCACGCCUUUGACUGGGAUUUGGCCGAUGGGUUGGUGCCGGAGAAAUUGAACAUGGACGAGGCAUAUGGUCUGACUUUACAACGUGCCGCCCCCUUAAUGGUGCACCCUAGGCCAAGGUUAUCCCCCAAAGUCUACCGGACACCAAAUUAAUAAAAAAGGAUAAUCAUGAUGCUAGCGUUUUUUUUUUUUUUUAGGGUCUAUUUAUCUGUGUUUGAUAUGUCGAAAAAAAUCAGACUUUGCCGUAUGAGUUGUCUGAUGAUUUUCAAUGUUGUAUAACUAAAUGCAAAAUAAAUCGUUUUUUUUUUUAAUUAUCACUUAAUAAUUUUUAUUAAUUGGUAAUUAGAUAAUAAUUUGUUUUUUUUUUUAACCCGAUUCCAAUCACAAUCAUGAGAGCAACUUUAACGUAGCGAGACAGCUAAAAAAAAAAAAAACUUUUACCUAUUAUUUUAAUUUUAAUAACUCUAAUAGGAUAGUAAUAUAAAUAGUUCAAAUGCUUUUUAUUCCUCUAGAAUGUUAUUUCUAUAUUUGUUUUCUACAUAUAUCUGUACGUCUCUUUCCUUUGUUUCCCUUUUCAAAAAUAAAACAAAAGGAAAAAAAAACCUGCCUUGUGCCUCAACUGAAUUACUCAUAUUAUAAAUUACUUAUAUUACUCAUAUGAUUAAUAACACCAUGACUAUAUUAUAUAAAAAAUAACUAAAUUAAUUAUAUAAUUGUAUUAAAAUUAAUUUAAUAUAAAAUAUAUUAAAAUAUAAUUAAUUUUUUUAAAUGAACUUUUACAAUUAAAUACACAAACAAAAAAACUAUACUUAUACUAUUUAAAAAAUCAUUUUAUCAAUCUAGCAUUAAAGAUGCUCUUACAUCAUCGUACGUAUAUUAUAAAUUGCAAGCAAAACAAAAGUAGGUGGCCCCACAUAAAGAGGGCCUACGCAGUCACCAGCUCUCGUGUCAAUUGUUUUAUAGUUCAUCUAAAUCUAAACCUAGUAUAAUAUAUAUAUAUAUAUAUAUAUAUAUAAAGGAAGCCUGGACCCCCACAUAAAGCGGGUGUACGCAGCUAGCAUUAUUAUUAUUAUUUUUUUUUGAAGAGUUUUGUCCACCCUUUUUUACGACAAAAAAGAGGGUAGAUGGCACAUCAUCUACGUGCCUAGAUUUCCAUCACCAAUGAAAGUAGGAUAUUUGCGCUAGAUAAUGUUUUUAUUUUUUUACAUUUCAAUUUUUUUUAAAUUUAUAUUUAUAUUUUAUUUAUAUUUUUUUUUAAAUUAAUAUUUUUAGUGUAUUUAUAUCAUUUUGAUGCGCUAAUAUAAAAAUAAUUUUUUUUAAAAAAAUAUUAUUUUAAUACUUUUUUUAAUAAAAAUAUUUUAAAAAAAUAAUAACUAUAUUUCCAAAUAAAUUUUAUUUUUUUAUUUAAUAACAUCCGGUAGAUAUUAUUAAUGUAUGAAUAAAUUUAUUUAUCAUUUAAAAACACCUUUAAAUUGAUUAAAAACAAAAAAUUAAACAAAAAACAAAAAUUAUUAUGCUAUUUUUAGCUAGACAACAAGGUAAUAAAAUCUAUUAAUGAACUCAUCUUAUCAAAUAUAAUUUAUUAAUACCUUCAAAAAUUUUUCGUUGUUGUCAUUAAAAUAAUAACUUUUUUUUUUCAUGAAAGUCAAGAAAAGAAGCAAACCUCCUUAAUCAUGGGCUAAAUAUGUGUUUGGGACAUGGUGUAAAGUGUUUUUUUAUUUAAAAAUAAAUUAAAAUAAUAUUUUUUAUAUUAACACAUUAAAAUUAUUAAAAAAUAAUAAAUAAAACAUCAAUUUAAUAUUUAUUUCAUUCUAAACACUUUUAAAAUACAGAUAAAAAAGCAUAAUACCAAACAGUCUUUUAAGCAUAUAAUACUCAUUAAAAAUGAGGAGAAUUAAGUUAAACUGUCCUUAUAUUACAUAAAGAUAUUUGUUUGAAGGUUAAAUUAGAGAAUAGCAUAAAAUAUAAGGAUAUACUGGGAGCAAUUAGAAUUGCAAGGACAGAUUGGAGACUAGUCAUUCAAUACAAGGACAAGUUGAGCUCAUUCUCUCAAAAUUAGUUUAACCUUUAGGGCUAAAACGUAAGAAAACAAAAAACUGAGGGACUUAUUGUGUAGUUAAAGUUUGAACAGAGAUCCAUCUCCACUUUCGAGCUCGCUAAUGCUGAAGGGGACGACCCUCUUAACUCCCCUCCUCCUUUCUCCACCGGAAUUUCCCUGUAACAGGUCAAUCCUCUCCACCACCACCUUUUUUUACCGAUCAGAUCAUCUGAAAAUCGAUUAUGAUUAUUUGAGUCAAUUAGAAACCCUAGAAAAAACAAAUGACGGAACAACAACAAAUUAUGAACAACAAUACCAACAGUAAUGUUCCGGUGAGCGAAGUGUAUUGGUCUCUCGUCGAUAAAGCCGAUAAAAAGUUCUCCAAAAUAAGAGACCUGCCUUACUAUGAACGCAACAGGUUCUUCCUCGCUUCUUCUUCUUCUUUAACUUUUUUUAUCUUUUAAUUAAUUAAUUAUGGUUUUAUUUUGGGUUGUGGUGGUGGUGGUGUUGUUAGGUAUGAUACGUAUUUUUACAAGGUAUUCAAGGUAUACACGCAAUUGUGGAAAUUUCAACAGGAAAAUCGGCAGAAACUGGUAGAAGCGGGGUUAAAACGAUGGGAGAUAGGGGAGAUUGCAUCGCGGAUUGCUCAGCUUUAUUACGGGCAGUAUAUGAGGACGAGUGAUUCCAGCUAUCUGUCUGAAUCCUAUGUUUUUUAUGAAGCAAUUUUGAGUAGGGAGUAUUUCAAAGAUGGAUUGUUUCAGGAUCUUAAUCUGGCCAAUAAACAACUCAGGUUUUUUGCUCGUUUUCUGAUGGUUUCUUUGGUUUGGAACCGCCGUGAAAUGGUUCACCAGUUGGUUAAUCUACUCAAAAUCUUGGUUGAUGAAUGUAGGAAGGCAUUCCAGGUCAUUCUUUUUUUCUUGUCUGUUGUCUUGGUUUCAAUGAAUUAUGAAUGCUCUUUGCUUCACCUUUUUUUUUUUUGUUUCAUUGAGUUUAUGUACAUUUGAGAAUUGGAGCUUGAUAGGGAGAUUUUGUGUGUUUUAUGCUUAUGUUGUUUAUUUUCUACGUUCUGAUUUUGAUCAGAUGUCUGGAUACUUAAGUUUUGAAAUAUCAUGUCUUGAUCUUGAUGUUUAUGAAUUUUUCAUGGAGAUGAAAAUCAUUAAUCAACAUGUUUCAAAUUAGCUAAGGCUCAAUAGUGAAGUGUUGUCAGUGUUGUGCUAUCUUAAACAGAUGAUAUGCUUUAAGCGUGUAACUAGCACUGCUUCUCAUCUUGUACAUUGUCAUGAAAUAGUUGUGUUUUUUCCUUUUAAGAUUAAGAUAAUGAUAUACUGUCAGUUGUGUAAAUUGUUAACUCAUGUGACUUUUUAUGCAAAUAUUCAUCCUACAUGAUGGAUGCUUGCCGUAAUUAGUGUACAAAACAUUACCAAGUCAUGAAUGACAACAAAAUAUCACUAUCCUACUUUUGCUUUUACAUGGAUUGAGUGGUGAAUGAUGACCUUCUUUUGAUCUUGUUUCCAGGAAACUGAUUUUAAAGAAUGGAAGCUGGUGGUUCAGGAAAUAAGCAGAUUUUUGAAAGCUGACACCGCUUUUAUGAAUACCAGGCCUUUAAGAUAUAGUCUUGUACUGGAUCUUCAUCCAGAUUCACUACCACGUGUUGCAACUAGAAGAAGCUUAAAAUUACGAGAUGCAAUAUUGAGCAGCUACCAUCAUAAUGAGGUUAGGUAUUAAGGUUCUUUCUCCCUUUCUGUCCAUAUCGACAGAAGGAUCUUGUGUGUAUGAUUUGAACUGAGAUGUUUUGUUGACUUGUGUUAUCCAAAUGGUGUUAUAUGGCAUGCAUAAACUGUUACUGUUUUGCUUCUUUAUCAGGUCAAGUUUUCAGAGCUGACAGUAGACACAUUCAGGAUGCUUCAGUGCCUGGAGUGGGAACCAAGUGGUUCAUUUUAUCAGUCCAGCAGCGCUAAAAUUGGUCAGAAUGGGGGUUCAGGGUCCAGUCGCAUUAACCAUGCCCAGGAUAUAGCUGAUCCUACGUUGCCACUAAACCCAAGGAAAGCUGUCCUGUAUCGACCCUCUGUAACUCAUUUUUUAGCAGUGAGUAUGGUGUAAUGUAUCAGCUCCUUCCAUCAUUGCUUGAGCUCCAAUAAUCUGUCCUUUCUCUGUUGACUUGUGUUGUCAUGCAAUAUCCAAGUCAAGACAUGUGUCAUUCAAAUGAAGAUUGUUUCAUGUUGUCAUCCUAGUCAAAUAACUGACUGAAAUGUCUGCUUUUGGAUGGUCCAUUGUUAAAUUUAUGAGUUCAGGAUUAAAGCGAUUGGUUGAAAUGUAAAAACUGUGAUGUGCAACACUAGGGGAAUUAAGGGUCUCAUGCCUCGAAACUUUCAUGAAGCAGAUAAUUGAUGUCAUUAAUUGCCAAAUUGUGGGACUGUCGUGUUGAAAACUUUCAUGAUGGACUUGUGCUUUCUCUGGGCAGGUUCUGGGCACAAUUUGUGAGGAGCUAGCCCCUGAUGGAGUUAUCUUGAUAUAUUUGUCUGCUUCAGGUUGUGUACUUUUGCUUUAUCUCAGACCUUUGCCGUGUACUUUUGCUUUAUCUCAGAGCUCAAAGCCCACCCUUUUCCUCUAUUUAAGGAAAUGCAAAGUUGGCUUGCCUCUUACAUCAUUUAAAUUGUUUCAGGAAGAGUUGGACACACUAUUUCACCUCCCUCAGGUGCUGGAACUUCUAUCAACACUACAGAGAACACAGUGAGAAACUUUCAGUCUCAUGCCAUGUACUUGGAUGCAGUCACCAUUUCUCCAUUUAGCUCAUCAAGUAAUAUUCCAAAUCCUUCUUCAAGGCAAAGUAAAUCGGACUGCUUGCAUUUUGGUACACGUGGGAAUGGAGGUACUAUUUACAAUAUCAUGAACUUUGCCAGCUUAAUGCACUUAUUUUGAUGCAAAAAUAACCAUUUUCCGUUUUGCUCCCCAUGUGAUAGCUUGAUCAAUUAUUUGGUGCAAAGUUAAAGAAAUAAAUUAGUAAUUCUACCUGUCCAUUGUUUUUCUACCCUGCUAUUCCCAUUUAUAUACUGCAUUUCCCCCCUCAUAUUCUUAGACCUUCAUUGGUCAUUCCUUGCAUGUGAUAUUUUCUCGACAAAUAUACUUCUCCUUUUACCAAGCUGGAUGUUAGCUUAGCAUGACGGAGUAAAAAGAACUAUCUACAAGCCAAAUCUUUAUGCAUGACUACCCAAAUGUGUUUUUUUAAUGAUUCUUUCUGAUUUGCUUAAAUUGUUAAUGCAUUUCUGAAAAUUAAUUUCAUUGAAAAAAGUAUUUAACAUGAUACAAGAGAAAUAUUCUUUACAGGACAGCACCAGAGGCAAAAUACAAUAGAAGAAAAAGAAAAAGAAAAAAAGAAAAAGAAAAAGAAAAAGAAAAAGAAAACUUUCAAGAACUUUAGAAAGGAUCACAAGAAAUAGCUUCCAUUAAAAUUGAAAACUAAAGUGAACAAGCUCUUCAAAACCUUAGUCUUCACACCUAACAUAAGUCAAUCUGCUCCUUCGAAGGCUUAAGAAUUCCUUGCUCAAAAUUACAAAUUUCAAAGUGAUGCCAUUCUCCUACAAUGAUAUCACCCCUCACAGCACAUCAUCAGCUUGAACACUACUCUAAGCAUAACUGAAUGGAAUGAAUAUUGAAAAAGCAUCUCAUGUCAGACUGGGAAAAGGAACAUAAGAUGAUUAAAGAGGCUCAACUACUGUGCAAAGUUUUUUUCAAAGGACUUAUAUUGCAGCUCCUCUCACCAUUAAAGGGCACUGCUUGGGACUUGAGAGAAGUUUUCAUAUCUGUUUGUACAAUGAGACUGGUAAAUAAUGCAUAAUGGUCACUUAUGUUAACAGAAAAAAGUGUAUGAUCUAAAUCUCAUCAAUCGAUGAACUAAACCUGGCCAUUGCACUACUGGAUAAUAUUUCUGGAGAGCUAUUCUGACAUUAAACUAAUCCUUUUCCAGGAUUAAACAGCAUUUAUCCCACUGACUUAAUCCCAUUUACGAGAAGGCCACUUUUUAUAGUCAUUGACAGUGAUAGCAGCGAAGCAUUCAAGGCAAGUAUGUCUUUUCUUGAGCUUUGUAAAACUUGUAGAUGUAUUUCCUUGACUUUGUUAUAAGGCUCAUGGUUUUACAUGUAAAGGUUUUCACGUGUAAUGAUGAUCAAAACGGAUGAUCUAAAGUUGAUCAUUUCAAAAGUCUUAUCUAUUCAUGUCAGUGGAUUUGAAAAAGUGACAACUGAAUAGCACAUUUGUGGUAGACAGUGGAGAAAUUCUUUAAUACUUUGAAUAACAUGGAGAAGCUAACUAGCAAGGUGCCCGAACUUUGUUCUGUAAACUUGGCUAAAAGCUUCAAUUGCUUUCGUUAUUAUUGUUAAAAGGAAAGGGGAGAUGCAUUGUAAUUUAUCCUUUAAAUUAAGCAUAACGAGUUUUGACCUGGAUCAUCUUCUUUACUUGAGAGGAUAUGGCCAUCAAUUUGAGAAUGCCAACUACCUUAACUUGGGUCAUGUCACGAUCUUUACUUUUGUAGGCUAUAAGUGGAGCUGAGAAAGGAGAGCCAGCUGCUAUCAUCCUAUCACCAAGCUGUUCAAUUCCUCUUACCACAGGUGAUUCUUCUCGUCAUCACAGUGGUAGUCUGCUCACCAUGUUUCUGUCAACUCCUCUGCAGGCUUUUUGUCUGUUAAUUGGUUUGUCAGGACCUGAUGUCGAAAUGGUAAGAUUUAACCCCAUUCUAAUUCAAUCGUGGUGAUUUAGUUUCUGUUGUUUACUUAUUGAUUAAAUGGGUUUCAGGAUACAUAUAACAAGGCUGAGAAGCUGCUUUCUUCAUCAUUGAAUGCCUGGGGUUUGACUCUGGCAACAUCAGACAUGCUCGAUCCUGUUUGGGCACAGAUUUUAGGCGACCCAUUUCUUAGGCGUCUUCUUUUGAGGUACCAUUCAAUUGUUCCUAUGGGUCCUGCUAGGUUAAAACUUGUAGUCCUUGUACAGUUGCACAUUUGAUAGGCACUGACAAGCUUGUCCAAGCGAUGACAUCACAUGUACUGACAGGAAAAAUUAAUGCACUUCAGCUGCUGGUUCCUGUGAGUUUAUGGAGGGAUAUUCUCAAGCUUUCUCAAUUAUUGAGAAACAUGAAGUCCAAGAUUUUGAAAAGAUAUUUUAAGAGCACAUGUUACCAAACCCUCUCCAAGGUCACCACCAUAGCCAGAGUCACUGUUAUAACCACAACCACAACAAAAAUCAAUAGCUUGUUGCUUGCGUUGUCAUAUCCAACGUAAAAGUGUUUGACUCUAAAACUAGUAUUUCCUUAUGACUCGAGUGAUUUAUAGAUUUUGUUUCCCUUCAUUAUUAAGUGGCAACAAUGAUUUGACAAGUCCAUUAGAGAGGGAAUCAACUGUAUUCCCAGGGGUUUAGAGCUGACAAAAUUCAUUCCCCUUUGAUGGUCCCUCUAGUUUAUUGCAUGGAAAUAGAGCUUGCCCUCCAAAGAUUUCCCAUUAUGGAUGUGUCAGAUACCAGGAGAAACUCGAAUUACCUGACAGUUGAUUAUGCGAUUAAGUUUCUGUUUCCGUUUGCAGAUUCUUAUUUUGCCGGGCAGUGUUGACUCUAUUUGCACCAUCCUCUGGGAAGAAGGAAUUUCAUCCUGAGUGCAUGCCAUCUCUUCCGACAUCUCUCCAACCUAACGCCUCCGCAUGUCAAACCGUGGUUCUGCAGAUGGCCACCGUCUUUGGUGCAACAAAGAAAUUCAUUUUCUCAGAAGGCAUUGUACUUCCUGCGCACAGUGAUGUAGAGAUGGCAUCGUCCUCGUAAAAAUGUGUUCAUGCUUCGGAAACGGGGAUUUGACAAGUGUAAUUUUUAUGCAUCUUUAUCUGUUUGAUUGGAUACAGGGUUUUGGAUUUGUCAUUACGGAUGCUGCUGCUGUUUUUCAUCAUCAAGCUUAUUCCUAAUCCACUAGAACAUCUGUAGAAAGUAGCACCGACACUAUUCUCGCCUGUCUUCAGCAAUUGAAUAGAUGGAUCACCAUAGCCAAGGUUGGGUCAGUGUCAUGAAAGCCAUGUCGGCAAUAAAUCUUGCGUAUUCUGUGAGAGCAAAGUCGGCAAGAAAAAAAAAAAAAAAAAAAAAAGCAAUUCAUUUCCUUGUUUGAAACAGGUACACGGAUAUGAGUGCAAGCAUAUCAAGAGAAGAAAUGUACAACGAAUCAAAAUCUUAGCAUGUGAUAAUUCAUCAACUGCUAGUCGGAAUGAUAAAUGGAUCAUAUCGUUGAAUUCAGAAACAAUAAGAUGUUAACCAUUUCUUGUGAAAGAAUGCAGGCCAGUCAAAGGUGCUAGUUACAGAGCGUGUUUGGUAGUGUGGUAGCUGUUGCUUUUCAAAUAGCUUUUCGUGCUGAAAUAUAUGCUAAUGAUGUUUUUUUAUUUUUUAAAAAUUAUUUUUGACAUCAGCACGUCAAAACGAUCCAAAAAGUACAAACCGAACUCAAUUUUAGCAAAAAAAAAUAAUAAUUUGAAAUUUGACGAAACGCAGUUUCGACCGCACUACCAAACGGUCCCACAAUCCUUGUGUUAAGAUAAAUUUUAUUUGGUCCUUGAAUAUGCAAUUGUUUCAAAUAAAGUAUUCUAUUAUUUGAUUUGACAAAUAUGAUUCAGAAUUGUUCCACAAAUUUCUAAUUUUGGCUAUUAUAUUUUAUUUUUAUAAUAAGAUAUAUCUAUUUAUUGUGAAAAUUUCAUAUGAUUAAAUUGAAUUUUAGUCGAAAAUUUAUUUAAAGUACAAAACCAUCUCUACCAUAUUUUCGAGACAUGUCCACUUAUUUUCAAAAGUAAAACUUGUCUCAAGGGGGCAUAUGUAAAAAAAAAAAAAAAAAAAAUUCUACCAAUCAUAUUUCACCAUGUGUUAUUUUUAUUUUAUUCUUUAUGAAAUGAUAAAAAUAAAAAUAAAAUAAAUGACAUAGAAAUUAAAUGAGCCUCUACAUAUUUCUUAGCUAAUAAAAGGUUGACACUUGGGAUGAGAUAUUCAAUAUAUCUUGUCUGAAUGCAAGAUCCCAUCAAUAUAUUUAAUUAUGGAUGAGAUAUUCAAGAUUUAUUUUCAUAAAAUAUAUGGUCAACCAAUAUAAUAAUGUCACGUGGCAUUAGAAAAAGGACCUAGAAGCCCCUGCAAACCUCUAUAAAUAGAGGGCCUCAACUUAGAGAAAAAGAAGAAGGAAUUCUUGGAGAUACAAAUUUUCUUCAAGACAAGCUCUUCUAGUAAGGAAGUUCUCUCAAAAGUUCUCAAGCCUUCUUUAUCUGCGCUUAAAGUCUAUUAAGAACAAAGGUCUAUUGGAUCAAACCUAAGCGUCCCAUAAAAGUUCUUCAAUAACACUUUGAAGACAAAUCAAAUGUACUCUUCAAAGUAUCAAAUCACCAAAUCUUCGCUUUGCAAUACACGCUCAAAUUCAUGUUCUUGCAAAGCACAAAUCUUGACUUGAUUUCUCAAAUAAAUCAAGUCACCAUAUAUCAAAUCCAAAGAAAGAAUCAGAGGAUUAUCUUAUUUUUUUAAAAAAAUAUUUUAGAUAGAGAUUGUACCCAAUCAUAUAUUUAAUAAAAUUAUAUAUUUGUACACGUGUGUUUGUUUAAUUUAACAUGCUAAAAAUUAUAUCUACAUACAGGCUUGGCAGAAAUACCAUUGAAUUGAAACAUGAUGAUGAACCAACAAAUUAAUAGUAAAUACAAAUAACAAAAAUAUCACUCGAGUCGUGUGUUAUGGAAAGUCAGAAAAUGCCUUAAAAUGCAACUGUGUAAAGGAAGUUAAUAUGGCUAAGGAUAAUGAGAUAAAGAUCACACAUAAUGAAUUCCAGAGCAGUGAGGAAGCAAUAAUAGAUAAUAGUAAUAAAAUGCUGCUUAUACGGCAACUGAGACACCCUAGCCAUUGGAAAAUGAUACAAGAAUAGAAGAAGCAAACAACAACUAAGAAUUUAGCAUUUUUAAGAGCUUGGACAAUAUAACAAUUCAUUUAGGAAAACAAAGAAAAAUAAUUUUAGCUAAACCUUAGUACUUUUGGAUAAUUAAAUAAACAGCUGGGAAAACAAAUCACAAUCGUCAGACAUAAUACCAUUUUCACCCACCCAUAUUCAUGCAUGUAAACACAACCAUCAAUUGUUGAAUAUAUAUAUAAGUUUUCGUGAAAUGCAUGACGUCGAAUGAUGGAUGAGGCUCCUUGAUCAAGGGGGGUUUUGGAUAUUAUUGAAAAAUCAUAAAAAAAUAAUAAUUUAAAGGGUUCAAGAGUCGCAAUCUAGUAUCAUGGUCACUAAAAAACUUAAUAGUCUAUUAAAAUCUGAGUAAAUGAACUAGUUGUACACGAAAAAGACUCAUCACUCUCAGUGCACCCUACUUAUGGUACGGUGCAUUAUUUAUUUGUUUGGUAUAAACUAAGUUAUUGUUAUGUUUUCUAACUGUUUGUAUGUUUAAGGUUUAAGAAAAGUCUUUCUCGAUAAGGAAGUCCUUAUCUUAUCAAGUUAAAAACUUAGCCGUUCUAGAGUGAAAACAUAAAAAAGAGAAAAAAAAUUAUUUUUUAUUCAAUAUCAGGAAUACGUCUUACGUAUAAGUUUAUAAUCCUGUAUAUUAAAAGAAACAAAAUUAAUUUUUGGUGUUUUUGAAAUGUAAGCCAAGUUCUUAUGGCUUUAAUAAAAUAGUUAUUAAAUCCAAAAUGCAUGUAAAAAAAAAAGACAGUUUUUUUUUGUGUGAUUUUUAGUAGGCUAAAUUAUGCAAAUAUGAUUUAUUUUGAGAAACUUAGCCAUAUGCACACAAAUAAAAACUUUUUUUUUUAUUAUUAUUUUCUAAAGAUAAGAAUUUUUUUAUUUUUUUUUGUAUUUUUUGGAAAAAUGGAAGAAAAACAAAUAUUUUUAAUACCGGAUCAAUAUCUUAUAGUGUAAGUCUAUAACUCAAAUAUUAAAUGAAAUGGUUGAAAAACAUGUGAGGUACCCAUAAACAAUUUUAAAAUGAUCCCUGAAUUCUUUUCAGAAUUUUUUAAAAAUUAUUUAAGGGCUUGUUUGGCAAAAACAUAAAAAAAUGAGAAACUAAAUAUUGCUGGAAAAUUAGUGGGGUGUGUUUGCCAAACACGUGCUUAACUAAAAAUUAGAGGCUUAGAAAAGGUUUUAAGGCUGUGUUUGGCAAACACCUCUUAAGGAUAAAAUAUUGCAUUUUUCUUUUAAUGAAAACCAAACAUGCCAAACACUAUCUUAUUGAAAAUGAGCUCAGCCCCAAGGUCCAAGCCUAUAAACAAAGUCCAAAUACAAAAACAAAGAUUUUAAAAUCAAACACAUUUUUUGGCUUGAAUCUGACGAAGAACAAAAUAGAUGAACCCAAAAACAUAAUUCCCAAAGCAAAUUAGAUUACGUCAAAAUAAAGACACAAACAUAUGUUAAAUUAACAUUCAAGCAAGAUUUCGAGACUCGAUCUUCAAAAUAAUAAAAUAAAAUUCAUGAUUAUUUAUUUUAUACAAAAGAUAAAAGUGAAAAAAAUAGAGAUUAUAGGUUAUGAUUUUAGUGUUUUUAGAUCAUUAGAAUCUUAGAUUAUUGAUAAAAAAAAGAUUGUUUGUAUGUGUAAGAGUCAACAAAUGCUCAAAACGACACCUAAAUCAAUGAUCUAAGGCACAAUUUAACGCAAGAACAUCUUAUACAUAAGAUAUAUUCUCAGUAUUAAAUAAAAGGACAGUUCUUUGUAUUUUUAUGUGUCUUGGCUAUAAAACGACUAAGUUUUUAACUUGAUAAGAUAAGAACCUCCUUACCGAGAAGGUAUUUUUUUAAAAUCUUAGACAGACCAACGGUUAGAAAACACAACGAUUUUAGUUCAUUUCAGACAAACAACAAUACAGGUUACCCUAGGUAAGGUGUUUUAGGGGUGAUGCAUCCUUCCUAUUCACAAUUUAUCCCCUAUCCAGCCUCUCGCAAACCAAUAAGUUUUUUAGUGACCGUAAUACUAGGUGGCAACUUUCAUUUCCUUUUAACUAAUAAGAAACAAUAAUUCCUUGUUCUUUCCCUUUUUACUCUAAAUCCCGCUCUGGAAAGACGAUCACAAUGACACCGCUUACACGCAAUAAAACACAUGCAACAAAUUUAAUUCACAUUUUAAAUCUUUCUUUAUUUUUUUUUAAAUAACACCUAGAUAUUGUUUUGACAUUAAAAUUGACUUCUAAUAUGGUCUGUAAUGGAGAACGGGUACCUGGACUAGUAAAACUAAUUACUAAGCCAACACUUCUUCUCUUUGGCAUUAGUGCUUGCAUCAACGUACUAAGCAAUAAAUAUUCAUUCAGUAAGUCUUUAUGGAUUAAAAUUUUUUAUUUUCUAAAGAUAUUCUUCCUAUUAUUUAUUUUAUUUUUAAUUGUAAAAGGCUUAUUUGUGUUACUAGCAUCAAUGUUUGAAGUUCAACAAAUAAAAUCGAUAGGUCUAGUAGUUGUUUAAGAAGGUUCUUUUUUUUUUCUUAUGGAUUUUGCUAAAUUUCAAUGACAUGUUAUUUGAGAUUAAAUGGCAAAAAUUGAUUGCAAUAAUAGAAAAAUAAAUUAUUUUAGUAGUAAAUUGGGAGAUACAUAUUUUUUUGAUACAAUAAGAGAUCCUCUUUUUAUGGUUGUUAAAGAACAGUUAUUUAGAAUAAUGGUUAUUUAACAAUCGUGAUUCAGAAUAGUGGUUUUAUAACAAAACCGUGAUUCAGAAUCACGGUUAUAUAUAUAUAUAUAUAUAUAUAUAAUUAUAAUUUUUUUUCCUUCAUUGCCACCACUCCUAAGAUAAAAAAAACCCUUGAACCCAAAAAAAUCCAAGAGAAAAUAGCCGCCAUAUUACCCAAAACAAUGUCUAAUCCUCUAUUAAAACACCUGAAUUAUCUUUCCCUUGUCACCACAGUAUUUCUACUGUUAUUUUGUUACAAACUGCCAGCCAAGCUUAUGUGUCCAACCAAACCGCCACUUUUUUCAUUUGCCAAAGAUGAUUAAUUGUUGUGCUAAUGAUCCUAUAAUUCAUGUUAAUACAUCAAACUUUUUUCUUUUAUUAUGUAUGAUUUGGGUAAGAUUUAUUGCAUAUUUUAUAAGUUUAUCCUGCUUCCAGAUUCAAUGAUUCCGUACAUCAUGCAUGUGGGUUUUUAUUACAUCACAUGUCUAUAGCACAUAAAAUGGAUUAUAACUUGCUAACGACGCUCAUUGAGAAAUGGAGACAAGAGACUCAUAUGUUCCACCUUCAUGUCAGGGAGAUGACACCUACAUUGCAGGAUGUUGAUGUUCUAUUUAGCUUGCCUAUAAAUGGGCGAUCGUGUAUUGUCGUGGGUAUCUAGAAUAAAAUAAGUUUAUGCGAGCGUGUAUUUGGACGAGUAUCCCUUCUUGAAAUGUUUAAAGGGAAUGCUUUAUCCAUGAGAGAAAAACUUUUAUGAGUUACCCAAUAGUUAUGAUGAUGAAAUCCUACAAUGGUAUAUUAAUGCAUACUAAUAGUUCAAUUAUCAUAUUCAUUUGUCUAUAAUUAGAUUUGAAUUUGAUAUUAUAUAUUAUACAAGUAUGCUAGAACGUAUAUACUUUUACAUGUUUGACAAUAUACUUCUCACAGAUCUCAGUGGGAUGCAGGUGCCCUUGUUCUACCUAGCACCACUAGAGGAUUUCUAGUCCAUUCCAUUAUAUAGUUGGGGUUCAGGCAUCCUUGCAUGUUUGCAUAUGCAUUCGUGUCAAGCUAGCUUGGAGAAAUUAAAGCAAGUUGGUGGAUGUUUAUUGCUUUUACAAGUAAAAUAAAUGUAAUAAGUUUGUUAUUUUUAUAUUAUGUUUUAUAUAUAUAUAUAUAUAUAUAUAUAUAUAUAUUUGAGUUGGUUACUAAUUGUUGUAUGUUUUUUGUAUAUAAAGUUAUGGUCAUAGGGGCAUUUAUAAUUGGGGCGACCAUAAAUUGAGUUUACACCUAUUAUGUUUAUCCAGGUUUUGAAGGUUGAUCUACAACUUCCAUUAGGAUACAAGUAAUAUGUUAUUGAAUAUAUAAAUUAUGUUGUUUAGAUUAAAAAUAUUGUUCCUGAAAACCUUAUUGAAUAAAUUUCAUUGCUUAUUUAACAAAUGGUGUGGGAGCAGCUAUUUUGAACAUAAUCCAACCCAUGUUUUGUCAUUUUAUUAUAGCGAGUUUGAUAAACAAUAGUCAAAUCAGGUAUGUUGGUAAAUUAUGAAAGUACAAUAAUUAUGUGUGUUGAUGUUCGUAAAUGAUGAGAAUUAAUUACUUGCAUUGAUGUUUGAUGUUUUGGAUAUUGGUAAAUCGGUUAAAAUAAUUAUGUGUGUUGAUGUUGGUAAAUUAUGAGAAUUAAUUAUUUACGUUAAUGUUUGAUUUUUAGAUAUUGGUAAAUGUUAGGAAAUUAUUGCAUAGGUUGAUGUUGAAAUUUUUUUAUAUUUAUAAAUGUUGGGAGAUAAUUUUUCAUAGGUUGAUGUUGGUAAAUAAUGAGAAAUAAUUGCAUUGUUGAUGUUUUAAUAGGUCAUGUGGAAACCUUAUUCAGCAGAUGAUAUGACAGCUGCUCUUGUUAUAUGCAUAUCAGCCAUAUCUUUAUAGACAUCAGUUGCUCCUUUAUAGUUUUUGUGCUUGUUAAGUUGCAUUGUCAGACCGUAUGACGCGACAAUUUGGCUUUAAGCAACACAUCUUGUCUAACAUAGAUACAAGUGAUUAGUUGCAUUCCAUUAGUUGUUUGAAUAGGCACAUUGAUUAUAAUUGGAUGAUCCACCAUCUUCAACAUAUAUCGAUCUAGGAUACACAAAGAAAUUUUAUUUUUAGAGAGGUGCAUCCUGUAAUUUCUAAGAAGGAAUACAUGGGUUGGUACCUAAAUAUAACAAGUUGAAUCAUUACACUUAACUCAACACAAGUUCCUCUAUGAGAGGAGAUGGAUUAUAAGCCACAUGCACGUUGGAUUCUAAAUGCUGUAAGUAUUUGUUAUUUUUUUAUAUAGGAUUUGACAAAAUCAUUAUAUUUUAUUUAUGGAUUAAUAAUUUCUAUUUGUUUCAUAUUAGGUUUGACAGUUGCUACAUGAUUGUUGACGUGUUGUGGUUGAUUUUCGUGAUCUCGAUGAUGAUGAUGAACUUGCUUGUUAUUAAACAUCUUCUUGACUCGAGACAUGUCGUACCACACUUGAACUGUUAUGAGAGACAUUGAGCCUAUACGAUGUUGUUUUGAAGGAUGAGACCAUAUAGACAGGUGGAAGUCAUGCUAUUGAUAAAGUUGUCAUCCACUCGUCGUCGCCUAAGACAUAGAUAGAGCUCAAGUGUAUUAUUAUAUUGUGUGUAAUUAUACUAUAUUAUGUUUCUAGUUAAGAGUUAUUUUUAUUAUUACUAGUUUUGUAAUAUUAUUUUUGUUAAUUGUCAUGUUAAUUUUAAAAUUAUCUUACAUAUUAUGCAUUUUCAUAUUUAGUUUAUAUAAGCAUGAUUUAAUAUCAUCAAAAAACAUAUAAUUACAUGAACAAGUUGUUUAAAAUUUCAAAUUAUUCAUUAAUAACUUUAAAAAAUGCAAAAAUAAAAAUAAUAUUUAAAAAACACACAUAUUAAUUUGAAAUUAUAAGUAAAUGAUGUUACAUAUUAUAUUUUGAAUUAUAUGUUUGAGAUUUGAUAAUUUAUGAUCGUUAAUAAGAAUAUCGAUUGUUUAUAACAGUUAUUAUUAUUAAUAGUUUGUAAUAAACCCAUGUUUUUUAACAGCGGUCGAAUAAAAAACUAUGGUAUUUCAUAUACUUAGAUAAAAGACUCGAAAGAAAGUCUUGUAGUUAGUUAGUUCUAUCUUCUACUUCUUCCUGUGUUCACUAUCACAGCGAGUUCAAUAAUCAUUCAUUCACUGAUAGAUUCAGAGUAGAGAUAGAUAUGGCUUCUUGUUACUUUGAUGAUAAGUCUCGACUAAAUUCCUUUCUUACCCUUUUCUUUCUAUUGUUAUUACUAUUUAUCAACCCUUCUUCAGUCCUCUCCAAGUCUCCUCGCCCGAUUACAGUAAACCCUUUUUUUUUUUUCUCUCCCUCUCUCGUUUCAUUGCCUUCUUGGAUGUAAUUAUUUAUCUAUUUAUUUCUUAUUUUGAUCUUCUUCGUCUUGUUUUUUUUUUUUUUUUUUUAUUGAGAUUACAGGAUGUUGAGGUCAGGCAAAUUAAGAAUGAGUGCUAUGCUGAUAUAGAGAGGUGAAUUAAAAAAACUAUUUAUAUACACGUAUCUUUUCUUUCUCUUGCUUUCAGUUUGUUUUUUGAGAAAAUUUAUAUGAAACAACAUGUUGUGAAUCUAUUAGGAUAUUAGUGAUACAAACACAUAUCUCGGUGUCUUUUCUUUGAUGGGUUGUGAUUUGUUGAUGGAAACAGUGGGCUGUGGGGUCAACAAUGCAAAACUUCGAUGACAGCAAAGGAGAAUUGCGCUUUGAAGUGUCUUUCUCCAAUUUGUUAUGAGCUUAUAUAUGAGAGUGAUCCGGUGAGUUAAGUCUGAAUGUGGGUUUCUUUAGUUGGGUUCGAUUGGUUUAUAAGUUUUUUUUUAUUGCUUUCUGUUUAGCUUGAAGAAGGAGAGAAAGAUUUCACAAGAAGUCAAGAGUACAAGUACUGUAUGUAUAAGUAAGUUUAAAAACUUUUUAUGGUUUUAGUUGUGAUGCAGCUGGUUUGAGAUCUUUGAUAUUUCUUAUCUGAAUCAUGCUGACAUUCUGGGAAUUUUACUUCUUGUUAUCGUCUAGAGAUGUUGAAUCUCUAUGUUAUAUGCUAUAAUGUCAUGAACUUCAUUGGAUAGAUCAAGAGUGGCUGUGGUGAAGCAAUUUGUUUGUAUGAAUUAUAUCUUCAAUGAAGAUUCUUUGGAGUGCGUUGGGUGUUUGUGAUUAGAUUUAUGUGUAAUAUAACAACAAGAUUUCUGGUGUGAAUAAGUUUCUGGCCUUUAAUUAGGUUGAUUAUUUUAUCAAUAUGUAAACAUCUGGAGGUCUCUGGUUGGUUUUUUAUGUACUUAGUGGAUGGUAUUCCCACAUUUUUAUCUAGUGAAUUUUCUAGCCAUUCAUCUAUUUGGGUUUAAAUGAAACUUCCUCUAUCUCUGCCCAUGUUCUCCCUUAUCCUAAAAAAUUAACCAACAUCAUGAGACAUGCUUCUGUUUAAGUUGGUUAGAGUUAUGUGUGUGCAAGUGUUGCCUUUAACAUAUGACUUUGUCAAUAGUAUUGAAAAUUGGGCGGGUUAUGCUUUGUUGUACUAUAGUUGAAUUUGAAGUUAGCCUGAUGACCACUUCCUAAGCAGGAUGAAGUGAAUUUUGGUGAGAAAUGUGUUCUUGGACCUUGGUCUUCUGUUAAGUACUAUGAUGUAGAACACCUUUGUGGAAGUGGUUUUGGGGAACUGAGGAGAAACUUGCUGCUCUGGAGAUAAGGCCAGUUGAAGUAGAUACUUAAUUUUAAUCUUUUUUUUGAAAAGAAGGUACUGAGUGUAGGUGUUCUUGAUGACUUUCCCCAUAUUGAUAGUCAUGAAGCCAGUGCUCCUGAGAUACUAGGUUGGACAAAAGACAGUUGGUUGUCAUGUUUACGAGCUGUAUGUGGAAUUGAGGCAUAGCAUGAAAAGCAGAUGAUCUGCAUAUUUCAUUUUUUGGCUGGACAGGAAUAUACAAUGGAACUUUAAUCUCGUGUUCAAUUUCUGAUCUGCUUUUUUUUUUUUUUUUUUUUUUUUUCCAUGGGGGGUGAUUUUCUUAUUUGUUUGUCCUCUUAAGGAAUUUUAUGCUAGUAUUGUGGCAAAAUUGGCUGGUUCAAACUUUUAUGCUCAAAUACUUGUCUAGUUGUUAUGAGGUACUUUGUCAAACUAGAGACUGUUGUCCUUGUUUGUAGCCAUUUGAAAUGAAAUAUACAAGAAGGAUACUGAAGAAGAUCCUUUGAAUGCAAGAUAUUAGGUUAUUAUUCUCAUCUAUUUAAAAGUUUUUCUUGGCUCAUUUUACAACCUGGCUCGUGACCUUUAAUUGUGUUAGCUUUCGAUGCUAUGUUUGAGUUACUCUGAUCCUAAAUUAUAAGUACAUGCCAAAAAAGACCUAUCAAAGUUUUCAACUUGCAUCAUCCACAACAUUGAAAAACAUAGUUUAGCUAAUGUAUCACAAAUUUUGUUAAAAAUAAUAGAUUGACAAAAAUGUAUUACUUAUGAUGACACUUCAUAAAAAAAUGUAUCACAUGUUUUGUCAAAAAUAGUAGAUCGACUUUCAGGACAGGGCAGUAUGGUGGGGUUUUGUUAUUGAAUCUACUGAUUUGGGUUUCGAGACCUGAAAUAUAUUAUAUGGUGCUCAAAUUUCUUGCUUGUGUUUGGUCAAAUGUACCCCUUUUGUUUUUAGAGUGCUGGUUCACAAAAUGAAUUUCAUGACAUCAAAUAUCAUGAACAAUGGCAGUGCUUUAAUUUCAUUCAAUUUUUACUGUUUUUUUCCCUGUUCGUGCUUCCUUGAUUUGUGUAAUCCAUCUUUUCCCUCAUUUUUGUUUGUCAUGGCAUCAUGAUAUUCAUGUUAUUUCCUGAUUCAUGGACCUCCUUCAGAUCAUCAUUUAGUUUGGAGACACUGCCGUCAUACACUUGUUUAGAAAGAGAGGAUAGAAACUUGGGAGAGAGUGCCAAGAGUUUACUAGACACUUAAUCAGCUGAUUCUGUGAAAAAGGGUUUUGCUCAUUGUUUCCGGAAAUAACAGGAGUGAGUUUAACAAUUGAAAUGCUUACCUUUAGUGAAAGUGAAACCAAGAGUGUGCUCCCUAAUUAAAGUGUAGUGGAAACAACCUUAAAAUCUCAGAUCUAAGCAGAAAAAUAUAAAAGACAAACACAAUCAAUCACACAAGAAAUUUAUGUAGUUUGGUAACUAAACGAGAUAAUAAAAGAAAUUCACUAUAAAAAGGUAGAAGAUUACAUAAUGUCACAAAAAAUGCUCCCACCUAAAAUCUCAAAGUAUCUCAAAACUCACUUUUCUCUCUCUUUUCUCUAGCAACCAAAGUGUAUAAUGAUAAAAUCACUCACAAAUAAGUCUUACCCUAAAAUAUGACAAUUUUUUUUUUAUAUGGAGGAAGCACAUGGGUAUUUCUUUUCUCACUUAAACCCACAAUUUAAGACAAACCCAACAUAUAGAGUGGAGUUAGGCAUCUUUGUUUCUCUACCUUACAAACUUGAGGGCACAAUCAUAGUUGCUCUAUUGUUGUUCUUCUCUAUUUGAAAUAAUCCUCUCGCUGACUUAUCAUGUUGUUUGUUUGAUAACUUGUGGUGCAUUAUGUGGAUGAGUAACUAAAUUUUCACGCUAUUGUGAUUCUAAGAAACUUCAACAAUGAAGUUAUGCUACUGAAAGUCUUGAAAGUUCAUUUCGAUUCUAUGAUCACAUUUUUCAGUAAUACGGUGUAGUUGUCACUUCACUUUUGUGAUAUUAAAAUGUCCUGGUUUUUAUGACUAGCACUUAAUUUGUAUUCUUUUCUGAAUCUUCUUUCUUCUACUUCUCCUGGGAUUCUUUUCUUGACUUUGUUAUGAACUAGUUGCUUACUCCCGGACUGCAGGUCAUAUCCUCAAGUUAUUGUCUGGUUCUUGAUUCGAAAUUGUAUUUGCUCUCAUAUUGAACUUGAGACAUAUUUGUCUGUUUCAUUUCCUAUAUUUUAAAAAUCCAUAUCAGCCUCAAAAUCAAAUUAAUGUCCUACUUGUUAUUUAGAAGUUCGAUUAUUUAAUUUUCUUCGUUUUUUUUUUCUUCAGGAAAUCAAUGGGAGAGUCCCUCGAGGGUAUUAAGGGAGCCUUUGACAUGUAGUUGGGUCUGUUCUGUAACAUUUGCUAUCAUUGCUUCCUCUCCAUAACAAAGAAAAACUUUCAAGAAUUGUAUUCCAUUUACGCAUUCAAAAGCACCCAAAAGAAAGAACGGAGAGAGAAAAGUAGACUAAUCUGCAUAUUAAUUGUUUUCUCAGAGAAAAUCUAUGUGAAUACCUGUGUUCGUGUGACAAGACACUAUCUUCCUCUCCUUCAAUCCUUUAAUUGGUGUUGCCAAAACAAUAUUCCAGGUUACUUCUGUAGUGGAUAAUCCCACCACAACUCCUGUAUAUUUCUGCUCUUUUUCUAGUUUUUCAUGAUGGUUUAAUAGUUAUGUUUCUUAAGUGCAUUACAGAAAUGCUUUCAACUUAAGGCAAUUUUGCUAUUCUAAAGAAGAUUAGCAGCCAACUGUAGAUGGGAGUCCAAUUUUUGUAAUUUAUCACUUCCAAGAACAAAAGGAGUAGCAAAAUUAUGAAAACAUUCUACUGAAUUCUGACAUAAGGAAGCACUUGUAAAUUCGUCACUGGUUACAUUGCCUGCAGGCAGUAGAGGAUUUAUCUGCUUGGUUAUGUUUUGUGUUUUACAGCGCGUCAAUAUAAAUUAUUUUUGUAAAAUAUAUAUAUAUAUAUAUAUAUAUAUAUAUAUAGAAAAUAUUUUAAAUUUUUUGAAUUUGAUAGUCAUAAACCUAAUCGAAUUGACUUCAGUUACUCGGAUCUGGUUUUUUUAAUCAUAAUAAAAAUAAUAAUAUUUAUAAUAAAAAUAAUAAUAUUAAAUUUACUUGAUAUAAGUUUUUAUAGUUUUAAUCCCUUUAAAUUAAAUUUAUGAUUUUUUAAUAAUAAUAAUAACAUAUUAUUAUUAUUAUUAAUUUUAUCCUUCAAAUUAAAUCUAUAGUUGUUUUUUAAUAGUAAUAAUAUUUUUUAAAUUUUUUAUUAAUAAUUAUAUUAAUAAUAAAAAAAUAUUUAUAAUACCCGCGUGCCUGUCAAAUCCAAAGACUUAGAGUCUAGCAUGUAUGUCAGAAUCAAGAUGCUUGAGUUUGAUAACCUUUGUCUAACCUAAACAAACAAUAAUUAAAAAGAAUAAUUAUGUAUUUUAAUUGUUAAAAGAGAAAAAAAACACAAACAAUCAAAGUAAUAUCUCGCAAAAAGAUUAAAUAAAAAUUUAAAAAUAAAACGGUUAUUACAAUCUAUAGUUGAAACUAGUUACAUGACCCGUGUGAUGCCGCAAGUCAUUUUUUUUUUUUACAUAAAAAAUAUCCAAAAAAACUAGGAUUUAAAAGUCUUGGGUUUUUCUACAAAGCUAUACCCAAGAAUCUUGGGUUUUGCUGCAACGCCUGAUUUAAAAGUAAUAUUUAUAAUAUUAAUAAUAACAUAAAACUUGCAUGACCCAAGUUUAAGUGAGCUUGACUGCAACAUCGGGCUCAAAAAUAUUGGAUGUGAGUCUGGCUAUAAGGUCGUGUUAUAAAAAUAUGAUAAUUAAAUAGAUUAAUUAAAAAAAAACAAAGAAAAAAAACCAACAGGAAGAAAAAAACUAAUGAAGAAAAAUAAUUUUUUUUUAAUUAAUUGAGUUAACCCUUUAAACUAGGUUAUCUCGUAAAACCUGAGAUUCGUGUCAUGAAAGUAUGAUAAAUAAAUAGAAAAAACAAAUUGACGGGUUUACCUAGAAUUAACUAGGUUAACCCAUCAAACCAAGUUAACCCGUCAAACCCAUGAUACGUGUCAUGAAAGUUUGAUAAUUAAAUAGAAAGAAAUUUAACAUUAACAAACUAAACUAAAUGAAAAAAAUAAAUUAAAAAAAAUCCGAGUUAACUCAUCAAACCAUGGAUCCAUAUCAUGAAAAUCUGAUAAUUAAAUAAAAAAAAUUCAUUAAAAAAACAAAAAAAAUUAAAAAAGAAAAAAAAAACAGUUCUAUAAUAUAAUAUAAUAAUUAUAAUAAUAUAAUAUAUUAAUAAGUGAAAAGUAUGGGAAAACUAUAAUGCUUUCACCACACCUUUUAAAAUAUUACUUAAUAUCUUUAUAAUAAUUUCCCAACGUAAUUUUGUUUUUGUUAUAAUUUUGUCUUUUAAAAUUGUUGGGGGUGUUCUGUGGGCCCAUGUCAGAUUAGCUUAAUAUACAAGGCCGUAAUUAUUUUUUAUUUGGAUUGCUAUCCUUUCUUUCCCUAAAAGCUUUCUACGUGGCCCCUUCAAUUUCAAUUACCUUACUUUAAUUUUGAUUGUGAUCAACUUAAAUUAGUACGAACUAGACCUCCGGCCGUGGGGUCGGAUAAGUUUUUUAGUUAAAAAAUAUUUAAUAAUUACUAUCGUGUUUUCUAGAAAAUAUAUUUUAACAAUAAAUUUAAAAUUAAUUGUAUAUUAUGAUAUUUAAAAGAAAAACAUUUGAAAUGGUGACACUUGUAAUAAUAAUUGUUUUUACUAUUAAUAUAAUAAUAUAUUAAAUUAAAUUGAAACAAAUUAGAUUAAUCAACAAAACCUGCAUGUUGGGUUAUAAAACCAUAAUAAUUCUAUAUAAAAAAUAAAUUGAAAUAAAUUAGAUAAUUUAAUAUCCAACUAAUUUAAUAUUAAAUGAUAAAAUUAAUAAAAAUAAUAUUUAAUUAAAAAAUCAGGUCAACCAACAAUACUCGCGGCCUUAUUCUUCUAAGCUAGCAAACAAAUACAAUUAUUAUAGGCUAAUGAGACUGGGAUAGUAAAAACAAGUCUAAUUCUUCUAAGCUAAAUAACAAAAACAAGAAAGAUAUUUUUUAUGUUAAGUUAAACUAAAAAAAAAAUCAUUGAAUAAAAAAAUAUAUUUUUUAUUUCAUAGGCUUAAAAUACAUUAAAUAACAUAAAAAAAAUAAACAAAGAGGUUAGAGUGUAAGAUGUGGGUUAGAAGAAGAAAAUAAAGCAUGCCCAUGCCUUAGGCCUUUAAUUUUUUAAAAUAUAAAAAAAAUAUAGAUGACGCAUCGACUACAAUCCUAGAAUUUGAUGACUAGACAAUAAUUGAAGAAUUGGGGUAAUAUUUUUUAUUUUUUUUGCCUAAAACUUCGAUGUCCAACACAUUUUUUUAGAACUCAGUGAUAUCAAAAUCGAUUAUCUGGCGAGUCUCUCUCUCUCCUUUCUCAAAUUAGUGUUUGAAAAAUAAAGAAAUUAAAAUUUUAUACCAAAUUAUAUGUUAGACAACUCAAGGGUUCAAAAAGUGAUCAUUUGGUAAAUUGAAGGACUAAAUUGGACUUUUCAAUAAAAUUUUAAAACCACUAUCUAUUUUUUGCACUUUUUCUAUUUUGGUCUAGUUUCUUUCAAUUUUUCUCUUGGUUAACAAAUGAGAAGCAAUUGGUUUUGAAUUUUACAAUAAAAGGGUUUAAUCCAAGAAAACAAUGUUUCAGGGUCAAAUAAAAGAAAAUUCAUUGCUUGAGUCUAAAAUGAAUUGUGAAAGAGUGAAUAAUGCACACAUGUACAAUGUUUUCACCUCAAGACUUAGUUUUCUUUAUUAGUCCAUUGGGCCAUACUAUGUCAAAGCGGUAUUAUUAUUUUUUGAAUGCAAGAAAAUAUCAAGGUAUUGAUAAUGUGUUUUCUAAGAGAAAAAAAAUUAAUUACAAACUUAAAAUUUGACGCAUAUUAGAUGAUUUCUUUUUUCAAUACUAAAAAGGUGACAUUUUGGAAUUAGAUUUUCAAAUAUUGAGACACCAGUAUAUUAGAUUGAGUUAAGUCGAUUCAGGUUAAUUAGCUAAGUUAGCUACCUGAGUUAUGCAAUCAAGACAACCAUAUAAAAACAAUUAAAACAAAUAAUGAUAUCCAAUCACAAAUAAAUUUAAUGUUUAAUGAUGAAAUUAAAAAGAUAAUUAAUUAAAAAUGUUAUAAAAAAAACUCGAGUAAAUCAAGGUCAAUCUGUUAAACUUGCGAUCUAGGUCUGCAACCCAUUGGAUUUAAUAAAUUUUAUUUCUUAAAUUAUUUUUUAUUUAAUUACACAACAACCAGGCAAGUGGGACUAUUUUGGUAUCAAAUAAAUAAAUAUAUUUUUUUAAAGAACAAACAUGAUAGGUUUGUGAGACUGAAAAACAAAAAAAACUAAAUUUUUGACGUUAAAUAAAAUAAAGAUAUUUUAAUAACAAAUGAUGACUCUUAAAAAAACAACCUGAAAGGAGAUGAAAUGCAUUAAGUAAAGAUAACAUUUUAAAAAAACUAACAAUUAGGCGUGAUGCAUGGACCUACAAACAUGUUUGGCUCAUAAAAACAAAAAUUAAAAAUCAAAACAUUUAAUUAAAAAGAAAGUUAAAAAAAAACUUGAGUGAAUCCAAGUUAACAUAUUAAACUUACGAUUCCGAUCAUACAUAUUGGAUUUAAUAACUUUUAUUUAAGAAAGAAAAAAUUACCCUGAACAUUCUAGAAUUUAUUUUAUUUUAUACUUUGCCUCUAUUAUUUUAAAAUUUACAGGAAACAUCUUCAGUCAAUAAAAUUUUAAAAUUUAAAUGAAAAUAUAAAUUUAUCCUCAUGUACAAUAUAACAUAAACAAUAAAAAAUUUAUAGUCACUACAAAAACUCAAUAAAUCAAAAUCUAAUUCAUUGCUUCUGUCCUCUCAGAGAACACAAUUCCUAAAUAUCAAAUUGAUUUCAAAACCUAUUUCUUCGGCAUCCGGGAAAGCUAGGAAUACAACCAUCAAAGGAGCAUUAUGGUUGCAUGGUUAAUUUACUGUGUCGAGGAGGCCACGUGGACGAGGGUCCCAAUUUUGUGGAGAAUUUUCCCAUCUCACCACAUCCAGUAAUUUAGAGAACAUUACUUGUAGGUUUACAAGAAGGAUGUCAUGUAGCAAAGAGCUAAAAUGGUUGUCGAAUGACUUCUUGAACAAGAACCAUUAAAUGCAGAAAACUAUAUGAUCCUUGUUUCUCAUUAUUAGAAAAUUGAUAAAUAUAAAAGUAAAUACUGGUUAGUAAAUUAUAGGGAACAUUACUAAUGGAAAUAUUCCCUCGAUAUAUACCGAGGGAAUUAUAGUGGAAAAAAAAGAAAUUAAAACAAAGCUAAAAAAUACAAUUACAAGUCAUUUAUAACAAUGUAAUUACCGUCGGUAAAAUCAUUGGUAAAGUGUUCACUUUUUCCUGACACUUUUCAUCAUGUCAAUUAUAGAGGGAAUCACUGAUGGAACAUUCCAUCGAUAUUUUCUUGAGAGCACUUGAAUUUUUCACUUUCCAAUUGCACUAUUAAUUAUUGUUCUUUACAAACGAAAUCACCAACGAAUUGAAAAGGCAUUGGUUUAUUUGACAAGUUUCUAAAAAGUUUUGAGUAAAUUGAAAAUUUAAAUUAAAUAUUACAAAUAGAAUCACUGACAGAUUGAAAAGUUGUUAAUGAUAUUUGAAUGUUUUUGAAAUUUUUUGAUUAAAUUGAAAAUUUAAAUUAAAUAUUACAGAUGAAAUGGUUAGAAAUAUUAAUAUUUAAUUAUCCGUUGGAAAAAUGCCCCAAUAAUUAGAAUCCCUCAUUUCGCAAUAGAUAAGCAUGUUCUUCUCCUUUUUUUUUCUUUUUUUUCUUCUUCUCCUUCUUCUUCUUCUUCUUCCCUUUUUGUAAAAAACAUCAGCAUGCCUUUCUUUCUUUCUCUUCUCUUCUCUCCUCAACUCUUCUUCUCCUCUAAUACAUUAAUUAGAUUUUUUAAUUAAUGUAUUUUAUGAAUUUGUUAUUUUUUCUCUUCUCAGCUUCACUUGCAACUACAUUAAGGUAAGAUUUUUUUUUAUUAUUAUAUUUUUAAAUUUUCUAUUCUUAAUAAUUGUAUGAAUGUUGUUGUAGGAUUUCUUUUCAUAUGAGAUCAAUAUUGUUGUUGUUUUAAUUUUUUGUGUUAUUUAUUUGUUGCAAAUUUUUUGAGUUGAUUUUCUUUCUUUUUGUUCCAAGCAACUCAAUUCUGAGUAUCAUGGAGUGUUGAUUUAUAUUAAUUUAAUUAUUUUCUAGUUUUGUUAAAUAUAUUUUUUUAAAAAAAUAUUUUUAAAUAAUCACCGAUGGAAUUGCAUAAAGUAUUUUGUUUUGGUUAUAUGACAAUUUCCCCGAGGGAAAUACUAAUGGAAUGAAGCGAGAUUUUUUUUUGCGUGCAUUUUUUGUCUGUAAAACCAUUUGUUUUUUAUUUUUUAUUUUUUACUGAUAAAAUUAGCAACAGAUAAUGAAAUUACCGAUGAACGAUAUUCUGACGAGCGUGUUUUAUUGGUGAAUUAGUCGGUAAAAUUUUCACCGACAGAAUGGUUAUCUCAUGCCAAUAAAAAAAGUCUUUCGGUAAUACUAUUAAAUGAUGUUGUCUCUUUCACUGUAGGAGAAGAUGAGCCUAGUGUCAUGAAAGUUUGAGAAAAAAAAGACUUUGUUUCUGAUGGAUAUUGUGUCAGCUAGUGAUGCACCAAGGCAGGCUCGACCUGCUUUUUGUUCACAAGAAGGUUUCACUGACCUAGCUCUUUGCCUGAUUUAUGCUUUUUUGGACGCUGCUCUAUAAGAGCUACCGGUAAUGCUGGUUCAACUGCUAGGUUUGCAAGGAGAUCUGAAUAUGCCGGAGUAAAUUGCAAUUUCUGCUUAGUUUAGGGUUAAACAAAGUUCAUUGGCGCUGGAUACGUAUCUGGAGGCCAUGAUACAAAUGAUCUGACAAAAUUUAAAUUGGUGGCUAGAGUAUAUCAUGUUUGGAAAAGAGAUGAAAGAGGUUUUUUAGAGGCAAUUUCAGUAUUUUAAAGCACUAGAGACUUUUUUAGUUAUUAAAUUGAAUAUUAUAGCAAAUAAUUCAACAUUUUUUAUUAUUUUUUUGUGUCAUGUAAACCAUUAUGAAUUUAUAAAGUUAUCUAUGUUUUUUUGUAAUUUUCAAAACAAUAAAGGUAAAAUGUAAAAUGGAUUAAAUUAUAAGAUACUUUGAAUAAUUUUUCAUUUAAUUACACAACAACUGAAACAUAAGAUUUUUUGUAUCAAAUAAAAAAAAAUUAAAAAAUGAAGAAACGAGAUAGGCACAUAGGAGGGACUGGAAAAAAAAAUCUAUUUUUUAAAAGGUAAAUGAAAAAUAGAAUUUUUUAAAAAUCAAAUAAAAAAGGAUGAUUUUUUUUUGUUUUAACUUUAAGGGGCUAGAAAUGCAUUAAGUAAAAAAAAAAUUAAAAAAAUAUAUUAACAAGAAAAAAAUAUUCAAUUAAUAAUUAAAAAAAAAUUCGAGUGAAUCAAGUUCAAUCUAUUAAACCCGUAAUUCAGUAAUUCAGAUCAUACAUACUACUAGAUUUAGUGACUUUUAUUUUUAAAAUUAUUUUUCAUUUAAUUACACCAUAACUAGGUAUGUGGGUCUCUCCUUUUGCAUCAUAUUAAAAAAAAUUUAAAAAUAAAAAACAGGAUGAGCGUGUGCAAUUGAAAAAAAAAGACAUUUUUUUGAAGUUAAAUAAAAACAUUAUUUUAAAAAACAAGUUAAGUGAAAAAAAAAAGGCUUUUAACUAAAAAAAGGAUAAUUUAUAUUUGAUUAUUUCUAACUAUAAAGGUCUAAAAAUACAUUAAAUAAAAAACAUCUAAAAAAAAAUCCAUGAAACGUUUUAAGAUAAACUCAUUGAUAUCAAAAUAUGUUUUUUUUUUUUUCCGACUUAAAUGUGGCCAACCAAAUGUUCUCUUUUCUCAUUUUUCUAGUGACUUUCUUUCUCAUUUCUUAACAUUAGAAAUCAAAACACAAGCAAAAUAAGGUUUAUGAUCUAAACAUAAAACUAUAAUUAUCAUACCUGGCUUGGGAGUUGACUCGGCCAAGGGGCCGGGUCCCGGGUUUCAUGGGUCAACCCGGAAAAUAAAAUAAAAUAUUUAAAAUUUUAAUAUUUCAUAUGAAAAAAUUAAGAAAAAAAUCAUGUGAAUAUAGACAAUAUAUGUUGUAAAUAAUGAAGUUUAAAAGAAUAUUUUUAAAUGUUUUUUAUCCCAUAUUGAAAAGAUACUAUAUUAUCCUUUUUAGUUGAAGUAUUUAAACAAAAAAAGUUUUUUAUCCCACAUUGAAAAACACAUAACCUUUUUCUUGUGAACAUAGAAUAUAUAUACUAAAAGGCUUCAAAUUUCAUAUUGAAAAAAUAACUUCUUUCUUGUGAACAUAGAGCAUAUAUAUUAAAGAGCUUCAAAUCUAACAUUAAAAAUAUAUUAUGUUAUCCUUGUAAGUAUUUAAAUAAUUUUUUUAUCUCACAUUGAAAAAACAUAACUUUUUUCUUGUGAAUAUGGAGUACAUAUACGAAAAGGCUUCAAAUCUUAUAUUGAAAAAAUAAGUUUUUUUCUUGGAAAUAUAGAGUAUAUAUACUAAAAGAUUUCAAAUUUCAGAUUGAAAAAACGUAACUUUUUUCUUGUGAACAUAGAGUAUAUAUACGAAAGAGCUUUAAAUCCCACAUUGAAAAAAUAAUAUGUUAUCCUUUUAAGUUGAAGUAUUUAAAUCAAAAAUAUUUUUUUAUCCCGUAUUGAAAAAACAUAACUUUUUUCUUGUGAACAUAGAGUACAUAUACGAAAGGGUUUUAAAUCCCAUAUUGAAAAAAUAACUUUAUUCUUGGGAACAUAAAGUAUAUAUACUAAAAGGUUUCAAAUCCCACAGUGAAAAAACAUAACUUUUUUUCUUGUGGACUAAGAGUAUAUAUAUGAAAAGGUUUUAAAUCCCAGAUUGAAAAAAUAAUUUUUUUUUUUAAGAAAAUAGAGUAUACAUACUAAAGGGUUUCAAAUCCGACAUUGAAAAAAUAAAAUAUUUUUUUAAUAUUUAUAUAGUGAACUUUAAAAAGUGUUAAUAAUCAACUAAAAAUAUAUAUGAAAAAAGGAUAUAGGAGAAAAACCAUAUUUGAAAAAAAAAAAACACUAGGUCUCGUCCGGGUAAUGGGUUGACUAGGUUUUGCCGGGUUGUUACAUCGGCCGGUCUUUUAACAAACCCGUACUGGUUCAACCACUUGAUCGACCCGCCGGGCCGGUUCGAGUUUAAUAACUGUGCAUAAAACUCACAAACAAUAAGGACAAAAAAUGUAAAAAAAUGAUUAACAAUCAAGGAAUCAAGCUGAAGUUUUCUGCCCCUCUUGAAUAGUAAAAAUUGAAAUGCCUCGUUUUGUUUUUCUAAUUUUAGUGCUUUUUUUAAAAAAUCUUUUUUCCAAACAACAAUUCAAAAUCGAUGUGUAAUUCACCUAUAGAAUACCUUGAGCAUGCACUAAAAUGUAAAUAAAAGCAAAUCCUAAUAAAUAUAUCAAUAUAACUAUAAAAUAUAAGGGUGAAGUCAAAUAAAAUAAAACUUGAGAUGGAAAAAAUAGAAGAAAAUUCUGUAAUGAACAAUUAAUGAAACACAUAGUGUUUUUGUGAGGAAAAAUGAUUUUUGUUUUAAUGUCUUUUUUAACUAAGAAGAGGCUUUAAAGCCUUCAAAUGGCUAGGAAAAUAAAAGUCGUUGAUAGCAAUAAAUCUAAAUAAAUAACAAUCAUGCAGAGCAGAGCAGGGGACCAAAAAAUAAUAAUUAUAGUAAUUAAAAUUACUUAUGUUUUCAGCAUGACAGCCCCCAUCAAGUGCACUCCAAUUCAUAUUGUGUAAUCUGUCACGUGCAGAACUAAAGUAACAUGCUUUUUGUUGCGAUAUAAAAAAUAAAAUAAAUGCAAAGCACGUGACAUAAAUGGCCACCGAAUUAAAUGAUUUUUUGGUGGAAGAAGACUUUUCAGGCUGUUACGCAUUCCCAUCGAAUCAAAAGGAUGGCAUUCUUGCACUCAAUUACAGUCUCACCGGGGACCAGAAAAAAGGUUUUAAUUUUUUUUAUAUAAUAUUUUAUGUUUUUUUAGGUUAUUUUUUGUUUGUUUUUGUAUUUUUAAUUUUUUUUCUUUAAAUUAAUAUUUUUUUGAUGUUUUAAAAUCAUUUUAAUAUGUUAAUACUAAAAAUAAUUUUUUUAAAAUAAAAAAAAUAUAAUUUUGAGUAGAAAGAACUUUAAAAAAUAACCGCAAACAUUUUAAUUAUGAAAAAUAUCAUUUAUUUGGAAAAAGUAAAUCGAGAGAUAUUUUUCAAUUUAAUUUUAUAUUUUUAGACAAAUUUUAUGGAUAUUCUGAGUUAAUAAAUUAAUUUAUUAAUAUUAUAAAAACAUUUAAUAAAUUGUUUUAGGUAAAGCUAAAUUGAAAAACAAAUUUGUACUAAAAAAACAUUAACCUAAUUUUUCAUUCAUGUCUUUAAAGGUCCCAAACUAGGUAGAGAGACGUGCAUCGUCUUAGGUAGAUGAAAAGUUAAGGAAUUAAAAUAAAAAUUUAAGAAUCAAAUUGAUUUUUAUAAAAAUUAACUAUUUUAAUUCACGGUAAUUUAUAAGGGAGUAUACAACGAAAAGAAAAACAAUGAAAACCACACCUAUUAUUAGCUUUAUACUUAAUAAUAGUUCAUCAUGCUACGUAUUUAAAUGAAAAAUCAAAAUUUAAAAGGAAGUUGCUUUCAUAAUAGAAUUGGUGGACAGCAUGCAGAUUGCAUCAUGACAUUCUCUCUACACAAUAUAUUUGCAGCUAAAAGAUAUAUAGUGCUUCUAACUUUUCGCUUUUAUAUAUACACAUGUGUAUAUCACAAUAAUUGCGCUAGAUUAUUUCUCUAGCUCCUUGAAAGUUUUCUUUCCGAAAAUUACACAAUCUCUUCUCUCUGUUGUGAAUAUAACCAAGCUUUGUCCCUAGAAAGAUCCUGUCUCAUUUCUCUUCUAAAUCUUCAAAUCUUUGUGUGUGGUUAAGUAGGUGGAGCUGGCUAUCAUGGAGGUUCAAAACCAAGAUCAGUGCCCCAACACAGACCAAGUGGUUCUAUUCAUAGAUCAACCAGACUCCAAACCCAAAAUGUCGUCGCCGCCACCACAGCAAGAAGAUUCCAAACUCAAACAGUCACCACCACCACAGCUACCAGACAUUAAAGACUCUAAAACCCAAGCAAGAACAAAAUCCCUCCGCCGUCUCAACUUCUCCAAACCCAAAUCUCGUUUCACUGAAACUAACUACCCUCCCCAUUCCAAAACCUUCCCUGAAUCCGAAGAAUACCAACCCUUAAACCCUCCCGAAAGCGCUACCUCGACAGAUGAAGACGAUGAUGAAGAAUGGUUUGAAAGCGAAGAAGAAGGAGUUGAUGCUGGAGAGGCCAAAAAACAUUCCAAGUAUCGAGCGAAAAGGAAAAGAAAGAUAAAAAAGAGAGCCUUGAUUGAGUUCAUAUUGUUUCUCAUAAUCAUGACCUGCUUAAUUCUCUCUUUAACAGUUGAGUCCCUAAAAAACAAGGUCCAGUGGGGUUUAGUUUUAUGGAAAUGGUGCCUUAUGGUCCUGGUUCUCUUCUGUGGCCGCCUUGUGUCGGUUUGGCUCGUAGGUUUUCUUGUUUUUCUCAUAGAACGCAAUUUCAUGCUCAGAGAAAAAGUACUCUACUUUGUUUUUGGUUUGCGCAAGAGUUUUCAACACUGUGCAUGGCUAGGACUGGUUCUACUUGCAUGGAUGAGUAUGUUCCAUGAUGUCCACAAAUCCAACAAGGUCUUGAAGAGGGUUUUCCGUGCUCUAAUUGCUGUCCUCAUCGGAGCUACAAUAUGGUUACUAAAGAUUUUACUUGUCAAGGUUCUUGCUUCAUCUUUCCAUGUCGCUACCUUCUUUGACCGCAUGAAAGAAAGCGUCUUCCACCACUACAUUCUCGAUACACUCUCUGGUCCACCAUUAGACGAGGAUGAGAGAGAAGCUCCUCGUCGACGGACGCUAAGGCAUUCCAAGACAUUGCCGGCGAAACUGAGGGAGCGGGCAUCGAGAUCGAAGGGGCAUGAGUCGUCGAGGAGCAUCGAUAUGGAGAGGCUGAGGAAGUUAAGUACGAUGAGCCGGGCAUCUGCUUGGAAUAUAAAGAGGCUGGUGAGUUACAUUAAGUCUUCAGGGCUGUCAACGAUUUCGAGGACGGUCGAUGGUUUUGGUAAUGCAGAAUCGGAGAUCAACAGUGAAUGGGAGGCUAGAGGCACUGCUCAAAGGAUUUUCAGGAAUGUCGCCAAACCUGGUGCCAAGUAAGUUCAAUUUCUUCUGCUAGCCUUUCUGGUUAAUUAUAUGAACAUUUGAUGUUAUACAAUCCUUAGAAGAGACCAUACAGUAGAGAUAAUUAUGCUAACCUUGCUCGGUUAAUUAUUAUAAAAUUUCUUGAAUAUCCUAAUUUUAGUUUAUUUUCACUAAAUUUCGUACACACUUAAUUAUCUCUUUAUUAAUCUUUAAUUUAUAAAAUGUGAGCAAGAUUUAGCACCAAAUUAUAUAUAUAUAUCUCAUAAACUGAAAUGAAUCAAAGUCUAUGACUUAUGGUAGCUAGCUAACAUCUAAAUCACAUCUCUCCUGUUGAUUCAUAUCCAGAAAGAAAAGAAAAGAAAUCUCUUAAUUUAAUAAGAGCACCAAGCAUCCAAAUGUGAGGUAAUGUAAAUUAGAAUAUUUAAUUUUUAAUUUAUAUUUCUCAUUUGUUACACUAAUUAAAGAAAGUGAAAAAAAUUAUAUUAAAAUUAGCUUUUCAAAAUACAUAUCUACCCAUAAAUAAGAUGAUGAUGAUAUAUGGUAAUAAUAUAUGAAAUAAAAUGAAUUGAAUUUUAUAUUUUGUAAAUAUAUGAAUUCAAUUUAUAAUUGAAUUUUAUUAUAAUAGACAAUUGGCUCCAAAUAGCAUGUUAAAGAUUUUAAUCUAUACUUGUUUUUUUUAAAUAAAUUGUUUUAAACCAUUUUAUAUCUAAUGUACGUACCUUUUAGUUAAAAGUUGUUUAACUUAUUUUUCUCAUAAAUUAUUCUUUUUUUUUUUUUUUUGUAAGACUUUCUACUUUUCUCAUAAAUUAUUUACGUCCUAAUCGAUUUCCUGACAGUGGCAUUCGUCGGUGGUGUUGUGGGGCUAGGCACGUUCAUUUUUUUUCAAAAAUCAAGCCUUUAAAACCCUUAGACUACUUUUGCUUAAAAAAUUAUUCAAAAUGAUGGUUCAACUUCAUUGCCAAAUAAGCCCUAAGUACGAACAUGGUCAUUUGGUUGGGACAACUAGCUGGCUGCAAGAACAUGCUCGUAUUAUGGGACGGGUUGCGGACAAUGAAAUGAAAAAUUAUUGUCCAUUAAUUUUAUUAGUAUUUUAUAUAUCUAAUUAAAAUUAUUUUAUAUCUAUUAAUUGAUGUUUUUAUAAUCAUUUGGUGGGCACAAUUUAAUCCCAGCUGGUAAUCAAACGAAGGAAAGCCUAUUGCUCAUUAAUUAGAUUUAAUACUACAUUUGAAGUUAAUCGUCCCAUUUCGCAUUGAUACAUAGAUUAAAAAAAAUGCCUUCAUAAUGUGUGCCCUUAUGGCAGAUUGUAAAAAAUAAAAUAAAAAAUACAAGCAAAAUAGAAUUAUCCCAGGAACAUCAAUUUCUUAGCAUGUAAUAGUAAAUAUUCUUUAAAGUUAAUCUUUCUUUUCUUUCUUUAAGCUAUUGAAAUACUUUUAUUUUUAUUUUUAAAAUACAUUUAUUAGAUUUUAAACAUCAAUUAAUUUUAUUAGUAUUUUAUAUAUUUAAUUAACCUAAUCCACGAUUUAACCUAAAUCAACAUUAGCAUUUCAAACACAUGAUUUUGUUAAUUCACAAUUAACAACCUAAAAUUACUAAUUAAAAACUUAAAUGACUUCUAAUUAAUCUAAUUCCUAAUUCAAAACCAUAACAUUCAAUAAAAUCAAAAUAAAACUAAUUAAACAUAAAUUACAUCAAAUUAAUUGAGAGGAAGUAUUCAAUAUACCUCUAAAAGUGAAAUGUGAGUGGUGAUGGUAACCGAUGAUUACUGUUUUGGCUGGAAAAUUCCAGACCAAUAGUUGGUAAAGAGAGAAAGAGGGAGGCUUCUAUGUAUGGAGCAAGAAAGAGAUAUGGGUGAUGUAGAGAUAAAUUAUUGUUUAAGGGCUAAUGGAGGUGUUUUUAGCGGUGGAGAGAGAGAGACAGAGAGAGAUUUAGGUGGUGGUGAGAGAGAGAGAGAGAGAGAGGAGGAAAGAAGAGAAAGGAAAAGAAAAGUCUGUCUUUAUCUUUAAUUCAAAAUGAGUCGCAAAUGCCAUCCAAGAAAUACGAGUCGCAUGUGACAUCUACGACACGAGUCACAGAUGACAUAUGUGACUUGUGAAACUGUGCUACAUUUAUAAUUGUUUUUUCAAUGGUGUUACUUUAUCAAUUUCUUUUAUUGGGUUGAAAAACCAAAAAAAAACUCUCAAAUUUCAAUGUAUAUCAAUCAAUCUUAGUCUCUAGUUGCUUUAUUAGAUUGGGAAACAACAGAAAUAUCUAUGGUCGAUUUAAAGGUGAUGGAAAAUAAAUAUUUGGGUACAUUUCUAGCCCCAAUCUAACGUUGCUGAUUUUUCUGGCAAAGUUGCAAUAAUUUACUAUGUUUUGAAAGUUUUUUUGGACUCUAGCUUAGUAACAAAAAUUGAUAAAAUAAUACAAUAUAAAAAUAUUUUUUUAAAAUAGCAUAGUUUAAAGAGUCACAAAUAAUAUAUAUGUGAUUCACGAGUCGCAAUAUCAAUUGUAACCCUCUUAAAUAUGAAAACAAUUCAAUAAAAAAAAAGAGAGAUGGAAGAAAAAGAAAAGGAAAAAAAAAUAUAAGAUCUCAAAGGCACGCCGAAAUUUCAAUGACAACACCAUUAACACCAUUGAAAAGAUCUUGAUAAGACGAGUUCAAUGGCACCCAAUGACACCAAGAGAGAUGACUAACAAUAACUUGAGUGGGCCACAAGAGAGGUCCAAAGACAAGUGAGGCUCGGCACCUUAGGGAAGCUCAUGUGGCUUACUCCGCUUACCAUUUGUGACCUUCUUUAGUGUCAUUAGACUUAUCUUGUCGAGAUCUUAUUUAUGGUACCAAUGGUAUCAUUAUCGAAGCUUCGGUGUGCUCCCAAGAUCUCUAUAGUUUUUUUAUUUCUCUCUCUUUUGUCUUUACAAAUUACGAGGAGAGAGGAGAGAGAAAAAACAAAGAAUGAAAAAAAUAACCUGGAAGCACACCAAUGCUCCAAUGAUGACACCAUUGAUAUCAUAAAAAAAUCUCAACAAGAUGAAUCUAACGUUACCAAAUAAUGUCACAAACGAUAAACAGAGUGGACCACACGAGUGGUCCAAAGGUUUUCACUUUCCUUUAGGUUAUUUGUGUGAUCCACUCCGAUUAUCGUUGGUAACCUUUCUAGGUGUCAUUGAAUUUUUUUCGUCAUGAUCUUUCCAAUGGUAUUAGUAGUGUCAUCAUUGGAGUUUUGUUGUGCCUCUAGGGAUUUUUUUGUCUUUUUUUCUUUCAUUUGUUUCUCUCUCUUCCCCCUUUAUUUUUAUUGAAUCUUGUGUCCAACAACUUUGUAAUUUAAGAGUCGCAUAUGACAUUUAUGACUCACAAAUCACAUAUGUUAUCUGUCACUCUCUAAAUUGUGAUAUGUUUCUAAAUACUUUUUGCAGUGUGUUAUUUUAUUAUUUUCUUUACUAUGCUAAAAACAAACACUUGUUUCCAUAUUGGUUAAUUUGGUUAUCAUCAACUCAGAUUAAUUUAUUCUCUAACUUUCGGAUUUCACUUAAUCAAAAAAGAAAAAAAGAAAAAAAAAAGAAAAAUAAUAAGUAAAGAAAAACAUGAGCCAUGUAAAAAUUUAUGGUUAAUUAGAGGAUGCUAAUUAGGGUGUCCAUGCCACGCUGUUGGCCAGAUUAAAAGUUGAUUUAAUAAUAAAAAUAAAGAAAAUACAUGGGUGAUGUUAAAUUUUGAGUUGACAAUAAAAAAUCUAAAAUAUGCAUUUAAACCUUGAUCAAUAUGUUUAAUAAAAUUAUUCAAAAAAAUUAUAUACGUAAAUAAAUGCUAAAAAAAAUUGUUAAUGACAAUUAAAAACUAAACUGAAACAUCAAUCGAUGGGUGCAAAUAAAGAAAUAUAAUCCCAUGAUAUAAAUAAAUGCUAAAAAAAGUUGUUAAUGACAAUUAAAAACUAAACUGAAACAUCAAUCGAUGGGUGCAAAUAAAGAAAUAUAAUCCCAUGAUAUAACAUGCUAUUCAUAAUAUUUAUUUAAUUAUUUGUCAUUUUGUUUUACGAGCAAAAAAAUAAUAUUUGAAUAAAAAACAAAACACUUUGCUAGCAUAGUUCCUUUGCUUUUUAUUUAUCUAGCAUUGCCCCAUGUUGUAGGGCAUUUGAUAGUCUAGGUUCCAAAUCAAAUCAUGUUGGUGUUGAUUUGGCAAGUUUCAUUUGAUCAAAGGGCUCAUCGUGACUCGGUUGCACAAUUUAAAAUUCGAUAUAGAUCCAAAAUAAUUUCGAGAAGCUUCCAUUUCAAACCUUUAUCUAACUUGAUCAAGCUCAAGGAUGAAGCAAGAAAAUGUCAAAGGAAAAAAUUGCAAAAAAGAGAGUUUAAGGAGCAAAAUAAAAAGACAAUGUCAUAUUAGAUCGACCUUCUCCAACACGGUCUAAUCGGCUAAAUGUGUGGUCAGGGUCACGACAUGAUCAUAAUGAGCUAACCUGGUUUAGCUAAUUGUCUCUUCCAUCUCUUUUCGCUUCCUUUUUUCUUGGUUAGGCCUUUAUUGGGCUUGUGUGAGAUGAAUUUUGAGACUAAACUAUAGAGCCACAAAAGAACUAGGGAGUAAAAAAAAAAACCCAAUAGUUUUUAGAGAACCAAAGAACAAAUGAAAAAAAAAAAUUUCUUUCAUUUCCUUUGCCUUUCGGUCUUCCUGGUUGAGAAUUCAUUAAGCUUAGGUGGAAUGGAGAUUGGGAUCAAAUUAAAGAGCUAUCAAAUAAUUAGGAACCAAAUAAAAAUAUCAAAGUACUAGGGACUAAAUUAAAAAACUAUGAGGGACUAAAUUAAAAAAAAAAACAGAAGCCGUUGUGUUUGGAUGAUGCACCUGUUUUCCUUUAAGACCUGAUACGACCCUUUUUUAUGUCGUUAGAAUGGUCUUGUCAUCUCCUUUAUCCCAUGAAGAUGUGUGUUGUUGAUGAAAAAACAAUGUAGCUUUUACAUCAUUUUUACUUGAAAAAUAAUAUUUUGCGGUUAUCCAUAGUGAUUCAUGAGAUAAAUAUAUGUUUUUUUUUCAAAGUAUUUUUUUAAUAAUGCUAGUUAUUUGAUCAAUGAUGUUAAAUAAAAUCUUUAAAAUCUUUCAAGUUUUAAUGUAAAUAAUCUGCAUAUAACUGGACUAAAAAAGUGUGAUGGGGUGGUAUGUGUCAUAAAUCCCACAAUGAGACAAAUAUAAGAAACAUGUUGGGGUAUGUAUGCAUAACGUUGACAACCAUCUCUCUUUCAUUUUUGUGACCAUGAAUUUAUGUUUUCUUGCAUGAAUUCACUAGUUUCAGUUCUUAGCAAAACAUUUAAAGUGGCUUUGGGAUCCUUCUAAUACCCCAACAUAAGUUUAAAUGUAAGUGAUAAAAAGAGUAUAUGUUGAAGAAGUUAUGUACAAUGAUCAUUUUAUGAUUACUAUAUAUGCCUAUAUUUGUUGACAUAUUUUUCCCAUUUUUGAAUGUUUUAAGGUAUAUAGAAGAGGAAGAUCUACUAAGGUUCUUGAAGACCGUGGAGGUUUAUACCAUAUUUCCUCUCUUUGAAGGAGCUGUUGAGACUGGAAAAAUCACUAAAUCUUCUUUCAGAAAUUGGGUGGUAAAAAAUCCAAAACCCACUUGCUUUAUUUUUUGUUUUAAAGGCCUCACCUUACUAUGUUUACAUGCAGUGAACAUGAAAAGUCCUCAUACGUUAAAAGAUGCUUGCUUUCAAAUUAGGAUUCAUAAUUUGUUGUUUAGUUGAAAAGGAGAUUUAAUGCUUAAUUAAUUAUAUCAUCAUUGCCAAUUGAUCAAGCCUAUAUGGUGUGAAUUUGAUUCUAGGAUUCCAUACAUAGUACCAUUUUCUCUCCUUUAACCCCUCUAAUCAAGCACUAAAAUGGGAUUUACUUUUUCCUAUGUUUAUGUUUUCAAUUGCUAGGUGCAUGCCUAUGUUGAGAGAAAAGCAUUGGCACAUUCCUUGAAUGAUACCAAGACUGCUGUCCAGCAACUUCACAAGUUAGCAAGUGCAAUAGUGACUGUAAUUAUAAUUGUGAUCUCCCUUUUGGUAACGGGAUUGGCGACGACCAAGGUUUUAGUUGUUUUCACAUCUCAACUGCUACUCGUGGGGUUCAUGUUUCAAAACACUUGCAAAACUAUCUUUGAGUCCAUCAUUUUCGUCUUUGUUAUGCAUCCUUUUGAUGUUGGCGAUCGUUGUGUUAUUGAUGGCGUACAGGUAAACUUUUUUUUUAUUAUUAUUAUUUCUAAGCCCCUAACUAGCUAGCUAGUCAUAACAUAGUUGAACCUAAUUUAAUGAAUAUAUAUAUAUAUAUAUAUAUAUAUAUAUAUAUAUAUAUAUAUAUUGCAGAUGAUUGUCGAAGAGAUGAACAUUUUGACAACUGUGUUCUUACGGUAUGAUGCGGAGAAGAUAUAUUAUCCCAAUUCUGUUCUUCUUACAAAGCCUAUCAGUAAUUUCAGAAGAAGUCCAGACAUGGGGGAUUCUAUUGACAUCACCAUUGAUGUGUCAACUUCUGUUGAUGACUUCAAUGCUCUUAAGAAAGCUAUACAACUGUAAGUUAUUAAUCUCAUUUGCAUUCAAAAUAUUUCUAGUGCUAGACAAAAUUACCUCUUAAAGUAAUUAGCUUGCCUAAAUCACACUUGUUUUGCUAAUAGAAAUCAAUAUUUUCUAGAUAUUAGUUAAUUAUUACCGAUUUUUCUAUAUAUAUCUAGCACAUUAUGUAACACAUAUAUUGGUAUUAUGCUGAUAAAAUGCAAAAGCUUUAGAGAUUGGUUAAUUGAUAAUUAGUAUUUUUAUUAGUUUUCAAGAAAAUACCAUUAUGGAAUACUGCAGAUACAUUGAGAGCAAACCAAAGCACUGGAACCCAAAGCACACAUUGCUGGUGAAGGAGAUAGAAAAUGUAAACAAGAUGAAGCUUACUCUAUGUGUUCAACACACCAUGAACCAUCAAAACUACGGGGAAAAGAGCGCUCGAAGAUCGGAGCUUGUUUUUGAACUAAAGAAGAUUUUUGACAACCUUGGCAUUAAGUGCCAUCUCCUUCCACAACAAGUACAUCUUAUGCAUGUAGAUAUGACCCGCAAUGGGGGAAUGUCAAUGUAAUCUUCAUACAAAUGCAAUUAUUUGGAGUGGAAAAAGAAAAUUAUCACACAUUCAAUAUGGCCAUAUACCAGCCAUUCUCUUGCAUGUAUUUUCUUUUCCUUUUGUUAACUUCUUUGCUGUAGCUUAAAUUACUGCGAGAAUUAAUGAUGGAAAAGAAAAAAAUUAUAUAUAGGGAGUGCUUUUAUAAUUAAUAAAAUUCUUUUCUCAUUUCAUAUCGAUCACAUUAGUAGCCCUGUAGUGAAUACUAUAUAUGAAUUUAUCGAUCAUGUUAAUUGACUCGGCUAGGGUAAUAUGAUUUCGCGUAGGGAAAACUUCGUUCUCUGACCGCGAUAGCCAGUCUUUUCAGACGGGAGAAUCAAAGAAGCUUGUGAGCUUACGAGCGAGUCGGUCCGGCUUGCAGGGGAUGCUCGGAAUAAUUGUUCUAUAUAGCAUUCUUCCCGGCUCAGACUAGCUCAGCUUGAGGAGCUUUAUCAGCAGAACUGAUGAGUUCAUCGUCCACCGCAGCAACCAGGACAACAUUAUUUGUGGCAAGAUGUUGGCCUCUGACGAAAUUUCAGGAGCAAUACAUGACAUUCUAGGAGCAACAAAUCCUGCUCAGCUCAGCAACCAACAACAACAAGUAAUUUAUGGAGAGACGUUGGAUCCUGACAAAAUCCCAUAAACAACAAUCGAAACUUCAGCAGCAACAAACUCUCCUCAGAUCAGCAACCAACAGGAUAAUGUAAUCUAUGGAGAGAUGUUGGGGGUUAAUUCACUUGAAUAGUAUGGACACAAAACAAAUGCUAAGUUACCACGUUAAUAGUGCAAACACAACGAAAAACAAAGCAUGCUAGAGGUGAAGAGAAACAGACCUGGAGACGAAGAAACCAUAGUGGCAUUUUUUUUGCAGAUUGUUUUUGCAGAAAAAUGGAGCAAAAAGCAUUUUUUCUAUCUUUCUUUUUUUGUUUUCUCUGCUCAUUCUUUCUUUUUCUCGCUGCCCCCACUAGGUCAUUAGAGAGGCUUAUAUAUAGUCUAAUAUAUCUCUAUUCAGAAAAGAUUUAAUGCAUUAAUUCUAGGAAGCAAAUCCCUACAGAUUUGCAAUAACAAAAAUGCAAAAAGGAAACUGAAAUAUUCUGAUUUCUAUUAUGAUUAUAGCAAUUAGUUUUCAUUGAUCAAAUGGUGGUAUAGCUCCUUUUUUUCCUUCCAUAGCUGUGACCAUGAAGUACCAGCUGCUCUCUUUUAAAUGAGACAAAAAAAAAACGUGGCCUUCAGCUCUCCAUUCAAGUGAGAGAAACAUGGAAACCAAACAUGAAAUUGCAAAUAAAAAGGAAAGAAAAAAACAGGCUAGCUGUGCAGGUUAAAACGUGGUUUCUCCAAUUUCUUCCUUCUACAAAAUUACUUCUAAUUUUAUCUUCAAUCAACUUCCUUGUUUUAGCACCUUUUCCAAUUGGUACUUGGUCCAAAAAAGGGCUUCAAACUUUAAGCAUCUUGCAAUUGUGUCCCUGCAAACUCGGGCAAAAAAAAAAUCCUUCUCGCUGUAGGAAUCUCUACUUUUACACUAGAUAUUCAAACAGGAAUAUCUUGAGCUUUUGAUAUCAAAAUCAAGCUAUUAAAAAGUCUAAAUUUAUCUACGCAUCCAGGACUACAACUUUGAUGAAGGAGUCAAAGUGAGAUAAAAUCGUUUCAGAAAACAAAUUCUAGCAUUAAUUUGGUUGAUGAAAAAGGGUCUCCAGAUCUAAUUCAUAAACUAACAAUGCCGAAUACCGCGAUAUGACUGACAGUAUGACCUAAGAACAAAUCAACAAAAUUUGUGACAUAAAUAGUGUUUUUAGUGCAAAACUUGGGUCAAGAUCCUUCUCGUGCCAGAGUUCUCUACUUUCAUGUUAGAUAUUCAAACAAGAAUAUCUUGAGCUUCUAAUAUCAAAAUCAAGCGAUUCAAAAAUCCAAAAUUUAUCUACCCGUCCAGGACUACAACUUUGAUGAAGGAGUCCAACUGAGAUAAAAUCCUUUGAGAACAGAAUUUGGCAGCAAUCUGGUUGAUAAAAAAGGAUCUCCUGAUCUAAUUCAGAAAUUGACAAUGCCGAGAAUCCUGAUAUGACUGAGAGUAUGACCUAAGAACAACUCAACAAAAUUUGUGAUGGAAAUAGAGUUUUUAGUGCAAAACUCGGGUCAGGAUCCUUCUUGCGGAAGAAUUCUCUACUUUCACGUUAGAUAUUCAAACAAGAAUAUCUUAAGCUUCUGAUAUCGAAAUCAACCAAUUCAAAAGCCCAAAUUUAUCUAUGCAUACAGGAAUAUAACUUUCAUGAAGGAGUCGAAGUGAGAUAAAAUCAUUUCAGAGAACAAAAUCUAGCAGUAAUCUGGUUGAUCAAAAAGGGUCUCCUGAUAUAAUUCAGAAACUGACAAUGCCAAGAAUCGUGAUAUGACUGAGAGUAUGAUCUAAGAAUAAAUCAACAAAAUUUGUGAUGGAAAUAGAGUUUUUAGUGCAAAACUCGAGUUAGGAUCCUUCUCGUGGUAGAAUUCUCUACUUUCAUGUUAGAUAAUCAAACAGGAAUAUCUUGAGCUUCUGAUAUCAAAAUCAAGUGAUUCAAAAUCCCAAUUUUAUCUACGUGUCUAGGACUACAACUUUGAUGAAGGAGUCGAACUGAGAUAAAAUCAUUCUAGAGAACAGAAUCUGGCAGCAAUCUGGUUGAUCAAAAAGGGUUUCCUAAUCUAAUUCAGAAACUAACAAUGCUGAGAAUCUCGAUAUGACUGAGAGGAUGACCUAAGAACAACUUAACAAAAUCUGUAACGAAAAUAGAGUUUUUAGUGCAAAACUCGGGUUAGGAUCCUUCUCGCGUCAGAAUUCUCUACUUUCUUGUUAGAUAUUCAAACGUGAAUAUCUAACGCUUCUGAUAUCGAAAUCAAGUGAUUCAAAAAUCUUAAAUUUAUCUACAGAUCCAGGACUACAACUUUGAUGAAAGAGUCGAAGUGAAAUAAAAUCGUUUUAGAGAAGAGAAUCUGGUUGAUCAAAAAGGGUCUCCUGAUCUAAUUCAGAAACUAACAAUGCCGAGAAUCCCGAUAUGACUAAGAGUAUGACCUAAGAACAAAUCAAUAAAAUUUUUGACGGAAAUAGAGUUUUUAGUGCAGAACUCAGGUCAGGAUCCUUAUCGUGGUAGAAUUCUCUACUUUCACGUUAGAUAUUCAAAAAGGAAUAUAUUGAGUUUCUGAUAUCUAAAUCAAAGGAUUCAAAAAUCCCAUUUAUCUAUGUGUCUAGGACUACUAAUAUGAUGAAGGAGUUGAAGUGAGAUAAAAUCAUUUUAGAGAACAGAAUUUGGCAGUAAUCUGGUUGAUAAAAAAGGGUCUCCUAAUCUAAUUUAGAAACUGACAAUGCCGAGAAUUCCAAUAUUACUGAGAGUAUGACCUAAGAAAAAAUCAACAAAAAAUGUUAUGGAAAUAGAGUUUUUAGGGCAAAACUCGGGUCAGGAUCCUUCUCGCGGUAGAAUUCUCUUCUUUCAUAUUAGAUAUUCAAACAAGAAUAUCUUGAGCUUCUAAUAACAAAAUCAAGCAAUUAAAAAUCCCAAAUUUAUCUAUGCAUCAAGGAAUACAACUUUGAUGAAGGAGUCGAAGUGAGAUAAAAUCGUUUUAGAGAAUAGAAUCUGGCAGUAAUCUAGUUGAUAAAAAAUGGUCUCCUGAUGUAAUUCAGAAACUGACAAAGUUGAGAAUCCCAAUGUGACUGAUAGUAUGACCUAAGAACAAAUCAAUAAGAUUUAUUAUGGAAAUAGAGUUUUUAGUGCAAAACUCGAGUCAGGAUCCUUCUCAUGGCAGAAUUCUCUACUUUCACAUUAGAUAUUCAAACGGAAAUAUCUUAAGCUUCUGAUAUCGAAAUCAACCAAUUCAAAAGCCCAAAUUUAUCUAUGCAUACAGGAAUAUAACUUUCAUGAAGGAGUUAAAGUGAGAUAAAAUUGUUUUAGAGAACAAAAUCUGGUAGUAAUCUGGUUGAUCAAAAAGGGUCUCCUGAUCUAAUUCAGAAACUGAAAAUGUUAAGAAUCCCGGUAUGAUUGAGAGUAUGACCUAAAAAAAAUCAACAAAAUUUGUGAUGGAAAUAGUGUUUUUAGUGCAAAACUCGGGCCAGGAUCCUUCUUGCGAUAUAAUUCUCUACUUUCACAUUAGAUAUUCAAAAAGUAAUAUCUUGAGCUUCUAAUAUUGAAAUCAAACGAUUCAAAAAUCCCAAAUUUAUCUAUGCAUCCAGGACUACAACUUUGAUGAAGGAGUCGAAGUGAGAUAAAAUCAUUUUAGAGAACAGAAUUUGGCAAUAAUCUGGUUGAUCAAAAAAGGUUCUUGAUCUGAGAAUGUCGAGCAUCUAAAUUUGACUGAGAGUCUGCCCUAAGAACAGUGAUCCCUAGGACCCAAUAAAGGUGUAGGUUAAUUUUUCAACAUGUCAUGAGUGACAGAAUAUAGCUAGGAUGGUCAGAUAUCGUACGAAACCAAGUCAGAAUCAGAGCCUAAGUUGGAACAAAAAAUCACGACAGCAGCAGAACCAGUUUUGUUUUUGUGCAAAUUAUGAGGGAUUUAUCCAACCUUAAAGACUAGAUAAAGAAAGAAUGAAUUUAGGAUUAUAAAAACUCCUGAUCAAUCUAAGAAAACCUGACGAUUUUGGCACUAUAGAGGAAGGAUAAAAGGAGUAGAAAACAACUCAAAUAGAGUUUCAAAAAAAAAAAAAAAUUCUUUCUCUGCUUUUGUCAAUCUUCUAGUAAACAUGAGCAAAACUCCUAUAUUUAAUUCAAAAGAGGUAUACACCGUCUCUAGCACAUAGGGUCCAAAAAUGAGUAACAACACCUGUUUUGUGGAUGAUUUUUUCAAAUACACUUGGAUUAUACCUUUGAUGGGGAAAUGUCUUAUUUAAGGAAAAUAACAGAUUUAUGGCAUCUUGUUCUUAGAUGGAAAAAUGUUUUGUUUAAGGAGUUGUCACUCAGUAUUAUGGUCAUUAGGAACCCUAACUAGUCAACAUAGAUUAUAUUAUAAGGGAUUGGUAACGUAAAAGGAAAGAUAUUAUUUCCCCAUAAAUGUCUUGCCUGAGGCAGAUUGCAUUGCUAGUUUUGUCUUAAAUUACUAAAAGUUUGUUAGUUUAUGCUACGAUGGUUUGAUUGUAAUAUUCCUGACUUUAGCGUUAAUAAAUAUUCAACUAGGGAUACUUCCAACUCUAGUGUUGGUAAAUAUCACUACCAGAAAAUCAACAAAUACAAACGGAAAUACCGAGGGAAUUACUGUGGGAAAAAAAAAUUAAAACAAAGCAAAAAAAAUGAUGACGUGUCAUUUUUUACCAACAGAAUUACUGGUUGAAUUAUUCGUAAACUGUUCAUCAUGUCAAUUACAAAGGGAAUUACUGACGGACAAUUCCGUUGAUAUUUUCCAGAGAGCUCCAGAACUGUUCAUUUUUCAAUUGCACUGUUAAUUGUUUUACUUUACGGACAAAAUCACCGACGGAUUGAAAAUUCGUUGGUGUGUUUUGGCUGUUUUCUGAAAAAAUUCAAUUGAUUUAAAAUUUUCAUUUAAAUAUUACAGACGGAAUCACCGACAGAUUGAAAAAUCAUCAGUAAUUUUUGGCGGUUUCUGAAAAUUUUUUAUGAAAUUAAAAAUUUAAAUUAAAUAGUACCGACGAAAUUAUCGACAGAAUAAUUAAAAAAUAUUAAUAUUCAAUUAUCCGUCGGUAAAUCCGUCAGUAACGCUCCCCAAUAAAAAACUUGAAUCCGCUUAUUUCACAAGAGAUAGACUCAUUAUUUCUUUUCAUUCUUCUACUACUUCUACUUCUUUUUCUUCUUCUUUUUCUUCUUCUUCUUCACUAUAUGUAAAAAACAUCAAUAUCUAUUUCUUUCUCUUCUUUUCUCUCCUCAUCUCCUUCUCUUUUCCUCCAUGCUUGGGUAUGUCUUCUUCUUCUUUCUUCUUUUAUCCUCUUAGUUUUUUUUUAAUUAAUAUGCUUUACGAAUUUUUUUUUCCUUAGCUUCACUUGCAAGUAUAUUAAGGUAAGAUUUUUCUUUUUUCUUAUUUUUUCAUGAUUUUUUUCACUAUAUUUUUUUUAUUUAAUUUUAAUUGAUUUUGUUCAUAAUAAUUGUAUAAAUGUUGUUGUGAGAUUUGUUUUUCAUAUAAAUCAAUUUUUAGUUGAUUUAUUUAUAGGAUUUUUAAAUUUUUAGCUAUUGCAACUUCAUUUUUUUCAUAUGAAUUUUUUUAGUUGAAUUAAGUUUUUUGUUUUAUUUAUUUGUUGCAAAUUUGUUUGAGUUGAUUAUCUUAUUCUUUUUUCCAAGCAUUUUGAGUAUAUAUUAUACAAUGUUGAUUUAUGUUAAUUUAAUUAUUUUAUAAAAUGAAUUUUUUUAAAAAAUGUUUUUAAAUAAUUACCGACGGAAAUUUCCGUCGAUAAAUCCGUAGGUAAUAAAAACAAAUUAGCGACGCGUCUGUUUCGCCAAUAAAUCCGGCGAUAAUAUCAUUACCGAUGAACAAAAAAUUAUCAACGAAAGAUUCACCGAUGGAAAUUCUUCGUCGGUGAUUUCAUCGGUAAAUUAAUUACCGAUGGAAUAUGUGUCUUACGCCGACGGAAAAAUUCCGUCGGUAAAACUAUUAAAUCUUGUAGUGUAUGAUGUAUGAUAUUCCUAACUCUAGCGUCAAUGAAUAAACCAAUAAAUUAAAUUUAAAUCAAUGCAUGCAUAUUUUUGUUUAUUUAUUUUUCUCUAAAAAUAAAAAUAAAACAUAUCGUACACUAGAUUUACAUUUCAUAAUAAAAAUCCAUAGAUUAAUUAUACAGUGAAAUACCUAAAAAAAUAUGAUGGACCUAAAAAUAAAUUCAAAAAGGUGCUUGUUUGACCACAUAUCAAAACAAAAAGGAAUACAAUAAAAGGGAUUGGCAUAAAGGUGUGUUUUGUCAAACACACUUUUGGCCAAAAUAGAUUGGCCGGAUGGUCACUGUGCAUGCAUGCCUGGAUUAUUCACGCAUGCUUUGCAUACAAUAUUUAUAUUUCUAAGGGGAGGGAAAACAAAAGCUUACUUGUGUAGUUGGGAAUGAAACCGACAAUGAUGGUGUAUCGGACGAUGCUCUUUCUGUUCCUCUUUUCGUUUGUUUUACCUUUGGUUGUUCUUUUCUUCAACUUUGUUUUCUCUAUUCGUAUUCUCUGGUUCCCUCCCUUUUUAUUUUUGUCCUUGUUUUUGUUUGUUUGCUUCUCUCUCUCUCUUUACUAGUCAUGUGUCGCUGGCAUUGAGAAGGACUCUGCUUUGAAAGGUGGAUGGCCAAAUCACGACUGAGGAUAGAGUUGCUGUUGAGGUUGUGGCUUUCGGUGAUGGCUGUCAUGAUGUUGUUGCACUGUUUUCUUGAGUUUGCUCAUGGUUGCUGGAGUUUUGAAGGAGAUUCUACGGUCUUUCUCCUCUGUUUCACUUUGCCUCCUGGUUUCCUCUCCCUACUAUUUUGUUUUAUUGUCUUUCUCUUUAUGAGUUUUUUUUAGCCUGUCUCUAUACCUCUCUUUUUUUAGUUCGCCUUUCUCUGGCCUUCUAUAAGGCCAGAGAGAGUAAAUGAAGUCGUUAACAAUCCUGCUCAUGGAGGACUGUUAAUCGAUUUGGAAACAGAAUCAUGGGUAGGAGACGUGGUCCGGGUUUAGUGUUAUUUCUUCCUGUAAAUGCAAUACCAGAAGUUCUCUUAAAACCAACGGAAUUACCAAUAAAAUAAUUUUGUCGAUUAUUUGCGGUGAUAAUUAUCGACAAACACUAUUCCAUCUGUAAUUUAGACGGUAUAUACUGACGAAAUACUGUGGUUUGUAUAUACCGACAGAAUUAUAAACAGAAUAUUCAGAAAUAAUAAAAAAAAAAAGCAGUUUGCUAAUGUGGAACUUUUUGUGGGCAAUUUUACUGAUGGAAGCACCGAGGGAUUCAAACCGGGAUCUCUGUAUAGUGACGUGACCAAUUCAUUGUCAGACUUGCCGACAGAAUCACCGACAGAGGUAUUUUGUUGGUGAUUCCGUCAGCAAAAGUUAAUACAUCACCACUCUGCCGACCCUCUCCUCCUUAUUUCUCCUUCUUCUCCCCAUCCCAACUCUACCCUCCCAAACUCCAAACAACCAGCCCAAAAAAAAAAAUCUCCCUAUUCUCAGCACAAGUCAUAUUUCUUUAAGUUUUGUGAUCACAACAUUCGUGCUCUAGUUUAUUGUGGAUUUUAUUAUUUUUUGUAAGUAAAUCUAUCUUUUUUAAUUUUAACAUUUAAAUGUCAAUUUUAUUUAUCUUUUAGUAUAUGUAUUUUGUUAAAGUACGUACAUAUUUUAUUGUUAUUUUUCAAACAAACUUAUAGUAUAUAAAUGUAUAAUUUUGUACUUGUUAUGGUUUGUUUUAGAUUUGGUAAAAUUGUAUUUCAUUGUAAAUUGUUGAAACUUUGUUGAAUUACCGAAUUACAUGUGUUGUGGUGAAAUAAUUAAUAGCUUGUUUAACAGGUCCGUUUUAAUUUUUAUCAAUGCUAUUGCGGAGUUGUAAUUUCCAUAAAUUUACAAGUAUAAAUUUAUAUGGAUGUUGAUAAUUGAUAAUGAAUAUUUAUGAGAAGUUGUAAUUAUCUUGUUGGUCAAAUUUAUUUACCUAACAUAGUUAAUUAAUACAUGUUGUCAUCAUAAUUUUAUAGAGAUUUGAUAAAAGUCAUGGAUGAUCAUUCAUGGAUGUAUCGAGAUUCACCUCAAGGAUUGCAGAGGAUGAAUUAUUGUAACAGAGUUCAGUAAUUUAUUAAUGUCGCAACAUCUAUUCCUAGAAAUUUUACUGAAAGCAAUAUUAGGUAUCCUGUAGGAAAUGUGAAAAUAAAAAGUAUAUGCAUUCAAAUGUUGUAAUAAUGCAUCUUCUACACAAAGGGUUUAUAGAAAAUUACUUGUGUCGGUAUGCACACGGAGAAGUAUUUGUUCGUAAUAAGAGCAUGGAAGAAAGGGUGGUUGGGUCAACUUCUAGUACUAACAACGUGUAUAGAGUUGCAAAUGACAAAAGUAAUUCUUAUAGGAAUAUGAUUAUGGAUGCAAUGAGAAUGAAUCAAAGUAAUGUCAGUCAAUGUCCAAUAGUAGAAGAAUAACCUAAUGUAGAUACAAUUAGGUUUUUGAUCUAUUGAAAGAUUAUAACGAAUCAUUAUGGGAUAACUAUACAAACUAUAGUAGUUUGGUUUAGAGAAGGCUAUUAAAGCUGUGUUUUUCAGCCAAGGUAAGGAUGGUUUUUGCAUUGUGAGGGGGAGCUACUCACUGUGGUCUAUUAAAGCUGUGUUUUUCAGCCCAGGUGAGGGUGGUUUUUGCAUGGUGAGGGGGAGCUACUCACUGUGGUUAUGAGCUGUGGUGAAGAGGCUGUUACUGGUGAAGAUGAUAGCAUUUUUUUUAUAUGGCUGACGACUCCUUUUGUCAAGAUAAAGUUAGGUUUUUUGCAUUUGUACGAGGGUGAGUGAGCUAGAGAAAAAAAUGUGGAAAAUAGUUUUUGGAUUUUGUUUUUGUCUCCCCUCCCUUUUCUAGUGUGAGAUAACCAAAUGAUUUUUUUUUUCUUUCAAUUACUUGGUUACCAAACAAUUUAAAUUUUUUAAUCCUUCAAUUUCUUCUUUUUUUAUUUUUGGUCCCUUUUUCUAUUUAUUAUAUAUUUUAUUCUUUUUAUUUUUUUUGUAUUUUGAUUUUUUUAAUAAAGCAGCAUCAAUGUCAACUUAAUGAGAAGAAUUAAUUAGUUAUUUUGAAAUGUAUACAUUAACAGUAGAAUACGUUGAAAAUAAAUUUUUAAAUUCUGAAUUUUUUUGAAAAGAUGCGGAUGUCACAAAUACAGCAAGAAUAAUUUUUUAAAAAAUAUAUAUUUAAAAAAACAAGAGACAAAAAAUAAACUAUAAUCAUAAUAUUAAUUUCAAAUAUUUCUAGUAACUCUGUUUAUAAUAGCAGCUGCAAAUAACUUGUGAGAAAGUGCAAAGAGUUUCUUAGACCCUUAUCAGCUGGUUCGGUGAAGAGGGUAUUGCUGAUUGUUCUGCAAAUAACAGGAGUCAGUUUCAUAAUUGAAAUGCUUACCAUUAGUGAAAAUGAAACCAAGAGUGUGCUCCCUAUUUACUAACUAUAGAGUAAAGUUGGGCAUCUUUGUUUCUCUACCUCACAAACUCGAGGCCAUAAUCAUAGUUGCUCGACAGCUAUGGUCUUCUCUAUAGUAUACAAUCUUCUCGCUUGCUUCCCUAUUGAUUUUUGUGGUUCAAAAAUAUUUAAAAAAAAAAUUAAAUUUUUUUUAUUUUUUAUUUACUUCAAAUUAAUAUAUUUUUAAUGUUUUUAGAUUAUUUUAAUAUGCUAAUAUUAAAAAUAAUUUUUAAAAAAUAAAAAAAUAUAUUAUUUUGAUAUAUUUCUAAAUAAAAAAUAUUUUAAAAAAUAAUUGCAAUUAUACUUUCAAAUAGGUGUUUGAUAGCCUGUGUUGUAUUAUGUUGAUUGUGAUUCUAAGAAACUUCAACAAUGAAGUUAUGCUUCCAAAAGUCUUGAAAGUUCAUUUCGAUUCUAUGAUCACAGUUUUCAGUAAUACGAUGUAGCUGUCACUUCACUUUUGUGAUACUAAGAAUGUGUUUGGUAUUGCGGUAGCUGUUGUGGUUGUGGUUUAAAAAAAGUUGUUUUAUAAAAAGUAUUUUUAGUUGAGGUUGGUUUGAAAAAAUAGAUGUUUGGUUAAAACUGUGGUUAAAAUUGAGGUUGAAGAAAAAGUAAUUUUAAUGUGUUUGGUUAAGAAUGCUUUUGAAAUUGAGGUUAUAAAAUAAUUUUAAAAAUAUAUAUAUUAAUAUUGAUGGUUUUUAAUUUAAAUUUUAUGGAUUUAACUAUUGCUAUUACAUCAUGAAAUAAAUCACACUUAAAAAAUUACUUUAACAAAAUUAGAUAAAAUAUUAUCAAGAAUAAAAUUAAGAUUACACUACGAGUAAAUUUAAUUCACCUUAAACUAAUUUAAAAAAAAAUAAAAAAUAAAAAUUAUUGUUCACGUGAAUAGUACUAGUGAAAUCAAUUAACUACAUUGGUGUAAAAAAAAAAGAAUUGUUCAGUGCAUGCCUCCACUGUUUUUUUUUUAAAAAAAAAAACUGUUUGGUGAACAGUAGAGCUGCCAUGCAAAAAGCAGCAAUUUGCUGCUUUUCAUUUUCAUGGGGCGAGAACACAAUAAAUAGAGGGAUCCAUGCAUAGUAAACAAUUUUUUUUAUUUAACCAAAUACUGAGGUAGUGCGUUUGUGAAGAAAUGCAACUUCUACCUCGUAGCCAAACGGGCUGUAAAACGUCCUGUUUUUUAUGACUGCACUUAAUUUGCAUGCUUUUCUGAAUCUUCUUUGUUCUACUUCUCCUGGGAUUCUUUUCUUGACUUUGUUAUGAACUAGUUGCCGACUCACGGGCUGCAAGUCAUAUCCUCAAGUUAUUUGUCUGGUUCUUGAUUCGAGAUUGUAUUUGCUCUCAUAUUGAACUUGAGACAUAUUUGUCUGUUUCAUUUCCUAUAUUUUGAAAUUCCAUAUUCCAUAUUAGCCUCAAAAUCAAAUUGAUGUCCUACUUGUUAUUUAGAAGUUAGAUUAUCUUCUUCUUCUUUUUUGCAGGAAAUUAUUGGGAGAGUCCCUCAAGGGUAUUAAGGGAGCCUUUGACAUUUAAGUUGGGAUCUCUUAUGUAACUUUUGCUGCCUAUCAUUUCUUUCUCUCCGUAAAAACAAAAUGUUCAAAAAUUUACUCCAUUUUUCCAUUCAAAAGCACCCAAAAGAAAGAAAAGUAGAUAUUGAUUGUUUUCUCUAGAGAAAAUCCAUGUGAAUACUUGUGUUCAUGCGACAAUACACCAUCUUCCUCUUCUUCAAUCCUUUAAAUGGUGUUGUCAAGGGCGGAGCCAAGAAUUUUUUUUGUCUUAGGCUUCACAAUAAAAUCUUAAUUUAAAUAUAUUAUUCAAAAUAUUAAAAAAUAAUUUGAAACUACAUAAAAUUAAAGUGAAAGUAAAAAUAACCUCAUUAUUAAAAUUAAACCCUUUUAUAUUUUAUGAAAUAUAAUUUAUCUAUAAAAUCUGAUUCAAUAUUUUCAGCAAGCUCUCGUUCAUCAUAAAAUAUAUUAACUCUUUUAUUUUAUUGUGAAACACAUUUUUAACAUGCUUCAUAUAUGAAAAUUAUCACUCUUUGAUGGUAGUAAGAACAUGCAAAGUCAAAAUAAAACGAAUCGACCUGUUAAUUAAUCAAAUUAUUGUAUUGCGACUUAUUUGUUACGAUUAAUCCCUUACAUAAUUUGAAAAUAGUAGACAUGUUUUGAAAGCUCUCAUGAUGAAUUAUAUCAUUUUGAUAAUACUCUAGCUAAGAUCUCAAAUAAUGCAUCUUUUAUUUAUUGAAAUCUUCAAAAUAAAAAUUAUCAACAAGCUUGCAAAUAGAUUUAAUUUUAAUUAUUUAAAGUUGUCUUUAAAUUCUAAAGCAAAGUUAAGUAUAAAAAGUUUCAUUUUCCAUCAUUAAAUCUAGAAUCAAACUCUUUUAAUUAAAAAUCUAUUGCCGAGUUAAAUAUAUUAUAAUGAUAGUUUUAGUAAACUGUCAUUAAUCCUUGCUACUGACAUGAACAACCUAUACCCUUUUAUAUAAAGUAUUUAUAUGAGGUAUGCCAAUUUUUUAUUGUAUGUAAACAAAUUGCACAUAUGCAAGGAGAAUAUCAAAUCCAACAUCUUUUAAAGUUUAAAACAAUGUUUUAGUAGUUGAAAUAAGAUUAAGUUGAAUUUAUGUGACGGAUAGUACCAUACAAUAAAUGAAAGAAAGGAAAGGUGUGUUGCUUUUAUCAAAUUGUUGAGUUGAAUAUGUAUGGAAACAAGAAAAGUAAUCUAGCACAAGGAAGGAUACAAUUUUCACUUUGGCUCUCUUAACUUAAAAGGAUAGAGAUUUUAAUUUUUUUAAAAAGUGGCUAAUUUAUAGACAUAGCAUGUUUUUCUUGAGCUAAUUUAGUUAAUUGUAAAUUAGAUUAAUUUAAUGUUAGUAUAAAAAAUUAUUGAUAAAAUAUUAACCUGGGCUAUAGCCAGCCAAGUCUUUAAUAUAGAUCCGCUCUUGGGUGUUGCCAAAACAUAUUCUAGGCUACUUCUGCAAUGCAAUGGAUAAACCCAUCACAAUUCCCUUAACAUUCAAGUGUUGAUAUUCUUGGCUUUCUCUGUUAUCAAUAGCUUGACAUUCAUGGGGAAGCAUGGUAAGAUUUAAGAUUAAAUUCAGUUUCUUUAAGAGCAAAAAAGAAAAGGACUAAAGACACUUUUGAAAAAAUAACAAUUAAACUAUUGAUAACAGAGAAAGCCAAGAAUAUUAAACAUAUUAAUAGUUUAAUUGUUAUUUUUUUCAAAAAGUGCAUUAAAGAGAAUGCUCUUACUGCAACCAAAGAACUAAAGACAAUCUUGAUAUUUAAAAAAAUAUGACAAAAGUUAUAAAAUGAUAAAACUAAAUUAUGAUCUUUCUAAAAAGACAACAAAAUUUGACAAAAGGUUACACUUGUAACUUUCCAUUGUUUUAUGCAUUGAACUCUUUUCCGAUUUUUUUUCUUUCGCUUACCUUAUAUAAUGUAAAAUAUUUUGAUAUUAAAUUAAUAAUCAAUUUAAUAAUAAAUAUUUUUAGCUUAUUGUUAAAACAAAAUUGAGAGAUGAAUGCUCAAAUUUGACAUAAAGAAACAGAACCCUUUUCUAUAAAAUAAAAAUGUGCAAAAUUAUAAUUUAGUCCUUUAAAUUUAAAAUUUUUAUUAUUUGAUCCCUAUUAAUUUAGUGCAUUAUAUUCUAGUUCUAAAUUUUAUUUUUAUCGCACUUAUCUUUAGAGGUUGAGAGUGAAGAAAGAAAGUCAUCAAAAAAUUAAAAAAAAAAAAAGAAAGAAAGAAAAAUCUCAAUGGAUUGUGGUAAUUUAAAUAUUUAUGAAUAUAAUAUUUUUUUAUUAUUUUUAUUGUGUCAAGUUUUAUAUUAUUUUCUCUAGUUAAUUGUUUUUUAUUUUUUAUACAAUCACGUUAAAAUAAUUAAAACAUUAUAUUUUUUACUUUAUAAAUUUUUACAAGUCAUGAUAAGUUUUCUUUUUAGGAUAAUGGUGCUCUUGAUAAAUAAAAACGUUAUCUCUAAAAUUAAAAAAAUAAUAAUGAAUAUCAAAAGUGAAGUCUUGGUUAAAGAAAUGAAGUUUAAUCCAAGGAAAUGGUUUUUUUUUCCUUACUAAAUUUAAAUCUUUUGAGUUUUGAUAGAUAUGUAUUUUAAUUAUUUUUAGUUUUUUUAAAAUAAUCAUGAUUUAGAAAAACUCUCAAUGUUUUUUCAAAAUAAUAAAAUCAUAAAUAAUAAAAAUAAAUUUUGGAAGAAAAAAAUACAUUUUUUUCUUCAAUGAAAGAAUAUCCAACAAAAAAACAUCGGCAUGUGCAUGUUUUGCUUUUUAUAAAGAAGAUUUAAUUUUUUUAUUUUAGUUUUUAAUUAGCUGUAACAACUAUUUUCUUAUAAUUUAUUAGUUGAUAUAGUUCUUAAUUCAUAAGUACGUAUCCACAAUAAAGCGUAGGUCCACUUGCUUGUUUUUUUUCUGAAGUUUAUUUUAUUCGUAAUUUGUCUAUUUAUUUUGUUCCAGAUGCUUUGAGUUGCAUGCUGGCCUGUGGACCAUGCCUUAACCUUGUGGGGCCAUGUCAGAUAAAUAAUGUCUUGUGAUAUUUAAGAUAGGGGUACACUAAUUAUUUUUUAUUUGGAUCGCUAUCCCUUCCUUUCCUAAAAGCGCUCUUCCUGGCACCUUCGUAUCCAAUUAAUCACCUCCUUUUUUUAACCAGAGAAGGCGUUGUAAUAACUUGAUAUUAAAAAAUUUAUUUAUUUUAUGAUUUUUUAUUUAAUUUAUGAUUUUUUAUUUAAGUUCCAUGUUGCUCUUAUAAUAAUUAUUGAAAAUUUAUAUGAUCAUUAACUUCAAAAUUUAUAAGAUUAAUUGAUGUAUAUACAAGUUUAUCCAAAUAUUUAUAUUAAUAAAAAUAAUAAAAAAAAAUUACCUUUUUUUUGGUCAUCAACAAGAAUGGAUGAGUAAAGAGACCAAAUUGUGUUAAUAGUAAAAAUCUUAAAAGUAGAAAUUAAUUUGUUUUUAUGUUUAAAAAUGUUUUUAAAAAAAUUUAAAUUUAAAUUUUUUUAAAAUUAAUAUUUUUUUAUUUUUUACAAAAUUAUUUUAAUUUGCUGAUUUUAAAAUUAAUUUUUAAAAAAUAAAAAAUAUAUUAUUUUAAUAUAUUUUUAAAUAAAAAAUAUUUUAAAAAAUAACCGUAAUUAAACUAAAAAUAAAAAAGUAAGAAGAUAGAUUUGUCGGUAACAAUAAAAUAUGUUCUCUCGAUGAAUGAUCUUGUAAUGAAAACAUAAGUUGAAUUAAAUAAAUAAUAAAGUGAAGCCUGAUAUGACAUGAUCAUGACUUUAAAAAUAAUAGGGUGAUUGUUUUGUAAAAUAUUUUUUUAUUUAAAAAUAUAUUAAAUAUAUUUUUUAUUUUUUAAAUAUUAAUACAUUAAAAUAUAUAAAAAAUUUAAAUAAAAAAUUUAAAUAUUAUCCAACUUCUAUUUAAAAAACAAUAAUUGCUUUUUGAAAUGGGAAAGCAAAUAAAAGUCGUUGAAAGCAAUACAUCUAAACAAAUUACAAUCAUGCAGUGCGGGAACUUAAAAUAAAAAUAAUAUAUCUUUUGCGGCAUGAUUGCCCCCACUGACUGCACUACACUUCUUAGUGGUUAAUCGGUCACGUCCAGAACAACUACUGUAACACAUAUAUGCAAAGCACCUGGCAUAAUUCAAUGAUGAUUACUUGCAAGCCACCUAACAUAAUAAAAGGCCGACAUUCAAAAAAAAAGAAAAAAGGCCGACAUUACGAUUGAAAAAUAUUUGUUUUUAAAAAAAAAAUUUAAUUUUUUAAUUUAAUAUGAUUGUGAUAUUUUUAGAUUAUUUUGAUGUAUUAAUAUUAAAAAUAAUUUUUAAAAAAUAAAAAUAAAUAUUAUUUUAAUAUGUUUUAAAAUAAAAAAUAUUUUUAAAAACAAUCGCUGCCAUACUUUCAAAUAAUAUAAUUGAAUCAAAUAAAAUGUAAUUGAAUUUAAUUUAUAAAUAGAUUUAAAUUUAAUAUCUUCUUAUAAAUUUUAUAUUUAAAAUAAAAUGUUAAAUCAUGUAAUUAAAUUUAAUUAUACUAUUUUUAAGUUAGCAAUAAUGAUUAUUUUAUCCUUAAUUUAAAAAUUAUAUUUUUGUUAUAUAAAACAUUUCUUAGUUCGAAUAAUUCAUAAAAAUACCAUGUUAAAUCAUGAAUGAUCAUCUCGUCCAGAAGACCAUCGUUAACUUUUUUCAACUCUUCCAAAGAAUUAAUUAAAUGACCAUAACAAGAAGGAAAAUCUUGAAAACAGGGACAAAGAACAAAAAUAAUCCGUUAAAAUCAAAUCAGAGGCUACCUUUCGGCUUUCGCCCUGUGGAAAACAAUAAUAGGGUUUGUCUUGUUGUGCUGUUAAGGAUAUUUUUUAAAUAUUGUUUUUAUUGUCAAUUUCAGAAGGAGUUAUCAUAGCAAUUUAUAGGUUAUCAACUCUUGAAUUUCAUUUCAAAUUCAAAUUCAUACUUUAACAAAUAUUCAAAAUAUAAAGAUUGAUUUAAUCUUGUGAAUUGAAUUCAAUUCAUAAGAUUCCAAACACUCGGUAAAAUAAAAUAAAAAAUUAAAUUUGAGAUGAAAACUCGUGGACUAUACAUGUAUCGCAUCAUUAUAAUUACUACAUUGAUUUUUUUUUUUUUAAUUCUUUACUACUUUUAUAAUCACUUGUUUGUUAUUAUUGUAAGUUGUGUUGAAUAAAUAUUGAACUUGAUAAUUUAUUUUGAUUUAUUUUUUAUCAUAUUAUUACGCUAUCAAAAAAUAAAUUUUGAUAUUGGGUUGAUACUUGAUUUUACAAAAAAAAAAAUAUUUUUAUUUACAAAAACUUAAAAAUAAAGGGAACAAAAUACAAAGUGAGGGGAAAAUGGAACCUUGUUUUAACCUAAAACUAAUCAUUCAGUUUCUUUUGACAAAAAAGUACCUUAUAUUUUUCUCAAUUACCAUUAUGGACAUUUAGUUUAAAAUGUAUGAGUUUUAGUCUCAAACUUUAUUUUGUUCACAUUUAAGUACUUAAAGAAAGUCAUCGAAAAAUAAUAUAGGGGCGGGGAGAGAGAGAGAGAGAGAGAGAGAGAUAGAGAGAGAGAGAGAGAGAGAGAGAUAGAGAGAGAGAGAGAGAGAGAGAGAGAGAGUCAUUGGUUGUCUACAUUUCAACAAUAAAAAAAAUUAUUUUUUGGUGUCAAUGAGUUCCAUUCGACAAUGAAGUUCUAUUGAAGUGUUUUUUACCUAUAAUCUUGUCGAAAACAAUUGACCAAGGUUGAGAAAUAUAUUUAUUUCCAACUUAAUUUUAUAUUUUUUGAUUUAUUUAGGAUUUUUUGUUAAGGAAUUGGUUUAUUGGCAUUCUAAGAGUGCUUUUUUAGUAUUUCAGGUGAAAAUAGGUUCAAAAUAAGAUUUUCAUGUCCUAAAACUCGGACUCUAAUUUUCUAGUGACCUUCAAUAACCAAAAAAUAUUGUAGAUGAAGAUAGGUUGUCCACCACAAUUGAUGACCUAUCAAAUUGUGUGUGUGUGUGUCUAAAAAUGCAGAUGAUACAUCAUCCAUUCCAAUUUAAAAAAAAUAGCUCAAGCGCGUGGGGCUGAGUUUACAGGUUUAGACGUGCUUGGCCUUUUAGGUAACUAGCAUUGCUUCUUGGGUCAAUUUAAUGAAUAAUGGGUUCAUUUUGGAAAUGUUUUUUUUAUUUUAGUGUUUCAGCCUCUUUUUAUCGUAUUCUCUUAGAACCAAUUUAACAAGUUAAGUUUUCAAUGUGAGAUAGAAAGAGAAAAUGAUGAGAAUGUAAAACAGUGCUUUGUUUUUUUUUUUUUAAUUAAUUGUAUUCUUUAAUAUUGGGUUUACUAGGGAUUAGAUUUUAUAGUUUAUUUCAAUUUGUUUUUCAUAGGGUUGUCUAAGUCUCAUGAUCCAGGUUAUGGAUUUAGUGAUUUAAAACAACUUGACUCGAUUUUUUUUUUAAUUUUAUCCUUUAAUAAUUGGUUGUUUGGGAAUUGAUCUUUAAAAUCUAUUUUGACUUACUUUCUAUGAGGUUAAUUCGGUCUCAUGACCUGAGUUGUGAGUUUGGUGGAUUAACUUAAGUUAUUUUUUUCUGUCCAUUUUUAUAAUUGAUUUUUUUUUUAAUUUCAUCCUUCUAUAUUAGGUUGAUUAAGAAUUCAGAUUUAUAAUUUAUUUUAUUUGUUUUUAUAAGGUUAUAUCGGUCUCAUGAUCCAAAUCAUGAAUUUGGUGAGUUAACUCAGGAUGACCUGAAUUGAUAUUAUAUGUUGUCAUCUCAAUAUUGUUUUUUUUUAUAAAAAAAAUAUAUUGUCUUGAAUUUAUUUUUAGUCAAAAUAUAUUUUCAUCGGUUGUUUGACAUACCUUUAUACAUGUUAGGUCGAUCUGGUUACAUUAAAUCAACCCUUACAUGAUUUAAAAUUAAUACAUGAUAUAGUUCAUGCCCAAAACACAUUGAAUGGACUGGGAUGAUUAUACUUCGACAGUUUGGUUAAUUCACCUUAAAGUUCACAGUUUGAUUGACUCAAUUUGAAUUGACAGGUUCUGAGAAGUAUUAUAUUUUCAAGAAUUUUAUAUUUUUAGUGUAAGUAAUUUGUUUUUAUCAAAUUAGAGAUGUAAAGUUAGUUUUGACAUGUUAAAACUAACAUGGAGAUGCUCCUAACAUUGAAACAAGAAAAAAAUAUCAAGAAACAUAUAUUAAAAAAAUACCAAGAAACAUAUACUUCAUUGGAAUUGCUAAAGAAAUAGAAAAAAAAAACAAUGAAUAAGAAAAGAAUUCCAUCGGCAAUGUUUUAGAAAGUUAAAACGUUAUUAUUUACUAAUGAAAUUGCCGAUGAAAUUAUUCUGUCAGCAAAUGUAAAUAAGUUCUAAUUGACAACCCCCCCUAUUCUUCUUCCUGUGCAAAGAAAAGUAUCAUCAACCAUCUAUUAUCUUAUAAAUCCAGCCACCCUAACCUUUUAACAUCGAUUUACAUCUAUAAUUAAUGUUAGCAUUCGUCAUGAAAUAUUUUGUGAAACUUCAAUAUACAAAGUAAACAAACCAACCCAUUUUUUUUAAAUCCAUUUAUGUUUUAGAUUAAUUUAUUAAAACAAUUUAUAGUAUUUGUAGUUUUUAGUACAUUUAAGUGUUUUAUAGUUUUUUCCUAAAGAAAUUUAUUGUGUUAAUAUUUGUAUGUUACAGUUCGUUUAAUGAAGAAAUUGAAGAAAUAAAAUUGAGUUUGAUUUUAUAUUUUAGGUGUGUUAUAAUUGAAGAAAUGAUGGUUAUUUUAAUGAGUACCAAUCAUAUUUUGUAGAUUUUAUUAUUAAGUUGGAAAUUAGGGGAAAUUGAUUUUUUUUUUUUGUGGAAUUGAUAAAGUCAAUAUUAUUAUAUAUAGGUUUCAUAAGAAAUGCAUGAUCAUUUUUAGAUGUAUCAAGAUUCACCUAAAAAAUUAUCUUCAAAAGGUUGAGGGUUUUAUUAUUUUUGUAAUUUUUAAAUUGAAGAAUAUUAGUACGGAAAAUUAGAUGUUCAUAUGUGAAGUAUAAGAAUAAAAAAUUUCACCAUAAAGAUAUUAUAAUGACGCUUCUACUUAAAAAGGUUUCGUUGAGAAAUACUUAUGUUGAUUUGCACACGGAGAACCUUAUGCUCCUUACGAAACCAUGUUAGAAAUCAUGGUUGGCUUAGCUUCUAGUUCUAACAAUAUAAAUGGGUUGUGGGGAAUAAUAGUACUCAUUAGAGAAGUAUGGUGAUGAAUACAAUAAGAAUAAUUCAUAAUUAUUCAUGUAAAAGUUCAAGUAAUAUCCUUUUAGAUGAAAAAUCAAAUGUAGAUGUAACUAAGUUUUUUAAACUUUUACAAGAUUUUGAUAAAUUAUUAUGGGAUAAGUGCACAGCUUACAAUUUGGUUUGUGAUCUUGAUUUUAUUUUUUUUUUGCUUUGCUUUGGUUUUUUUGCUUUGCUUUGGUUUUGUUUGUGAUCAUGAUUUUGUUUGGUUUGGUUUGUGAUUUAAAGAGAGAGUUUUGAAUCUAUAUACAUAACAGAUGUUGUUUUUUGUGUUUUGUGUGUAGACCAUGUUACUUUUGAUUUUUUUAUAUAUAGUUAUGAGUUUAUUAUUUUUAAAUUAAGAUAGCUACUAUUAUUGCUAGUUCGACCAGUAAUAGUAUUGGUGAUGUUAAUGCUCAUGUUAUUAAUUUUAGGUAUCGAUCAUGAAAAGGUGGAAUCCAUUUUAUGUAAGUUAUUUAUUUUGUUUAGGUUAUUUUAAUAUUUACAUUAAAUGAAAAUGGUUGAUUGUGUGUGAAUUUGUUUUUAGUUUCUAUCAAUAUUUCCUAGAUAUAUGCAUCCUAUAUUGUGUUAUUUCCUAUAAUAUGCUCUCUCAAGUUGAGAGUGAAGGAUGAACCUGAAACUUGAAUUGAAAAGUAGUAGAAGAAGCAGUAAGAAGUGUCUUAGUAAAAACAUCAAGUUAAUUCUAAAAAGAGAUAAAACAAAUCUAAAUAUCAUUAUUGGCAACCCUGUCAUAUAUAAAAUGAUAAUUAACUUCAACAUGUUUAGUACGAACAAAGAUCUUAAAAAGAUUUAUGAAGUUAUAACACAUGUCAGAUAUGGAGAAUAGUCAACAGCCAAGGUAGAGUGAGGAGCUGCAACACCGGUUAGAUUUGGGGAAGAGUCGACAACCAAGGUAAGAGUCUAUUAGGGAGAGGGAAAGAGAAUUUUAAUGUGUUAAGGCUUUAAUACCAAGUUGAAGAGAAAUAAGAGGCCUAACCUAGAAGUUAACCAUUCUUUUUUAAUUAUAUGUAGGGAAAUAUACAAUAGUUAAUGUAGAGAUUACAACACAAGAUUAAGCCUAUCAAUAUUGCAUAGAUACAUACAUCUUAUAUUGUGUAAUUUCCUAUAAUAAAAACGAAAAAAAAAUUGGUUAAUUUAAUUUUUUUUCUCAAUUUGGUUUUUUUUAGUUUUUUUGGUUUAAUUAGGAUUUUAGUUUUUUUGCUCAAGAUAUCUUCAGGUAAUCUUCACUUAAACCUUAAGUACAUUUCUAGAUUGCCUAACGAGAUUCUUAAGGAAUCCUAAUUUUUAAAAAAUUAUCAUUUUUGUUGUGUUUAUGUGUACCGGGAAACCCAACAUUAAUAACUAUUCAAUUUAGUCAUAAAAUUUAUCAUAUCCAUGCCCAAAAAGGCCCAAUCAGGGAGAGAAGAAUUCAAGGUUAGCCAACUGGAUUAUCACAUUAUGAUCAUGUCCAUAAUUCAGGUCAUAAAAUUGACAGUUAAGUAGAUUGAUCGAUGGUGAUUCAAUAUAUCAUCGUCUCAAUAUAAAAAAUAAAAAAUAAACAGGAUGUCAUCUUAAAAUUAUUUUUACACUAACCCAAAUUUCUAUCGGUCAUCUAGGUUAUUUUUACACCCAACAAAUUGAUUAUGUCACAUCCUGGAAACUCUCAUAUGAUUUAAUUUGAAGCUCAUGCUAAACAAAGAAUCAAGUUAGAAGGUUUUAAAUUGACAUGUUGAAUUAGAUUUCAUGACAAUGUCAAAGAGUUCCUCAUAUCCAGCCCAUUUUUAUAUAUUAAAAAACACUACUAUAUUUUUUAAAAAAAACAAUUUUCUCUUCAUUCAAUUUAAUCCUUAUUCUAUAAUAACUUUUCAAUCAUGUCUUAAAUUUCAUCAUACUCGAGCUCAAGUCCUCUUUUUUCAAUUCUCUAAUAACUUUUCAAUGUAGUUUAAAAUUUCAUCACAUCCAACCUCAAUAAAGAUCCAACUAGAAAGAAAAUAAAAAAAAAAAAAAAAAAAUCGACCAACCUGUUUACCACAUUGUGAUCAUAUCUAUAACCUAUUGUGAAUAUAAAUCACAGGUGAAUUUAUGAAUAUUAUGUUUUCUUGCACUUCCCUUUGCCUUAUAUAUCUGUAUUUUCUCUUUGCAGCACAGGCAGUGCCAUUAGUGAAGACAAUAAACUUCAAAAUUAUGAGCUCACUGAUAUUUGGAAUAGCGCAAAGUGCAAACAGAGACAUACUCGGAGAGCUCUACCAACAACCGGUGAAAAGUGUUCUUUCUGUACCGAUCAAUUUCCCCUUCACAUGCUUCAAUCACAGCCUCCAAGCAAGAGAAAAGACCAGAACGAUAAUCUUGUAUCUUAAACAUGAAAAGAGGGCUACUUUGGAGCAUCAAAUCACCAUUCCUUAGCCAGAUCUCUUCACCAUCUUGCUUGGUUUCCUAAAUGAAGACAAUUCUGUUGUAUAUCUGAUGAUGAAAUUGUAGAUAGUGCUAUCAAUAUAAUGAAAGCAGGACAUGACACAACUUCCAUCCUCAGUUUCUUGAUCAAGCUUUUAGUCAAUGAUCCGUCUGUUUAUGGCAGCAUUGUUCAAGGUAUGCGACUAAAUUCUUGAAAAUCUCUAAAAUUUGAGACUGCAGAACAAGAGGACACUGCCAAGAGUAAGGUGUCAAAGGACCUAUUAGCAUGGGAUGAUCUCGCAAGAAUAAAAUAAUUUAUUUUUAAUAUUUAUUUUUAAUAUCAGUGUAUUAAAAUAAUUUAAAAACACUAAAAAAAUAUUAAUUUUAAAAAAAUAAAAAACAUUUAAACUUUUUUAAAAACACUCUUAACACACAAAAAUAAAGACGCCCUGCUAAUUCUGUAUUCCUAAAACAUCUGGUUUUCAUGUGCAAUCGUAGGGACGAAGGGGAAAGAAAGGAAGAAAAAAAAUAAAAUAAAUAAAGACAGAAAGGUUAAUUAGGGCUUCAUUUAACGGUUUUAUUAUUAUUAUUAUUAUUAUUAUUAUUAUUAUUAUUUUGCAUACAAUUGACUCUCCCAAAUCAUAAUCACUAAGAACCUAGCUCCAGGUUAAGUGGGUUUACCACUCAAAGUCGUGACCAGUUCAACUUGCAAUCUCCUUUAUACUAAAAAUAAUAAUAAACCUUGCAACCUCCUAGGUUUUCAGGUUAAAAUAGCCUGGUUAUACCACUAGGAAUAAUCAUUUACUCAACCAAUAAUCAAACGGUUAACAUUUAUUUAAUACUUUAGUGGUUAUUGUGAUACAGUUUAAAAGGAUGAAUUUAAAAAAACUAUAAAUUAUAGCUUUUUCAACUAAAAUUUUAAGAUAUAUUUUUUAAUAAAAUAUAUAUAAAACUAUGAUAUAUGUUGAUUAAUUAUUAAAUACUUGUUAAUUUUAAAUUUGUGGUUGAAAUAAAAAUUAAACUGUACAACAUUGUAUGAUCACAUAACUAAAUAAUGGAGCCUUGGAUGAAAAAUCUAAAUGAAAUUGCUUUCCUAAUAAAAUUGGUGGACAGCGUGAAGAUUGCAUUGCAUCAUGGCAUUGUCUCUACAAAUAUAUGAUAGCUAAGACCAAGUGCUUCCAGCUUUUCCGAGUGUUUUCAUUAUCACAAUUAUUGCACUCGAUAAUAUCUCUGGCUCUCUACAAGUUUGCUUCCGAAUAUCACUCUCUCUUGUCCCUUCUUUUGUCACUGUAACCAAGCUUUUUCCUUGCACAGAUUAUCUCUCACUUCUCUCUUAAAUCUUCAAAUCUGUGUGUGUGGUUCUUGAUCAGGUGGAGCUGGCUACCAUGGAGGUUCAGAACCAAGAGCACCAAAAACCCAACACAGACCAAGUGGUUCUUUCCGUGGAUCAACCAGACUCCAAACUCAGACAGUCACCAUCACCACAGCAACCAGACUCCAAAGCCCCCCUCUCUAAAACCCUGGCAAGAACAAAUACCCUCCGCCGUCUCAACUUCUCCAAGCCCAAAUCUCGUUUCAGUGAGACAAACUACCCUCCCCCUUCCAGGAGCAGCCAUGAAUUCGAAGAAUAUUACCAACUACUAAACCCCCCCGAAAGCGCUUCCUCCAGUGAUGAGGAAGAUGAUGAAGAAUGGUAUGAAUAUGAAGAAGGAGGAGGGGAAGAAGUUGAUGAUGCUGGAGAUUCCAAAAAACAUUCCAAGAACGGAAGGAGAAGGAUAAUAAAGAUAAAAAAGAGAGCCUUGAUUGAGUUCAUAUUGUUUCUAAUAAGCAUGACCUGCUUAAUUCUCUCUCUAACCCUUGAAUCCCUCAGAAACAAGGUCCUAUGGGGUUUACUUUUAUGGAAAUGGUGCCUUAUGGUCCUGGUUAUCUUCUGUGGCCGCCUUGUGUCGGUUUGGCUUGUAGGUUUUCUUGGUUUUCUCAUAGAACGCAACUUCAUGCUCAGAGAAAAGGUACUCUACUUUGUUUUUGGUUUGCGAAAGAGUUUUCAACACUGUGCAUGGCUAGGACUGGUUCUACUUGCAUGGAUGAGUAUGUUCCAUGAUGCCCACAAACGCAACAAGACCUUGAAGAGGACUUUCCGCGUUCUGAUUGCCGUCUUCGUCGGAGCUACAUAUGGUUACUAAAGAUUUUACUCGUCAAGGUUCUUGCUUCAUCUUUCCAUGUUGCUACCUUCUUUGACCGCAUGAAAGAAAGCGUCUUCCACCACUACAUUCUCGUUACACUCUCCGGGCCACCAUUAGAUGAGAAUGAGAGGGAAACUCCCCGUCGGCUGACGCCGAGGCAUUCGAGGAGAUUGCCGGCGAAACAGAGAGAGAUGGCCUCGCCAGACAUGCCUAUAUCAAAAUCCAAGAGGUACGAGUCGAGGAGAAUCGAUAUGGAGAGGCUGAGGAAGCUGACUAAGAUGACUAGGGCAACCGCUUGGAGUGUGAAGAGGUUGGGCAGUUACAUUAAGUCAUCGGGAUUGUCGACGGUCUCGAGGACGGUCGAUGAUUUUGGUAAUGCAGAAUCGGAGAUCAACAGUGAAUGGGAGGCUAGAUGCAGUGCUCAAAGGAGUUUCAGGAAUGUCGCCAAACCUGGUGCCAAGUAAGUUCAAUUUCUUCUGCUAGCCUUUCUGGUUAAUUAAUUAUAUGAACAUUUGAUAUUAAUUAUAUAUUUAUUCCUUUAUACAGUAGAGAUAAUUAACCGAUCUCAAUUAUGCUAGCCUCAAGAUGAAAGUUACAAUAACAAAGUCAAGUUUUGGACAAUUUUCUAUAAACUUAGAUUAUAUUUAGUAUGAUUUUUGUAAAUUAAUUUAAAUUCUCUUUUAAUUUAAAUGAAAACAAGUCAUAGAACUUUUGACUUGGAUCAAAAGUUUAUUAUAAAAUUGAGUCAAAAUUAUGUUUUUUAAUUUAAAUUUGAAAAUUCUGACUUAUAUCUUCCUUUAGAAAAAUUAUUUGAGUUUUUUUUAUAAAUCAUGUUUUGAAAUGGUUAUAACUUAUUUUUUUCAUAAAUUAUUUAUAAAAAAAAACUUUUAGAUUAUGAUUUAAAGUUAAAAAUCAUGUCAAACAAAUUCAAAAUUAUUAAUUUCUGAUGCUUUUCUUAUAAUAAGACAAUAGUUGUUUGCGUUUUCCUAGAAUUUUCUAUAAAUCUAUUUGAGAUAAAUAGUUUUUUUAUGCAAUUUCAAAUAUGAAGAAAGUCUUUGUUUUUUAUUAGUAAAACUUACUAUUUGAAAUUCAACGAAUUUCUUGUUUUCUUGUGAAAUAAUUGAAAUGAAUGAACUUUUUACCAUAAAGUGAAAUUCAACGGAUUUCUUGUUGUAUUAUUGUUUUUGUUGUCUUCUUAUGAAAUAAUUAAAAUGAAUGAACUUUUUACUAUAAAACAAAAUUCAACGGAUUCCUUGUUUUUUAUUUUUUUGUCUUCUUGUGAAAUAAUUGAAAUAAAUAAUCUUUUUACCAUAAAAUAAAAUCCCCCUCCUCCUAUUUUUUUUUUAAAAGAUAGUUUUAUUAAUAAAUAAUAGAACAUUAAAUAAAAAUAUCAAUUUGUUUGAAUUUGAUACAUACAAUAAUCUUCAAUUUAUUAAGAAUUUUUAAUUUUAUCAGCAUUAAUGAAUCUAAUUUUUUUUAUUUUGCUAGAAAUACAUAAAGAAUGGUAAACUUCUUCCCUUACAAACAAAAUUAUAUUUAGAUUAAUAUCUAUAUCUAAAAUUUUAAAAUAAAAAAUUAGAUUCAAUCAUUUCUAGAUAAAUUAUACAUGGUUGAAUUCCAUGUUAUGUGAUUUGCUAGCUUCCAUUAUUUUUAAACUGUAAUCAUUGCUCGUUUUUGUUUUUUUUUGUUUUGUCUUUUUGGUAAAAGACUUUCAACUUUUCGAGUCUAUCGAGGCACAUAAAUCCUUGACUGUUUCUCGGCAGUGGCACAUUUGAUGGUGUGGGGUUGACGUUCAACGUUUUUCAAAAUUCACACCUGGGAAACCUCAACCCUCCUCUGUUCCUUUCUGAUUUUAGCUCUCGAAAGCCAAUCAUAGCCAUACAAAUCAACAAAACAAGGAGUACGAUCAGGAAGGGUAGUCAGUCCGAGUUAUUGAUGGAUAAAUCGGGUAAUUAACAUAUAAUAUAGUACGCUCCUAAUUAUAAAUGGAUAAAAUAAAAAAAUAACUAAUUAACAUGGUAGCAAAAAAAUGUGGUAAAUCAUCGGUGGGUGGUUAGGUGGGGGUGUUGGUAAAUAGGUAUGUUCUCAUAUGAUCUCUAGUUUAACUCUCUACUUAUUAAUAUUUUGAUGGUGAUGAAUCGCAAUAUAUAUAUAUAUAUAUAUAUAUAUAAAUCUUGGUGAAACAAGGUAUUUUUAGCUGUUAGAUAUUUAAUUAAAUGUUAUAUUUUAAAAUUAUGUUAUUAAUUAAAUUCAGAACUAAUAAGUAGAUGAGUUUAUGAGAAAAAUUAUAAAAUUAUCAAAACUUAGUAGUUAGAAUAGCAAUUUCAUAGCUAUUAUAUAUAUAAAAAAAACAUUUAGAAACUCUAUAAAAAAAUUACUAAACCCUGUCAAAACUUUUAACUCACUAUAUGCUAAUUGUUUUUUAAAAAAUUCAUUAUAUAGCUAUCUAGCUGCAAUAAUAUUCUAGUACCUGUAACCAAAAAAACUAAAAAAUUAAUUAAAUUGAGAAAAAUAAAAAAUGUAACAAAAAAUUAAUAAAACCAAAAAAAAAAAAACCAAACUCAAUUCAGUUUAAUUUAAAAAACUAAAACCAAUCAAAUUAAUUCAAACUGAAAUAAAUAGAGUUCAAGCCAGGAGUAUAAAUAUUAAAGUCUCCUUUCUUUUCACCUCUGUACCUCAAUCUCUAUGUUUUAAUUUUGUAUUUUACUUUUAAUAAUAUAAACUGAAUUUGAAUUAAAAUUAAUUGGUUUGAAUUGAAUUUAAUUUAAUUUUAAUUUUAAUUUUAAAAAUAAAUAAAUAAUUUUUUAAUUUAAAACUAAACUAAAUAAAAAAUGUAUCGCAUUACAGACAUUGCAACAGAAGUUGAGGUGGAUUGUUUUAAUUCAUUAUGAUUUAAAGCAAUUAUAUCAGGUAUAUUCAUUUUUUUUCUCAAAUAAAAUUCAGAUUUAUCAUUAAAAUUAUUUAUUAAUCUAUUUUUGCAUUAAGAGAAGAGAAUAUAGCUGCAACUCCCGAUGUCCGAUUUAAAGUAAUGGUGAUUUUGGCAUUUGCUGCUUAAAACUUCAAUCUAUAUCACUCAUUAUAAGUCUCGAGCUGCAUUCUCGAAACUGUUUAAAAAUAAUGUUGGUAUAAUUAUUUUAUAAAGUGUUUUUUAUUUAAAAAUAUAUUAAAAUAAUAUAUUUUUUAUUUUUAAAAAAUUAUUUUUGAUAUCAACGCAUUAAAAUAAUUUUUAAAUAUCAAAAACGUAUUAAUUUAAAGCAAAUAAAAAAAAUUAAAAAUUAAAAAAAUUUUAAAAGCGCUUUUAAAACAUCUUUUCAUUCAGAAAUGUAUCAAAAUAAUGUUUUUUUUAUUUUUUUUUUAAUUUAUUUUUUAUAUAAAUACAUUAAAAUAAUUUAAAAACAUUAAAAAUAUAUUCAUUUGAAGUAAAGAAAAAAUUAAUUUUAAAUUUUUAAAAAAAACUUUUAAAAUUUAAAAACAAAUUGGGUCUUAGAUUUGAAUUCUCUGCGGCUCAUUGUAUAGUUACAUUUUUAGUCCCAGUCUAACUUUGAUGAGUUGUCUGACAAAAUUCCAAUAAUCUGAUCUGUUUCCAUUUUGGAUCAUCAUUUCAGAUUAAUUUUUAUUCUCUAACUUUUGGGUUUCACACGGUCACAAAAGAUAUAAAUAAAAUAAAAUAAAUAAAUAAGCACACGAGCCAUGUAAAAUUUGUGGUUAAUUAGCUAAUUGUGUACCUGUACUACAACUCAGCAAAAUUAACAACAAAGCUUUUUUGAGUUAAAAGACAUGUCCAGUAUUGAAAAUACAUUAAAAACUAAUUUACAAUUCGAGUCAUAAAUGUAAUUAAAUUAAAGAAAUUAGUUUUUAUCAUUUUACAGUGUUCAAAAAAUGAAAAUGCAUUAAAGAAAAUCAACAACGCGAGUUAUAAAUUUAAUUGGAUUAAAUAAAUUGAUUUUUAUUAGUAAUUGAUCUUGAAGAUUUGUUUCAUGCUAUUUUUUAGCUUUUUAUAACUAGAUCAAGGUUGGGAGAGAUCAUUAAUUUUUUUUUUUUGUAUUUUUAAAAUCAAUUUGAGGGUGGUUGGGUUAUGGAAUUAGUUUCUUAAGGUUAUAAAAGCAUGUUUUCAUGUGAUUUUAAGUGAAAAUAAAUUAAAAAAUAGAUCUUGGAGGUCAAAAAUUAAACAUCUUGAUUUUCAAGCCACCUUUGUUGUUGUCAAAUUCUGGGCAGCAAUCAAUAUAUCAUUUGCUUCAAUUUUAUUUUUUUUAUAAAAGGUUUAGGUGCGAAGACCUGAGCCAUCGAGGUCCUGGCCUGCAUCUAGGUUUUUCUUUUUAAAAAUAAUUUUAAAUAUAUAUAUAUACACACACACUUUCUUUUAAAAAUUUUAAUUAAUUAAUAAUAUUUUUUAGAUAUUAUUUUAUUUAGUCCCAUUUAAUUUUUACUUUGUUCUUGAACAAUAAUAGCUCUUUUUUGUAACCCAUUUUUUUUGUUACUUUACUAUGGACGCUAAUUUUUAUUAUUAUAUAAUUAAAUAAAAAAUAGUUUCAAAAAAAUAAAUUUAUCAAACGUAAUUGAGUUCAUGAUCUGAGUUGCAGGUUUAGUGGGUUAACCUGGAUUAAAUCGAUAUGUCACUACCUUAAUAUUAUUAAAAAUGAUCGUCUUGAAUUUUUUUUUUUAAGUAAAACUAUAUUUUUAUCUAAUGUUUUGGUUGCCUUUAAAACUGCAAAGUUCACUAAAUCAUAUCAUAACAACCCCCAUAUGAUUUAAUUUAAAAUCUUGGCUAGGAAAAGAUUCAAUAUUAAGAAGGUUUAAAGGAUGACUAACUAAGUCGGGUUUAAUAAAAAUUUCAAAAAGAUUCUGGCAACAACACACGAGCAUUAUAUAAUUGUUUUAUACAUAUGCUUUAAAUUGAUUAGAUGUUAUUUUAUUAGAAUUAAAAUUUGCUUUUGGAAUGGUGAGAGAAUCUUAUUUAAGAAACUAUUGUUCUUAUAAAAAAAAAUUAAAAAGAAAAAAGCACAUUAAUGAGACAAAGGGAUUGAGUUUGAGAUAAAUCUCUUUUAUCCUUAUUUUAAAUUAUAUUAUUUUUUUGGGUAUGUCUUCUUGAUGAUUUUUUUGGGUAUGACAUAUUUCCUUCAAUUAAAGAUAUUAAUAAGAAAAAGUAGAUUUAUACUAGCAAAUUAUUUUAUUUCAAUCAAAUUUAAAUUAUUAAUAUUCUUGUAAAAAAAUAUUAGUGUCAUAUAAUUAAGUAAACAAAAUUAAAGGUUUUUUGUAGUUUAUAUAUGAUAAGAUAUCUUGGUCUAUAUUUAUUUUUUAAUUUCAUUACUUAGUUUUUUAGUUAGCGUUAAGAUCUCUUUUUAGUAUUUAUUGACACAUAUAAUUCUCAUUCUAUUUUGUUAAAUACAUGAAUAGAUUUUGUGUUAAUGAUAAAAAUAUUUGAAAACAUUACUCUGAUUAUCCUAUAAUUUAAUUAUUCUUCACUUUUCCUUUAAAAAGUUUUUAAAUUACAAUUCACAUUAAAAACUUUAUAAAUUCAUAACAUUUUUCAUUGUAUCUAAAAAAGUCAAUAAAAAGAGUCUAAUUAUUCACAAAAUUUUCAUUAUAUUCUAAUUAAUAACUAAAAAGACAUUCUAUUGUUAAAAUUAUAAAAUUAUCAUAAAAAAAAUAAAAAAUAAAAACUUUUUCCAGAAUUCGACAACCCAAUCCCAAAAAACUCCCUCACAGAGUAACUUUAACGAUAAAUGAGACCUUACAAAAACUAAAUGAGAUAGAAUUCUACUUGGUUGAGCAGCACACCAAAGUUUUGUUCUAUGAAACCACUGCCCAUUAUCCCGGCUUAGAUGUCUCUUCUAAUGGGUGGUUUAAGCAACACCAAAUAUCAAAACUGAACUGUUGCUAAAUAAAUUUGGUAGCUUGGAAUGCAACAUGCGGUUCCAUGUGGCUUGAAAAAUAUUAAAGAGUAAUAUAAAAUUAUUUUUACAAUUUCAUUUAAUAAUUUAAAUUUUGAAUUUAAAAUAGUUUUUAAACAUGAUAUUAGAUAUAAUUUUAAAACCCGGCCCGGCCCGGUAGGUCAACCUGGAACCCGGUCUAUCCAGGGUUGAAACCGAGCCGAGUUGAAAAAAAAACAGGAAAAGAAAAAACCCGGUAUGACCCGACGGGUUGACCCAGUGACCUGGUUGACCAGGCAAGACCUGGUCAAAAACCCGGUUGCAACCUGUUGACUUUUUUUUUUUUACUAAAACGGUGUCGUUUUAAUUUAAAAAAAAAUUUGACCCGGACGACCCAGUGACCCGGUCAAAACUCGGAACCUGGGUCUUGGACCUAGCCGGGUCUAAAAACUAUAAUAUUUGAGUUUUAUUGAUUAAAUGUUUAUGAGUUCAAAUCUCAUUACUUUUAUUCUAAUUAAUAAAAAUUAAACACAAAAUAAUAAAGAUAUCUACUAGUUUCAAACUCAAAAAAAUUUUAUUUGAAGGAGUGUAUUAGAUAAUAAUAUAAAAUUAUUAUUAAAAUUUUACUUAAUAACUUAUAUUUUUUAAUGGAGAUAAUUAUUUAACAAAAACAUCAAUCUAGAUCAUGCAAAGUUUUGUAGUCAUGACUAAACCUCAAAGACGGGAAAAAAUAAAUAUAUGAUGUAUAUAAUCUCAAAUCCACUCGGGGAAGGUGAAUAUUGAUAUAUAAUUGGAAAAAAUAUACAAAAUGAGGGUGGAUUUUCAAUGUUUUCUCCAGCAAAAAAAAGUCCAUCUAAGACAAAUUUCAAUGGCAAUGAUAUGCAUCGAUCCCCAUGUUUGGUAAAGUCAACAACACCCACCUAGGCCAGCGGUGGCUGUUGAUUGAAGGCCACUUUCAGCCAAGUAAUCUCAGUAGGGUUAGUGAAGGUAGAUCAUGCAGUAGCCAGGAGAAAAUUUGGAAAUUUAGUGUGAGGGUUAAGAUUUACAAAUUAGGGAUGAGAGUUUGUGAGUGUUUAUGUUACAUUAUAUAUUGGAGGACAUUUGUUUUUUAUUUAAAUUUAAAAUUUAUAUUAAUUGGGAAUUAAAUUGUAAUUUCUAAAAGAAUAAAGAUAAAAUACAUGUGAUUAGAGUAAUUUUCUAAUCUUUUUACUAUUUAAAAAUAAUUUAUUUACUUAAAAAAAACUAUUAUCGUCUACAGUUAAUACGGACAGUUAUUUAGUGAUCACUAAGUGUGUAUUUUUGUUGACAUAUUUUUUUUUUUGAAUGUUUUAAGGUAUAUUGAAGAGGAAGAUCUACUAAGGUUCUUAAAGACUAUAGAGGUUCAUUCCAUAUUUCCUCUCUUUGAAGGAGCUGUUGAGACUGGAAAAAUCACAAAUCCUCUUUCAGAAAUUGGGUGGUAAGCAACCCAAAACCCACAUUUAAAAAAAAAAAAAUGGAUCUUAAAGCCCUCACCUUACUAUGUUUACACAUAAUAAAGAAGAAAAUCAUAAAAAAUAAUUUAUUUAUUUAUUUAUUUUUGGUGAUUAAAGGAUGCUUGCUUUCAAAUCAGGAUCAAUAAUUUGUUGAGUACUUGACAUAGAAGAUUCAAUGAUUAAUUAAUUAUCACUUCAUCACCCACAUUAACCCAUAUGGUGUGCAUUUGAUUCCUGAAUUCCAUACACAAUACCAUUUUCCCUCUUUAACCUCUAUAAUCAAGGACUAAAAUGAGAUUAACUUUUCUUGUAUUUAAGGGAAAGCAUAUCAACAAUUUAUUCAAAGACGUAUAAUUUCCUUCUUUGCUAUGUUUAUGUUUUCAAUUGCUAGGUGCAUGCCUAUGUUGAGAGGAAAGCAUUGGCACAUUCCUUGAAUGAUACCAAGGUUGCUAUCCAGCAACUUCACAGGUUAGCAAGUGCAAUAAUGACUCUAAUUAUAAUUGUGAUCUCUCUUCUGGUGACGGGAUUGGCGACAACCAAGGUUUUAUUUGUUUUCACAUCUCAACUGCUACUCGUGGGGUUCAUGUUCCAAAACACUUGCAAAAGUAUCUUUGAGUCCAUCAUCUUCGUCUUGUCAGCAUCCUUUUGAUGUGGCGAUCGUUGUGUUGUCGAUGGCAUCCAGGUAAAGAAAAUAUAUUAAUUCUUAAAGAUGGUUGAGUGAGAAGAUUUUAUAUAUUUGUUUUCUAAUAUGUUGCAGAGGUCGUGAAGAUGAACAUUUUGACGACUGUGUUUACGUAUGAUGCGGAGAAGAUAAUAUCCCAAUUCUGUUCUUCUUACAAAGCCUAUCAGUAAUUUCAGAAGAAUCCAGACAUGGGGGAUGGUAUGACAUCACCAUUGAUGUCUCCACUUCUGUUGAUGACUUCAAUGCUCUAAAAAAGCUAUACAAAUGUAAGUUAUUAAUCUCAUUGCAUUCAAAAUAUUUCUAGUGUUAGACACAAUUACUUCUUAAAGUACUUAGCUUGCCUAAACCACACUUGUUUUGCUAAUAGAAAUCAAUAUUUUCUAGAUAUUAGUUAAUUAUUACCGAUUUUUCUUUCUCUAUAUAUCAGCAUAUUAAUUAUGGAACACAUGUAUUAAAAAUUUCUUGUUGUGCAAUGAUGAAUUAUUAGCUCGAGAAAACUAUAAUUAUGGAAUACUGCAGAUACAUGAAAGCAAACCAAAGCACUGAACCCAAACCACACAUGAUGGUGUGCGAGAUAGAGAAUGGGAAAGAUUUGAACUUACUCUAUGUGUUCAACACACCAUGAACCAUCAAAACUAUGGGAAAAGAGCAAUCGAAGAUCGAUCUUGUUUUUGAACUAAAAAAGAUUUUUGACAGGCUUGGCAUUAAGUACCAUCUUCUUCCACAACCAGUACAGCUUACGCAUGUCAAACGAUCAUCAAUGGAGGAAUGUCAAUGCAAUCUGAUACAAAUGCAUUUAUUUGGAGUGCAAAAAGAAAAUUAUCAUCAUAUCCCACACCUGAAGGAUCGUUAAUUCAAUAUGGCCAUACCGGCUAUUCUGCAUUUGUUUUCUUUUCCUUUUGUAACUUCUUUUUUAGCUUAAAUUACAGCCAGAACUUAUGAUGGAUGGACAAUAAAAUAAAAAUUAUUGAAGUAUUAUGAUUGGCUAUUAUUAAACCCACUUAUUUUUUAUAUUAGUAUUUAUUAUUAUAAUAAAGUUGGUUAUCUACAUCCCAAUAUAUAUGCACACACACUAAGAAAACACAUAGUAACUUUCAAUGAUUCAUCAACCAGACAAUCUCUUCUUCUUCUCAAACUUAUUUCCUUAUUAUUCUAUUAUGUAUUAGAUUUUAUUGCAUAACACAUAAUGGUUACUCUAAAAAAACAUAUCUCCUUCAUAUACCUUCUUUACAUCAUAACCACAACCCAUAAUAAACUCUACCUUAGUCUCGCCAUUUUCACCCAACCCUCAUAGUGUCGGCUCCACACCAUAUACCUAUAAUAGUUUUAACCUUCAUCAUGCUCACCUCUAUUUCUCUCUAAAACUCAUAAAUAAUAAUUAUAUUUUUUUAAAAGCACAUGUUUAAUCCAUUCUAAUAGGUUAGGGCUUAUUUAUAUUCAUUUAUAAUAGUCACUCAUGUCCUCUCAAAACUAUAAUCAUUAAUAACAUUAUAGAAGUCAAUCCAGUCUAUACCAUAUAAGUGAAAUAAGACCAACUACUAAUGAGCACUAUGAUUGCAUUCCUUUCAACCAAGGGUAUUGUCUUUGAUUGUUGGUUAUACUAUGCCUCAUACCAUUUGGUCCACUUUAGCAUCAAUAAUUAUAUCUCCUACCGCAACAUGUAUUAUAUCUAUGCACUCAACCCUGAUUGAACAACGUUAAAAACCUUAUGAAGAUAACCUACUUACAACGUGGAGAAACUUAAAGUGAUGAACUCGCAAUGAUUGUUAAACCUUUUAACCCUAUAAAAUUUAAUAUUAUCUAUUAAAAUGACUUUAUAAUAAUAAAGAUCAUGUAACUACUCUUAUGGAUGGAUAUAUCAGUAUCCUUUACUAAACUAUAUUUUUACUAUUAAGUAAUAAAUUUUAUAACAAGAACAUUUUUCAUGACCUUUUAUUUGACAGGAUAGUGAUAUGAAAACCCGCAAACCAUUUACUCACGUUACCACACAUAUUUGUACCUUAACAAGAUUGAGGUUAAUACUCUAGUGAUACUCUCUCAAGUGAUCAUGGGGGUUUAACUUUUUAGGUGAGGCCAUGAUAAUAUAGUGAGGGUUUAACUUUUAAUUCCUAUUACAAUUUAUCUCUCAACAACAUUGAAAUUAUUUUAAUUUGUAUUCUUAUUUAUGGUGUUAACUAAUAUGGUUAUAAGGACCACUUAGCCACUUUUUCCCUCUCUAGACCAACAAUAAUGAAAAAAUCAUCUCGAUCUAAAAGUAAGGAAAACUCAUGGUAUGUUAAAUCAGCAAACUUAAUAUUGAACUUUGACAUGUGUCUUCGUCAUCCUUAUUCACAUGUUCUACAUCAUUCAAUUUCUAAUAAUUUUUUUCAAUUGCACUACUUGUUGUUUGGCGAAUCUAUUAGAUCAACUUUAUAUCCUUCAAAAUAUAUAAGCAUCACUCUUUUAAAUUUAAUAUUUAAUGAUGUUUAGAGCUUUUUUACCAUAUUUAAGUUAAAUUUCAAGUUUAUGAUAUUUUAUUUAGUUCUAAUAACUUGUUAUGAAUUAAUCUCAUACUCAUAUAAACAACAUGCAAACUAAUUGAGUGGUAAAUUAAUAAAACUUCACACAUAUUUUUUUAACUAUGGUAUUCCUUACCAUGCCACUUACCUUACACUCAUGAGAAAAUUAACAUCGUGGAUCAUUAUUGUUAAUAAUUUGUUAAAGUAGGGAUUACACUACUUGCUCAAACAUCCUUGCCAUUUACUUUCAGGUCAUAUGCUAUUAAAACCAGUUUAUACCUUAGUUGCAUGUCAACUUUAAUUCUAUGUUCCAAAUAUCUAUUUAAUUUUUUUUCAAUUUUAUCCUGACAAUACUUUAAAUUUUUGGUUACUUGUGUUCUCUUAUCUCUAACCAUACAAUCAUCAUAUAAUGGAUUUCACUCCUCAUUAUACAUCUUUCUAUGUUAAAGUUUACUUCAUAUGGUUAAUAAUGUAUGGACAUCCAUUCUCAUCAUAUAUAUAUUCUUUGUCAUUGUACUUUCAUGAUUCAUCUUUUAUAUCAUGGCGUGUAUGAUGUCGAAUAACGGAUUUGCCUCUUAGAAUUAAAGGAGUUUUGGUUUUAAUUUUAAGUUAUGAUUAAAGAGUUUAGAGUUGCCACCUAGUAUUAUGGUUACUAGAAAACCUAAUGGUCAUAAAGUUGGUAAAGGGACUAGUUAUGCAAAAUGAAAGAUGCAUCGCCCCUAGUAUACUCUACCUAUACUAAGUUGAUUGUUGAUUGGUUGUCAAUCUAAGACAGGUUUUAUACAUUGGUCUCAUCAAAGCUUCAAAUUAGAUCUCCCUUUAUUAGGAAGUCUCUAUGCUAUUAGAUUAAAUCUUAAUUGUUAUAAGACCUUAAUUUUAAAAUUACAUUUAUUUUUUAUUUUUUAUCUUUAAUAUUUGAUGGUAUGCUUUACAGUGUGAUUAUAUACCCCUAAAUAUUAAAGUUUAUAGUUAAGUCCUAAUACUCUGAAUAUUAAUUAAAUGUUGUGGGAUUUUUGGUAUUUUGAUCAUACCCUAAUAGAUAAUCAUAAACUAGUUAUGAUAUCCAUUUUGUAUUUUUAAGAUGAUAAAAAUAUGAUUUGUCUUUUUUAGAAAAUAUACAUGAAAAUUUUUUUAAGAUUUGGCCGUAUGCACAAAAACAAAAUAUUUUUUUGUAUUUUUUGGAAUUGCGAAGAAAAAAAAUCAAGUAUUUUUAAUACCAGCUCUGUAUUUUACACUGUAAUUCUACAGCCUGAAAUUAUGAAAAAAUAUUGGAAAAACAUGUAAGAGACCCACAAUUAAUUUCAAAAUGGUCCCUUAAUGUUUUUUAGAAUUUUUUAAAAUCAUUUGGGGUUUGUUUGGAAAAACACAAUAAUAUAUUUUAAAUCAAACAAGAUACUAAUUCAAAAUAGGCUACUCGUUCACCAUUCAACAACUUAAUAAUCCAACAAAUAAACAAUCAAAUAUCAAAUCUUGUUGAUUUCACAAAUUAUAUUUGAAUUGCAUAUUAAUCCAAGCAAAUCAAUACAAACCCAAAUAUUAUUCAUGCAUCAACAUUUAAUGUUCAAAUAUCGAUCACAACCCUAAAAAUAAACUCACCAAUCAACACAAAUCACCAAAUAAUUUCAAACUAAAAACACACAUCAAUCCAAACCAGUAAUAUCCUAGUCCAAGAAUAUAGACAGCAAUGAGUAAUUUAUUCUAAAAAUCAUAAUAUUUGAGCAAUUUAUCCCAAAAUUCACCAUAUUUUAGCAAUUUAUUAGAAAAAAUAAUUUAAUGUUAUGAAUCAACCUUUCAAGGUUUUUGGUGUGUCCAGUAAAUACUGGAAUUAUGCAGAAAGGGUGUUAUUAGAUCAACAGCAACACACAUACAACCAGUAUUGUCAUUGCUAGUAUAUGGAAUCUUGUGUUGUUACAACUGUAGGAGGAGCACUGUGUGAAUCUGAAACUCCUUUAUCUGCUAUUUGAUUCCUUAGGGAUGGUGCAACAAAUAGACACUUGUAUAAGAAGUUCUGCUUCAUUGAAGUUUUAGUCUUCUUCAUGUUUUUUAAUCCAGGUCUGUCUCUUCUCCCUACUACUGCAAUUUAAUGUUGUUACUAGUGAGAGAAAAUUUUACAAAAUCUCAAACUACUACAUCUCUUCUCAAAUCCCCCAAUAGCAUAGCUAUAAACAUAUCUUUGCUUCUGUUUUUUCUUCAUAGUUGGUUGUUAUUGCCACUGCUUAUAAAGGCUAUUUUGUGAUGAUUUGAUGGUUGUAUUUGGGUGGCUUGGAAAUGGGAUUUUCUAGUAUGAAAAAUGAUUGUUUUGAUGAUGUUUUAGUGGUUGAGGCUUUGUAUAGUUUGGGUUCUAUUUUAAAGUGUUUUGGUUAGAGUUGUCAUCGUUGAGAGGUCUGUUCAUGGCGGUUUUAAUGGUAGUGUUCAUCUUUAUCGAGGUUGUUUAGGUUAGGGUUUUGUAGGGUUUCUAUAGGAUAAAUAGGGAGGCUCAAGGGCUUAUGUAUUAAUAGGAUCUUAACCUUAAUGUUGGAGAAUAGAUCUCAGUCAUUCAUUAAAGCUAAGGACAAAAGCUUGUUCUGCUUUGCAACUUACAAAGCGAGGACCAGGACUAGUUUUACAAUUAAGACAGUGCUAGGUUAUUUUUUAAAGAAAAUAUACAAGUGUUUUUAUUGCCUUUAGAGUUGUAAUUUUGUCUUAGAGUGAAGCAAAAAUACAAGGGUGUAAGUUGGCAUAAGAUUUGUGUCAUAUGGACAAAAACUUGUACUGCUUUGCAACUGACAAAUGGAGGAUCAAGACUGUUUUUAUAGGCAGAUCAGUGUUAGGUAAUGUUUAUGGGAGAGAAUCUUCAUAUGUUUUAGUGCCUUUAAAGAUGGAAUUUUAACUUAGAAUGAAGUAUCAAUACUUGUGUGGCAUUAUGAAGGGGUGAGGGAGAAAUUAGGGCUGAAAGUUGGGUACUUAGUCAUCUUUCUAUCUUGUUUUAAUGGGAAGAAGACAAUGAAUAAAGAAAUUAUGGUAUUUUUAAACUUGAUCCCUAAACUUUGGGACUUUGUAAUGGAAUCCCCAAUUAACCUUAAUCUUUUGGAUUCCUUGCAAUUUUACCAUUGCCAUUUUUUUAUUGGACCCUUAAAUUUAUAUGUUUUUUACGAAGUGUUCAUUGAUUUUGAAAUUAUUUAAUUUGACCCUUAAUUGAGCUUCAAGCUUCUAAUUGCUUGCAAUUUUAUCCUUAAUCUCAUCCGAUUGAGCUUUAAAAAAUCAAAUAUGGUCCUUUAAUAUUCUAAUUUUUUUUAAUUAAGUCCAAAUUAGAUCUCUACACUUAAUUGUUUUCACUAAUUAAGACCCUAAUAAAAUUAAUUUGACUAAUUAAAGUAUAAUUAAAUCAUUGCACCUAGUUAAAACUUUAAAUUUAACCAGAAUUAACUCUUAAAAUUAAUUAAAUCUUUAAUUAGGCCUAUGAUUAAAUAAAAUUGGCCUAUUAAAAAAUCUAAUUAAGUCCCUAUACUUAUUUUUUAUGCAAAAUCAUCUAAUAAUUAUUUAAUUUGACCUUAAAUUUGCCUUGUCUUUUUUAAUUUUAGGUACAAUGAAGUACAAUUAGGCUCCUAAUUUUAACCCAAAAUCCAGUGCAUUUGAAACCCUUCUUAGCCUAUUUUUGCAAAAUUGCCAUUUUUUUUUUGUUUGUUAUUUCAAUUUUUGAUUUUUUUUCAAAAGAAAAAGGAAAUUUUGGGGCAAACCUAAAAUUGAGUUAUGACAUUUUACAUUUUUCAAUACCAAAUAAUGUUUUCCUUUUUUAAUCAUCUUUAAAGCCAACCUCUACAUCUACAAAUUGCAUACCACUAUCCAAAUAAUUCCAUAAUCCCCCCUUAGUUUGUCUCAUCUCUACCUAUUUCACAACAAACAUCAGCAUGUUCUGAGUCGUACCCUCUUUCUCUUGGUCUCUUACAUCCUCCUAACCUUUUUCUCAUUGUAUUGUUUCUUACUCACACAUGUCCUCAUUGUUAUUGUUUACCAUUCCUGACCUAAGUCUUCUUAUUAGUCUUAACAUAAUUACUACAUCAUCUAUUUCUUAAACAUCUUUUCCAACUAUCCAAAAACAAUACAAUACGGUCUUGGGACUUCAUUCAAUAAAUUAGAGUUUACUAAGGCAAAAUGAUAUCCUAACUGGUAAUCUGAUAUGAUUAUAAAAAUUUCUACUUUAGCCUUUAAUAACACUUUGUCUUUGACACCAUAUGAUUCGAUUAUGAAUGUGGUAUACUAUAAAUGGGUAUACAAGAUUAAAUACAAGACAAAUAGAAACUUUGAGUGCUACAAAGCAUAAUUAAUAGCCAAUGGCUAUUAUUAGUAAGAAAAGGUUAAUUUUCAGGAGACACUCAUUCCAAUCAUGAAGCCUCGUACUAUUUGGAUAAUGCUUAGUAUCAAUGUUACUCAUGGUUGGUCGAUAUAUCAACUCAAUGUGUAUAAUGCUUUCCUUAAUAAAUUUCUUGAUACAAAUGUGUUUAUGACUUAGCCCAUUAGUUUUUUUUAUCCAUAGUUCCCAAAUUAUGCUUACAAACUUGGACAUUUUGUUGUGGUUUGAAAUAAGUAUCUCAUACAUGGUUUGAUCAUCUUCAUUAGUUCUUGGUUCUUUUCUAAGGAUUUAAUAGCUUUAAAGUUGAUACUUUCUUGUUCAUUCUUCAUUCUUCUAAGGAUAUAAUAUUUCUUCUAAGGAUAUGGUAUUUUACUAACUAGUAAUAAUCUUGCCUUUCUUUAGCAUCUUAUCAUACAUUUAGAUAUUGAGUUUACCAUUAAUGAUAUUGGCCCACCUCAUCUAUUAAUGAUAUGGUUUAAUCGACUCACUUUCACAUGGCAUGAUAUCUAUUGUGUGGUUAACAAGGUAUGUUAGUCCAUACAUUCUUCCUAUUAAUGUUCAUUGGUUGGUAGCUAACCACAUCCUGCAUUCUCUACAUUGCAGUUCGUUUCCUGGGUUGCACCAGACAUGUUGGAAUUAUUUCUCACUCAAUGGUUUUAAUGAUUCUAUUUGGGUUAGUAAUGUAUAUGAUCGAAAGUCUACUAGUGGUUAUAUUAUUUUCCUUGGUUAUAACUUGAUUUCUUAGAAAUGUAGUAAGUAAUAUAUUAUUGCUUGUUUUUUUUAAAGAAACCGAAUAUAAAGCUAUUACUAAUAUUAUUGCUGAACUACAAUGGGUCAAGUCUUUACUUUAUAAACUUAAUAUUUUAGGUACAUCUCAUCUCUUAUGGUGUGAUAACUUAGGAGGCACUUAUUUGACUGCAAAUCUAGUUUUUCAUACUCGCAUGAAAUUUAUGAAAAUUUAUUUUCACUUUGCCUACGACAUGUUUGCUCACAAGGAACUCCUAAGCUUAAUUAAUUACUUAUAUUGAGUAAGUUACUAAUGUAUUCACUAAGCCUCUUUCAUCAUUGUAGUUUAUGUUUCUACAAUUCACGUUAAAUUUAAUGUCUACUCCUAUAUUGAAGCAUUAUGAUUAACUAUAGUUGUUCUAAGCACAAUUAUCUUUGUAUUAUCAUUACUUAUUUAUUAUAUAAGGGUUCAUUAUACAUAGCCCUAUACAAUUAGAUGUCCCCAUCUUUAUAUAUAUAUAACACAUGUAUGUAUAGGUAUUGAUCACCUUAUUAGCAUUAUAUUGCUUGAUAUAUGGCAAAACACCUUAGUACUUUAUGAAUAUAAAUACAUAUUUAAAUCGAGUAAUAUAAAUAAAAUGAAAAUCACAUUAAAGUUGAUAUUAUUCAUUGUUAGAUAUAUUACUUGAUAAAAAAUUAUCAUGAGUCAAUACUUAAUUCAAAAGUUACUAACAAUGUUUACUAGUUUCACUUAGAAAUCAUUUUAUACACACACACAGCAAUUAUGCUCAGGCUAUAGCCUUUCUAUCUAGAUUUGAAAAUUUCCAUGCGCUGUUACAUGUCUUGCUUCCAACUCAACCUUAUAAUUUAUCCAAAACAUGAUAAUUUAAGGUUAAAAUUGACCAAAUUGAUAAUACAUGACCCAAUGUGACACACCGGAAAAAAAGAAGAAGAAAAAAACCUAAACUAGCUCGGCGGGUCGACCCGAUGGCUGGACUAGUCCGGGUAAGGCAAAAUACUGGGAUGAGCAAAAACCCGGCAAACUCAGUUAACCCGUGACCCGGGCGACCUGACAAAACCCGGUUGAGACCUAUUGUUUUUUCAAAUGUGUUUUUUCUCCUAGCUAGAAACCCCUUUCUUAAUAUAUUUUUUAGUUGAUUAUUAAUCUUUUUCAAAGUUCACUAUAUAAAUACUAUAAUAACGUUUUAUUUUUUUUGUAAUAGCCCGGGCCAACCUGAUGUAUAUUGUCCGCUUUGAGCCUUACCGCCCUUACGAUUUUGUUCUUGGGUAACGCGAGCCCACUUCUGAGCCUGAUGCCCCAAAACGCGUACAACAAGUCAGCGACCAACACUACUCAUAAAGCCCUAGCUUUGGACGCUCGCUUCCGAUAUGGGAUAUCACAAUCCCCCCACCUUAAGAUAAGUUGUUCUUGGCUUUGAUACCAAAUGUAAUAGCCCGGCCCAACCUGCUGUAUAUUGUCCGCUUUGAGCCUUAUUGUUCUCAUGAUUUUGCUCUUGGUGACGCGAGUCCACUUCUGAGCCUAACGACCCAAAACGCGUACACUAGGUCAGCGACCAACACUGCUCAUAAAGUCUUGGCUCUGAAUGCUCGUUUUCAAUGUGGGAUAUCACAUUUUCAAUGUGAGAUUUGAAGCCUUCUAGUAUAUGUAUUCUAUGUUCAUAAUAAAAAAAAAGUUAUGUUUUUUUUAAUAUGAAAUAAAAAACUUUUUUUUAUUUAAAUACUUUACCUUGAAAGAAUAAUAUAAUAAUAUAAUAUCUUUUCAAUGUACGAUAAAAAACCUUUUAAAAUAAUAUUUAAAACUUCAUUAUUUAUAACAAAUAUAACUUAUAUUCACAUGAAUUGUUUUAUUUUUUAUUUUUUUAUAUAAAAUAUUAAAACUUCAAAAAAAAAUUUAUUUUUUUGAGUUGAUUUGAGUUAAUCUGGGUUAACCCAUAUAACCCGAGACCCGGCUCCUUGAUCGGGUCAAUCCCCAUGUUGGUCUAUAACUAUGCAAUAAACCAGUAUAAAACACUCAGAAAUAAACUUUUCUACUCUCUUCGGGCAUCACUACAUAAAGAUAGAAGAAGCCGGUAGCUCUAAAAACAGUUUGUCUAUGACAAUGGCAUCCUCCUCUUCUGCCACGGGCACAAAUCUCGAUCUCAUGAAAAAGGUACCUCCUUUUGUGUAUCUCUCACCUAUCUUUUAUAUGACUAAUUUAUUUAUGCGGGUUUCAUUUAUCAGGUUAGAAGUCAUGAAGUAGCAAUAGCAGAGCUCAGUAAUCUUUCAUCGUCUCGUGUAAGCUUCUUUCAACAGUAUCUCCUUUUAGUUCCCAGUUUUGGGUCUUUAUUCUGCUCUUGCCUUGAUUAUUUGAUUACUUGGGCUGUUGUGCAUCAAAAGAAUCAAAAUCAGUAUAUUAUUUGUUUGACUAUUAUUCGGGUUCUGUUCAAGUAGAAGAUGAUAAUUUCUUGACUAUUCGAAUAUAAAAUGGCGUAUGAGAAGUGGGUUUUAGGUAGGAAGAACCAUCUCAUUGAUAAGAAACAUUAUGGUUUUAUUUUCUUGUUGAAAAGGGUUUUUCUGAUACUUUUGCUUUCUGUCAAGGAAUGAUGUUGUCAUGAACAUUUAGCCUUGGUUCAAUUGAGCAUGGUGGAAUUUGUUUUCCUUUUUUGUUGGAUUCAUUGACGCUGAUCUUCUUUCCAUACCUUUUUUUCCCCUGAUUUUUAUAGCUUCAGUCUAGUGUGUUUAUAUGAUACCGACUAUACAGAGAAGAAUAGGGUGGCAAUUAGCAUGAUGGAGGGAACACCUAACAACUAUUUCAAGUCCUUGGGGAAACUUGUAAUCCUUGUCUUUUUGGUAGAUUAGAUGUGAAAAUUAGCAGCUUAUAGUCUUGUUUGAAGGCUUCAGUUUUCUCUUUAUGUUUUCUUCUUUUCCAUUCAAUUCUUUUUAGGCAUUUUCUUACCACGCAUCUUUUAUUAGCUGGAAUACUUGCUAUUAUUCACUUAUUUGCCCCAAACCCAUGUCUGGGAAGAAUUCCUUGCACCACCUUGGUAGAAAUUUUUGUGAAAUCUACUAAAAGCAAUUGCCCUACUUGACUAUCCUAAUUUACCAAUCCCAAAUAGCUAUUGAUUAUCUUGUUGCUAUAUUAGCCCUAUCCUUUGUCAGGCAGGCUAUAAACUUUUGAUGCCUGAGCUGUCAUAUAUAUCAUUUAUCAAUAUGGCAUGGUGUUGUUACAAGUUAUUUCCAUUUUAACUGCAGUUGACUAUUGCUCUAUAAUUGGGUUCUGUUUUGUUUGAUGUGCAAGAGUGUGGUUCCUUGGAGGUGUAGAGACUAGAGAAUUCAAAUGUAUUCAAUUGUGGUUUUAAGUGAAUUGAUUGGUUUACAAGUUGUUUUAUUCCCAAUAGUUGAAUACAAAUAUGGUCGAAUUGUUCCGCCUAUAAUUCCCAGCUAAAUUCAAUAUAAUAAUGGACUGUAGAAUGCAGCGCUUGGAUAUCAAACUCGAGCUGUUGUCUAAACAAACACUUUAUCUAUUUAGUGCUCAAAUCAGUUGCAACCAUGGAAACCAAAUUCAUAUUCAUGGUUAGAUUUAAAUUGGUUAUGAGCAUGGCUUGGAUAUUAUUUACAGUCUUCUUAGUUUUCCAAAAUAUACAGGCUAUACAGCCUUUUCUGCUUAAAUGCUGUUAGUAAUAUGCCUGCUAAGGUUUAGCUUUUACCGAAUUAAAUUUUAUAUUUUGGUUUCCCUGUAUGGUGGUAAUAAGCCUAUUUUACGGGCAUUACAUUGUUUCUCCUUGACUGCAGACUGUCUAUCAGAAAAAUGGGAACCUUUUUUUCCGUACAACUGCCCAGAAAGCAACAGCUUCUGAACAAAGUAAGAGACCUUUUCACGUCCACUCGAGGUUAAUAUUUCAAUGUUCUCCAUGCAACUCUAACAACAUUGCAAUCGUAUAUCUAAUUUGUGAAUAUUGUACAGAACAACUUGACUCGGCCAAAGCUAUGCUAGAAGGAUGAAUUCUACUUGCUUUCACCUCUGUUGCUUUGAAACUGGUCCUAUACCUUGCUGGUGAAAAAGCAUUCGGUAGUGCUGACAUUUGUGAUUACAGAUUGCUGGCUAUUCAAGUUUUAAGUCUCAUUCAAGAGCUGCGAAAUGUCUUUGAACUCUUGGAAUUUGCAGAUGGGAAGUGUUACUGGUAGUUGUCAACUACAAUUUUUAAGUAACAGAACGAGACAUGACCAUGUAUUUAGACCUUCAUAGAUGAAACAUUAAGAGUAUUCAAUCCUUCCAAGUGUCUGUUUUUCUUCGUAUGUUUUAUUGGCCUCUCCAUUUCUUGAAUAUGCCUUUCGGUAUUAACUAAAUGUUUGAUUGCGAAUAUUUGAUUGUCAUGCCAAUCCGCAAAAGUAUGUGUAUAUCAAAGACAUCAAACUCCUGAUUAUGAUCCUCACAGACUGUUGCUUUAACGCCUUCAAAUUCAUUGGGAAACACACUUGUAAUUUUUUUUCACCCCUUGUGUGGAUACCAGAGUAUCAUCCUUGAAUGAUCCAUGUUUACCAAUCUGAAAAUCCCUGGAGAAACAUCAUGUAAUCUCAUGGUGACUUUUUUUUCUAUAUAAAGAUUGAAAUUCUUAAUUUUCUUGUAGAGUUCCUUCAAAAAAUUUCCCUUGUUCCCAUCCUGUAAGGGAAGUUGCACGCAGUAAUCUGAGGAAGUCUUGUUGCGUUCUUCAAUCCUGAUUCUUUUUAUUACUCAAGGCGAAUCCAAUACUGGAAGACAGUGUUAAGCAGGGAGCAAAAGAAUCAACCUUGGCAGAGAAGCGAGAUGGCUAAUAUUUAAAACCUUUUGUGCAGUAAUAACGAAAGAAAAAGAUAAAAAAAUCAGAUUACUGUAAAAGCACCCUGAAUGACAAACAAUAUAAACCAACUAAAUACAGCUCACCAAGUUGUGGCAAAGUUAUCAUCCUGAUUAUUAAGAAGUAAACUAAUUACUAGCAACAUAUUUCACAAAAAAAGUAUACUAACAGCAAAAUGUGUGCAUUGUACUGUUGUAGGAUGGAUUAUUUUUUACUGAACAAGAAUGAAGCCUCUAGUCAACAUCCUGACGUCCAGUUUGAAACCACACAAUUGCAAGAGUAACGAGGGAUGCAUAGAUUGAGGUGGGUAAUUUUCGCACCACCUUUCCAACACCAGGGACACCCUCAGUAGCCUUCUUUGUUGCCAUGGCAACUGUUGGGGCCACAACCAAAGUGAUAAUCAACCCCUGACUAACCACAAUGAACGUGUCUGUUGUUAACUGCUGCAUAAACUUCACAAAUUCUUCAUGGUUAAGUUCACCAUCAAGGUUCAUAUCGCAUGCCUGCAUGUAGAACAAUCAAUGGAUUUACCUUCACUUGUCAGAUCAUAAACAUUUGGUACCCAGAAAGAGAGAGUGAGUCGUAAACUCAAGGCAUCGAGGUUUUCCCAGCUUUGUUGAACAUAUACCUCCCACAAUAUUGGAAAUGGAAAUUAGGCUGAAAGGAUCUCUUCCUAUUCUUUGUGAACAACUAAGAAACAAUGGUCAAGACAAGGUAUUUCACAGAAAAGCUCAAUUAUUUUCAUCAGAAUUAUCAUUUUCCUUGAUACAUUUUGAUACAAGCAUCAUAUGAUAUGCUUUCUGAACCAUAUAUAUAACUUCUGCAGCACUUGUUUAAACUAUUGAAGUAUAGGAGGAGAUGCCAUGAUGACGAAUACAAUGUUCAGAUUUUCAUAUGAACAGUAUUGCUACCUGGAGCACAUAAGUAUUACUGCUAGUGAGACUAUUUCUCUGCAAAAUUACUUCAAGAAGCCAUCAAAUCUCACUAUAGAAACAUAACUCUAGAAUGCUUUGAGAUUUAUGUUUGUAUCAAAUGAAGUAGAGUACCUGCAUCAUGGCUCUGACUUGCUGUUUCGAAGGAGGAUCAAAAUGGGGACCAGGCAAGCGCUUGUUAAUAUCACUGCAUUAAGAAAUGAACUUCAUCAUUAGUAAGACUAGCACCAGAUAUAAUUUUGAUCAAAGAAUCGAUUUCAAAGGCUAGAAAAAAAUAUAAAAUGAUUAAACAAGAAAGUAAAACACAGUUUUAUACUUGUACACAAGUAGAACAGCAAUAUACAGGUCUUCAAAAGUGAGAUUAGCACUUCCCGACUGAUUUUUUAUGUGAUUAUACGCCUUGUCUGCAAUCAACCUUAUUUGUUUUUCCCUCCACUGCUUACCUGCACAAAUUGGUAAACCAAACCAUAUGGCAUCGUGAUGCUUAACAAACAACACAUGUCCUACACUUGGCAUCACAAAAAAAAAAAAAAAAGAACAUGCAACAUACUUUCAUGAAAAAAAAAAUUCCCAGCAAAUCUCGUGACCCAGUAAAGAAUAUUCAUAUAAUAGAUCAUCAACAAAGAAAAAAAUUUAUUUUUUUCUAACACAGGAAAAGGUAACCAAAAAACAUGAAGAAGAACAGUAAGAAAAAUACUAUUUCCAUGAAGCUUCAGAAGACAAAAAAACUGGAACAAAAACUAGACAAAUAAACGAUUUGGUUAACGAUUAAUAAUAAUAACAACAAUAACAAUAAAAUAAUGAUAUGAAGAGGAAGAAGGUACCGUGAAAUUUGUCUAGGACCUGUCCCAUCGAUGAUCCUUCAGUUUAUAGGAAGAAAAGGGAGUUUCUGUUUUUCUUUUUUCUUUCUAGGUUUAGAGAGAUUGAGAGACUUCGUUGAUUAGAUGAGGUAGAAAUGAAUGGGUGAAUCUUUGAGUUUGAAACAGUCUUUCUGUGUACAUAAACUGGUUUUGUUAGCUAAAACAUCUGUGGCUAUGAGCGUAUGUGUGUGAGAGGGAGGGAUUCUUCUACCCUGCAUUCUAUGGAAAUCAAAUGCAGCAAUCUACUUGUCUACGUUGAUUUUUUUUUCCAUGAUUUGGAUCCACUUGGUAUCUCUUCAGUCUUCAUUCAUUUAUCCUUUCUAAAUAAUAUUAUAUUAUAUACUAAUAUUUGGUUAGAUUCAACUUCGAAAAUAUCAAUUAUUUCUUUCUAGAGUUUCGUGUCCCUUCUUUCAUUUAAUUUUGGUACAGAAAUUGAGAAUAAUUUGAGUUUAGAGUCUAAUCUGUUUUUUUAUAAAAAUUAAAAAUUAAUAUUUUUAAAUUGUUUUAAUAUUUAAUAUUAAAAAUAAAUUUUAAAACAUAAAAAAUAUAUAUUAUUUUAAUAUAUUUUCAAAUAAAAAAUAUUUUAAAUAUAACAUUAGCAUUCAUUAUAUAUAUUUGGAAUUUAAAUAAUAAUAAAAUAAUAAUAAUAGACUGUUGUAUGAGUGAAAUUAAUAUUAAAAAAUAGAUAUAUCACACUUUUAAGUAAUUGGUUUAAUGAUUAAAGAGAUUUGCUCUCGUCUUUAUUGAUUGGGUUGAUGGUAAAAUGAAAUUUGCUCGUUUCCUUGAUUCCUUAAGUUUGAAUUCAAGGACUUUCAAUCUUAAGACUAAUAUAAGACCUCACUUUCUUAGGAUUUUAUAUUAAUUUUUAACACGCAAAAAAAAAUGUGAUAAUAUUAUUAAUAUAAUUUAUUGAAUUAUGUUUUUUUUUCUCAAUUUACUUUUUGUAUGAAUGGUGUGUCAAACUUAAUAUAUAAAGCUAAAAGGGAAGUCAAUAUAUGUAAUUAACAAAAAUAUAAAGAUGGAAUGGAAGUUAAUGUCUAUCAAAAUACAAAAUAUUAUUCAUUAUAGUGAUUAAUUGCUUUUCGAUUCUUUCAUGAUAAUACAAUUAUCUUUUUCAAAUUAAACAAGGAUAAAAAAGUUUUUAAAUUUUUUCACAGAAAAAUUACUUGGUUGCCCCUAAAAUAAAAAAAAAUUAAAACUUAUGUCCAAGGGCUUUAUUGUCUAAUCAUCAUUAUCAUCAAUAUGAUAUUGAUAUUCAAUCCUAACUUCAUUAGAAGGAUCCUCAUUAAAAAUAGGAGGAAAAUUAGAACAUGUAAUAUUUUUUCUUGUUUGAGAACAAUUCUCACAUUUUGGUAUCAAUCCAAAAAAUUUAGUUCAACUAAUUUAUUAGCAUCAAAUAUGCUACGUAUGGAUAUAUUUAUUUCUACUCAUGGUAAUCUAUCAAGAGGUUAAUGUAAAGAUAAUGAGUAUUGGUUUCAAAUAUAAAUAUUUAUAACCAAAUAUAGAUGAGAUCUUUAAUCAUACUUUAGUCUCUCAUUAUUUUCCUACAAAUUAAUAGCCCUCACUAUCAAUUCGAGAAAUCUCAUUUAGAUUUUUUAAUGGGUUAUGAUUUCUUUUAAUUUAUAUGACCUUAAGUAACUCACCAAAAUAAAAUAAUUAAAUUAGAUAUAUAACAUAACUUAUUAAUUAUAUCUUUAUGUGAUUUGUAAAUAAGUUAGGUGAUAACUUUUUACCUGAACAUAUCAUAUAUGUUUGUCCUAACUACUAUUUAUAAUCUUAUAUGAUCAUAAAUAACUCAUUCAAAUCAUAUAAGUUAGUUAAGUAAAGCCUGAUUUUAUUGCAUUAAAUACAUUCGAUUAAUGGUAAACUUGAGUAGCUCAGUAAGUUAUCCAUAAGUAUAACUCUAGCUUAUGCAUAUAAAUUUAGAAGGCAAUAAAUCAUAUUCUUAACAUGUACUGAAUACAUUAAUGAGUGAUUUUAAUUAGGUUUCAUUUCAUGGGAUAAUUGAUAUAUACAUAUCAAGUAUACAUUAACAUAAAUCUAUAGCAUGUCAUUCUAAUUCGAUGAUUAUGGAUAUAUCUAAACUAAUUUCCUCGGGUCAUUGAAGGGAAUUAGUUGGUAAGAAACUAAGUAGCUAUUGCAAAUUUUAAUAAGUUAUUUACUAACACCGUGGUUGUACUUUUUUGUCAUUUUUUCUCCGUCAUGGAUUGUAAAAUAGAUUUUCUAUCUGAAUUUCUACAUUUCUAAAUUACAUAAGAUUUAUAUAAUUGUAUAAAAAAAACCUUCAGUUACAGUCGAGGGGAAUUAUAUGAGAAAAUAAUUUUACAAAAAAAAAAAAGACACUCAGACCCUAUUUAAUAUUACAACCAUUUAACCAUAAAAAUACAAUCGCAAUGGUCUUUAAAUGUCCAAAGUCAUCCAUCAUAUAUAAGAAUAUAUUAAUAUGCAUAAUUAUAUACAUUGCAUGCUUCAAUUCUAAUUAUUAGCUUUAUGUGAAAUUUUAAAAUAAUAUUUCUAACACUUAGAAAUAUUAAAUCAAAUCCAAUUUGAUAAUUUCUCAAACAUAAUAAAUCAUAUUAAAACUCUUAUUAAUAUCCCAAACUAUUUUUCAAAUGUUAUUUAAUUAAAAUUUUGUAUUAAAUUUAAAUUUUAUUAGGAUAUUACAAAACUCAAAAAUUUUGAAUUGACAGUUUUAAUUCAAUCCUAAUCCAAUUAGGAAGAUUAAUUCUACAACAAAUUUAACUUAGGUUUCAAUUUUAAAAUAUAAAAUCAACAUUUUAUAAAUAUAUAUAGGGGUAGAAUUGUAAUUUUAUUUCAUAUAUCAUAUUAUAAUAAGGAAUAAAUUGCAUCGGUAAAUUUAUAAAUUAAAUCCCAAAAGCCUUAUUGUAAUAAGUUAUAAGGUGCAGGGUUACCUUUAAAAACCUAAAAGUAAAAUAAUAAAAUAUGCAGGGGUAGAAUUGUAAUUUUUUCAAUCAUCUUCUCAUCAGUUGUUACAGUCGGUUGUGGGUUCACUGCUGCUAACAGCUUGCCUUGGCAGCGACAACCUUUGCACUAAUAGUCAUGUUCUUGUUGCUGACAGCAUCCAUCAUUUGCCAAGCAUCAACCUCGCACAUCAGCCUCACCAGCAAUGUCUAGUGUUGUUGUGGCAAGAUAAUAGCCUAUUGCCUCGUUACAAACAACUUGUUGGUUGUGCACAAAAUGCCGUUGUAGGCUUUCUCAACCACCAAAUGUUACUUGUUUUUUUCUUAUAAAUUUCAGUCAAAUAGCAUAUUUUGAUAAGAUUUAAAUAAUCUGGCUAGAUCUGGUUGGAAUAAUAGUUAAUUUAUUUUUGAAAAAUCAUAAGAGCAAAAAAUUAGGAAAAUAAUUUUACACACAAAUUUAAUUCAUGAUUAAUGCCAAUAAAAAUUAUAACAUGUAAUCAACAACUCUAAUUUUCUAACAAUGGCUCUAUUAUCUAUAUAUGAAAAUUACCUAAAUAUCAAAUGUUCUUUUCAAUUUUGAAUAAUUAUUUCAAGGCUGAAUUGUUGCAAACCACAAGUCGUUCAACUGUCUAGCUUUCAGCGGUAAUCCAUAUAAACCACUAGUUAGAAAUUUAAUAAAUCUUUUUUAGAUGAGAGAGAUUGUUAUGUCUUUGAGUGAUAGUUAUUUUCUUUUAUGUUUUCAUGUGUUAUGUAACUUAUGUAGUUUAUGUAGAAUUUACUAUAUAGAAAAUAAAAGGCAUAACAUUCUAUUUAUAAGGAAACCUAAAAACCUUAUAAAUGGUAAAAUAUCAAUUUGCCCCCUCAAUAAUAUCAUAUAUAUUAUUUCAAGAUAAUUUUAUAAAUUUAUUCAUUCAAGUCCCUACUUGUUUUUUCUAGUCUAGAAUUAUAAUUCCUUAUAUAAAUUACAUUUUAGUCUUUAAUUUCUAAAACUUAUUUGCAAUCAAGUUAUACUUGAUUAAUCAUCUCAUUUUAAUUUCUAACCACUGAUUUUUAUGUGUGACCAAUUAGGUUCCCUAAUAAGUUCACCCAAACAUAAAUCAUAAUCCUAAAUAAAAUAUAAUUAAAUAAAUCUAUUUAUUAUAAAGUCAAUAAUUGAUUGAUUUAUAUUUCAAUAUCAGGUACAAUAUUUAGCAAAUUAUCAUGGUCCCCUAAAUAUAAGAAAAGUUAUAAGUGAUAUGAUUUAACCUUUUCAUGACCAGUUUCUUAGUAUAAUUAGUAUUCCUUCAUCAUUGUUUCAAUUUAGACAUUGUUGUAACCCAUUUUUGGGUCCCCCUGAAAAAUAAAAUAAAUAGCCAAAAGAGGUUAGAAAAAUAACCGGAGGCAGAAGCGCCCGGAAAACAGUCAGAAAAUUGGUCAAGGAAUUCAAAAAUACAAGGAUUGAAUUUUUGACAGUAUAUUCUUGAAGGAUGAAAGCCCUAUUGAGAAGGAAAAUUUAAAUUUUGGGGAGAAAAGCCCAAAUUUGGAUUUUUUAUGGGCUUAAUUGGAUUUUUAUGGGCUUAAUUGGAUUUUUAUGGGCUUAAUUGGAUUUUUAUUUGAAUUUAUAGAAGAUUUGAUUCCAAAAAAAAUUGAUUUUUAAGUCAAUUUGGGCUUUAAUUUAAAGAAAUUUAAGUUCUGGGGCCAAAAUAUAUUUUUUAGAAAUUUAUUGGGUCAAAUCAGGGGCUUAAUUGCAUAAAUAUUGAAGUUUAAUGGCCAAUUAGGGACUUAAUUGUGAAAAUCCGAAACCAGGGACCAAUUUGGAGAAGGCGCAAAGAUAGAGGGGGCUGUUUGGAAUUGUUUCAGGGGCUUAAUUGAAGAAAUUGGAAGUUUAUUGAUCAAUUAAGGGCUUAAUUGUGAAAAUCAGAGGCCAAGGACCAAAGUGAAAAACGCGGCCAACUAUAGGGGUAGGGACCGAAUUUGGCAGGGACGCAAUUGAAUUUUAUUCUUGAUUGAAGGACUCGAUUGAAGGACUUAAUAGAACAAAUGACAAAUUAGGGACUGAUUUAAAAACAAGUUUCUGGCGUUUUUUUUAAAUGAAACGGCGCGUUUUGUCCAAAACGACGCCGUUUCAUGCAUAAUUAUUAUAAAAAAAAAAAAAGGGAAACCGAACGGUGCCGUUUUGAACGGCACUGUUCACUGUCUUCUUCCCCCGAACGUUACAGCGGGGAAGAAGAAAAACUUGUAUUUUUUAUUCUUUUUUGCAGGUCCCCCUUACCAACCGACAGAGACCCUACGCCGGUGGGCCACCGACAGAAACAAUGGCCGACAACCCGCCUCGUGGCCGAAGCCGAGGGAGGCCCGCCGCUCCCCGACAGCCGCUCUCAACCCGCUCCUGGGUCCACGAGAAAAAGCCCCGCCCAUGGUGCUAUAAAUAGAGGACUGAAAGGGAGAACACGGGACGAAAAAAAGAGAAAAGAAGGAACCCGAAACAAAGAAAAAAAAAACGAGAGAGAGGAAGAGAGAGAAACCUUGUAACAGAGGAGAGAGAAGCCGUCGUCCGUGAAGCGAGGACACUGCCACCACCACCGCAGCUCCGCCAGCACCAGGUACGCCUCCUCUCCUCCCCCUGCAUUUUUUCUAUUAAUAUAUAUAUGUUUUGCCCCCGUGUUUUCUUUUUAUUUUUUCUCUGGGCCAGAUUGUGUCUGGCCCAGAGUUAUGUGGACGGGCCAGAGGGAUCUGGCCCAGUCCGGCGUUAAUUAGUUUCUGGGCCGAGUUCGGCCCAAUACCUGUUGGGCCGAGGUCGGCCCAACGACUGUUAGGGCUGGGUCCAGCCCAGUUUGGUUUGGGCCGGCCCAGCCCCUUUUUAAUAUAUAAAUAUAUUAUAAUUAUAUUAUAUUAUUAUUAUUAUAUGUGUAUCUACAUAUAUACAUUUUUUUUUCCUUUAAAAAAAAAUCUAAAAAAAAAUUUUGGUUGUUAUUUUCUUUUCAUAUAAAUAUAUUGUUGCUUUACACAUUUGGUUUUGUAUUUUUAUACUGUAAAGAUACAAAACCAGUGUUAAAAAUACCCGGUUUUCGUCAAAAUAUCAAAGAUUUUCAGAAUAAAAAAUGUUUUUGCUUUCAAAAAAUUUCUAAAAAUUCCCUAAAAUAUUGUUGAUUUUUCUGCAUAUUUUUAUCAAAAUGGUUAAUUUGGUUUGUAUUUUUAUACCGUAAGGAUACAAGCUCAGUAUUAAAAUACCCGAUUUUCGUCAAAGCAUAAAAAAAAAUAUUUUCUAAAAAUUGUUUUUUUGUUUUAAAAUACGGCCUAAUCUCUCCAAUAUAUAUACAUAAAUAUUAUAACAUCAUAUUUUCACACAACAAAGAAAAUUUUCAAAAACAAUAUAUGUAUUAACAUGCAUUUUGGCUUUAAUAACCAGUUUAUUCAAGCCAUGAGAACUAGGCCAAUAUUUCAAAAAUUCUAAAAAAAUCUUUUUGUUUUCUUUUAAUAUUUGGGAUUACGAAUUUAUACGUAAAACGUAUUCCUAAAUAUUAUAAUAAAAUUUUGGUAUGGACGUUAGAACGGUUAGGAUUUUUACCCGAUAAGAUAAAUACCUCCUUACUGAGGGGGAUUUUUCUUGAACCAUAGACAGACCAACAACUAGGAAAACACAAUAACACUUUAGUUUUGUUUUUUAUCAGACAAUAAAACAAUGCAGCUUACCUUAGGUAGGGCGUAUUUGGGGUGCUAAUACCUUCCCUUUACGCAACCAGUCUCCGUACCCGAUCUCUGAGACCAGUUAGGUUCCUAGUGACCAAAAUACUAGGUGGCGACUCCAAAGAACAAAAAAUAAUAAUAAAAAAUUUUGCCAGUCGAACCCGCAAUAUUGAAAAACAAUAUUUUUUGGGGUGCGACAGACAUAAUAGCAUGGAAUGUGUUUACUAUGUCAAAUCUUGUUUGUUCUCAACACCAUAUUCAUUGAUUCUUUAAAUAGGAUUUGAAACUUUUUUCAAUCUUAUUCCAUCUUACAUAAGGACUUACAAUCAAUACUAUUUCAGAACAGUUAGAACAUUUUUCUUAAUUUAUAUAAGAUGAUGAAUCAUCUCUUAAUUACUGAAAUACCUUCAUAUAGUUCAUGUUAUACCUAAUAUAUGCACAUUUGUUACCCUUUAUUAGGACAACAUAUAGUGGGAUUAAAACAUAACACUUUCUAUAUAAGAUAACUUAGUGAUGUCAACUCUAAAGAUCAUUUACACAAGUAUCACGUGAGCCUUUUCAUAGACACACGUGAUCUCUCCAUAUAAGAUUCUCAUCAUAGUUAUUAAAUCUGACCCAGGGGUUGACCUAGCCAAGGGGUCGAGUCUCGGGUCACACGGGUUGACCCUGGUCAACUCGAGAAAAAUUAAUUUUUUUAAGGUUUUAAUAUCUCAUAUGAAAAAGUUAAGAAACGUUUUAUAUGUAAAAUGUUUCUUAACUUUUCCAUGUAAAAUAUUAAAACCUCAAAAAAUAUAAUAUCCGAUAAAAAAAUUCAAAAACAAUUCAUAUAAAUGGAGGCUAUAUAUAUAGUUAUCCCACAUGAAAAAGUUAAAAAAUAUUUCAUGUAGAUGGAAGCUAUAAAUAGAACUAUCCCACAUGAAAAAAGUUAAGAAACAUUUCAUGGGGAUGUAGGCUAUACAAAACAAUAUGUGAGGCCAAGUAUUCACAAAUUAAUUUUAUAUUUUUUGGGUUUAUUAAAAAAAAUGUAAAAAAAAGUCAGGCCUUACCUAAGUUACGCCAGGUCACUUGGGUUUUACCAGGCUAAUUGCAAGCAUGAUUUUAGACCAUUUAAAACUCGUCCAAGGCCUUGGGUUCCAAGUCAACCCGUCGGGUCGGGUUUUAUGUCUAUGAUUCUUAUGGGGUCAAUUCAGUGUACAUGUCAUUUGACAAACAUCUAUAUAUCAGUUCUAGGUAUAUUUCAUACCUCAGCUUAUGAAAACAACUGUUUCAUUUCAUAGAGAAAAGAAUAUUAUAUGUAUCAAUAUUAAUAGCUCUAAUUAAUAUACAGUCUUAAUAAAGUAUUGACUAUGAAUAUUUUAGAAACAAUGCUUUGAUGCAAUAAAAAUAUCAUAAUUAUAACUUUAUAAUUUUCUUUACAAAAUAUUUUUGUCCCAAGUAUUUUAUCUUUACUUUAAAUCCAUUAAUAAAAUAUUUGAUGAAUAUUAAAGAUAAAUAAGUCUUUAUUAAUAAAUUAAAUAUAUUUACAUAAAUAAAAUCAAUAUUAUAUAUAACCAACUGAUCAACUAAAUGAUAUAUACACUAAUAUUUUUUUUUAUAGCAAAUUGAGCUUCAAUCUUGAGAUUAGAUCUUGAAUUACUUUCAUUAUUUUAUUCGGUGUGGUAGGUUGAUAUGUUGCAAAUCUGGAUUUUAACUAUGAGAUUAGACCUUGAAUCUAGUUUCAUUGUUUUUAUGUGAUAUGUUGCAAAUUAAAAGAUCCAUAUAAAAAUUAAUUUGUAAUUAAAUUUUUUUUGCAUUUAAAAAUAUUUUUGAAAAAAUUUAAAUUGUUUUUUUAAUUUUAAAUUAAAAUUUUUUAGUGUUUUCAAAUUAUUUUGAUAUGGUGAUAUCAAAAAUAUUUUUUUAAAAAUAUAUAUUAUUUUAUUAUAUUUUCAAAUAAAAAAAAUAUAAUUACAGUACUAAACACUCCUUAAGAUAGUCUGAUUCUUCAAGUAGUCUCUGGCGAGGAGAUAGCAAGAUUAAUAAAUAUUAACAUUAACAGUGGCCUCCUAUAUCCAAAUAAGAAGGUACAAUUUAAAAGUUACACAUUUAAUUGUGUUUUUUUUAUAAUUAUCAAAAACAUAUUGAAAAUGCCAUAAAAUCAAUAAUUAAAGCAAUAUACAGCGACAAAACAGGGGAAAAAAAACCAAUACUAAUAUGCUACAACAAAAAAAAAUAACCAAAAAAAUAUAUAAUCAAACAAUUUUAUAAUUCUCUCCUCAAAAACAUUAUUGUUCCUCAAUAACCAAAUACCCUAAUUGAUAUUGCUUGAGAUUAGUGUUCAAGCUAUCUUUUAAAAUUUACCUUCAACUAUUCCAGAUCAUUGUAAUAGCAACAAAUCUAGUGUGCUAGGUAAUAAGCAUUAGAAACCCCACAAACCCAAAAAUUUAAUGGUGUUUUUAACUAAGCAGGUUCAAUUUUAAUAAUUUAGUUUAUUUGAUCUUAGCAUGUUUGGAUUUGUUUUUUCCUCUUUCUAAAAUUCAUCAAAAUAUAAUUACAUAUCAUCGAUCAUAUAAAAAUCAUAUAACUUCACAUAGCACUUUAAAUUACAAAUUUCAAAUUAAUAAUUUCAUAAUAGUAAGAGAAAAGUGAUUUUAAAGCUGAUACCUCUCCUCUUGAAAUAUCUGAAAGGUCAGGAAUUGGUGGUGUUUCGAGGGACCAUGAGGGUCGUUUUCUUUGUAUCUUCUCUUGUCGCCCGAGCAACGAGGAGUCAUUAAUGAAGGAAGAGCUCUUGCCAUUAAGAAAGCCCUGGGGAUAUACAUGGCAUGUUUGAAACCUCGGAGAUUGCAGGUUUGGUUGGUAUUAUACAAUGGUGGUGGUUUAAAAUAUUUUUAUUUAUAAAAAUAUUAAAAAAAAUUUAUUUUUAAAAAUAUAUUUUUAAUAUCAACCUAUCAAAACUACGUCAAAACAUAAAAUAAAUUAUUUUAAAUUAAAAAGAAUCAAAACUUUUAAGAACGCGCAAAUACUCCAAUACCCAUGUGAUGUGUCACAUCGUCCAUAAUAAUGUGUGUGACUUGGAUGUCUGCUAGGGUUUACUUAAACUGUAAUCACACCAAUCACACCAUACCCAAUUCUUCCAUUUUCCUUCAUAUGGUAAAUCAUCGAUCGAUUUUGGGUGUCAAAGUCUUCAUACCUCGUCUUUAUCCAUGUGAAACAAAAACACAGCUUUCCAUGUAUAAGGACAAACGACAUCUCAUAAUCAUAACUUGUCUUGUGUUCUGGACAUGCAUAAUACUGAGGCUGGCCGGCAUUGGAUUCUUUGCACAUUAUCGUCAAUGGCAGGAAACACCAAAGGAAAACUCAAAAAAUUAAUUUUUCUUUUAUUUAAGGAUUUCUUUUCUUCACAUAUUUCAUGGGAUAUCAUUAUCGUAAAUUUAUCAUAUAAAUACUGACAGUAGCACUUAUGAAAAUGAACAAAAAAAAAAAACAAAAAACUUUCUUGUAGUUUCCAAUAAUUUGAGAUGGUAAAUUUUUUAUUCUCUACUCGUUUAAGUUGAAUAUUUUUCGUUCUACACUAUAGAGCAUUGAUAUGGUAGAUGCUUAGCGUAAAAGGUAGUUUAUUGCAUUAAUAUGACUCGGCUUCACACCAAAGGAUUUUUCUUUUCUUCUCUUUUCUUACCGUGAUUUUUCUCUCAAAACACCAAAGGAUUCAACUCUCUUUAAACUUAAGCUUUUGGAUUUUAAAAAGGGUUAAAGAAGCAAGUAUUAUGACUAUUUUUUCUGUUGUUUUCAAUUGGAGAUUUGAUCGUUUAUAGAUUAAGAAAGUGUUUUAGGGUUUUAAGAUAUGCACAUAUAUUAAUUAUUGGUAGACCCAGAAAUGAAAUCGUGAAAUAAUUGGUAGUCUUUCUAUACUUACUAUUCUAUGUUUUAUGUGGGUGGGCCUUAAUAUAUAUAGGUGAUAUACACCGAUGCAUGAAAUUCAAAUCUCAAUACCCAUGAAGCCCUUGGAACACACUGAGAUAUUGUCCUGUAUUUGUACGUUGUCUAAUUCUCUAAUUCUGAAUAGACCACCUAACUACGAAGUAGGAGGGAUUUUAAAGGUGGGCUUUACUCGAAAGGUUUGUUGAUUUUUGCAAUUAUAUUCCCUUUGAGUUGAUUUGUUGUGGUGUUAGAUAAAAGAGCCUCUUUUUUUUUAAAUGGAAUGAGUGCUUUCUUGGUAUUUUUUACUGCCCCUGAAAUUUCUUUGGAUUUUGAUAGCAAAGAAGGAAAGAUAUUAGGGCUGGCCAAAUUUCGGUAGUGUUUGUUACCUAAAAUAUUCUUGGGACCUUAGUUUUUAAAUACCAUUCACUUAAUACUUCAUCUUUGUCCUUCAAGAUAUCUGCUUUUUGUUUAAGAUGAUUUCCACUUCUCUCACAUGCACAUGUUAUUUUUUAUAUGGAUUUGCAACUGAAGCUUCCUGAAAAUACUUUGCAUAUAUUGUUGGUGAAGUGUCCAUUUACACUCAUGAUCAUGGUGUUGCUCUUUAUGAGAAAAGGACGAGCUCAAUGCAAUCUCUGUGCUAAAGUGACGAGUGGUUUCUCAGGUACCACUUACGAGGUAUACGAGGGGAUGUAUACAAGGGAGCCCUUCAGAAGCAUGCUGUUAGAAACUAAACGAGCGAGUCUUGACAAGGAAAGUCAGAAUCUGUAAUGUCCAGAUCUUUCUUAGAAGAGAUAUUGCUCCACUAACUUGAAUGCUGCUAAGCAUAUGAAGCGUGAUGCCAAGUCAAAUUGUAGGCUAUGGAAGUGGAAUGCAUGUAGAGAUGCACUCCGUGGUAGAGGAUGAUAUGAUUGAGCACCUUCCAGUUACUCUAAUGGAAGAAGAGCUUCAAAAACAAUCAGAGCAAAGGAGAAUAUAUUAUCAAAGCAAUCUCAAAGAUGAAUUGGCAAGUUAUUUUACGAAACGUGUUUCGAUUUCAGUGCUUCCACUUUGUCUAGCUUCCAAACAGAUGAACUUAUAAUCCUACACCCGAUGUUACGUUAACAACUCUUUUUUUAUUCAUUAACACAUGAUUCUCACUUUAUUUUAUUUAUUAUAUAUAAUAUUGAUUUUUUGAUUUACAGUUAUAUUUUUUCCUUCUUGAUAUCAAAAAACACAUUAACACUUGUACAUUCAUUUUUUUGGUUUAGAGAAAAAAAAAAUAUCCGACUUACUAGUGGAGACACUAAACCCCAACUCUAAUCAUCAUAUAUAACAUACGGAAAAGUCUGCCAUUCAUUUCACAUGAUAUAUUCAAGGUUUGAGGAAUCAAGAAUCAAAUCAAAAUUAAUAUACUCCGACAUAGUGAACACUGCACACUCACUAAAAUAACAGUGGUAUUGUGACAUUCAGUUCAAUCAACCUUUAAACAUAAUAUAAAUAUUCCACAAAAACAAGUUCCCAAAGAAAGAGUUGUAAGGUCAUGUCAGAAGUUUUUAGCUAUCUUAUGAUGCAUUGUUACCUUUCUCACGUGAAAUCGAAGCCGAGAGAAUGCCAAGAUCACGAUUUAAGAAUGUCAGUGCAGACUCACACUCUGAAAUUAUUCUUGUAACAGAAGAGGGCUCGCCAGCUUUUGUUUCAGAAGAUCCAACAGCAAGAGCUGCAUGCGAAUCUCUAAGAUUUCUUAAGUUCCCUAGGAACUGCCACAAAAGCAGAAAAAAGUCAAUUCCCAUGAAAGCAUAAAUGGCAACUUCUCUUGUUUGCUUGAUUUAAGUUCUAGCAGAGUUUCACAAAUGCUGUGAAUGGCUUUGAGCUUAAAUGGAACAUCUCCAUAAAUCAUUACCACUGAUUAGAUUAUAUCAUAAUAAUGCAGAAAGCAUUAUUUUCAGGCUUUUAUACUUCGCUAGUGGGGUGCUUGAUAAUUUUCUAGCAGGAAAACACAUCCGAAACAUUUGAGCACAAUAUUGAAAUACAUAAAGAAAACAGAAGGAGAAAAACUCAAAUUGUUCACAAACAUCUAAGCUAACCAUAUAAAUUCAAAUGUAUAGCAGAAAAUGAAUAAAAUCUUCACAUUGAAUAACUGGAAGAGAAAAAAAGGAAAGUAAAAGGGAACUUCCAGUUCUAGUUUAAGCCUAUGGAAAUGGCAUGUUAGGUCUCCACGCUUUGGUGUUCAAGAAAAAUGCCUUGGUAGGAAAACAAUUGCAUGAUUUCCCCUGGUGUAGGACCACAUUUUCUUUGGCAUAUGGUGAUAGGAAGAAUGUAAGUUUCCAAUAGAACAGUUGGUAUGCCUAGGCUGGGUCAGUGUUGCCUAUGCAAGCCCUUCGAAUUUCAUCUCAAAGGUUUUCUCUUACUUUUCUCCUUUGGUAACAUAUAAUGUUAGUGAUAAUCGUCAUAGUUUUAAAAAGAUUUUCGAUACAAGAAUCAAUCUUGUAUUAAUGCUUCAUGUUUCUAAUAAAAUACGAUGCCCUGAUUUAAAAUUUUUUUUUUUAAGGAGAUGAGCUUUAUUAGCAUUUCAGCUUUUUCAGAAAUUUAAAAUACCCUCAACUACUUAGUGCUUCCCCCCAUCCUUUCAGUUUCCUAUGAAGGACGUGCAGAAUGUUUCUGAUUAUGAAGGGGUCUAAGAAAUUUACUUACCACAUCUUACUCACACAUCUUAAUUCCUCUCCUACUCCCAAUUGUUUCAUUUUUUCCACUAUUUGGAAGGUCAAGGUGCUGGCUAAAGUUUAAACUUCUGUUUUGUCAGUGGUUCUUGACAAGACAGCAUUAAUGAACUAGAGUCCACAUGAGCUCGUCUCCCUGAGGGGGGGAUCUUGAAAUAUAUAAACUAAAGGAGGUGAAACCUUAUAGGUCAUUGCUUUAUAUAAUGAUGAACAAUUGUGUAGUGACAUGACUGAAUAAAGUGCUGAUAGGAUUCAGAAGUAUUAUUAAAUUGAUACCAUGCAACCGUUCGAGAAUAUAAACAUUAAAAACAUGAAAUGAUGCUGAUAUACCUUCCAAAGCAUCUUGUAUGCCUCCAACAACCGGUUGGCAGCUGGUCCAAACCCAUGAAGCUGUGGCACUUCCAUCAUGUGCGUCCAAGGGCGUAUUUCCUAAAAAGGUAAAAAAGAACACAUUACAGUCAUAAUGUAAUGUAGCAAGAGUACACUUUCACUCAUUAUCAUAGACUUCAACACCAAGAUGCUCAAGCAUAAGUUUUCAAGUCUAAAGUUUUAUGCUGAAAACAGUAAAAAUGUACAACAAGUUAAAGAUUUGAGAGAGUUUCUACUGAAAAUGUCUUAAAGUGUGUCUAUGAAGAGUCAUAAUCAACCAAACAAAGAAACAUAACAAAUGGCAUACCAACUCACAACACCAGAUGCAUGAAAGAGAUCCAGCAUGAUGUAGAAAAGUUAUUGUUCAGAUAUAUUCAAAGGGAGUAGAGAAACCUCAGAAAUAAUUGAAUGAUCUUGAAGUAGGGAUGGCAAUUUAAUUUGAACCUGAUGGAUACCAAUCCGACUUCUUAAUACAAUAUGAUAAAUGUAUCUUAAUAUUGACAUAGAACACAUGUACAUGUAUAAUAUUUAUUAUUUUAUCAUUUCAUAUAUAUAUAUAUAUAUUAACUAUUGUGUUUUUUUAUUGAGUAAUUAAAAAUAGUUAGUUAAUAAAUACCCAUAUGGAUACCCGAAACCCAAUUGAUAGUUUAUGGAUAUCUAAGUUUCUUACCCGAUGAUUAAUGGGUAGGGUAUGAAUAUCAAGAAAUCCGACUUCUUGGUACCCACUGUCAUCCCUAUCUUAAAGUUUCUAAGGAGAUUCCUAGAAACUUCUUUGUUCAGAUAAAGCUAGCAACAAGAGUAUUUAAAUAAUAAAUUAAGACCUAGCAGAGAAAAUCCAGACCUUUGUGUAUAUCACAUUGAAUGAUCUUGCAGUUUCUAGGAAAGAUUCCAAAUGUGCCCGGAGAUGAGAUUCCACCUCAGAAUACUCCUCAUCUGGAUUGUAUGCAUGCUAAACAAAAUGUGUUAUAGAGUUAAAAAGAAGGGAAAAUAAGAAAUAAAUGAGAUGGAAAAAAAUGAGCUGCAUUAAGACUUCACAGUACAAGAAAUUGGGAAUGACUCGACAUUAGAUGAAAAUAAGUAUUCAGAAAAACAGUUUGUUCAAAGGUGGGAAUUUAAGAAUUAAUAUUGUAUUUUCAAGGGGAGAACAUGCAAAAAUCCAAAGCAGCACAUCUUUUCAACAGUUUAACAAUAGAGUGUGUGUGUGUGUGUGUGUGAACAGCUGUUCUAGAGAACAGCAUAUCAAAAGUUUCUCCAAGAAUGACAGCAUUAUGUCUAGAGCUACGUGAGCAAUAAACCCCCUCACACUCACACUCACACAUACGCGCGUGCGCACAUAGAGUGUGAAUUGAAGACAUGGUAACAUCAAAUUGAUUUAAUGUGAGAAAUACAAAGGACUCUUUUGAACAUAAAAGCAAACAAUAAAUAAACAAAACUGAAUUAGAUAAGUGGAUGGACCUUAGAUGCCAAGUCAUCAAUUUUCUGCUGAAGACUCUGAAGUAUUUUUGACUGUUCCGCAAGCUUUGUCUCCAACUCAGAUACAUCUGGUCUGCAAAUGUGCUUAGAUAAAAGGAAGGUAAUGUUACUACAUCUAGUGACAUGGAAAAAUAAUAAUCAUCAUUUACCAGUAUAACUGGAAAGAAUAAUCAUGUGAUAUAUGUUUGCCAUCAGCAUUUAUAGUUGUGUUCUAAAAGUUGCUUUUAUAUGUCUUCUUCCGGACUACAAUGGAAUUCUUUCCAUAUAAAACAAGUUAUCAUAAACAUCGUUGUCCAGUGAAAAGAUUCUAACACUUAUCAAGGUAACCUAGAUGGGCAAACUUGAAAAUCACCAAAGGGGUUUGUGUUUGAUACCGGUUAAUAGGCAUAGUUUAAUAUACUUCAGAAACAGGAGUGAACAGGCAAAAUAAGAGUGGAGAAUAACAUAAUCUUACAACGGAUAUAUGGAUUGAAUCUGCACAUCAGCAGGGAACAGCUUGCACUCCUCUGAGAAUAUUAGAGCUUGUUUCUCUGCAAUAGAAUCUAUGAGUUGUAUGUCUUUUGCCACCUGUUCAUCUACACUGAAUAAUAAUACAAACAAAUUUUAGAAGAACAAAGGAUGUAAAGAAACGCAAGCAACAAAAAGUAGCAACAUUUACGAUCAUAGAGUUGAUGAACAAAUGUUGAAACUAAUUCAAAUAGUGAACUUUAAGCAAACUCAACCUCCAUUCAGGAUUAUCAGCAUAGAUGCUAGCCUCCACGAGAUCUACAAUUAGACGAAGCAUUUCAGUUCGGUCUUCAUAGCUUCCUCGCCCCUGAAACACAAAGGCAUUGACAUUGCACUCACUUGAUAUUGGAACAUCCAACAAACUAGUCCAAGUUGACUUGCUCAUAUACCUUAUUAAUCUUCACUGUUUAUAAUUUGGACGUUUCAAUUCAUUUGAAAAGACACACAAUCUUUUACUUAACCAGCCAUUAAUCUAUCAGGUCAUCUUAAACUUGUAGAUUAUACAAACUAGAUGUAAGCAUAUGCAUCACUUGUAAAAAAAGAAAGGAAAUCAAAUUCACAAGUUACCAAUGCAAGCAUAUGCAUCACUUGUAAAAAAAGAAAGGAAAUCAAAUUCACAAGAGUGUUCCUAAUGAAAGAAUAUGUUGGGAUUAAGAAGGAUGUUCAACUGUACUUAACCUCGUUGAAGUUAACUAAGAAGUGCAAUGUAUAAAAACUGUUACUUAGUUGGGCAAUCAUUGAUUAAAAAGCAGCUAUUUUAUAUACAGAAUUAAGCAACUUACUUGGAUGGCUUCUGUAUCUAUAAUUGAAGUGAUGCCCAAAAACUUUGCAAUCUCUGCCAGAUCUGCAAUAAAAUGCAUAGUUAUUUUUUAAUUGGAACAACAAUAAUAUAAUCACAAAUGUUAAUGAACCAUUUUGAAGUUAUUACAAAGAUCUUAGAGAAAAGAAUGACAAAAACCGAGAUGCCACAGAGCCCAGAAGAAAGAACAGUUAUAAAAUAUAAGUUACAUAGACAGUGAAGCCUAUAGGUGUAUCAAAAAGCCAACGUCUAAACAUUUGCACUUGCAAUGACCAAUGAGAAAACUACCAAGCUUUUUCCCGGAUCCAUUUUAUGAAAAAGGCAAAACAAAAUUUAGCAAAAUACUCGUUGUAUAUUAAAUAAAGAGCAAUAAACUUUCGCUUUCCAGAUAAGCUAGUUAAGACUAAAUUGAAAUGGGUUUGGAUUCUGAUUGAGAUUAUCGAGAAGAAAAUGAACUGUACAAUCCAUCCCUCUACAACCAGACACAAAAGGUGAAACAAGAAGAGUUGGAAGCAAGGAUAGAAGAUCUUUACUUUCCCUAUAAAUCAUAUUACUGAAGAAUGAAACUUCAAAGAAAUACUAUUCCCCUAGUUAUAUACUAUAAACAGGCUUGAGAUGAAGCCUGUAUAACCAAUGAAGUUUUUUAAAAUCAAUAGACAAUGGGUGCUCCUCAACACAUCCCAGUGGAGAAUGAAUAACUAAUACCAACUUCAUCUUUGAUCAAAGGAAAGAAGGGUGGGGGGGACCUGCAAGAUUAACCUAAGAAUUCCAACGAUUAGAUUGAAGCCUAAACUUCUACAGAUAACCUUAUUGCCAAAGAGAAUCAGUUUCUGAAAGAAAGCCAAGAUUCCAAAUCCAGUCACCCACCAAAGAAAUAUACAGUUCUUUCCAAGAUUCCAAGUCUCGUAGGUUUAUGAGAUAACAUUACUGGUAGUCUAUGCGCUUAUAUGAAAUCCACAAUAACAAACCCUGAUUCUCAGUGUAGUGAAAAGAGAAUUCUAAACAUGAUAUUCUAACAUUUCUAAAAAAUUUAAAGUGACUCCAUUAAGAACAAAAACCUGAUUUUUAUCCUAGAACCCUAAAUUAUGUUCUAGAAAACAUAAAGCAAUCCAUGAACCAACUAACAUCAAUCCUAAAAAGAACUUGCAGGGCUACAACAGCAGCUGUAACAAACUUUGAAUUUUGGUUUCUUCACCUCGAAUGAUUCCAGAUUUUACUAGAAAUGCCAAAUCACAUGCAUAUUUCAAGACCAUUUACCACACAAAACUCCACCUAAAAUAGAUCUAAGGCACAGCCAUCCACAUCUCUAAUCAAUAAUUAUUACGCUUGCAAUAAACCCUCAUAACUGUCCUACAUAAUAAAGACUCGAGUAAAAAUAAGAGAAGACACUAAAAUCAACACAAGUCCUUCAUAAUCUAUUCUCAGAUUGUUUUUUACUCCAACAAUAAAAAUUGUUAAAUGUACAAUGGAACACAAAAACUUAAUUUCCAGAAUGAUAAAAAAAAUAAAAAAUAAAAAAGUUUACAUUGGAUACGAGCCGUCUCUUCGUCACGAUCCAUAGCAUCUCCUUGUAGAUUUUGCUGCGAGAAUGGUGAUUUAUCACCCAAUAACCUGCAAUUCAGAGUAUAGAAGACAUUUAAAUGCCCUUCAGACAGCAAUUCAUUAUUUCAAUUGCAGCCAAAUUAACAUGUCUAGUACUAAACUAAUUCAUAUGUAACCAAAUUUCUGGGUCAAAUCGACAGUUUCUCAGCAAUCAACUAUUACCAAGUAAAGCAGACAUGCAUCAUCAAGAAGUAACAAGGAAAAUCUCACAAAUUAAUUUUCUCCUUGAGCCGCUUUUUCCCAGUAAUUAAACAAGCCAUUUACUUCAAUUUUCCCAAAAAAAAAGAGUGACAAAGAACAAGAUAAUAAUAAGGGGAAAUGGGGUACUUGAAGAAGAGCCAUUCGAGAAGAGCGUAACGUUCCAUGCCGGCAAAAAGAAGAGACUGAGCAGGAGCAUUGGCUCUUGGAUAAUUCAACAUCCCUAGUUUUCCCUGUAUAUCUUCCAUUUGCUUCGCUGCCAUUGUUUCUUUUUCUUUAUCCUCUUGCUUUCUUUUUGUUGAAGGGGGAGUUGAGAGAGAGCCGAGGAACAACUGUGAAAUAUAGAUGACUCGUCCGUCCUCCUCGAUGAAUGAUGCAAGGGCCCACUUUAUUUUAAUUUUGAAAAUAUAGGGCUAAUUAAUAGAUACAAAAUAGAAAAAUUCCAGAUAACAAUUUAAUUUGAACUUAAAUUUAAUUUAAAUUUAAUAAAUAUAAAUCUGAAUCGACUUGAAUAAAUAAGUUGUUUGUGGAUAUUUUACCCAAUAAAUAAUAAAUAAAAUAUUAAUAUUGUUAAAUCUAAUCAAAUUUAACUCGAAAUAUAUAUUUAUAUUAUAUAAAUAUAUACAUAAAACAUUUAAUGUCUUUAAAAUCUAAUACAAUAUAUACAUAUCUCACAUAUUACACACACAAUAAUAUAUAGAACAUUAAAAAAAUUCAAAAUCCAAUUAUAUAUAUAUAUAUAAUUUUUUAAAUAAUAAAUAAUAAUAGAAUAUAAAUAUUUAAAUAUUUUAUUUGAUGGAUAAUACAUAUCAAAAAAAAAAACAUGCAAGUAAAUACUCACUCUCAUCCCUAAUCUAAGGGUAUUAUGUAAUGUAAUUUUUAGGUUAAUGCACUGUUAUUAAACCCGGACCGGACCGGCGGGUUGACCCGGGACCCGGCUGACCCGGUGGCUGGACUGGUUCGGGUUUGUUAAAAGACCGGCAAGUGCAACGACCCGGAAAAACCCGGACAACCCUGUCGCACCCUAAAAAAAAUCAGCGUGCGGCAUCGGCUGGCGAUCUUUCUCGUUUGUUUGUCGUUUGCUUGAAUUUGAUUCGUUGGAGUCGCCACCUAGUAAUUGAUUGCGGGCUACUAGGAAACCGGAUGUACUGGUCUCGUCAGAGAUUCGUGGGUAAGGGACUGGUUGUGGUUAGGGAAGGUAUUAGCACCCCUAACGCACCCUACCUGAGGUAAGCUGCUUCGCAAAUUUGAUGUGUUAAAGAAGUUUUAAUAAUUGUCUUUUCAUCGGAAAUUAGAAAUAUCACUUACGUAUAAGUUAAUAAUCCUUAACCGUGAUCCGAUCAAAAUAUUAAAUUCUUCUUUAAUAUAUUUGCAAUUUUAUCAUUAAAAAAUAUAUACAAAUAAAUAAAAUAAAAUACAAACACACCCAUUCACUAUUUUCAUUUCUUUUCUUUUCUUUUCUUUUCUUUUUCUUUUACAUCCACAAUACAAAUACAAAUACAAAUACAAAUACAAAUUCAAAUUAAAUAAAUAAAAAUACACCAACACACACAACCCCUUUUUUAUUAUUAUUUUCUCUUUCUUUUCUUUUCUUUUCUUUUCCUUUUGUACAUCCCAUUACAAAAAUAUAAAAACUAAACACUAAACAAAAAAUACAUUACAUAAUUUAAAAAUUACAAAAAAUAGUCCCUAAACUUCAGAAAUUGCAUUGAUAGCCUCCUGCCACCGCAGCAAACAGUGGUGGCGGGUCUCCCCACGCGCCUCCGUCACUGGCGGCGCGUGGGUUCACGCGCCGCCGGGAAAAAAAACCACAGCAGGGGGUCUGGUGGCAGCUCCAUCCCCUCUUCCCGUCCUUGCCGGGGUUACCUGCAAAAAACACCCAAAACGCAACAGGCAGUCGAUUUCAUUAAUUAAUUGUUUUCUAUUUCUUUUGUUUUCCCGAUCUGCCUCUCUUCCCGUUCAAAUCUGCUUCACUGCAGAUCGGCUCUUCCAUGGUUUUUUCGUCU